UAUGGCCCGAGGUCGUGAAGCAAGCCCGUGGUGAAGUUGAGAAGAGACGCAGGAGAUCACGUGCUACUAAAAAAAAGUAGGCAGACCCACUAGCACAAGCACAAGCACAGGGGUCUGGUUCGUCCAGUUUAAUCAUCAUGGGUACUUUUUUUGUUUCUACGAGUUUCUUUCUUUCUUGAAUGAGGUGUUUUUCUUUCAGAUAUAAUCGUUUGCCAGAAGAAAUAAAUAUUUACUAGUAUCGUGUGAGUUUUUGUGGUCAAUGUGUGUGUUGGCCACAGGAAACAAUAUGUAAUGCUUUUGUAGAUUGAUCGCUAUGACUUUGUGUCACAGUUUCUCUCAACUUUGGAGGCAGACGGGACAGAGAAGCGCCCCUGUUAUACCCUUUGAUAAGCCUCUGUUCCUCCUCCUCUAAGAAAGAAAGUUAGGGUUUCUGCCUCUUGCCGGCGUUGCCGCAGGUUCGCCUCGUCUCCGAUGACCCUAGGGCCAUGGGGGCGCGGUGGAUCCUACCAAGGGCCGGCGGGAGGGCUCCGUUUUCAGUCGUUUUUUCCUGUCUUGUUAGGGUUUGUGUCAUGCUCAGGAAGGCGAGACGGCGGCGGCUCCCUGAAGAUGGAAUAAAGGUCUCUCCGCCUAGCCCCCGUUCCGGCGGUGCAUCUAGCAUCGUUGGUGGGCGUGUGGAGGUGUGUCUCCGGUGGAUCUGUCUUUGGUAGAUUUGCUCGGAUUUCGUCGUUGUUCGUCUACGUUCGUGUGUCUUCGGGUUGAAUCCUUCCAACCUACGUUAUUCUUCAUCGGCGGCGGUUGCUGUUCUGGUGCGCUGGUCCUAUGGGGCCUUAGCACGCCGACUUCCCGACUGUCUACUACAACAAGUUGUGCCCGACUCCGGCGAUGGAGGGGUGAUGACGGCGGCGCGCCUUCGGCUCGCCUCAGUGCUUGUAGUCGUCGCUAGGUGGUCUACGGAUCUGGAUGUAAUUUUUAUUUCUGGUGUUCGUUGUACUGUCAUGAUUGAAGAUGAAUAGAUUGGAAGUUUUUUAUCAAAAAGUUUCUCUCAACUUUCUCAAGUACGUAACAUAUAUCUAUCCCAUCUGUUUUUUUUUUGACAGAAAGCAUAAUACAGGUCAUAAAUAAAGAAAUAGCCUAGAUACUAAAUUCCACAAUAAUUAGAAACAUUUGACCACCAAUUUAACAGGCAAGUUAAUCACAACCAUUGAAUAUUACACUUCUUUUUUACUGCCAUUAAAUUAAAGUUGGAAAAAAUAUUUUCCCACAUUCCUAUCUCGAUAGAUCAUCGAGCCUUUGCUCCAAAAAAUGUAAUAAAAUAAUAACCAUCAAGCCUGUCAAAAAAGUUCAUCGAGGCUCACUGUUCCCCAACCUAAGGAUGCCUCCAUACCCGUCUUAGGGUGCCCUAGGUAGCCUGUCUUUCAGAUCAAGCUCUGAGUGAUUGACCGUGCAUUGCAAUGGUAGAUAAAACGUCCACCAAUAUUUUCAUCAGCGCAGCAUAGCGGCGUCCUAUUGAUGCCAACCAAGAACCAACUAUAGGUGUUCACACAUUUUGGUCUAGAAGAAAUGCAUAUCAUCCAGGCAUUAAUCAUGAAACCAACCUGAGCACUGCUCUCCGACAUUUUUAAGCUGGUGUGCCACUUAGGGCAGUUCAAGUGCUCCAAAUAAAAAUGAAAAGGAGUAUCAUAUAUAUUAAAAAAAUGUUUAGUAUUUCUCUAUUCAUUACCUAAUCUACCAUCUCCCCUUUUAGGUCUCACUCUUGAAAUUUUUUUGUUUAGCUCCCAUGAUUAUUAAAUGAACCAAUUAAUAAAGACGUGCAAAGUCCACCUUUAAUUUCAUUAUCUCAAAUAAAAAUGAAAAAGAGUAUCAUAUAUAUAAUGUAAAACAUUUUUCAGUUCAUUGACCUAAUCUUCCAUGUUCCAUCUCCCUUUUCAGAUCUCACCCCUAAGAUUUUGCUUUACCUCCCAUGAUUACUGAACGACCCAAUAAAUAGAGACAUCCAGAGUCUUUCUCCAAAACAAAUAUCGGCUUUAAAUCCCAUGAGUUGCAUCCNNNNNNNNNNNNNNNNNNNNNNNNNNNNNNNNNNNNNNNNNNNNNNNNNNNNNNNNNNNNNNNNNNNNNNNNNNNNNNNNNNNNNNNNNNNNNNNNNNNNNNNNNNNNNNNNNNNNNNNNNNNNNNNNNNNNNNNNNNNNNNNNNNNNNNNNNNNNNNNNNNNNNNNNNNNNNNNNNNNNNNNNNNNNNNNNNNNNNNNNNNNNNNNNNNNNNNNNNNNNNNNNNNNNNNNNNNNNNNNNNNNNNNNNNNNNNNNNNNNNNNNNNNNNNNNNNNNNNNNNNNNNNNNNNNNNNNNNNNNNNNNNNNNNNNNNNNNNNNNNNNNNNNNNNNNNNNNNNNNNNNNNNNNNNNNNNNNNNNNNNNNNNNNNNNNNNNNNNNNNNNNNNNNNNNNNNNNNNNNNNNNNNNNNNNNNNNNNNNNNNNNNNNNNNNNNNNNNNNNNNNNNNNNNNNNNNNNNNNNNNNNNNNNNNNNNNNNNNNNNNNNNNNNNNNNNNNNNNNNNNNNNNNNNNNNNNNNNNNNNNNNNNNNNNNNNNNNNNNNNNNNNNNNNCCCCCCACCACCCGCAAACCCUAGGCCCGAUCCCCACUCUCCCACUUCCCCGAUCCACCUCUCCCUCUCGCCCCCUCAAUCUGGAUCGCCGCUGGACCACGACGCCCAGCAUUCGGCGCCUCCAACGCCACCCGACGCCCGACCCCGUCGCCCGACCCCGUCGCCCCUUGCUGCCGUUCGUCGGGUCGCCCGUACCUCACAGAGGCCGCCUCGCCAUCCUCGCCCCCCUCCACGUUCCUGGAUCUGGAAGGGCCCCCGACCGGGCCACUCGCUGCCCCGACGCUCGCCACCCCGUCGUCGUCCCGUCGGUGCACCUGAGACGCCCCGACCCCUCACUCGCCGGUCGCCCGAGGACGACGUCGCCGACCCCGUCCCCCUCGUCACCGUUCGCCGCCGUCUUCUUCUACGCCUGCGCCAUCUGCUGCUACUAACCCCAUAGCCGGGCCACCGUGUGCCCUCCCCGUGAGCUCCCCUUCCUCCUCGACCCUCCCUCCCGCGCUCACCGCUCGUCGUAGUCGCCACGACCACCGCGCCUCGAUCCCGUUCGGUCCGUGCACGUCCACGACUCGCGCGCCCGCCUGCGAAUGGCCUCGCCCGCGCCGUUCACCGCCUCCGCCAGUGCCCCGCUGCUGAGGCGGCCCCGUGCUCCCUCGCCUCGCGCCUCUGCCACCGUCCCCGUUCCCUGCUGCGGCUGUUCGGGACCGCGCCUGCUGCCCACCCCGUGGCCGCCCUCCCCGCCGCUCGCCCGUGCCUGUGCGGCACUCGCCGCGCCGCCCCACUCCGGCCGUCGCCGCCCCGGCCUGGCCACGCCCCUCCUCGGACGGUGUCGUGGCCUCGCCGGCGCCCCUGUUGCCCCGUGCCCUCGCACGGGCGCUCGCCCGUUAACCCGCUUGCCCGUCGCCCGAUUAACCCCCUGGGCCACUGACGUUGGGGCCCCACGCCCCUGUGUAAAAAAAAGAAGGAAACAAUAUAUAAAAAUAAUUAGUUAAUUAGUUAAUUAGUUAAAUGGUUAAUUAACUAACUUAAUUAACCUUGCUUAGUUAGCCGGAUGAACUAGUUUAGUUAAAUUUAAAUCUGUUAGAUAGUUAGGUCUAUGACAGAACGACCCCACACGUCAGUUUGACCAGUCAAUGCUCUGUUGACUGCUGACAUCAUGAUGACGUCAGGCUGACAUCAUAAUUCCAAUUUUGAAUUAAUAAUAAUUUCAGAAUAUUAUUAGAACUUUGAAAAAUCAUAUAAAAUAAACCGUAGCUCGGAUGAAAAACUUUUUUAUAUAAAAGUUGCUCAGAACGACGAGACAAAUUUGAAUACGCGGUAUGUUCAUCUGCCAGAUGCCCCUAUCAUACCAAACAUGCAAUCUUUCUGAGGGAGUCCCGGACUAGGGGGUGUCCGGAUAGCCGAACUAUCAUCUUCGGAAGGACUCCUGGACUAUGAAGAUACAAGAUUGAAGACUUCGUCCCGUGUCCGGAUGAGACUUUCCUUGGCGUGGAAGGCAAGCUUGGCGAUACGGAUAUAUACAUCUCCUACCAUUGUAACCGACUCUGUGUAAGCCUAACCCUCUUCGGUGCCUAUAUAAACCGGAGGGUUUUAGUCCGUAGGAUGAACAACAAUCAUACCAUAGGCUAGCUUUUAGGGUUUAGCCUCUCUGAUCUCGUGGUAGAUCUACUCUUGUACUACCCAUAUCAUCAAUAUCAAUCAAGCAGGAGUAGGGUUUUACCUCCAUCGAGAGGGCCCGAACCUGGGUAAAAACAUCGUGUCCCUUGUCUCCUGUUACCAUUCGCCUAGACACAUAGUUUGGGACCCCCUACCCGAGAUCCGCCGGUUUUGACACCGACAUUGGUGCUUUCAUUGAGAGUUCCUCUGUGUCGUCAUCUUUAGGCCCGAUGGCUCCUCCGAUCAUCAACAACGAUGCGGUCCAGGGUGAGACUUUUCUCCCCGGACAGAUCUUCGUAUUCGGCGGCUUUGCACUGCGGGCCAAUUCACUUGGCCAUCUGGAGCAGAUCGAAAGCUACGCCCCUGGCCAUCAGGUCUGGUUUGGAAGUCUGAACUAUACGGCUGACGUCCGUGGAGACUUGAUCUUCGACGGGUUCGAGCCACAGCCAAGCGCGCCGCACUGUCACGAUGGGCAUGAUCUAGCUCUGACGCCGGACAGUGCCCUGGAGGCCGCACCAGUGUCUGCUCCGACCCUUAGCUCGAAGCCGACUGCGCCGAUCGAGGAUGGGUGGCUGGACACCGCCUCGGGGGCUGCGAUCCCUACGGCGAAUGAGCCGAACACCAACCCUGUCCUUUGCGAAGCUCGUGACUCCAAGGCGCCGGACUCCUCUCCGUACUUCGAACCUUGCGCGCCCCUGCCAAUUGAAUCCGAUUGGGCGUCGAUCAUGGAGUUCACCGCCGCAGAUAUCUUUCGGCACUCGCCCUUUGGCGACAUCCUGAAUUCACUAAAGUCUCUCUCUCUAUCAGGAGAGUCCUGGCCGGACUAUGGUCAGGAAGGUUGAGAUGCGGACGACAAAGAAAUUCGAAGCCCACCCACCACCCACUUCGUAGCCACCGUCGAAAGUUUAAACGACGUGCUCGACUUCGACUCCGAAGACAUUGACGGUAUGGACGACGAUGUAGAAGACAAACAUGAACCAGCACCUAUAGGGCACUGGACAGCCACCUCAUCUCACGAUGUAUACAUGGUGGACACACCUAAAGGAAGCGACGACGAGGAACAAUGGGACGCCACGAGGGAUCAUUCCCUCGAAAAGCAGUCAAAACGGCGACGUAAGCGCCGCUCAAAAUCCCGCCUCGACAAAGACAGCAGUCAUACAGACCCAACCAUAGAGCAGGGCAAACCGGUGGACGGCGAACAUGCUAUCAAGCAACCGUCCGAACAUGACAAUAUGGAUAAACAAUCCGUCCCCUGCGAAGAUAACAGUCCGGGCGAUCUCACGCCGGACAGGUUGCCGGAGCAGAAGAACCGCCACAAAAGGCUCGUCGCCACUGCACGUAGCCUGAAAAAGCAGAAGCGGAAGCUCAAAACAGCGGAAGAUGCGCUCAAAAUCAGAUGGAGCAAAGUACUCAACACCGCAGACAAAUACGGCGACAGUCGCCGAAAAAAGAGCUACCCGAAGCGAAAACUACUGCCCGAAUUUGACGAGGAAGCCGUAGAGCCCCCACAAUCAAAGAACAAGGAGACCACCCGGUCGGAUAGACGACCCCAUGGCAAACAUAGAGCAGCAAACGACGCCGCACACAAGCUGACACGCGAUCCACACACGGAUUCGCAUCAAAAAGAUGGCCCAGUUAGAUCUAUCUACGGGCCAAGAAAGCAAGCUCUAGUAAGCAAUGCAACACGUCAAGUAUCCGAAUAUUACGGUACACCUAAAUAUAGGGGUUUGCCGCACAUCCCCUAUUUUUCACCGAUGAGGUUCUGGAUUUUGAAUUUCCAGCGGGAUUCAAGCCCGUAAACAUAGAGGCAUAUGAUGGAACAACAGUCCCUGGAGUCUGGAUUGAGGAUUACAUCCCCCACAUACACAUGGCUAGAGGAGAUGACCUCCACGCCAUAAAAUACUUACCCCUCAAGCUCAAAGGGCCAGCCCGACAUUGGCUCAAAAGCCUCCCCGAAAACACCAUUGGAAGUUGGGAAGAACUCGAGGAUGCUUUCCGGGCAAAUUUUCAAGGGACCUAUGUCCGACCUCCGGAUGCAGACGAUUUAAGUCACAUAACUCAACAACCCGGAGAGUCAGCCCGAAAAUUCUGGAACAAAUUCCUUACUAACAAGAAUCAAAUUGUCGACUGUCCGGACGCCAAAGCCUUAGCAGCUUUCAAACACAACGUCCGAGAUGAAUGGCUCCCCAGACACCUCGGCCAAGAAAAACCAAGAACAAUGGCCGCAUUAACAAGCCUCAUGACCCGCUUUUGCGCAGGAGAGGAUAGUUGGCUGGCAAGAUGCAGUACCAGCGACCCAAGUACAUCCAAAGUCAGGGAUGGAAACGAGAAAUCGCGACGCAGCAAGGAUCAGCGCCGGACCAAGGGAAACAUCCCGAAGAGCAUGGCAGUCAACGCCGAAUUCUAAAGCUCACGGCAGGAUCAUAAAAAACUGCCCCUUAAGGAUAACAAGGACGAGCUAUCUAACUUAAACAAAAUCUUGGACAAGAUAUGCCAAAUCCAUAGUACUCCCGGGAAGCCUGCAAACCAUACCCACAGAGAUUAUUGGGUCUUCAAGCAGUCUGGCAAACUCAAUGCCGAACACAAGGGGCUCGACACACCAAGCGAGGACGAUGACGAACCCCACAAGCAGAGCACCGGAAAACAAAAGAAUUUCCCACAAGAAGUCAAAACAGUAAACUCACUUCACAUGACAAAAGGGAAAAAUAGAGCGGCGCCCAUAGAUAUACACGCCAUAUGGCCUAUCCCAGAGGAGUCCCGCCAUUGGUUGUUAAAAUCAAUCACCUUCGACCAUCAGGAUUACUCUACAAGUAUCCGGAAUGCAGGAUGGACUGCCUUGAUAUUAGAUUCGAUAAUCGAUGGACUCCAAUUUACACAAGUCCUAAUGGACGGCGGUAGUGAUCUAAACCUGCUAUAUCAGGACACAAUCCGCAAAAUGGGGAUAGACCCAACCAAAAUUCUCCAUAGCAACACUUCCUUUCAAGGGGUAAUGCCAGGGCGAUAUGCCCAUUGUACGGGCUCUCUAUUGCUAGAAGUUGUGUUCGGCUCACCCGACAACUUCCGCCGCGAAAAGUUAACCUUCCACCUCGCCCCAUUUACAAGUAUCUAUCAAGCACUACUAGGGCGCGAAGCUUUCGCCCGCUUUAACGCAAUAACGCAUUAUGCAUCCCUCAGACUUAAAAUGCCCGGUUCACGAGGCAUCAUCUCCUUAAAGGGAAAUAUCGAGUGUUCCUCGAGCGCGGAAGAUUGUGUGACUGCCUCGACGGCCACACACUAAACCGGCUUGACUAAUCCAAGCACCUAAACAGGUCGUUCAUACCCCGGAUACGGUUAGACGAGUCCGGCAUAAACAUACAGGGGCUUACCAGCCGCAUACCCCCGCACUAGGGGCUCCGCGCAUUUACAACAAGAGACAUUAAAGCUCAAUUUUAUUCAUUUUUUGAAUUGUACUUUGUUUAUUUAGUAUAAACAUACAUUUUCGCACGACCUUUUUCAACUAAGUUCCUCUCUUUUACAGAUGAACACCGUGCUACACCCGUCCAGGAUACGGCACAACGGAGACACAGGCGCAGACGUGCAGUAGGGACCCGUUGGAAGGAUUCUUUUCAGAUUAAGACCCUGCGUAAACCUUUUUUACUGUCUCUUGUUGAUACACAUCCCCCGGUUUCUUGCUAUAACCGAGGAGGAGGCUGGCAUUUUGGCAUGGGCCACGUCAGAAUUUUGCGCGUACCUGGACACCAGGGGCUUAUUACCAAGGGCGUUGUUCGGACCGUAUUCAUAAAGACCGAAUACCUUAGGGAGUGUUCGGCGUCUCGAGUUAGGCCUUAUAUGCAUCAGCUCCGAAUCAUGUCUUUGGUCAAAUGUUGGGUUUGCCCGGCUCCUGUGUUUUGCUGCCUUACGUUCCGCUCUAUCGGCUAACACGGCACCAAGAGAACUACUGCGAUUGUGCCCCGGUUCGUCCAGGCGAGCACCUCAGUAGAGAAAGCCGAAAACUGACUGUCAUGAUAUAGUGUGAGACUAGUCAACCACUCGAUGACCCGCCGGAAUCUAUAGGAUUCCUCCGCAUUGACGAAGGGCCGUUUCCCGGUCAGGCACAUACGCGCCCCAAAUUCCGGUGAGCGCGGUGCCCCUAGGGGCUAUAUAGUAGCCCCACUGUCAAACUCCUAUGGCUAAGUGAAAGUGAUAAAGCAUUAUAAUCCGGUUCCCUAGUUUGCUACACUACCACCUCCUUUAUAGGACCAAGACGUUGGAUCAAGUGUGAAAAUGCGCCUUUUGCAAACACCCCCGCAUUAUAUGCAUGGGGGAUGAAGCUGAAGACUACCAUCUUUCAGGUUAUAUACAAAUAUACAUUAACGGCCGCACAGGAGGUAUUUUAAUUCUUGAAGGCACAAGUAUAAAAAGCUUUUAUAUUUCAUCGAAACAUUGUUUCACAAUAAUACAUGUUAUUCGAACAUAAUAUCCUUCGAGCACUACAUCUCUAUUAAAUGAGCGCCCUGCAGAACUUCCUGAAAAUAUUGCUCGACAGGUACUCGGCUUCCGUCUGAAUCUGGGGAUGCAACAUCGGUGGCCUUCAUCUCUGCCCAGUAUGUCUUGACACGGGCAAGAGCCAUCCGCGCACCCUCUAUGCAUGCCGACCUCCUCAUUGCAUUGAUAUGCGGCACCGCACCAAGGAACUGCUGCACUAAGCCCAAAUAACUCUUUGGCUCGGGCCUUUUCAGCCACAAAAGACUCACGACAUCCUUCAUGGCAAGUCCGGAUAACCUAUUCAGCUCCGCCCAUUCGGCCAAGCGAUCGGUUAAUGGUAGAGGAUGCUCUGGAUUAUGGAACUGCGACCAAAAAACCUUUUCCAUUUCGUGAUCCUUUUGAUCUCGAAAGUGUUCGGCCGCGUCCGCGGCACUUGCCACCAAGUCCAGAUAAGCAUCCUCCGAAAUCCAUAGCCGGUCCAACUGAGCACAUUUAGGAUCCGUGAACUUCCUCCGCAGCAGGAAGGGCUUUCCAGCCGCGAUAUCUCCGGCCUGACGCAGCUCCUCCUUCAUAGCUCUCAUCGCAGAGCGAGCAUCCUUGGCCUCGGUAGUGGCCCUCUUCAGGUCCUCUUGCACUGCCCGAUCUUCCCUUUCAAGAAGCUUGUAGCGGUCGGCAGCAUUCUUCAACUUCACGGCCAUCUCGGCCAUUUUCUUCUUGCUUCGGCAGUGAGAAGCCUGUUCAGCUUUUAGCUCUUCGGCCGCCUUCAAGGCAGCCGCAUCACUUUUUCCGGCCUGCUCCUUGGCUCGGGCGAGCUCCGCCCGAAGGUUCUCCAUGGCAGCGGCACCAUUUGUAUCAAGCAUACAUGUUGUAAGGCACGGGAAUCAAGCUCCCUUACUAGGUGUCCGCGGAGAAAUCACAUACCUUGUGACUCAUCCAGCCGCUUAUGGACAAGAGCGAUGUCGGCAUCCGCCACGUCAAGUUGCCGCUUUAGUUCGGCAAAUCCAUUAGUCCGGCUAGCCACCGGACACUUCGCCACCUACAUAGGAAGGGUGACAUAUUAUACCUGGGAUUAUGAUCCUCGGCGCGCUGUCAUUUUUGACAACACACCGUGUCUCAGGGGCUACUAUCUACACAGGGCGCAUUUUAUAUGCGGAACUAUCAGAAGGUACAUCAUUCUGCGUACCUCAAAACCUAUCAGUAAACUUCUGACGGCUUCGUGCAAUCCUCUCUCAGUGGAUGAAAUCCUUUCAAUCACCGUACUCAUUAACGCACGGUGAUCUUCUGAGAUAGACGCUCGCCCGAGCAGAUUCUUCAGCUCCUCUGACCGUACACUAGGUGGUGCCGGACUCGUCCGACGACCUUUUUUGAAGGCCGGAUGUAGAGGGCUUUGUGGGGAAAUAUGACUGCCUUCUGGCCCCGCCGGACUCGAAGAAACCCUCCGCGAUGACACCUCAGGGUCACCCGCCUCGCACGACGGUACGGCAGGGGGAGGCGUUUCGCUAUCUAUCAUCUCAGGACGAAGAUCCCCCAAAGAUGAGCUCUGCUGAGAAGGGCUGAGAUCCGAACUACAAGGUAAAACUUCAGUUACCCUCAUCAGAAAUAGGGCAGGGAUAUCCUUUACUUUAAUAAAAACUCCCCUUUUUACUUACGGCUCGGUGGAGGGCUGGUCCCUUUGGGGGCACAAUGCGGCCGAGGCAUCCCUCGGCGCAGGACCCUCUGACGAAGAUUUCUUCCCCCGCUAUGAGACCAUGGUCUCCGGGUCUUCAGAGGCGGUCCUCUUCUUCCCCUAGAUGGAGGGAUUCUCGAUCUCUCCUUUCCUGACAACCUCCUUCGCGGAGGUGGUAGCUUCCUUGUUCCCCCCUUCACCUUCUUCCAAAGGCGCAACCUCCAGCAUCCUGGUCAACAUGGGAUCCGGCGUGGUCUCAGGGAGGGGGGCCGGUCACCUGAUUAACUUUGCUUUCGCUAUCCACUCCUGUUCAAGGGACAGCUCUUUUGAGAGCAAAUUCAUGAUAAACAUAGGAUAGCGUGUCCGGGUACAGGGCUACUUACUUGAGUAUCCGGGCGAUUGCAGCUCAGACCUGCGUCCUCGGUCAAGUCUGGACACAUCGCUUGUGAUCCAAAGAAAAGCUUGUACAUCUCCACGGGCGUCGUGCCCAUAAAAUGUUGGAGAGCUCGUGGCCCCUUUGGGUUAAAUUCCCACAGGCGGAGGGGGCGACGUCUGCAGGGUAGGAUGCGACGAAUCAGCAUGACCUGCGCUACUACGACCAGAGUGAUCUCUCUCUCUCUAGGAGGUCUCGAAUGCGGCCCUGCAACAAGGGCACGUCCUUGGACGGCCCCCAGUCAAGUCCUUUAUUGACCCAUGAUGCCAGCCGCGGUGGAGGACCCGAGCAAAAGGCAGGUGGCGCCACCCAUUUGGUGCCCCUGGGAGCUGUGAUAUAAAACCACUCUUGGUGCCAUAAGCUGAGCUCCUCUUGAAAAGAGCCCUCGGGCCACAGAGCAUCAGCAUUCUUGCUUAUAACAGCCCUUCCGCACUCUGCCUGUUGCCCCUUGAUCAUCUUCGGCUCCACUUUGAAGGUCUUGAGCCACAAUCCGAAGUGAGGGGUAAUACGGAGGAAGGCUUUGCACACGGCAAUGAACGAUGAGAUGUGGAGGAUGGACUCCAGAUCCAAGUCAUGAAAUUCCAACCCAUAGUAAAACAUGAGCCCCCUCACGAAGGGGUCCGUCGGGAAGCUUAGACCCCGAAGGAAGUGAGAUGCGAACACCACGCUUUCACCAGGCUUGGGGGUGGGAAUAACUUGCCCUUGGGCAGGCAGCCUAUGUGAAAUUUCGCUGGUUAGAUACCUGGCAUCUCUUAGCUUUAGCACGUCUUCUUCCGUAACGGAGGAAGGCAUCCACCGGCCUUGCAGGUCGGAGCCGGACAUCAUCGAAGGCCCGAAGCGCCUGAAUCUGGAGCUUUGGAUGUUGGAACUCGAGGCGAGGGGCAGAUUCGAUUGAGAUUGCAAGAAGGGAGUGGAGCCUUGGUCUCUUUAUAAAGAGGUUGAAUACCAAGAGCCUUCCCCGUGACCGUUCGGGACUUGCCUUCGAUAGAGGAGACGUGCCAACGGGCACGGUUGGGUUACCCACGCCCGUAUUGAUGAGAAUCACGGGAUAAGGGGACACCAUCUCUGCUUUGACAAGACGUGCCAAGGAAACCGCCUCGCUAACCGCGCUGAGGUGGCAUACUAAAAACGAUUUGAAUAAAGGCUUGGCCGUGGUGCGAUCUCACGCCACGAGAUACGUCAGCAAAAUUGAAUUUGUGUAAAUAUUAUUCUCUCUACGGUGGUAUGUGGAACUUAUUUUGCAGAGCCGGACACUAUCCUUGUGUUCAAAAUCUUCUAUGAAGUAUUCGGCGGAGGAACCCGCCUUGCAAUGCCGAAGACAAUAUGCGCGCCGGACUCGUCGUCAUUGAAGCCUGGUUCAGGGGCUACUGAGGGAGUCCCGGACUAGGGGGUGUCCGGAUAGCCUAACUAUCAUCUUCGGAAGGACUCCUGGACUAUGAAGAUACAAGAUUGAAGACUUCGUCCCGUGUCCGGAUGGGAAUUUCCUUGGCGUGGAAGGCAAGCUUGGCGAUACGGAUAUAUAGAUCUCCUACCAUUGUAACCAACUCUGUGUAACCCUAACCCUCUUCAAUGCCUAUAUAAACCGGAGGGUUUUAGUCCGUAGGACGAACAACAAUCAUACCAUAGGCUAGCUUCUAGGGUUUAGCCUCUCUGAUCUCGUGGUAGAUCUACUCUUGUACUACCCAUAUCAUCAAUAUCAAUCAAGCAGGAGUAUGGUUUUACCUCCAUCGAGAGGGCCCGAACCUGGGUAAAAACAUCCUGUCCCUUGUCUCCUGUUACCAUCCGCCUAGACGCACAGUUCGACAUCCCCUACCCGAGAUCCACCAGUUUUUUACACCGACACUUUCCCUUCCGUUUCAUCUGUCUGAAAAUGCCUAACUCUGGGAAAACUUCCCAGAUGUUAUCACCCUUCGCCGGUAUUGUGUAGCACCGUGUUAGAACACGUCUAGCUCUGCCUGUUGUCCUGUUAUGCUCUUGCUUGCUAUGUGUUUACUAUUUUCUCCCCCCUCUUCUCUUCGGUAGACCCCAUGACAGCUGCCGAUGCCACUGUGAUCGACUACGUCGACGACAACUCCUCCUUCUCGCCUGAGCAACCAGGCAAGCCCCCCUUUGAUCAUCCCGAUAUCGCCCAUUCUAUACUCUCAUGCUUGCAUUAGAUUUUGCUAUUGUAAUUGAUUGCUCCUAUUCUGAUGCAUAGCCUGCUUUUGUACCUGCUAUUGUACCUUACCUUCUUAUCCUAAACUGCUUAGUAUAGGUUGGUUAGUGAUCCAUCAGUGACCCCCACCUUGUCCUUGUUGCCCCUGCUUCAUCUUCGACGACUCGAUCAACAUGAUAGAUGACCAGAGCCUGACACCUCACAUCACAUCACGCCCCUUUAGUUGCUCGACUCUGCAGAGCUACUAUCGAGUGUCGAGGGUGAUCCCUCAUAAUGCACUCCUGAUGAUAAUUCUGUAGUGUAGCUAUUUAGUCAUUGUCAUCGAGGGUGGUUCCUCUUUCACGAUUCCCAAUACAGCUCUGUCGUGCAACACCUCAAGUGUGAACCUCAAGGGUGGAUCCUCUUACGCUCACCUUGAUGGUUACAUCGAGUGGAAUCCUCCGUGGGUGAUUCCUUGGGUUUUCCCCUUGAUGUUUGGACACACGAUUACCUUGACUUUACUUGAGACCAUUGUUGAAGUCGGGUCGGCCCUGAGGGGUACCCGCAAGUUGAUGUUUAAGUCGGGCGGGCCCGUUGAGCACCCGCGAAUUUUCCACGUGGCACGGCCGGGCAGUCUGGGCCCUUGCCGUAAGUCCACGAGACGGGGCGACGGGGUCACAUUAUUGUGAGUCUCUGCUCGUCUCCGCGAGCCCCCAAUGCACUAAUGGUUUUGGUAUUUGUUCUGAGUUGGCCUCUAGCCUUUCUGCACUAACCACCACGCGAGAAUAGUUAUGGGCCUCGACGUCCAGUUCAGCAUCGUGGGCCUGUCGGGCCAGUGCCAUCCAGUAUGAGGUGGUGCUCGUCCCAGCUCGUCGCACAACAACCCGGAGUGCUGCGGGCGAUGGGCCCAUGACCCCGGAGUGCUUAGGAUGUAGACCGGCGGGGACCUCUCUGCUGAGCCUAGGUAGGGCUACGACGUGUUGAUCUUCCGAGGCCGGGCAUUGACCCCAGAAAAGGUGUGUCCGGCCAGAGUGAUCAAGCGUGUUGGGUAACAUGGUGCCCCCCUGCAGGGAAGAUAUAUAUUCGAAUACCGUGUCCACGGUAAUGGACGUUCAGACUUACAUCCUGAUCUUAUAUAACUAGAAAUGGAUACUUGAGAUAUGUGACUCCGAGAUUGCUUUCUCGUAGGGAGACGAGGAAGGAUCUCUGGGCGUUGAUGUUACAACAUGUUUGUUAAAUAUAAACUGCUAUUCUUUACUAUUCUACAUGCUGCAAGAUGCUCGGAGCUGCUUGAAGAUUUUUGUCUUCGAUAGGCUAGGACUUCCCCUCUAUUCUGGCGUUUUGCAGUUCAGUCCACAGAUACAAACCUUUCAUUUGAUACCAAUGCAUACUUAGUAUAGAUCUGAUGCUUGCGAGUACUUUGGAUGAGUACUCACGGUUGCUUUGCUACCCCUUUCCCCCCCUUCUUUCUUCUUUCUGGUUGAUGCAACCAGAUGGUGGAUCCCUGGAGCCAGACACUACCGCCGAUGGAUGCUACUACGUGAAGAUCGCCGAUGACCAGUAGCAGUUAGGAGGUCCCAAGCAGGAGGCCUUGCCUCUUCGGUCGUUGUUGCUUUUGUGCUAGCCUUCUUAAGGCAUCCUUCUUUAACUUAUGUCUGUACUCAGAUAUUGUUGCUUCUGCUGACUCUUGUGUAUCGAGCUUGUAUUCAAGCCCUCGAGGCCCCUGGCUUGUAAUAUAAAGCUUGUAUUAUUUUAAUUUGUGUUUAGAUUUGUGUUGUGAUAUCUUCCCAUGAGUCCCUGAUCUUGAUCGUACAAAUUUGCAUGUAUGAUUAGUGUACGAUUGAAUCGGGGUGCAACAAGGUGGUAUCAGAGCCGACUGCCUGUAGGAUCCCCCUUUCUAACUCCUUGGCCGAAGUUGAGUCCAGUCUUUGAAAAAAAACUGAUUUACUAACAAGGCUGUGUGGCUUACGGGCCCACGUCGCCAUUGGAUGGUAUUAGGAUCUUUUACACCUCGUCUGUACUCUGUCAAUCUGAUCUCUCUUCUAUUCGGGUUAACUGAUUUUCCUAACAACUUUAGGUUCUCGUAAAUACUUACUCCCAGAGAGCCACUUACUCCAGAUGAUUACUUGGUGCACCAGAAGAUUCUGAAGAUAGUCUUUGAUGUUUUCCCUAGACCCUUGUGCCCUUCGCCGUUGCGAUCCCUACCACCGAUAAAUCCUUAUUGGUAACUAUCUACAUUGUCGUUCAUACCUUCAUCCCCAGUUGCCCUUGUUAUUACAAGAUGUCCUGAAAUACUCUCUGAUGUUCCGAGACUCCUUUAUGCUUACUACACUGCCCUGCAGUUCCUUGCCGCAUGAAUACCCCUAUGAAUAAUUCCUCACACUUUUCAAGGAUUUGUUCAUUCCUAGUUGAUCAAGUGAUUCAUACUUUGAAGUACUAUCCGAUCUUCCGGUAAUCCUCUCCAACUAUUGCGCAGCAAAUACUUAUCUACUUGCAUUAUGGUUACUCUGUAUGUCUAGCAAUACUCAUUAGCAUCCUUGGUCAUCGUGAUUUCGAGCAUUUGAUUCGAUUUGUUUGUGUAUGCUCGCGAUCACCAGUCCUAUUUAAAAUCCUUCCCUUGGUUCAGAUGUCACUUUGGACAUGAGCUGGUGUUCGACAAAUCAAACCUUGAUUGAUUGUCGAUCUAUGUCUUUUCAACUUACUUGUCUUUGAUUAGAGCCUCUGCUUCUGAUCCCCCGGUUUGGGAAUCAUAAUUCUGUUACAUUUGAGCUUUGAAUUGGUUAGUUGUUUCUAUAACCUGAUCUCCUUGCAUCCUUUCUUCUUCUGGUUGAGUACCGUUGCUCACAUCAGAUCCCUCGUGUACCACCAGAUCCUUUGUUGGAUUUUAUCCGACAGCUUCUUCCUUUCUCAAUAACCUUGUGAGCCUUACCUCGGAUACAUAAUGCCUUUGGUAAGUUGUAUCUUCUGCUUUCUCAACCAUACUCUGCUUCCGGGCUUGAGUUUUUACUCGUGAAAUUUGUGGUAUAUGUUCCUGAUAUGCCCUGAUGUGUUGAACCUAUGUCUUCCCUAAAUCCGUGUGAACCCGAAGCUUAUGCGGGUUAUAUCUACCAGCGUUUCUUUGGAUAACAUUUCAAUGCUACAACUUAUUCGAAUGCGAGAAGUGAAUGGAAAGUUGUGCAUUAGAGAAGUGGGAGUCGACCAUGGGCCUUUGUGUUCAUGCCCAUGGACCCGAUGUGGAACUUAUCAUCGAAGCUUCUUGUUAUAAUAAUAAUCCCCUUGUGAUAAGUUCAUCUUGUAUCUAUGUUUGGUCCUUUGCAACCGUGGUUCCGACCAUAUUGUUCUUCUUUGAUCCCAUUUCUCGGACAAGUUGAAGUACUUGUCUUUUGUAGUUCUUUUCACCUAUCCAACCUCUACUUUGAUCUACCUUUGAGUAUUACCCUCUGGUAUCUGAAGAAUAUCACAGAACUACAUAACUUCUUAUGAGUUCUUCAUCAACUAUUAUUUCUCGCUCACUCAAAUUUUCCACGGGUUCUGGGUUGUAGACACUCGAGAACACCAAUAACUGAUUGGAGUAUAUACUUUCCUUUCCUUUGUUUCAUUUAAAAUUUCAUGUAACCUAACAUAUCUGAGCGGUGAUAAUUCCUUGCUUAUGUAAACACCUCGGUGUACAAACUCUAUCAGUAAGACCUUGUUACUAUUGUUGAUGACAUUCCGGUAGCCAUCGAUGGACGAGAACUUUGCCUAUUGGUCCGCCUUGUCCUAACGAGCAGGAAAAUGGUUCUCUUCGUCCCUCGCCCUUGGUACCGAUGUUGUUGCCAACGUAACCUACAAGCUAUCCUCUGAUCUGCCUCGCUAUCAUGACCGUGCAAAAUGUUAGCACCCUUCCUGCUUUUACCCCACAUGGUGGGCCCAUAACCCACUGUUCCACAGGAUUGAAACCUGACUCUCCUAUACAACCUUGAUUCCAAAAUAUUCUUUGCACGUGGCUUCAUAUGUAAUUCACGAGCUAACUUCCUCACCAUGUUUCAUUCCGGUAUUAGAGGCAACAUUUUUCUUCAUUGCUUUGAACCCCUUCAUCACCUGUUUUAGGCAUCAGCUGGAUGCCUACCUGAUUGAAACUUGUUGAACCUCCUUAUAACACUCUUGAUACAUUUCCUGGUGCUUCUAAAAUCUCCUUCCUUGAGAUAACUACCAGAUGCCGAACCUUUCAGACAUCCGUCCUUAUAGCUUCCCCCUUAUUCCACCCCUUAAAUCUCAGAAUGAGAUUUCUUGUAGUAGAGGAGAAUUGUGACUCCUGGAUAAUUAAGCUACAAUAAUCCUCGUUAUGGUGCCAUGUCAUCACAUUACUGUUGCUAAUCCUCACUUGAUCUAAAUCAUAGUUCAAAUUCAAGUUUGUCAAACAUGAAAGCUAAAAUGUUCGAAGUGUGGCAAAUAAUCUUUGGUUAUUUGUCAGGUUGAAACCUAUAUUUCAUAGUAUGUUUUAAUGCCCUAAACUAAUAAAACAAUGACCAAGGCAAUAAAUAAAAUGCUUUUCUAAUUUAUGAAAAAUCCAAAACAUUUCAAAAGCCUCCCAAACUUUUUGUGGCAGCGCUAAAUAUUUCCUAGUAUUUGUUUUGUGCACCUCCACAUUUUUUUGCAAAGUCAUUUCGUGGCUUAAAUGCAAAUGUAGGAUGUUAAAAGAAAACAAAAAAGGGGAAAUCAAAAAAUAAAAGGAAAAGGAGAGAGACCCCCUCCCCCCCCACAGGGCAUCGGCCUAGCUAACCAACUAGCCGGUCCAGUCAGCCAGCCCAUCCCGGCCGGCCCACCUCUCCCCGCAUAACCCCCCACCACCACCCGCAAACCCUAGGCUCGAUCCCCACUCUCCCCACUUCCCCGAUCCACCUCUCCCUCUCACCCCCUCAAUAUGGAUCAGGGCUGGACCACGGCACCCAGAAUUCGGCGCCCCCAACACCACCCGACGCCCGACCCGUCGCCCCUUGCUGCCGUUCGUCGGGUCGCCAACACCUCGCAGAGGCCGCCUCGCCAUCCCCGCCCCCUCCAUGUUCCUGGAUCUGGAAGGGCCCCCGACAGCGCCACUCGCCGCCCCGACGCUCGCCACCCCAUCGCCGUCCCGUCGGUGCACCUGAGCCGCCCCGACUCCUCACUCGCCGGUCGCCCGAGGAUGACGUCGCCGACCCCAUCCCCCUCGUCGCCGUUCGCCGCCGUCUUCUUCUGCGCCGGCGCCGUCUGCUACUACUAACCCCAUCGUCGGGCCACCGUGUGCCCUUCCCGUGACCUCCCCUUCCUCCUCGACCCUCCCGCCCGUGCUCACCGCUCGUCGUAGUCGCAACGACCACCGCGCCUCGAUCCCGUUCGGUCCGUGCACGUCCACGGCUCGCGCGCCCGCCUGUGAAUGGCCUCGCCCGCGCCGUUCACCGCCUCCGCCGGUGCCCCGCUGCUGCGGCGGCCCCGUGCUCCCUCGCCUCGCGCCUCGCCCGCCGUCCCCGUUCCCUGUUGCGGCUGCUUGGGACCACGCCUGCUGCCUACCCCGUGGCUACCCUCCCUGCCGCUUGUCCGUGCCUCCGCGGCACUCGCCGCGCCGCCCCACUCCGGCCGUCGCCGCCCCGGCCUGGCCACGCCCCUCCUCGGACGGCGUCGUGGCCUCGCCGGCGCCCCUGUUGCCCCAUGCCCUCGCACGGGCGCUCGCCCGUUAACCCGCUCGCCCAUCGCCCGAUUAACCCCCGGGGCCACUGACGUUGGGGCCCCACGCCCUGUGUAAAAAAAGAAGGAAAAAAUAUAUAAAAAUAAUUAGUUAAUUAGUUAAUUAGUUAAUUAAUUAAAUAGUUAAUUAACUAACUUAGUUAACCUUGCUUAGUUAGCCUAAUGAACUAGUUUAGUGAAAUUUAAAUAUGUUAGACAGUUAGGUCUAUGACAGAACGACCCCACACGUUAGUUUGACCAGUCAAUGCUCUGUUGACUGCUGACAUCAUGUUGACAUUAGGCUCACGUCAUAAUUCCAAUUUUGAAUUAAUAAUAAUUUCAGAAUAUUAUUAAAACUUUGAAAAAUCAUAUAUAAUAAACCGUAGCUCGGAUGAAAAACUUUUCUAUAUGAAAGUUGCUCAGAACAACGAGACGAAUCCGAAUACGAGGUCUGUUCAUCUGUCACAUGCCCCUUUCAUACCAAACAUGCAACCUUUCCCUUCCGUUUCAUCUGUUCGAAAAUGCCUAACUCUGGGAAAACUUCCCGGAUGUUAUCACCCUUCACCGGUAUUGUGUAGCACCGCGUUAGAACACGUCUAGCUCUGCCUGUUGCCCUGUUAUGCUCUUGCUUGCUAUGUAUUUACUAUUUUCUCCCCCUCUUCUCUUCGGUAGACCCCAUGACAGCUGCCGAUGCCGCUGUGAUCGACUACGUCGACGACGACCCUCAUUCUCGCUUGAGCAACCGGGCAAGCCCCCUUUUGAUCAUCCCGAUAUCGCCCAUUCUAUACUCUCAUGCUUGCAUUAGAUUUUGCUACUGUAAUUGAUUGCUCCUAUUCUGAUGCAUAGCCUGCUUUUGUACCUGCUAUUGUACCUUACCUGCUUAUCCUAAACUACUUAGUAUAGGUUGGUUAGUGAUCCAUCAGUGACCCCCACAUUGUCCUUGUUGCCCCUGCUUCAUCUUCGAUGACUUGAUCAACAUGAUCUAUGACCAGAGCCUAACACCUCACAUCACAUCACGCCCCUUUAGUUGCUCAACUCUGCAGAGCUACUAUCGAGUGCCGAGGGUGAUCCAUCAUAACGCACUCCUGAUGAUAUUCCUGUAGUGUAGCUAUUCAGUCAUUUUCAUGCCAUUCCCGAUACGGCUCUGUCGUGCAACACCUCAAGUGUGAACCUCGAGGGUGGAUCCUCUUAUGCUCACCUUGAUGGUUACAUCGAGUGGAAUCCUUCGUGGGUGAUUCCUCGGGUUUUCCCCUUGAUGUUUGGACACACGGUUACCUUGACUUUACUUGAGACCAUUGUUGAAGUCCGGUCGGACCUGAGGGGUACCCGCGAGUUGAUGUGAAAGUCGGGCGGGCCCGUUGAGCACCCGUGAGUUUUCCACAUGGCACAGCUGGGCAGUCUGGGCCCUUGCCGUAAGUCCACGAGAUGGGGCGACGGGGUCACAUUAUUGUGAGUCUCUGCUUGUCUCCGCGAGCGCCCAAUGCACUAAUGGUUUGGGUAUUUGUUCUGAGUUGGCCUCUGGCCUUUACGCACUAACCACCACGCGGGAAUAGUUAUGGGCCUCGACGUCGUAGUAUUAGCUGAAGCUUUGUCAGACAUCCAGUUCAGCAUCGUGGGCCUGUCGGGCCAGUGCCAUCCAGUAUGAGGUGGUGCUCGUCCCAGCUCGUCGCAUAACGACCCGGAGUGCUGCGGGCGAUGGACCCAAGACCCUGGAGUGGUUAGGAUGUAGACCGGCGGGGACCUCUCUGCUAAGCCUAGGUAGGGCUACGACAUCUUGAUCUUCCGAGGCCGGGCAUUGACCCUAGAAAAGGUGUUUCCGGCCAGAGUGAUCGAGCGUGUUGGGUAAUGUGGUGCACCCCUGCAGGGAAGAUAUAUAUUCGAAUACCGUGUCCAUGGUAAUGGACGUUCAGACUUACAUCCUGAUCUUAUAUAACUAGAAAUGGAUACUUGAGAUAUGGGAUGGAUAUGUGACUCCGAGAUUGCUUUCUCGCAGGGAGUCAAGGAAGGAUCUCUGGGCAUUGAUGUUACAACAUGUUUAUUAAAUAUAAACUGCUAUUCUUUAUUCUACAUGCUGCAAAAUGCUCGGAGCUGCUUGAAGAUUCUUGUCUUCGAUAGGCUAGGCCUUCCCCUCUAUUUUGGCGUUCUGCAGUUCAGUCCCCAGAUACAAACCUUCCAUUUGAUACCAGUGCAUACUUAGUAUAGAUCUGAUGCUUGCAAGAACUUUGGAUGAGUACUCACGGUUGCUUUGCUACCCCUUUCCCCCCUUCUUUCUUCUUUCUGGUUGAUGCAACCAUAUGGCGGAUCCCUGGAGCGAGACACCACCGCCGAUGGAUGCUACUACAUGAAGAUCGAUGUCGACCAAGAGCAGUUAGGAGGUCCCAGGCAGGAGGCCUUGCCUCUUCGGUCGUUGUUGCUUUUGUGCUAGCCUUCUUAAGGCAUCCUUCUUUAACUUAUGUUUGUACUCAUAUAUUGUUGCUUCCGCUGACUCUUGUGUAUCGAGCUUGUAUUCGAGCCCUCGAGGCCCCUGGCUUGUAAUAUAAAGCUUGUAUUAUUUUAAUUUGUGUUUAGAGUUGUGUUGUGAUAUCUUCCCAUGAGUCCCUGAUCUUGAUCGUACACAUUUGUGUGUAUGAUUAGUGUACGAUUGAAUCGGGGGUGCAACAAGUUGGUAUCAGAGCCGACUGCCUGUAGGAUCCCCUUUCUAACUCCUUGGCCGAAGUUGAGUCUAGUCUUUGAAAAAAACUGAUUUACUAACAUGGCUGUGCGGCUUACGGGCCCACGUCGCCAUUGGUUGGUAUUAGGAUCUUUUACUCCUCAUCUAUACUCUGGGAAUCUGAUCUCUCUUCUAUUCGGGUUAACUGAUUUUCCUAACAACUUUAGGUUCUCAUAAAUACUUUCUCCCAGAGAGCCACUUACUCCAGUUGAUUACUUGGUGCACCAAAAGAUUCUGAAGAUAGUUGAUGUUUUCCCUAGACCUUUGUGCCCUUCGCCGUUGCGAUCCCUACCACCGAUAAAUCCUUAUUGGUAACUAUCUACAUUGUCGUUCAUACCUUCAUCCCCAAUUGCCCUUGUUAUUACAAGAUGUCCUGAAAUACUCUCUGAUGUUCUGAGACUCCUUUAUGCUUACUGGCACUGCCCUACAGUUCCUUGCCACAUGAAUACCCCUAUGAAUGAUUCCUCACACUUUUCGAGGAUUUGUUCAUUCCUAGUUGAUCAAGUGAUUCAUACUUUGAAGUACUAUCUGAUCUUCCGGUAAUCCUCUCCAACUAUUGCUCAGCAAAUACUUAUCUGCUUGCAUUAUGGUUACUCCGUAUGUCUAGCAAUACUCAUUACCAUCCUUUGUCAUCGUGAUUUCGAGCAUUUGAUUCGAUUUGUUUGUGAAUUCUCGCGAUCACCAGUCCUAUUUAAAAUCCUUCCCUUGGUUCAGAUGUCACUUCGGACAUGAGCUGGUGUUCGACAAAUCAAACCUUGAUUGAUUGUCGAUCUAUGUCUUUUCAACUUACUUGUCUUUGAUUAGAGCCUCUUCUGAUCCCCCGGUUUCGGAAUCAUCAUUCUGUUACAUUUGAGCUUUGAAUUAGUUAGUUGUUUCUAUAACCUGAUCUCCUUGCAUCCUUUCCUCUUCUGGUUGAGUACCGUUGCUCACAUCAGAUCCCUCGUGGACCACCAGAUCCUUUGUUGGAUUUUAUCCGACAACUUCUUCCUUUCUCAAUAACCUUGUGAGCCUUUCCUCGGAUACAUAAUGCCUUUGGUAAGUUGUAUCUUCUGCUUUCUCAACCAUACUCUGCUUCUGGGCUUGAGUUUUUACUCGUGAAAUUUGUGGUAUAUGUUCCUGAUACGCCCCGAUGUGUUGAACCUAUGUCUUCCCUAAAUCCGUGUGAACCCGAAGCUUAUGCGGGUUAUAUCUACCAGCGUUUCUUUGGAUAACAUUUCAAUGCUACAACUUCUUCGAAUGCGAGAAGUGAAUGGAAAGUUGUGCAUUAGAGAAGUGGGAGUCGACCUUGGGCCUUUGUGUUCAUGCCCAUGGACCCGAUUUGGAACUUAUCAUCGAAGCUUCUUGUUAUAAUAAUAAUCCCCUUGUGAUAAGUUCAUCUUGUAUCUAUGUUUGGUCCUUUGCAACCGUGGUUCCGACCAUAUUGUUCUUCUUUGAUCCCAUUUCUCAGACAAGUUGAAGUACUUGUCUUUUGUAGAUCUUUUCACCUGUCCAACCUCUACUUUGAUCUACCUUUGAGUAUUACCCUCUGGUAUCUCGAGAAUAUCACGGAACUACAUAACUUAUUAUGAGUUCUUCAUCAACUAUUAUUUCUCGCCGACUCAAAUUUUCCAUGGGUUCUGGGUUGUAGACACUCGAGAACACCGAUAACUGAUUGGAGUAUAUACUUUCCUUUCCUUUGUUUCAUUUAAAAUUUCUUGUAACCUAACAUAUCUGAGCGGUGAUAAUUCCUUGCUUAUGUAAACACCUCGGUCUACAAACUCUGUCAGUAAGACCUUGUUACUAUUAUUCAUGACAUUCCGGUAGCCAUCGAUGGACGAGAACUUUGCCUAUUGGUCCGCCUCGUCCUAACGAGCAGGAAAAUGGUUCUCUUCGUCCCUCGCCCUUGGUACCGAUGUUGUUACCAACGUAACUUGCGAGCUAUCCUUUGACCUGCCUUGCUAUCAUGACCGUGCAAAAUGUUAGCACCCUUCCUGCUUUUAACCCACAUGGUGGGCCCAUAACCCACUGUUCCACAGGAUUGAAACCUGACUCUCCUGUACAACCUUGAUUCCGAAAUAUUCUUUGCACGUGGCUUCGUAUGUAAUUCACGAGCUAACUUCCUCACGAUGUUUCAUUCUGGUAUCAGAGGCAACAUUUUUCUUCAUUGCUUUGAACCCCUUCAUCACCUGUUUUAGGCAUCAGUUGGAUGCCUAUCUGAUUGAAACUUGUUGAACCUCCUUAUAGCACUCUCGAUACAUUUCCCGGUGCUUCUAAAAUCACCUUCCUUGAGAUAAGUAUCGGAUGCCCAUCCUUUCAGACAUCCGUCCUUAUAGCUCCCCCCUUAUUCCACCCCUUAAAUCUCGGGAUGAGAUUUCUCAUAGUGGAGGAGAAUUGUGACGCCCGGAUAAUUAAGCCACAGUAAUCCUCGUUAAUGGUGCCAUGUCAUCACAUUACUGUUGCUAAUCCUCACUUGAUCUAAAUCACAAUUCAAAUUCAAGUUUGUCAAACACGAAAGCUAAAAUGUUCGAAGUGUGGCAAAUAAUCUUUGGUUAUUUGUCAGGUUGAAACCUAUAUUUCAUAGUAUGUUUUAAUGCCCUAAACUAAUAAAACAGUGACCAAGGCAAUAAAUAAAAUGCUUUUCUAAUUGAUGAAAAAUCCAAAACAUUUCAAAAGCCUCCCAAACGUUUUGUGGCAGCGCUCAAUAUUUCCUAGUAUUUGUUCUGUCCACCUCCAAAUUUUUUUGCAAAGUCAUUUCGUGGAUUAAAUGCAAAUGGAGGAUGUUAAAAGAAAACAAAAAAACGGGAAAUCAGAAAAUAAAAGGUAAAGGAGAGAGACCCCUCUACCCCCCACAGGGCACCGGCCCAGCUAACCAACUGGCCGUUCCAGUCAGCCAGCCCAUCCCGGCCGGCCCACCUCUCCCCGCAUAACCCCCACCACCACCCGCAAACCCUAGGCCCAAUCCCCACUCUCCCCACUUCCCCGAUCCACCUCUCCCUCUCGCCCCCUCAAUCUGGAUCAGGGCUGGACCACGGCGCCCAGCAUUCAGCGCCCCCAACGCCACCCGACGCCUGACCCCGUCGCGCCUUGCUUCCGUUCAUCGGGUCGCCCGCACCUCUCAGAGGCUUCCUCGCCGUCCCCGUCCCCUUCCACGUUCCUGGAUCUGGAAGGGCCCCCGACGGCGCCACUCGCCGCCCCAAUGCUCGCCACCCCGUCGCUGUCCCGUCGGUGCACUUGAGCCGCCCCGACUCCUCACUUGCCGGUCGCCCGAGGACGACGUCGCCGACCCCGUCCCCCUCGUCGCCGUUCACCGCCGUCUUCUUCUACGCCGGCGCCGUCUGCUGCUACUUACCCCAUCGUCGGGCCAUCGCGUGCCCUCCCUGUGAGCUCCCCUUCCUCCUCGCACUACUAGGAAAAGGCCUACUAAUGGCGCACCAGUUUUGCCUACUAAUGGCGCACUACUGGUGCGCCAUUAGUACCACGCCACUAGUAUUUUUUACUAAUGGCGCACCUGUAGUGCGCCAUUAGUAUGCCCAGAGGUGUGCGCCAUUAGUAAUAAAAAAAAUUCAAAUUUUUUUUCAAUUUUUUUUUCGUUUUUUCUUAAUCUCCGGUCACUAUGGCUUAAUCUCGGGUCAAUAUGCUUAAUCUGAGGUCAAAUCGCACUCCGUGGUCAAACUUCCCGAAUGGUCACCCAUACUCACACUACUCCAGCCCAAGCACGCUAAACUUCAGAGUUCUAUCCAACCCCAGCACCAGCUCACUUCACAGGCACUUGUUGAUAUAUCUAGCAUAUCAAUCCUAUUAAACCUUUUUGAUGUUUAGGACUUUGUUCAUGUUCAUGAGUGUGAUGAAAUUUUGAAAAAAUAUUUCAAACUUCCGUUCAUAUUACGUAUCAUAUUUUGAAAAAAAUCCCAAGAAAAAAUCGAAACUAAUUUUUUUUCUGUUACUAGUGGCGCACCUAGCAAACGGUGCGCCACUAGUAAGUUUGAAAUUUUUUGAAUUUUUUUGCCUCCAGAUCUUAAAAGCCCCGUAACUUUUUUUCGGUUAGGUUUUUUAGGAUUUUGAAAAUGUUUAACGGGUUUCCCCCAAUUAAAUUCGGAUGUAACUUUUUGAGUAGAUGAUUUUUCAUAUAGAAAACUUUUUAAUCCGAGUUCGUAUGCAAAAGUUAUGCCCAUUUUACAAAUUCCAGAGAGAUUUUGCAAAUAAAGUCGAAAUUCAUAUUUGCAAAUUUUCCCAACAACUAGACCACAUAUCACAUGGGAAACUUUUUUUCUUUUGUUUCUUUGACAUUUUCAUCAUUCUCUUUUAUUUUAUUUUAAACUGAAAAGGCGAUCUAGGGGGGGUGCAUUCUGUGGAAUUUUUAGGCCAAGUUAGUAAUGGCGCACCGUGAGAGUAGUGCGUCAUUACUAGUUUACUAGUUUUAAAAAAAACAAAUUUGAAAAAAAAUUACUAGUGGCACACCGUGGAUGUGGUGUGCCAUUAUUAGUUAAAACUAGUAAUGGCGCACUAUCCCCUGGUGCGCCAUUACUAGUUUUGAAAAAAAGAUUGAAAAAAAAUUUGAAUUUUUUUACUAAUGGCGCACCAUGGAUGUGGUGCGCCAUUACUAGUUUAACUAGUAAUGGUGCACUAUCCCCUGGUGCGCCAUUAGUAGUUUUGAAAAAAAUUGUUACUAAUGGCGCACCGUGGAUGUGGUGCGCCAUUAGUAUUUGGACACUAAUGGCGUACCAACACAUGGUGCGCCAUUAGUAUAUAGUAGUGGCGCACCACAUGUCUGGUGCGCCAUUAGUGUCCAUUUCAUCUAUACCCCUUUUCCUAGUAGUGUCGACCCUCCCUCCCGCGCUCACCGCUCGUCGUAGUCGCCACGACCACCGCGCCUCGAUCCCGUUCGGUCCGUGCACGUCCACGGCUCGCAUGCCCGCCUGCGAAUGGCCUCGCUCGCACAUUUCACCGCCUUUGCCAGUGCUCCGCUCCUGCGGCGGCCCCGUGCUCCCUCGCCUCGCGCCUCGCCCACCGUCACCGUUCCCUACUGCGGCUGCUCGGGACCGCGCCUGCUGCCCACCCCGUGUCCACCUCCCCACCGCUCGCCCGUGCCUCUGCGACACUCGCCGCGCCGCCCCACUCCGGCCAUCGCUGCCCCGGCCUGGCCACGCCCCUCCCCGGACGGCGCCGUGGCCUCGCCCGGCGCCCGAUUAACCCCCUGGGCCACUGACAUUGGGGCCCCACGCCCCUGUGUAAAAAAAGAAGAAAAAAAUAUAUAAAAAUAAUUAGUUAAUUAGUUAAUUAAUUAAAUAGUUAAUUAACUAACUUAAUUAACCUUGCUUAGUUAGCAUAAUGAACUAGUUUACUUAAAUUUAAAUAUGUUAGAUAGUUAGGUCUAUGACAGAACGACCCCACACGUCAGUUUGACCAGUCAACUCUCUGUUGAUUGCUGACAUCAUGAUGAUGUCAGGCUCACGUCAUAAUUCCAAUUUUGAAUUAAUAAUAAUUUCAGAAUAUUAUUAAAACUUUGAAAACUCAUAUAAAAUAAACCAUAACUCGGAUGAAAAACUUUUCUACAUGAAAGUUGCUCAGAACGACGAGACGAAUCCGAAUACGAGGUCCGUUCAUCUGUCACAUGAUCCUAUCAUACCAAACAUGCAACCUUUCCCUUCCGUUUCAUCUGUCCGAAAAUGCCUAACUCUGGGAAAACUUCCCGGAUGUUAUCACCCUUCGCCGGUAUUGUGUAGCACCGCGUUAGAACACGUCUAGAUCUGCCUGUUGUCCUGUUAUGCUCUUGCUUGCUAUGUAUUUACUAUUUUCUCCCCCGUCUUCUCUUCGGUAGACCCCGUGACGGCUGCCGAUGCCGCUGUGAUCGACUACGUCGAUGACGACCCCUCCUCGCCUGAGUAACCAGGCAAGCCCCCCCUGAUCAUCCUGAUAUCGCCCAUUCUAUACUCUCAUGCUUGCAUUAGGUUUUGCUACUGUAAUUGAUUGCUCCUAUUCUGAUGCAUAGCCUGCUUUUGUACCUGCUAUUGUACUUUACUUGCUUAUCCUAAACUACUUAGUAUAGGUUGGUUAGUGAUCCAUCAGUGACCCCCACCUUGUCCUUGUUGCCCCUGCUUCAUCUUCGACGACUCGAUCAACGUGAUCGAUGACCAGAGCCUGACACCUCACAUCACAUCACGCCCCUCUAGUUGCUCGACUAUGCAAAGCUACUAUCAAGUGCCGAGGGUGAUCCCUCAUAAUGCACUCCUGAUGAUAAUUCAGUAGUGUAGCUACUCGGUCGUGGUCAUCGAGGGUGAUUCCUCUUUCACCAUUCCCGAUACGGCUCUGUCGUGCAACACCUCAAGUGUGAACCUCGAGAGUGGAUCCUCUUACUCUCACCUUGAUGGUUACAUCGAGUGAAAUCCUCCGUGGGUGGUUCCUCGGUUUUUCCCCUUGAUGUUUGGACACACGGUUACCUUGAAUUUACUUGAGACCAUUGUUGAAAUCGGGUCAGCCCUGAGGGGUACCCGCGAGUUGAUGUGAAAGUCAGGCGGGCCUGUUGAGCACCCGCGAGUUUUCCACGUGGCACGGCCGGGCAGUCUGGGCCCUUGCCGUAAGUCCACGAGACGGGGCGACGGGGUCACAUUAUCGUGAGUCUCUGCUCGUCGCCGCGAGCCCCCAAUGCAUUAAUGGUUUGGGUAUUUGUUCCGAGUUGGCCUUUACGCACUAACCUCCACGCGAGAAUAGUUAUGGGAUUCGACGUCGUAGUAUCAACCGAAGCUUUGUCAGACGUCCAGUUCAGCAUCGUGGGCCUGUCGGGCCAGUGCCAUCUAGUAUGAGGUGGUGCUCGUCCCGGCUCGUCGCACAACGACCCAGAGUGCUGCGGGCGAUGGGCCCAAGACCCCGGAGUGCUCAGGAUGUAGACCGGCGGGGACCUCUCUGCUGAGUGUAGGUAGGGCUACGACGUGUUGAUCUUCCGAGGCCGGGCAUUGACCCGAGAAGGGUGUGUCCGGCCAGAGUGAUCGAGCGUGUUGGGUAACGUGGUGCACCCCUGCAGGGAAGAUAUAUAUUCGAAUACCGUGUCCACUGUAAUGGACGUUCAGACUUAUAUCCUGAUCUUAUAUAACUAGAAAUGGAUACUUGAGAUAUGUGAUGGAUAUGUGGCUCUGAGAUUGCUUUCUCGCAGGGAGUCGAGGAAGGAUCUCUGGGCGUUGAUGUUACAACAUGUUUGUUAAAUAUAAACUGAUAUUCUUUACUCUUCUACAUGCUGCAAGAUGCUCGGAGCUGCUUGAAGAUGCUAGUCUUUGAUAGGCUAGGCCUUCCCCUCUAUUCUGGCAUUAUGUAGUUCAGUCCACAAAUACAAUCCUUCCAUUUGAUACCAGUGCAUACUUAGUAUAGAUCUGAUGCUUGCGAGUACUUUGGAUGAGUACUCACGGUUGCUUUUGUACCCCUUCCCCCCCUUCUUUCUUCUUUCUGGUUGAUGCAACCAGAUGGCGGAUCCCUGGAGCCAGACGCCACCGCCGAUGGAUUCUACUACGUGAAGAUCGCUGAUGACCAGGAGUAGUUAGGAGGUCCCAGGCAGGAGGCCUUGCCACUUCGAUCGUUGUUGCUUUUGUGCUAGUCUUCUUAAGGCAUCCUUGUUUAACUUAUGUCUGUACUCAGAUAUUGUUGUUUCCGCUGACUCUUGUGUAUCGAGCUUGUAUUCGAGCCCUUGAGGCCCAUGGCUUGUAAUAUAAAGCUUGUAUUAUUUUAAUUUGUGUUUAGAGUUGUGUUGUGAUAUCUUCCCGUGAGUCUCUGAUCUUAAUCGUACACAUUUGCGUGUAUGAUUAGAGUACGAUUGAAUCGGGGGGCGUAACACUGCACACACACACACACACACACACAUGAAUCUGGUUACUCCCUCCGUCUCAGUUUAGAGGGCGUGCACAUAGUUCUAGGUCAUCCAUUUGACUAAUUAAAUUUAAGCUAUAUGUCACCAAAAGUAUAUCUUUAGAUUCUUAAGCGGAUGUAGUUUCUAAACAUAUAUUUUUCAUGACAUAUAAUACAUAUAGGUAGUUAAAUUUUCAACCUAGAACUACGUGCAUGCCCUGUAAAUCGAGACGGAGGGAGUAUUUUAGUUCAGAACACUGUGUCCCUCACAUGAAUGACCGAUUUAAUCAGGUCUCUCAAAUUCCACAAUUAUAAUGCGUCCCCACAUGAAUCUGGUCUUUUUAGUGCUCACCACCAUUGCAUGACCAGAUUUUAAGGUCUCCCACAAUUAAUGUACCCCCUUUUUUUAACUAUAAGCGGAUAAUCCCUCUGUUUGCUCUCUGCUUAUUGAUUUUCAUGGUGGCUUGUUGAUUUCCCAAGCAACUCAUGUAAACUGGUGGGAUUUGAUGUAAUGAAACGAGGCAAGACUAUUUAAUGAAUGACCAAACGUGAAAGGGAUGGGCAAACUUUCAAGCAAGGUGAGACUAUUUAACACUUUGGGCCACAAGUAAACAGUCCGUGGUGCCUGCUAGGUCAGGGUGGACACGGUCCGGGCCGGUCCGGGCCCUGACCGAGCUGUCCUUUGGACCGGCCGUCGGCGGUCCAGACCGGACCGGACUGAGCAGCGUCGUGGUCCUGUUUCCUGGGACCGGACCGGCAGGGACGAAGCCCGAGCCGGACCGAGCGGCUCGUUUGGACCGGCCGGAGUUCACCACAGAGCACGCAUCGGAGCAUGGCGACGCGGGGAGGGCGCUGGAGGCAGCGGAGCUCAUCGUGGAGAUGUUAGGCAGCUUUGGAAGAGUUAGAGGGAGCUAGAGGAGCCAAGAAGAUCACCAGAGCGAGCUCAUCGGCGACGAAUUUGGCACGAUGGCCGGUGGACGGAGAUGAAAAAGACGAUGCACGAUGCGGCGAUGCAGGUCCUCCCACGUCGUGUUCGUUAGUGCAUACGACAGAUCCGAGUGGGGCGCGUCCAGUGGACAUAGUUUCUAGGGCCAGCAAGUUGAGUGGCCGCGCGGACGAUGGCCCCCGCGGCGGCGGACAUGAACGGCGACAGUUUCUUGCACCCCCGCCACGCCUGGGUCGCCACGCACUCGCCACAAUCCCGCCACGCCCCCUCCAUGCCGCCCGCACGCCCCAGCCACGCCCCACUCGGUGCUCACCGUGCCGCCGCCAUGCUCCCGCCACGCCGAUGCUUCGGUUUCUCGGUCCUGCGAGCUGGCCCGGUGAAAGCUCGGACCAGACCGACAAACUUUCGGGCCAGAAUCUGCAGCUUGGACCGGCUGUUUUUUCCAUCGGGCUAGGACCGAGCUAGCCCGGACCGAGCGGGCCAUGAGCCGGUCCGAAAGACCGCUCGUGUCGUCCAUCCUGACUGCUAGGUGAGGCCCAAUACGCUGGACGGCUCGGUCAAUAGAGGAAAAGAGAAAGAAAAAGAAGGGCCUACAAGCAUAUCUCAGGAACGCGCCCGUUACUAAUAGCAGCAUACCAAGCCGAACUGAACUUUUAACAUCAUGUUGAAUAUGUUAAAAAUGAAACUGGUUGAUCCCAAUGGUAUAUUCCUGUCCACAAAGAAAAUUUCUAAAUGUCACUAUGGGGGUUGUUUGCAUAAGGGGAUUAUAUAUGUUUCCUUUAAGCAUGUUUAAUCCUAAAACUACGUUGGUUCAUGUAAUAGACCUCAGGAUAAAUAAGACACUUUUUAUGACAAUUCAGGAUAAAUAACACUUGGUUUCCAAAAAACAGAAAAGGUGAGCUUUUAAAUAAACGACUAUUAUUCGUUUUUCUUUAUACAUGUUUAUAUAUAGCUAUAAUCCUACGCCUAUACUCUUUAACUGCACACCACGUCCGUAUAGCUUGUUGCUAUCGUGAUUCGACACACCCCUGUUGCUCCUCAGCCCCGGCGAGCUGUGCGACUGCAAGUCAGGUCACCGUCGAUGCCUCUCCAAUGGGCAUGGCCGGUGGAGGCAAGCGAUAGGGGCCAAUCGGCCCUGCCCAGCAUCGCUUGACACGGGGACCCUGCAGGAUAGAGCCGUCGUAUGACAAGCACUCCUCUUGCUCUAGCGCGACACCGUUGCAGCAGCCAAUAGCUCCUCGUGGCGCCGCAGCUUGGCCACAAUGUGCUUCUCCACCAUGCAAUGCAUGCGGCGUGGUCCAACUUGCCGCAUGGCAUGACAGUGCUUCGGAGAGCCAGGCGCCUGCCGGGCCGGCGCUGCAGACUCCUCAUUGUCAUUGACAAUGCAUGCAUCGAGCGCAAACAACAUGCGAGUCAGCGAGUGCAGGAGGGCAGAAUGCUUCCCAUUGGCAGCACUGAAGUGAACUUUGAAUGGAUGCUAAGGGCGAUUUGCUGCAGCAACGUGGCGUGUUAAGCUUCGGGAGGAAGCUUGGAGGAAGGUAAAGCAUAGCUUCGAGCGCUUGUUGGAUGCGAGCGUGCUCUUGUGUUUGGCUCCCUAGACUGCGGCGAGGGUCAAGUCUCUUAUCCAAUUCAUUCUGAUCAAUGGAUCUAACCCAAAAGUGGUUUUGCAAAAAAAAAAGCUUUUAAUCCAAAAAGAGAUUUGCUAAAACGUUACUAAAGCUCGUUUCCUAUAAUUUCUCCUAAAAUCCGUUUUCUAAAAACUGAACUGUAUCCAUACAACCACUAUAGCAACUGAACCGUAUCCAAACAACCACUAUAGCAACUCUCAACUGGAUGUCACUAGAAUAAUUAUAUCAACUGAAAAUAUGAACCAAGUAACGGGAAGACAACCCAAAGGUUUUUUUACAUGAAAACGGCCCAACGUAUUAACAGUCCACAAACGGGCUGACUGUAACGACGAGCUGAAUUUGGCCCACAAGCAAAAAAUAACAGUAAUGGGCCGUAUGUAACCGAAUGCUGCAAAUGAGCCCAAAAAUCAAUGGGCCCUGAGAAGGCCAAAAGAUAACUUGGGCUGGAAACGGCCCAAUGAAAGCCGUUAAUGGGUAUAAAGUGAUACACUGUUCAUUACGGGCCAGUUUCACCACGGGCCAUUAAUGGGCCAAGAGUUACAAAGGGCCUCAUAUGGGCUGAAAGAAGUCAUGGGCCACACAUGUGCCAGAAGUUAAAACUGGCUGGAAUCAUAUUGGACGGCCCAGAUGACGCUACUGGGCCUAAUUCGGAGAGGUAGUAACGGGCCCUAGGUUAGCGGGCUGUAAAUGGGCUAUAUGCGAACAGGCCAUUAAUAGGCUUUCCGUGGGCCAGCCUGCCACCUUUUGACCAAGUCAAACGGGCUGGCCUUUUCACAGGAAUGGGCCUCUGUUGGGUCGUGCCAUGUGUCACCGUAUCAUAGCGCCUUUGGUCCAAUGAGUGGAUGACAUCUGUCCCAACGAUGAGCCGACACGUGUUUCCUCCAGCCAAUGAUGAUUUUACACGUGAAAAAUCCCUAUCGGUCGGGGCUGUUAACGGGUUAUCGGAUCCAAAACCGGAUCCGAUAGCUUAACGGCAUUCCGUCACGGUGGAUGCCACGUGUCGGUCAGCCUUGACGAAAGCACUUUUGUGACGCGCGAUUUAUCGUACUUCCGUGAUGAUAAUUUUGGUAAUGUCAUGGAACACUUCUACGACAGCGCAUGUAUGACUAUCUUGAUUCUGUCAUAAAAUCGUCAUGGAUGUACAUGCAUGACAAAAGACGCGACCUACUGUGACAAACACGUAUAAUCACAGAAGUGUAUUUUUUUAGUAAUGCAAGCAAUACAACCUAAAGCAGGAGUAGGCUUUUACCUCGUUGAGAGGGGCCGAACAUGGGUAAAAACUCUCGGUGUCCUUUGUCCCGUUUAACCCCUUCAAGCUAACCUAGCGGCGAUGGCUCCACACCUAAGUCCUCUUGCUAGGACAUCUGUAGUGUUAAGUCCAUGAUAGCCUGCAAGGACAGGAUUGAAGGAAGCUUCACUAUGAUGUGUCAAUGCCAAUGGAAGAUAUGUUUCGUGUUUCACCAUGCAUGUGCCGCCAACAACCUUACUUUGUUAUGGAAGACUUGAUGAAGACCGAAUAUACUUACAGGUGCAUUCAUUACCCCCAUAUAGCACAACAGAAUAACCAUCUUCAGCAUGGCCCUUUCCUCUACCCAGUUCCAAUCACCCCUCCUCCAUAACUGCUAGAACUUGGACCUGAUUGCCAUGUUUGAGAUAAUAUUUUUAAGAAUACCUAUGGAGUGGUUAUUUCUUUUCAUGACAUCGCCGUGGAGAUUUAUAGUUGAAAAAUGAUCAAUUUCUAUAUAGAAGUUAACAGUAUAUAAUGGUUCGAAGCAACUCUAAUAGUAGUGAAUUUAGGAUAGAGUACAUGACAUGAUAUACACUAUCAAUAAUAGUAGCUACUGUUGUGCGUGCAGUUUUUUUUCCCUUACAAGAUGCUAUAUGAAAAUUUUCAUGGCUGCAAAAUGAGUCUAUAGGAUUAUUCUAUAUUUAUGAACUACUCCCUCCAUUCCCUUUUGUAGUGUGUAUAGUUUUUUGCCUAAAAUUCCGAAAUGUAGUGCUUGCAUACAACACAAAGCUGGUUUGGACAAGUUACGCUUCGCUGGAAUCAAGGGACACACGCAGCAGAGCACGCACAUGGGUGUGUAGCAAACCAUGCAUGCAAGGUUAAUCUGGUAAAAUUCACAGCUCCAGCUCAUGCAUUGGUAUUGGAGCUAACAUCUAUGUGCACUAUAUAAUGAAACAGAGGGAGUAACAAUAGCACUAUUGUGUGCAGUAUUUUUCUAGAAGAUGAUAUAUGCAGAUCCUGUUCUCUGCAAGUUUCUGUCGCGCACAUCAGCUUCAAGUCAGCACCCUAGGCCAAUACAACCACUUCCUCCUUUAUUUAUCCCUCCCUUUCUGACUUCCUUCCUUCUUCCUUCCGAGCAACGACAAAUUUAGUGGGAUGUAGAAGAGGCGGCAAGCACAUCUAGCAGCAGGAGAUAAGCAAUAGUUUGUUCCUCAAUAGCAACAACAAUAUUCCUUCCAUUCACUUUUGUAAGGGGCUGGAGGCGGUCACGUAGAAAAAAUUUCAGAGUUUCUCGAUUUGCCCUGUCACUCUCGCAGUCUCGCUUCGCGCUCCCCUCUCUCAGUCCAAAGUGGAUCCUCUAAUCUCUCGCUUCGCAUCACCGCUCUGUCACUCCUCUCCGGCGCCCGCGCCGCCGCCGCCCCUAUCCUCCCUCUCUCUGAAAGAUUUGAUGAAAGCGUGUACCUCUGGCAGGGACGCGCGCAUGUUUAUAUAGAGUAGAUGGUUUACAAGAUACGGUAGUUAGGCGUGGAUUGAUCCUCAAGCAAACUAUACAAGACGUAAGGAGGAAUCCCAACAGCCUAACUACCAGACUAUAUCAACACGCCCGCACUAGCUAUACCAGAAGGUAUAUACGGUUUAUAUACGACCAUACAUACGUACAAUAAUAUCUAACAUGCCCCCUCAGUCACAGAUUCACCAAGUUGAGAUUGCUCUUGAAGUCUUCCAACUGGCACCAUAAUAGUGCUUUAGUAAAGCCAUCCACAACUUGAUCACCUGUGGGAAUGAAAUGAAUAUCCAUGAGUUUCUGUGCUACUCUUUCUCUAACAAAAUGACAGUCCACCUCUAUGUGUUUGGUCCUUGCAUGAAAGAUUGGAUUUGCUGACGAAUAUGUGGCACCAAUAUUGUCACACCAAAGACGAGCAACUGGUGAGUGAGAAACUCCAAGUUCUUGCAGAAGAGUCUAAACCCAAAUAAUCUCUGUAGUAGUGAUGUCUACUACACAACCUUCUUCUAGUAGACGUUGUUGGGCCUCCAAGUGCAGAGGUUUGUAGGACAGUAGCAAAUUUCCCUCAAGUGGAUGACCUAAGGUUUAUCAAUCCGUGGGAGGUAUAGGAUGAAGAUGGUCCCUCUCACACAACCCUGGAACCAAAUAACAAAGAGUCUCUUGUGUCCCCAGCACACUCAAUACAAUGGUAAAUUGUAUAGGUGCACUAGUUCGGCGAAGAGAUGGUGAUACAAGUGCAAUAUGGAUGGUAGAUAUAGGUUUUUGUAAUCUGAAAAUACAAAAACAGCAAGGUAGCAAGCAAUAUAAGUGAGCAUAAACGGUAUUGCAAUGGUAGGAAACAAGGCCUAGGGUUCAUACUUUCACUAGUGCAAGUUCUCUCAACAACAAUAACAUAACUGGAUCAUAUAACUAUCCCUCAACAUGCAAUAAAGAGUCACUCCAAAGUCACUAAUUGCAGAGAACAAACGAAGAGAUGAUUGUAGGGUACGAAACCACCUCAAAGUUAUUCUUUCUGAUCAAUCCGUUGGGCUAUUCCUCUAAGUGUCACAAACAACCCUAGAGUUCGUAGUAAAAUAACACCUUAAGACACAUAUCAACCAAAACCCUAAUGUCACCUAGAUACUCCAAUGUCACCUCAAGUAUCCACGGGUAUGAUCAUACGAUAUGCAUCACACAAUCUUAGAUUCAUCUAUUCAACCAACACAAAGAACUUCAAAGAGUGCCCCAAAGUUUCUACUGGAGAGUCAAGACGAAAACGUGUGCCAACCCCUAUGCAUAAGUUCACAAGGUCACUGAACCCGCAAGUUGAUCACCAAAACAUACAUCUAGUAGAUCACGUGAUAUCCCAUUGUCACCACAGAUAAGCACAUGCAAGACAUACAUCAAGCAUUCUCAAAUCCUUCAAGACUCAAUCCGAUAAGAUAACUUCAAAGGGAAAACUCAAUCCAUUACAAGAGAAUAGAGGGGGAGAAACAUUAUAAGAUCCAACUAUCGUAGCAAAGCUCGCGGUGCAUCAAGUUCGUGCCAUAUCAAGAACACGAGAGAGAGAGAGAGAGAGAUCAAACACAUAGCUACUGGUAUGUACACUCAGCCCCGAGGGUGAAUUACUCCCUCCUCAUCAUGGAGAGCGUCGGGAUGAUGAAGAUGGCCACCGGUGAUGGAUCCCCCCUCCGGAAGGGUGUCGAAACAGGGUCUCGAGAGGUUUUUGGUGGCUACAGAGGCUUGCGGCGGUGGAACUCCCGAUCUAGGUUUCUUUCUGGGGGUUUCUGUGUUUGUAGGAACUUUUGGCGUCGGUUUCAUGUUAGGAGGGUCUCCGAGUCGUCCACGAGAUAGGGGGCACGCCCAGGGGGGUAGGGCACACCCUCCACUCUCAUGGACGGCUAGGGACUCUUCUGGCCCAACUCUUUUACUUCGGGGCCUUCUUUUGGUCCAUAAACAAUCAUCAAAAAUUGGCACGUCAUUUGGACUCCAUUUGGUAUUCCUUUUCUGUAAAAUUCAAAAACAAGGAGAAAACAGAAACUGGCACUGGACUCUAGGUUAAUAGGUUAGUCCCAAAAAUCAUAUAAAACAACAUAUAAAUGCAUAUAAAACAUUCUAGAUGGAUAAUAUAAUAGCAUGGAACAAUCAAAAAUUAUAGAUACGUUGGAGACAUAUCAAGCAUCCCCAAGCUUAAUUCCUGCUCGUCCUCGAGUAGGUAAAUGAUAAAAACAGAAUUUUUGAUGUGGAAUGCUACCUAACAUAUUUAUCAAUGUAAUCUAUCUUUAUUGUGGCAAGAAUAUUCAGAUCCAUAAGAUUCAAAACUAAAGUUUAAUAUUGACAUAAAAGUGAUAAUACUUCAAGCAUACUAACAAAGCAAUCAUGUCUUCUCAAAAUAAUAUGGCCAAAGAAAGCUAUCCCUACAAAAUCAUAUAUUCUGGCUAUGCUCUAUCUUCAUCACACAAAAUAUUUAAAUCAUGCAAAACCCCGGUUUCAGCGAAGCAAUUGUUUCAUACUUUAGUAUUCUCAAACAUUUUUAAUCUUCAUGCAAUACAUGAGCGUGAGCCAUGGACAUAGCACUAUAGGUGGAAUAGAAUGGUGGUUGUGGAGAAGACAAAAAGGAGAAGAUAGUCUCACAUCAACUAGGCGUAUAACGGGCUAUGGAGAUGCCCAUCAAUAGAUAUCAAUGUGAGUGAGUAGGGAUUGCCAUGCAAUGGAUGUACGAUAGCUAUAAGUGUAUGAAAGCUCAAAAAGAAACAAAGUGGGUGUGCAUCCAACUUGCUUACUCAUGAAGACCUAGAGCAUUUGAGGAAGCCCAUCAUUGGAAUAUACAAGCCAAGUUCUAUAAUGAAAAUUCCCACUAGUAUAUGAAAGUGUCAACACAGGAGAAUCUCUAUCAUGAAGAUCAUGGUGCUACUUUGAAGCACAAGUGUGGUAAAAGGAUAGUAGCAUUGCCCCUUCUCUCUUUUUCUCUCAUUUUUUUGGGCCUUCUCUUUUUUUUGGCCUCUUUUUUUAUUUUUUUAUUUUUUUCGUCCGGAGUCUCAUCCCGACUUGUGGGGGAAUCAGUCUCCAUCAUGCUUUCCUCACUAGGUCAGUGCUCUAAUAAUGAAGAUCAUCACACUUUUAUUACAACUUAAGAAUUACAACUCGAUACUAAGAACAAAAUAUGACUCUAUGUAAAUGCCUCCGGCAGUGUACCGGGAUGUGCAAGGAAUCAAGAGUGACAUGUAUGAAAGAAUUAUGAACGGUGGCUUUGCCACAAAUACAAUGUCAACUACAUGAUCAUGCAAAGCAAUAUGACAAUAAUGAAGCGUGUCAUAGUAAACGGAACGGUGGAAAGUUGCAUGACAAUAUAUCUCGGAAUGGCUAUGGAAAUGCCAUAAUAGGUAGGUAUGGUGGCUGUUUUGAGGAACAUAACGGUGGAUGUAUGGUACCGGCGAAAAUUGCGUGGCACAAGAGAGGCUAGCAAUGGUGGAAGGGUGAGAGUGCGUAUAAUCCAUGGACUCAACAUUAGUCAUAAAGAACUCACAUACUUAUUGCAAAAAUCUACAAGUCAUCAAAACAAAGUACUACACGCAUGCUCCUAGGGAAAGGUUGGUAGGAGUUAACCAUCGCGCGAUCCUGACCUUGAUACGUCUCUAACGUAUCUAUAAUUUUUGAUUGUUCCAUGCUAUUAUAUUACCCCUUUUGGAUAUUUAUGGGCUUUAAUUUACACAUUUAUAUCAUUUUUGGGACUAACCUACUAACCGGAGGCCCAACCCGUAUUGCUGUUUUUUUGCCUAUUUCAGUAUUUCAAAGAAAAGGAAUAUCAAAUGGAGUCCAGACGGAAUGAAACCUUCGGGAGCGUGAUUUUUGGAACGAACGUGAUCCAGAGGACUUAGAGUGCAAGUCAAGAAGCAGCCGAGGCAGCCACGAGAUAGGAGGGCGCCCCCCCUAUAGGGCACACCCCUAUCUCGUGGGCCCCUCGGGCGGCCACCGAUGUACUUCUUCCCCCUAUAUAAGCCUACGUACCCCGAAAACAUCCAGGGAGCAACCGAAACACAAUUUCCACCGCCGUAACCUUCUGUAUCCCCGAGAUCCCAUCUUGGAGCCUUCGCCGGCGCUCCGCCGGAGGGGGAAUCGACCAUGGAGGGCUUCUACAUCAACACCAUAGCCCCUCCGAUGAGUUGUGAGUAUUUUAACACAGACCUACGGGUCCAUAGUUAUUAGCUAGAUGACUUCUUCUCUCUUUUUGGAUCUCAAUACAAUGUUCGCCCCCUCUCCUGUGGAGAUCUAUUCGAUGUAAACUCUUUUUGCGGUGUGUUUGUCGAGAUUCGAUGAAUUGUGGUUUUAGGAUCAAGUUUAUCUAUGAAUAAUAUUUGAAUCUUCUCUGAAUUAUUUUAUGUAUGAUUGAGUUAUCUUUGCAAGUCUCUUCGAAUUAUCAAUUUGGUUUGGCCUACUAGAUUGAUCUUUCUUGCCAUGGGAGAAGUGCUUAGUUUUGGGUUCAAUCUUGCGGUGUCCUUACCCAGUGACAGAAAGGGUUGCAAGGCACAUAUUGUAUUGUUGCCAUCAAGGAUAACAAGAUGUUGUUUAUAUCAUAUUGCUUGAGUUUAUCGCUCUACAUCAUGUCAUCUUGCUUAAAGCGUUACUCUGUUCUUAUGAACUUAAUACUCUAGAUGCAGGCAUGAGUCGGUCGAUGUGUGGAGUAAUAGUAGUAGAUGCAGGCAGGAGUCGGUCUACUUGUUGCAGACGUGAUGCCUAUAUACAUGAUCAUGCCUAGAUAAUCUCAUAAUUAUUCGCUUUUCUAUCAAUUGCUCGACAGUAAUUUGUUCACCCACUCUAAUACUUAUGCUAUCUUGAAAGAAGCCACUAGUGAAACCUAUGGCCCCCGGGUCUAUCUCUUAUCAUAUUUGCUUCCAAUCUACUUUUAUUUGCAUCUUUACUCUUUGCAUCUAUCUUAUAAAAUACCAAAAAUAUAUUUAUCUUAUCAUACUAUCUCUACCAGAUCUCACUUUCGCAAGUGGCCGUGAAGGGAUUGACAACCCCUUUAUUGUGUUGGUUGCGAGUUCUUUGUUUGUUUGUGUAGGCGCGUGGGGCUUUUGAGGAGCCUCCUACUGGAUUGAUACAUUGGUUCUCAAAAACCGAGGGAAAUACUUAUGCUACUAGUGCUGCAUCACCCUUUCCUCUUCAAGGAAAACCAACGCAAGCUCAAGACAUAGCAAGAAGGAUUUCUGGCGCCGUUGUCGGGGAGGUCUUCGCUCAAGUCAAGACAUACCAAGUACCCAUCACAAACUCAUCUCCCUCGCAUUUACAUUAUUUGCCAUUUUGCCUCUCGUUUUCCCCUCCCCCACUUCACCCUUGCCGUUUUAUUCGCUCUCUCUUUCCCAAUCUCCUCCUCUAUUUUUCGGUUGCCUUUUUCUGUUUGCUUGUGUGUUGGAUUACUUGUUGCCAUGGCGCAAAAUAAUACCAAAUUGUUUGAUUUCUCGAAUACCAAUAAUAAUGAUUUCCUUAGUACUCUGAUUGCUCCUCUUAAUGAUGUUGAGUCUUGUGAAAUCAAUACUGCUUUACUGAAUCUUGUUAUGAAAGAUCAAUUCACCGGCCUUCCUAGUGAAGACGCCGCUACUCAUCUAAACAACUUUGUUGAUUUGUGUGAUAUGUAAAAGAAGAAAGAUACGGAUAACAAUAUUGUCAAAUAGAAGUUAUUUCCGUUUUCACUUAGAGAUCGUGCUAAAGUUUGGUUUCCGUCUUUGCCUAAAAAUAGCAUUGAUUCUUGGAACAAGUGCAAAGAUGCUUUUAUCUCUAAGUAUUUUCGUCCCGCUAAGAUUAUCACUCUUAGGAACAAUAUCAUGAAUUUUAAACAACUUGACCAUGAGCAUGUUGCCCAAUCUUGGGAAAGAAUGAAAUUGAUGCUUCACAAUUGCCCUACUCAUGGUUUGAAUUUAUGGAUGAUCAUACAAAAAUUUUAUGCCGGUUUGAACUUUGCUUCUAGAAAUCUCUUAGAUUCGGCCACGGGAGGCACGUUUGUGGAAAUCACGUUAGGAGAUGCUACAAAACUUCUUGAUAAUAUUAUGGCUAAUUAUUCUCAAUGGCACACCGAAAGAUCUUCUAGUAAAAAGUGCAUGCUAUAGAAGAAAUCAAUGUUUUGAGUGGAAAGAUGGAUGAACUUAUGAAAUUAUUUGCUACUAAAAAUACCCCUCUUGAUCCCAAUGAUAUGCCUUUGUCUACUUUGAUUGAUAAUAACAAUGAAUCUAAGGAUGUGAAUUUUGUUGGUAGGAAUAGUUUUGGAAACAAUGCUUAUAGAGGAAACUUUAAUUCUAGAUCGUUCCCUAGUAAUUCCUCUAAUAAUUAUGGAAAUUCCUAUAAUAAUUCUUAUGGUAAUUUUAAUAAGAUGCCCUCUGAUUUUGAGAAUAGUGUGAAAGAAUUUAUGAUUUCUCAAAAGAAUUUUAAUGCUUUGCUUGAAGAAAAUUUGCUCAAAGUUGAUGAUUUGGCUAGGAACCUUGAUACACUUUCGCUUGAUGUUGAUUCUCUUAAACUUAGAUCUUCUCCUCCUAAGCAUGAUAUCAAUGUGUCUCUCAAAGCCAUGAGAAUUUCCAUUGAUGAGUGCAAAGAAAGAACCGCUAGAUUGCGUGCAAAGAAAGAUUGCUUUAUAAAAGCAUGUUCUUCUAGUUUCCAUGAAAAUAACGAUGAAGAUCUUAAAGUUAUUGAUGCAUCUCCUAUUAGAUCUAUGUUUUGCAAUAUGAAUCUUGAUAAUUAUGGGACUGAUGAUGAGUCAACUUUACCUAGAAGGCAUCCCAAGAAUUCAGAGUUUUUAGAUCUUGAUGCUAAAUUUGGUAAAAGUGGGAUUGGAGAGGUCACAACUUUAAAUAGUAUUGAACCCACUAUCUCAGAUUUCAAGGAUUUUGAUUAUGAUAAUUGUUCUUUAGAAGGUUGUAUUUCCUUGUUGCAAUCCGUUGUUAAUUCUCCUCAUGCUUAUAGUCAAAAUAAAGCUUUUACCAAACAUAUCGUUGAUGCCUUCAUGCAAUCUUAUGAUGAAAAUCUUAAUUUGGAAGUUUCUAUACCUAGAAAACUUAAUGAUGAGUGGGAACCUACUAUAAAGAUUAGAAUCAAAGAUCAUGAGUGUUUUGCUUUGUGUGAUUUGUGCUAGUGUUUCCACGAUUCGAAAACUUUAUGUGAUAUUCUAGGUUUCCAUGAUCUUGAUGAUUGCUCUUUAAAUUUGCACGUUGCGGAUUCCACCAUUAAAAAGCCAAUGGGAAGGAUCAAUGAUGUUCUCAUUGUUGCAAAUAGAAAUUUGGUUCCCGUAGAUUUUAUCGUUCUUGAUAUAGAUUGCAAUCUUUCUUGCCCUAUUAUUCUUGGUAGACCUUUCCUUAUAACGAUUGGCGCGAUUAUUGAUAUGAAGGAAGGGAAUAUUAGAUUCCAAUUUCCAUUAAAGAAAUGCAUGGAGCACUUUGCAAGAAAUAAAGUCAAAUUACCUUAUGAAUCUAUCAUGCAGGCUACUUAUGAAUUUAGUGCCAAAGAUGGCGCUCGUUAGAUCUAUCUUCGCUUUUAUGCCUAGCUAGGGGCGUUAAACGAUAGCGCUAGUUGGGAGGUAACCCAAUUUUAUUUGUGUUUUUUGUUUAUGUUCCUGUUUAGUAAUAAAUCUUGCAUCUACCUUCUGUUUAGAUGUGUUUUUAUCUUUUAAUUAGUGUUUGUGCCAAGUAGAACCUAUAGGAUAACCUAUGAUGAUAGUUGAUUUGAUUCUGCUGAAAAACAGAAACUUUGCACGCACGAAUUUAGUUUUGUUAAAUCACAGAAACGUGUUUUUGCGUUGAUUAUAUUUGCUGUUGAUCAAUAGACAAAUUUUCUAGGACUUCCUAUUUUGGUAGGAUUUUUAGAGUUCCAUAAGUUUGCGUUAGUUACAGAUUUCUACAGACUGUUCUGUUUUUGACAGAUUCUGUUUUUCGUGUGUUCUUUGCUUAUUUCGAUGCAUCUAUGGCUAGUAAAAUAGUUUAUAAACCAUAGAGAAGAUGGAAUACAGUAGUUUUAACACCAAAAUAAAGAAAGAAUGAGUUCGUUACAGUACCAUAUGUGGUGGUUUUGUUUUCUUUCACUAAUGGAGCUUAUAAGAUUUCCUGUUGAGUUUUGUGUUGUGAAGUUUUCAAGUUUUGGGUAAAGCUUUUAUGGAGUAUGGAAUAAGGAGUGGCAAGAGCCUAAGCUUGGGGAUGCCCAUGGCACGCCAAGAUAUUCAAGGAUAGCCCAAAGCCUAAGCUUGGGGAUGCCCCGGGAAGGCAUUCCCUCUUUCGUCUUUGUUCAUUGGUAACUUUACUUGGAGCUAUAUUUUUAUUCGCCACAUGAUAUGUGUUUUGCUUGGAGCGUCGUGUAUUAUAUUAGUCUUUGCUUUUUAGUUUAACACAAUCAUCCUUGCUGUACACACCUUUUGGGAGAAGCCUAUUUUAUUAGAAUUUGCUAGAAUACUCUAUGUGCUUCACUUAUAUCUUUUGAGCUUGAUAGUUUUUGCUCUAGUGCUUCACUUAUAUCUUUUAGAGCACGGAGGUGACUUAUUUUUGUAGAAAUUGCUAGUCUCUCAUGCUUCACUUAUAUUAUUUUGAGAGUCUUUUAGAACAGCAUGGUAUUUUCUAUGGUUAUAAAAUUGGUCCUAGAAUGGUAGGCAUCCAAGUUGGGUAUAAUAAAAACUAUCAUAGGAAGUGAAUUGGAUGCUAUGAUCAGUUUGAUACUUGAAAAUUGUUUUGAGAUAUGGAGGUAGUGAUAUUAAAGUCAUGCUAGUUGGGUGAUUAUGAAUUUAAAGAAUGCUUGUGUUAAAGUUAACAAGUCCGGUAGCAUGCACGUAUGGUUAAAGUUGUGUAACAAAUUUGAAACAUGAAGUGUACCUGGCUUGUGCAUCCUUAUGAGUGGUGCUCGGGGACGAGCGAUGGCCUUUUCCUACCAAUCUAUCCCCCUAGGAGCAUGCGCGUAGUGCUUGAUUUUUGAUGACUUCUAAAUUUUUGCAAUAAGUAUAUGAGUUCUUUUGACUAAUGUUGAGUCCAUGGAUUAUACGCACUUUUACCUUUCCAUCAUUGCUAGCCUCUUCGGUACCGUGCAUUGCCCUUUCUCACCUUGAGAGUUGGUGCAAACAUCGCCGGUGCAUCGAAACCUCGUGAUACGAUACGCUCUAUCACACAUAAACCUCCUUAUAUCUUCCUCAAAAUAGCCACCAUACCUACCUAUUAUGGCAUUUCCAUAGCCAUUCCGAGAUAUAUUGCCAUGCAACUUUCCACCGUUCCGUUCAUCAUCAUCAUGACAUACUUUACUUUUGUCAUAUUGCCAUUGCAUGAUCAUGUAGCUGACAUCGUAUUUGUGGCAAAGCCACCAUGCAUUAUUUUUCAUACAUGUCACUCUUGAUUCAUUGCACCAUCCCGGUACACUGCCGGAGGCAUUCAUAUAGAGUCAUAUCUUGUUCUAGUUUCGAGUUGUAAUUCAUAUGUUGUAAUCAAUGAGAGUGUGAUGAUCAUAAUUAUUAGAGCAUUUCCCAAAAAGAAAAAAAAAGAAAGGCCAAAAAAAAGAAAGGCCAAAGAAAAAAAAGAAAAAAAGAAAAAAAAGAAAAAAAAUAAAAAAAAUAAAAAGGGCAAUGUUACUGUCUCUUUUUCCACACUUGUGCUUCAAAGUAGCACCUUGUUCUUCAUGUAGUGAGUUUCAUAUAUUGUGCUUCAAAGUAGCCCAUGUUUUUCAUAUAGUGAGUCUCAUAAGUUGUCUUUUUCAUACUAGUGAGAAUUUUUCAUUAUAGAACUUGGCUUGUAUAUUUCUACGAUGGGCUUCCUCAAAUGCCCUAGGUCUUUGCGAGCAAGCAAGUUGGAUGCACACCCACUAGUUUUCUUUGGUUGAGCAUUCAUUUAUAUUUCUAGUGCAUCCGUUGCAUGGCAAUCCCUACUCCUCAUGUUGACAUCAAUUGAUGGGCAUAUCCAUAGCCCGUUGAUUAUCCUCGUCAAUGGGAGACUUUCUCCUUUUUUGUCUUCUCCACACAAUCCCCAUCAUCAUAUACUAUUCCACCCAUAGUGCUAUAUCCAUGGCUCACGCUCAUGUACUGCGUGAAGGUUGAAAACGUUUGAGAUUAUUUAAGUAUGAAACAAUUGCUUGGCUUGUCAUCGGGGGUAUAGAAGUUGGGAACAUCUUUGUGUGACGAAAAUGAAGCAUAGCCUAACUAUAUGAUUUUGUAGGGAUGAACUUUCUUUUGCCAUGUUAUUUUGAGAAGACAUGAUUACUUUGAUUAGUAUGCUUGAAGUGUUACUAUUUUUAUCAAUAUGAACUUUUAUUUUGACUCAUUUGGAUCUGAACAUUCAUGCCACAAUAAAGAAAAUUACAUUGAGAAUUAUGCUAGGUAGCAUUCCACAUCAAAAAUUCUCUUUUUAUCAUUUACCUACUCGAGGACGAGCAGGAAUUAAGCUUGGGGAUGCUUGAUACGUCUCCAACGUAUCUAUAAUUUUUGAUUGUUCCAUGCUAUUAUAUUACCCCUUUUGGAUGUUUAUGGUUUUUAAUUUACACAUUUAUAUCAUUUUUGGGACUAACCUACUAACCGGAGGCCCAGCCUGUAUUGCUGUUUUUUUGCCUAUUUCAGUAUUUCGAAGAAAAGGAAUAUCAAAUGGAGUCCAAACGGAAUGAAACCUUCGGGAGCGUGAUUUUGGGAACAAACGUGAUCCAGAGGACUUGGAGUGCAAGUCAAGAAGCAGCCGAGGCAGCCACGAGAUAGGAGGGCGCCCCCCUAUAGGGCGCCCCCUGUCUCGUGGGCCCCUCGGGUGGCCACCGACGUACUUCUUCCUCCUAUAUAAGCCUACGUACCCCGAAAACAUCCAGGGAGCAACCGAAACACAAUUUCCACCGCCGUAACCUUCUGUAUCCGCGAGAUCCCAUCUUGGGGCCUUCGCCGGCGCUCCGCCGGAGGGGGAAUCGACCAUGGAGGGCUUCUACAUCAACACCAUAGCCCCUCCGAUGAGUUGUGAGUAGUUUACCACAGACCUACGGGUCCAUAGUUAUUAGCUAGAUGGCUUCUUCUCUCUUUUUAGAUCUCAAUACAAUGUUCUCCCCCUCUUUUUGCGGUGUGUUUGUCGAGAUCCGAUGAAUUGUGGUUUUAUGAUCAAGUUUAUCUAUGAAUAAUAUUUGAAUCUUCUCUGAAUUCUUUUAUGUAUGAUUGAGUUAUAUUUGCAAGUCACUUCGAAUUAUCAGUUUGGUUUGGCCUACUAGAUUGAUUUUUCUUGCCAUGGGAGAAGUGCUUAGCUUUGGGUUCAAUCUUGUGGUGUCCUUACCCAGUGACGGAAAGGGUUGCAAGGCACGUAUUGUAUUGUUGCCAUCGAGGAUAACAAGAUGGGGUUUAUAUCAUAUUGCUUGAGUUUAUCCCUCUACAUCAUGUCAUCUUGCUUAAAGCGUUAUUCUGUUCUUAUGAACUUAAUACUCUAGAUGCAGGCAAGAGUCGGUCGAUGUGUGGAGUAAUAGUAGUAGAUGCAGGCAGGAGUCGGUCUACUUGUUGCGGACGUGAUGCCUAUAUACAUGAUCAUGCCUAGAUAAUCUCAUAAUUAUUCGCUUUUCUAUCAAUUGCUCGAUAGUAAUUUUUUCACCCACUGUAAUACUUAUGCCAUCUUGAGAGAAGCCACUAGUGAAACCUAUGGCCCCCGGGUCUAUCUCUUAUCAUAUUUGCUUCCAAUCUACUUUUAUUUGCAUCUUUACUUUUUGCAUCUAUCUUAUAAAAUACCAAAAAUAUAUUUAUCUUACCAUACUAUCUCUAUCAGAUCUCAUUUUCACAAGUGGCCGUGAAGGGAUUGACAACCCCUUUAUUGCGUUGGUUGCGAGUUCUUUGUUUGUUUGUGUAGGUGCGUGGGACUUUUGAGGAGCCUCCUAUUGGAUUGAUACCUUGGUUCUCAAAAUCUGAGGGAAAUACUUACGCUACUAUUGUUGCAUCACCAUUUCCUCUUCAAGGAAAACCAACGCAAGCUCAGGACGUAGCAGACCUCCACACAAAGGAAGAGAAUCAAUAAAUAAAUCAUGCUCCAACUUCAUCACAUAAUGGUUCACCAUAAGUGCAUGCUACAAAAAUCACAAACUUUAACACAAGUAUCUCUCAAAUUCACAAUUACUCCACUAGCAUGACUCUAAUAUCACCAUCUUCAUAUCUCAAAACAAUCAUAAGGAAUCAAACUUCUCAGAGUAUUCAAUGCACUUUAUAUGAAAGUUUUUAUUAUACCCAUCUUGAAUGCCCAUUAUAUUAGGACUAAUUUUAUAACCCAAGCAAAUUACCAUGCUAUUCUAAAGACUCUCAAAAUAAUAUAAUUGAAGCACGAGAGUUCAUCUAUUAUAAAACUACCGUCGUGCUCUAAAAGGAUAUAAGUGAAGCACUAGAUCAAAUGACAAACUACUCCGAUAGAUAUAAGUGAAGAUCUAUGAGUAGUCGAAUAAUUAUGUAACUAUGUGGAGACUCUCUAAUAUAUCUUGGGAUAUUAUUCAAACAAAAAGCAAAACUAAAUGAAAUAAAAUGAUGCUCCAAGCAAAACACAUAUCAUGUGGUGAAUAAAAAUAUAGCUCCAAGUAAAGUUACCGAUGAACAAAGACGAAAGAGGGGAUGCCAUCUAGGGCAUCCCCAAGCUUAGGCUCUUGGUUGUCCUUGAAUAUUACCUUGGGGUGCCUUGGGCAUCCCCACGCUUAGGCUCUUGCCACUCCUUAUUCCAUACUCCAUCGGAUCUUUACCCAAAACUUGAAAACUACACAACACAAAACUCAACAGAAAACUCGUAAGCUCUGUUAGUAUAAGGAAAUAAAUCACCACUUUGGAUACUAUUGUGAACUCAUUCUAAAUUCAUAUUGGUGUAAUAUCUAAUGUAUUCCAACUUAUCUAUGGUUCAUACCUGAUACGUUCAUUUUGCAUCAUGCUUUUAUAUCAAUAUUUAUUGCAUUAUGGGCUAUUAUUACACGUUAUGUCACAAUACUUAUGGCUAUUCUCUCUUAUUUUACAAGGUUUACCAUGAAGAGGGGGAAUGCCGGCAAUUGGAAUUCUGGCUGGAAAAGGAGCAAAUAUUGGAAACCUAUUCUGCACAGCUCCAAAAAUCCUGAAACUCCACGGAAGUCACUUUUGGAAUUAAUAAGAAUUAUUGAGCGAAGAAAAUACAAGAGGGGGCCCACACCCUAGCCAGGAGGGUGGGGCCGGGCCCACCCCUAUUGAGCGCGCCCCUGUCUCCUGGGCCCCUGGUGGCCCUCCGGUGCCCAUCUUCUACUAUAUGAAGGCAUUUACCCUGGAAAAAAAAUCAUAAGCAAGCUUACGGGACAAAACUCCUCCGCCACGAGGCGGAACCUUGGCGGAACCAAUCUAGGGCUCUGGCGGAGCUGUUCUUCCGGGGAAACUUUCCUCCGAGAGGGGGAAAUCAUCACCAUCGUCAUCACCAACGAUCCUCUCAUCAGGAGGGGGUCAAUCUCCAUCAACAUCUUCAUCAGCACCAUCUCCUCUCAAAACCCUAGUUCAUCUCUUGUAUCCAAUCUUGUAUCAAAACCACAAAUUGGUACCUGUGGGUUGCUAGUAGUGUUGAUUACUCCUUGUAGUUGAUGCUAAUUGGUUUACUUGGUGGAAGAUCAUAUGUUCAGAUCCUUAAUGCAUAUUAAUACUCCUAUGAUUAUGAACAUGAAUAUGCUUUGUGAGUAGUUACGUUUGUUCCUGAGGACAUGGGUGAAGUCUUGCUAUUAGUAGUCAUGUGAAUUUGGUAUUCGUUCGAUAUUUUGAUGAGAUGUAUGUUGUCUCUCCUCUAGUGGUGUUAUGUGAACAUCGACUAAAUGACCCUUCACCAUUAUUUGGGCCUAGAGGAAGGCAUUGGGAAGUAAUAAGUAGAUGAUGGGUUGCUAGAGUGACAGAAGCUUAAACCCUAGUUUAUGCGUUGCUUCGUAAGGGGCUGAUUUGGAUCCACUAGUUUCAUUCUAUUGUUAGGUUUACCUUAAUACUUCUUUUGUAGUUGCGGAUGCUUGCAAUAGGGGUUAAUCAUAAGUUGGAUGCUUGUCCAAGAAAGGGCAGUACCCAAGCACCGGUCCACCCACAUAUCAAAUUAUCAAAGUACCGAACGCGAAUCAUAUGAGCGUGAUGAAAACUAGCUUGACGAUAAUUCCCAUGUGUCCUUAGGGGUGCUUUCCUCAUUAUAAGAAAUUGUCCAGGCUUGUCCUUUGCUACAAAAGGAUUGGGCCACCUUGCUGCACUUUAUUUACUUUCAUUGCUUGUUACCCGUUACAAAUUAUCUUAUCACAAAACUAUCUGUUACCUACAAUUUCAAUGUUUGCAGAGAAUACCUAACUGAAAACCGCUUGUCAUUUCCUUCUACUCCUCGUUGGGUUCGACAGUCUUACUUAUCGAAAGGACUACGAUAGAUCCCCUAUAUUUGUGGGUCAUCAAGACUCUUUUCUAGCGCCGUUGCAGGGGAGUUAAGCGCCUUGUGUGAGUGGAACUUGGUAAGGAAACAUUUAUAUAGUGUGUUGAAAUUUUUUGUCACUUGUUACUAUGGAAACUAAUCCUUUGAGGGGCUUGUUCGGGGUAUCUUCACCCUGACCAGUAGAGCAAAGAGUUUCUCCUCAACGUACUGAACCUACUUAAAAUGUUUACUUUGAGAUUCCUUCGGGUAUGAUAGAGAAACUGCUAGCUAAUCCCUUUGCAGGAGAUGGAACAUUGCAUCCCGAUUUACACCUUAUCUUUGCGGAUGAAGUUUGUGGAUUAUUUAAGCUUGCAGGUAUUCCCGAUGAUGUUGUCAAAAGGAAGGUCUUCCCUUUAUCUUGGAAGGGAGAUGCGUUGACAUGGUAUAGGCUAUGUGAUGAUACGGGAUCUUGGAAUUAUAAAUGAUUGAAGUUGGAAUUUCACCAGAAGUUCUAUCCUAUGCAUCUUGUCCAUCGUGAUCAUAAUUACAUAUAUAAUUUCUGGCCUCGCGAAGGAGAAAGCAUCGCUCAAGCUUGGGGGAGGCUUAAGUCAAUGUUAUAUUCAUGCCCCAAUCAUGAACUCUCAAGAGAUAUGAUUAUUCAAAAAAAUUAUGCUCGGCUUUCUCUCAAUGAUCGCACCAUGCUCGAUACUUCCUGUGUUGGUUCUUAUAUGCUGAAGACUACUGAAUUCAAGUGGGAUUUAUUGGAAAGAAUUAAACGCAACUCUGAAGAUUGGGGUUCUGACGAUGGUAAGGAGUCAGGUAUAACACCUAAGUUUGAUUGUGUUAAAUCUUUUAUCGAUACCGAUGCUUUUCAUGGAUUUAGCGCUAAGUAUGGACUUGACUCUGAGAUAGUAGCUGCCUUUUGUGAAUCUUUUGCUACUCACGUUGAUCUCCCUAAGGAGAAGUGGUUUAAAUAUAAUCCUCCCAUCAAAGUAAAAGUAGUUGCACUAAUUACAGUUGAAGAAAAGACUAUCACUUAUAAUGAUCCUAUUGUUCCUACUAGUUAUGUUGAGAAACCACCUUUUCCUGUUAGGAUGAAGGAUCAUGCUAAAUCUUCAACUGUUGUUCGUAAGAGUAAUACUAGAACUUAUACACCCCCUGAGCAAAUCAAAGUUGAACCUAGUAUUACUAUGGUUAAAGAUCUCUUGGAUGAUAAUAUAGAUGGGCAUGUUAUUUAUUUCUGUGGUGAAACUGCUAAUAUUGCUAGACCAGAUGCUAAAAUACAUAGACCUGUUGUAGGCAUGCCUGUUAUUUCUGUUAAAAUAGGAGAUCAUUGUUAUCAUGGAUUAUGUGAUAUGGGUGCUAGUGCUAGUGCAAUGCCCUUUGACUUAUAUAAAGAAAUUAUGCAUGAUAUUGCACCUGCUGAAAUAGAAGGUAUUGAUGUUACUAUUAAGCUUGCCAAUAGGGACACCAUUAAGCCCGUUGGGAUUGUUAGAGAUGUUGAAGUCUUGUGUGGGAAAGUUAAAUAUCCUACUUAUUUUCUUGUUCUUGGUUCCCCACAAGAUGACUUUUGUCCCAUUAUAUUUGGUAGACCCUUCUUGAAUACUGUUAAUGCUAGGAUUGAUUGUGAAAAGGAUAUUGUUACAAUUGGCUUAGGGGAUAUGUCUCAUGAGUUUAAUUUUGCUAAGUUUCAUAGACAAUCCCGUGAUAAAGAAUCACCUAGUAAGGAUGAGAUUAUUGGUCUUGCUUCUAUUGCCGUGCCUCCUACUGAUCCGUUAGAACAAUAUUUGCUAGACCAUGAAAAUGAUAUGUUUAUGAAUACAAGAAGGGAAAUCGAUGAAGUGUUCCUUCAACAGGGUCCUAUUUGAAAUCCUAGGGGAUCCCCCUCCACCCCAGGGUGAUCCUGUGUUUGAGCUCAAACCAUUACCUGAUAAUCUUAAGUAUGCUUAUCUUGAUGAAAAGAAAAUAUAUCCUAUUAUUAUUAGUGCUAACCUUUCACAGCAAGAAGAAGAAAGAUUAUUGAAAACUCUGAAGAAGCACAGUGCUGCUAUUGGAUAUACUCUAGAUGAUCUUAAGGGCAUUAGUCCCACUCUAUGCCAACACAAAAUUAAAGUGGAGAAAGAUGCCUAACCAGUUAGAGAUCCUCAACGACGGUUAAAUCCUAAGAUGAAAGAAGUGGUAAGAAAGGAGAUAUUGAAGCUCCUUGAGGCAGGUAUAAUUUAUCCCGUUGCUGAUAGUGAAUGGGUAAGUCCUGUCCAUUGUGUUCCUAAAAAGGGAGGUAUUACUGUCGUUCCUUAUGAUAAAGAUGAAUUGAUCCCGCAAAGAAUUAUUACAGGUUAUAGGAUGGUAAUUGAUUUUCGUAAAUUAAAUAAAGCUACUAAGAAAGAUCAUUACCCUUUACCUUUUAUUGAUCAAAUGCUAGAAAGAUUAUCCAAACAUACACAUUUCUGCUUUCUAGAUGGUUAUUCUGGUUUCUCUCAAAUACUUGUGUCAGCGGAGGAUCAAUCAAAAACUACUUUUACUUGCCCUUUCGGUAGUUUUACUUAUAGACGUAUGCCUUUUGAUUUAUGUAAUGCACCUUCUACCUUUCAAAGAUGCAUGAUGGCUAUAUUCUAUGACUUUUGUGAAAAGAUUUGUGAGGUAUUCAUGGAUGAUUUCUCCGUUUAUGGGUCCUCUUUUGAUGAUUGCUUGAGCAACCUUGAUCGAGUUUUGCAGAGAUGUGAAGACACUAGUCUCGUCUUGAAUUGGGAAAAGUGCCACUUUAUGGUUAAUGAAGGAAUUGUCUUGGGGCAUAAGAUUUCCAAGAGAGGUAUUGAAGUUGAUAAAGCUAAAGUUGAUGCUAUUGAAAAGAUGCCAUGUCCCAAGGACAUAGAAGGUAUAAGAAGUUUCCUUGGUCAUCCCAGUUUUUAUAGGAGGCUCAUUAAGGACUUUUCUAAAAUCUCUAGGCCUCUGACUAAUUUAUUGCAAAAAGAUAUUCCUUUUGUCUUUGAUGAUGAUUGUGUAGAACCGUUUGAAAUACUUAAGAAAGCUUUGAUCACUGCACCUAUUGUUCAGCCACCUGAUUGGAGUUUACCCUUUGAAAUUAUGUGUGAUGCUAGUGAUUAUGCUGUAUGUGUUGUUCUAGGGCAAAGAGUUGAUAAGAAAUUAAAUGUUAUCCAGUAUGCUAGUAAAACUCUUGAUACUGCCUAGAGAAAUUAUGCUACUACUGAAAAAGAGUUCUUAGCAGUUGUAUUUGCUUGUGAUAAGUUCAGACCUUAUAGUGUUGAUUCUAAAGUUACUAUUCACACUGAUCAUGCUGCUAUUAAAUAUCUUAUGGAAAAGAAAGAUGCUAAGCCUAGACUAAUUAGAUGGGUUCUCUUGCUCCAAGAAUUUUAUUUGCAUAUUCUUGAUAGAAAGGGAGCUGAGUACCCCGUUGCAGACAACCUGUCUAGGUUAGAGAAUGUUCUUGAUGACCCACUACCUAUUGAUGAUAGCUUUCCUGAUGAACAAUUAGCGUUCAUUAAUGCUUCUUGUACUGCUCCUUGGUAUGCUGAUUAUGCUAAUUACAUUGUUGCUAAAUUUAUACCACCUAGUUUCACAUACCAGCAAAAGAAAAAGUUCUUUUAUGAUUUAAGACAUUGCUUCUGGGAUGACCCACACCUUUAUAAAGAAGGAGUAGAUGGUGUUAUUAGACAUUGUGUACCUGAGCAUGAACAGGAACAGAUUCUACGCAAGUGUCACUCUGAAUCGUAUGGAGGACACCACGCUGGAGAUAGAACUGCACAUAAGGUAUUGCAAUCUGGUUUUUAUUGGCCUACUCUCUUCAAAGAUGCUCGUAAGUUUGUCUUGUCUUGUGAUGAAUAUCAAAGAAUUGGUAAUAUUAGUAGACAUCAAGAAAUUCCUAUGAAUUAUUCUCUUGUUAUUGAACCAUUUGAAGUUUGGGGCUUUGAUUAUAUGGGACCUUUUCCCGCCUCUAAUGGUUACACACAUAUUUUAGUUGCUGUUGAUUACGUUGCUAAGUGGGUAGAAGCUAUUCCAACUAGUAGUGCUGAUCAUAACACCUCUAUUAAGAUGCUUAAAGAAGUUAUUUUUCCAAGGUUUGGAGUCCCUAGAUAUCUUAUGACUGAUGGUGGUUCACAUUUUAUUCAUGGUGCUUUCUGUAAGAUGCUUGCUAAGUAUGAUGUUAAUCAUAGAAUUGCAUCUCCUUAUCACCCGCAGUCUAGUGGUCAAGUAGAAUUGAGCAAUAGAGAGAUCAAAUUAAUUUUGCAAAAGACUGUUAAUAGAUCUAGAAAGAAUUGGUCCAAGCCACUUGAUGAUGCAUUAUGGGCCUAUAGAACUGCACAUAAAAAUCCUAUGGGUAUGUCUCCGUAUAAGAUGGUAUAUGGAAAAGCAUGUCACUUAGCUCUCAAACUUGAACAUAAAGCAUAUUGGGCUAUUAAAGAGCUCAACUAUGACUUCAAACUUGCCGGUGAGAAGAGGUUAUUUGAUAUUAGCUCACUUGAUGAAUGGAGAACCCAAGCCUAUGAGAAGGCCAAGCUGUUCAAAGAAAAAGUUAAAAGAUGGCAUGACAAAAGGAUACAAAAGCGUGAGUUUAACGUAGGUGAUUAUGUGUUGCUAUUCAACUCUCGUUUAAGAUUUUUUGUAGGAAAACUUCUCUCCAAAUGGGAAAGUCCUUACGUUAUCGAGGAGGUCUAUCGUUCUGGUGCCAUAAAAAUCAACAACUUCGAAGGCACAAGUACGAGGGUGGUGAACGGUCAAAGAAUCAAACAUUAUAUCUCAGGUAAUCCUAUCAAUGUUGAAACUAAUAUUAUUGAAACGAUAAACCUGGAGGAAUACAUAAGGGAAACUUUCCAGAAUGUUUCGGACUCCAAAAAGGAAUAGGUAUGUGGUACGGUAAGUAAACCGACUCCAAAACAGUUCUAAUGGCAAUUUUUCUCCGUUUUGGAAUAUUUAAGAAUUUUGGGAAGCGAGAAGUAAUCCGGGAAGGACACGAGGCAUCCACGAGGGUGGAGGGCGCGCCCACCCUUACUGGGCACGCCCCCCGGUCUCGUGGGCACCCCGUGUGCCUCCCAGACUCCGUUUUCUUGCAUGUUACGUAUUUUGGUCGGUAAAAAUUCAUUAUUUAAUCUCUCGAAGGUUUUGACCAUCGUAUCACGCAAAACUCCUCUGUUUUUGUUUCGAGUUGUUCCUGUUGCAUAAUUAGAGCAAGAUGUCUUCUCAAGAGUUAGUCGGGGAGAGUCGGGUGUCUCACCCCCAGGUGUCGUGGUUCUAAGCCUGAUAGUAUAAUAGGGUGGUAGGUAUGGAGAGGCAAGAUCCUAGCUAUGGAGUAGUUGUGUACGCAAGGGAUGUACGAGUUCAGGCCCUUCUCGGAGGAAGUAACAGCCCUACGUCUCGGAGCCCAGAGGCGGUCGACUGGAUUUUAUGCGUAUGAGUUACAGAGGUGCGAACCCUUCUACCUGUGGAGGGGGGUGGCUUAUAUAAAGUGCGCCAGGACCCCAGCCAGCCCACGUAAUGAGGGAUUCAAUGUACAUUAAGGCCGGGCGUUACUGGUAAUGCCAUACAUAAAGUGCUAUCAUGACAAUAAAGACUACUUAAUAACAAACCGUUUGUGUGUGGAGCGACUCUAGAUCUCCUAGUGGUCGAGUGAGUGGCUUCAUGGUCGAGUGUCUUCGAGUCCAUCGAGUGGAAUCCUUCCAAGUCGACUGAAAAGCAGUUUCUUCUAAAGAUGUCCUUGGGGAGGGUACCUUGGACAGGUCCAUGACCCUACCCUAGGUACAUGGCUUCAUCAUUAGCCCCCGAAUGGAUCGAGGUUUGAGUGAGGAAGGAGUUGAGAAUUCUUCCGACCUGUUUUUCGUGCUACGAGUGUGUCUUGUUCUGGACCAUUGACUUUUAGUGAUGGCAUCAACUUCUUUUUCAGUCGCCUUGAUCCAUUCUUUUUAUUUGUCGAGUGACCUUUAUGAGCUUGGAGAUUUCCGAGCGACGGAUCGGAGGAAAUCUGCAGUCUGACAAGUUGCUCUACUGUUCGCGGAUUUAGCGGGAUCCGAAUUUCGGGAAGCGCGCGAAGCAGAGGAGGCUGUGGUACUCGGAUGGGAUAAGGCAGGGACGCCUCGAUCUUCGUGCCACCUUUUUCGCCACGUAUCGCGCGCGUGACUGUUGCGGGAUUUGACAGGAUCGUCCGGGCCUACCAGUCAGCCACUCAGAAGAGACUUCAUAUAAGGCGCCGGACGGUUUUUUUUUUAACAAUGCGCCCUCAUUUUCCCCUCUUUCUUCCUCAGAUUCACCUGAUGUGUUCGCCACCGUCCCAGCGCUGUUACUCUGUGUCUGCUUCGCCGGCGACGAUGGUGAAGGAGAAGACAGUGGCUUUGGAGCGGGCGAAGAAGGCGACGGCGAAGGCGAAGGGGAGGGCGACCAGUCGGGGUGGAUCCUCGUCGCGGGCCGGUAUGCCGCAGGGCUGGAUCCAGGGUGAUUGGAUCCGCUCGACCAUCAGCCAGAAGGACCUCGACGACCUGGCCAACGAAGGACUGAUCCCCCAUGGAUCAGCGAGGCUUCCGGGGAAAGAGUGGCAGCCGUAGCCUCAGGAGGGUGAGUGCGUCCUCUUAGCCACCCACGUUGACCGCGGGUUUUCUCUACCGACGAAUCCUUUCUUUCGGGGAUUUCUGAACUUCUUUGGGGCACAACUCCACCACUUCACACCCAACUCUAUCGUCUAUCUCACUGCUUUCGUGUCCUUGUGUGAGAACUUCUUGGGUUGUCGGCCGCAUUGGGGCCUUUUCAAACACAUUUUCACCUGUCGCUCUCAGACGGUAAAAAAGGCUAGUCCGAGUGACGAGAAAACCCAAGUAAUCCAAAUGUGUGGGGGUCUUGGGGUUCAGAUGAGGAGUAAAAGUGCUUUUUCCAGCCAUGAUCCCUCCCGAGUCAGUCCGAGGGUGGCAGUCGACCUGGUUCUACUGCCAAGACCAGCCGACGCCAGGGCAUUCGACUAGACUCCCUCCUUUCUCCAUGGACCGAGUGAACAAGUCGUCCUCUCUGAAGGUGGUCCCGGAGGAGAAGGCUUAGGUUAAGGUGUUGGUAGAGCGUGUAGUCCAGCUCAUCCGCGACGGGGUGACUGGCAUGGAUCUUCUGGAGGUUUUCCUUCGACGGCGCAUUCAGCCACUUCAAUAUUGAGGCCAUCCGAUGUGGAUGUACUCUAGUACCGAAGACACCACUCGGGUCCACCCGGAGGAGGUCGACGAUGACACUCUGGAGAGGUGGAUGACUGCCAUCACAGGGAACAAAGAUAACCCCGUGGAGCCAGAAGGAUCCCGCCACUCGACCAGUCAUACGAACCAGACAAGGUAUGAUCACGUAUCUCCGACCGUGACCCUGUUUCCUUCAUUCUGUUUUGCUACCAUUCGGUAGACUGACUUUUGUCUUGUUUGUUGUCUUCCAGAUCACUACCGAGAUGUAUUCGAUGCCCAACGGGGCGCAAGAACAGAACGAAGAGGAGGAAGGGAGUGGGGGUGAAAGUCAAGAGGAGUGGGAAUCCGAUGGUGAGGAGGGUGAAGAAGAUGCCGGCUCUGAUGAGGAAGAGGAGGAGGAAGAGGAGGAUGAAGUCGAGCCUCCCUGUACAGGAAGAUGCCGGCUCGUCCAUGACCCUGCAGUUGAGCGUGGCAAGGCGGCCACGCCUAUUGGGCAGUCAACCAAAUGUCCUUGGACGACCUCUCUGGUGCCAACUGAGAAAGUGCCGAAGCAACCCCGAGUAGCGUCAUCAAAACCGAUGAAGGUCCUGCCGAAGAUGAGGAUGGUGAUUCCCACUAUUUCCGGGUAAUGGCAUAACUUGUGUUUUCUUGUUUAACAUGGAUACACUCUUGGUCGGCUCGUUCGCUGACCGACUAAUUUCUGAAAUCGCAGUGCUGCUAAUUCUGAGACCUCGACCAGACAUGAAGAUCAAGAAAUGGAGGAUGCUAUCACUUCCAACCCUGGUAUGAUCUUUGUAGUUUCGCUUUCGGUCGAUAGGAUCUUCAUUUUUAACUUUGAAUCUUUUCUGUAGCUCCACCUAAUAUCAUCAUUGAUCUUCCUGAUGAUGACGAUGAGGAGCCACUAAGGCAGAGGAGGAACAGGAAGACGUCUGCUGGCAAGACUGCUCAGGUCGUAUCAGCACCUGAGACGCUGGUUCCGGAGGGGGGCAACAUCACUCGGACUACCGUGUCCUUUGCUGUGCCGCUGACGAGUGCUCGCCCUUCGUCGUCGAGUGCUGAUCCGCCUUCCCUUUUCUCCACCCACCAUGUCCCAGAGGACCAAGCAGGCGCUGCUAAAGAAGCUAUACGCCAGGCGGGGGUCAUGAUGGAGCAGGUGAAGGCGAUCCGAGAUGCCAGUCAAGCGGCUUAUGAUGCAAGUUCAGCCCUUCAGAGCAAUGUCCAGGUUAGUUGAUCACCGCCUGUUCUGUUAGGAUAUGGUACCUGAAAACUUUUCUUUCUGAAGAUCUUACUAUCUGUCGUCCACCUACUAGGUGUGUCGAUUGAAUAUCUGGAUUGGUGGGGGCACGCCGAGUGCACCCACUGGGUGUAGUCCCCGAGACUAUGGUGGACUGUUGGCAGUCGAUUAUAGUCUUUAUACCUUGAACUUUUUCUCUUUACUCUCUCCACUCGAUCCGGUCGAAUGGAAUCAUGGAACCAGUGGGGGCACGCUGAGUGCACCCAUUUGGUGUAGUCCCCGAGACCGUGGUCGACUGCUGGCAAUCGACUAUGGUCUGAAGAACAUUUUUUUUGAAACUAUGGCUAACUGCUGGUAGUUAGCCUUUUUUGUCUCUUUUGGUCAACUGAUCGACCCGAGCCGAUAGAACUAGUGGGGGCACGCUGGGUGCACCCACUGGGUGUAGUCCCUGAGACUACAGUUGAAUAUUUUGAUUCGGCUGUAGUCUUAAAAAUACUACGAUCUUUCUCUUAGUCACUCGGGAGUGACCUAUCUUUGACGUCUGUCGAUUGAUCUUUCGCAGAAAUCUUGCGAGCUUGUGGCCCGUUAUACUGAGUUGGAGAACAAGCAUAUCCAGCUCAAACUUGAUCUGAAGCUUGUCCAAGAGAACUUUACGAAGGCGAAGGAGGAGGCAAAAGGUAUGUUUAGUGAGAACCUUGAUGACUGCCCUUAUUUCUUGUCCAUUCCUGAGUCUGAUCUCACUGUCAUUUUGCAGAUAAACUGAAGGAUGCUCUGAAUAAGAAGGACCUUGACCUUGCCGAGGCACAAAAAGCGGCUUCGGACAAGACGAAACUUGCAGAAGAAAAGCUGGCUUCAAUCAGCAAACUUGAAGAGGAGAAUACCAAUCUGAAAGCUCCUCUCGACGCGGCCAACAAGGAGGUCAGUUGACUGAAGAAUGACAAGAUAGCCCUGAGCGACAAGGCUAGCGAACUGGCGGGAAAGAAGAAUGAUCUAGAGGUUUAUAUGGGAGGACUCGCCAAGAAGCUAUUCCUCAUGCUUGAAGAUAAUCUCUUAUAUCUGACUGGCUUGUAAUUAUGGACUUACCACAAAACUGCGGGCUUAUCUUUGGGUUGUGUUUACAGAAUUCUGCCAAAACUUUGAGGAAGAAACUGGUCGAGUGGAGACAAGCCUGGAUCCCAUCAACUCUCCUGUGAAGGAUGAAGCCGCCAUGAACGUGCUCCGACUCAAGUCUCGCGUUACUGCUGUGGUCGACUAUCUUGCUAGACUGAAGGUUGCAACGUCGCGCAUCGACACAACACUCUGGCUGGGGGAAACACUUCAGAAUGACCUCGAGUCUCUGAUGACUCGACUGAACGAAGUUCCAAGUCAAGAAUGGAAGAAGACUUCUGCCAGGUGUGGUGCUGAUGUUGCUCUGUCUCUGGUCCGUGUUCACUGCAAGGACGCGCGAGAGGACAAGCUGGUGUCUCUCAAGGUUGCCAAUACCAAGAAGCAUGACUUCCGAUCUUUCAUGGAGACCUUCAUUGCUGCUGCCACUCGGAUUGCAGAUGGAAUCGACCUGGACGAGUUUUUCCCGCCUUCCAGUCCUCCACAGGAGGAGUAAAAAACUUGUAUGCUUGAUGCCUUAAAUUUGCCUCGAAAUGCUGAGUGGUUUUUGUAACCGGUAAACUUUAACAGGCUUGGUGCCUGAGAACUUCUGGAUCCAUAGGAUGCUAUCUGAACUUGGGUUUGCCGUUGAAUACGUUUGCAUUUGUCUUCGAACGAACAUUGUUCUUCCCUCGGAAUAUAUGCUAGUGCUUGUGAUGCACUCUUGCAGGUAGGUAUGAAGCACAGAUUGCAGUCGACUUGCAUUCUUGCGGAUCCGGAUGGAGUGUACAUUGUAUUUGUGGCGGAGCUCUGAAGGGGAAGGUAGCAGUCGACUUGCACCUCGUCAUCCUUGCAGAGCGGAAUGAAUCUCAUACUUAGGCUAGCACUGGGCUGCAGCUAAGCCCCCGAGUGGGAGGUUUGCUCUCCAUUCGGUAGAACUUUCAAAAACUUAGGCAAGCACUGGGCUGCAGCUAAGCCCCCGAGUGGGAGGUUUGCUCUCCACUCGGUAGGAUUUUCAAAAACUUAGGCGAGCACUGGGCUGCAGCUAAGCCCCCGAGUGGGAGGUUUGCUCUCCNNNNNNNNNNNNNNNNNNNNNNNNNNNNNNNNNNNNNNNNNNNNNNNNNNNNNNNNNNNNNNNNNNNNNNNNNNNNNNNNNNNNNNNNNNNNNNNNNNNNNNNNNNNNNNNNNNNNNNNNNNNNNNNNNNNNNNNNNNNNNNNNNNNNNNNNNNNNNNNNNNNNNNNNNNNNNNNNNNNNNNNNNNNNNNNNNNNNNNNNNNNNNNNNNNNNNNNNNNNNNNNNNNNNNNNNNNNNNNNNNNNNNNNNNNNNNNNNNNNNNNNNNNNNNNNNNNNNNNNNNNNNNNNNNGUAGCUCGGAAGGAGAAGGUAGCAGUCGACCUGCACCUCGUCCUCCUUGCAGAGCGCACAUUGUAUUUGUGGCGUAGCUCGGAAGGAAAAGGUAGCAGUCGACUUGCACCUCGUCCUCCUUGCGGAUCGCACAUCAUAUUUGUGGCGUAGCUCGAAAGGAGAAGGUAGCAGUCGACCUGCACCUCGUCCUCCUUGCGGAGCGCAAAUUGUAUUUUUACUUAGGCGAGCACUGGGCUGCAGCUAAGCCCCCGAGUGGGAGGCUGGCUCACCACUCGGCAGGAUUUUGUUAAACUUAGGCGAGUACUUGGACUGCAGCUAAGCCUCUGAGUGGGAGGAUGGCUCACCACUCGGCAGGAUUUUGUUAAACUUAGGCGAGUACUUGGACUGCAGCUAAGCCCCUGAGUGGGAGGCUGGCUCACCACUCGGUAGGAUUUGAAAGUACUUAGGCAAAACAGAUUCGCAGCUAAGCCCCCGAGUGGGAGGAUGGCUCAUCACUCCGUAGGAUUUGAAAGUACUUAGGCGAAACGGAUUCGCAGCUAAGCCCCCGAGUGGGAGACUGGCUCACCACUCGGCAAGGAUUUUUUUUACAAACUUAGGCGAAACGGAUUCGCAGCUAACUGCUCAUGUAAACAAAAGUAACAACAAUCACUGGGAAAAUUAUAACACUCUCGUCUUUGAUAAAUAAACUACAAAAGUACUUUUAUUACAUCUCAUCCGAGUGAAUACUUAAGUAUAAAAGGGGCAGAGUAGCUCCGCGUUCCAAGCUCGGGGCUCGUCAAUCUGGUGACCGACAUUGUAAAGGCGGUAUGCCCCGUUGUGGAGAACUUUGGUGACGAAGAAGGGACCUUCCCAAGUAGGAGCAAGCUUGUGUGGCUUCUGCUGUUCCACUCGGAGAACCAAAUCUCCUUCUUGGAAGGCUCGACUCUUCACAUUUUUGGCAUGGAAGCGACGUAAGUCCUGCUGAUAAAUGGUCGAUCGGAUCAUUGCCAUCUCUCUUUCUUCUUCUAGAAGAUCGACUGCGUCCUGUCGGGCUUGCUCUGCUUCAUCUUCAGUGUAGAGUUCGACUCGGGGUGCGUUGUGAAGCAGGUCACUCGGCAAGACUGCUUCAGCUUCGUAGACCAAGAAGAACAGAGUACUCCCAGUCGACCGAUUAGGUGUGGUCCUUAAUCCCCAAAGUACUGACGGAAGUUUGUCGAACCAUGCACCAGCCGCGUGCUUGAGAUCGCGCAUCGGUCGGGGUUUCAGCCCUUUGAGAAUUAAACCAUUUGCUCGUUCUGCCUGUCCAUUUGAUUGGGGGUGAGCGACUGAAGCAUAGUCGACUCCUGUGCCCUGAGAUGUGCAAAAGGCUCUGAAUACCUCGGAAUCAAAGUUUGACCCAUUAUCAGUGAUGAUGCUAUGUGGAACUCCAUAUCUGAAUAUCAACUCUAUGAUGAAGCUGACAGCAGUGCCGGCAUCAAGAUUCUUGAUGGGUUUAGCUUCAAUCCACUUAGUGAACUUGUCGACUGCCACCAGCACAUUGGUGAAGCCGCUUCUGCCUGUUCUCAGUUGUCCAACCAUAUCCAAUCCCCAUACAGCGAAAGGCCAGAUGAGUGGAAUGGUCUUCAAGGCUGAGGCGGGGUUGUGUGACAUAUUGGAGUAAAAUUGACAUCCUUCACACUUGUCGACUAUCUCCUUUGCCAUUUCAUUUGCUCUUGGCCAGUAAAAUCCCACUCGGUAUGCUUUAGCCACAAUGGUUUGAGAGGACGCAUGAUGGUCACAGGUCCCCGAGUGGAUAUCGUCAAGGAUUAUCCGACCUUCUUCUAGCGUUAUAUAUUUCUGACCAACUCCAGUCACGCUUUCUCUGUACAACUCUCCCUUUAUCACGAUGAAGGCUUUGGAUCGGCGGACGAUCUGUCAAGCCUCUUCCUCAUUCUCUGGGAGCUCUUUCCUUAAGAUAUACGUGAUGUACGGCUCUGUCCAAUUGGGAGUGAUGACCAACGCUUCCAUGAUCAGGUUGACCACCGCUGGAACUUCAACUUCAGUCGGAUCUGUGACACUUUUUCGCUGCGGAGCUUCUUCGGUAAAAGGAUCUUCCUGAAUUGAUGGAGUAUGGAUAUGUUCCAAGAACACAUUACUGGGAAUGGCUUCUCUCUUGGAACCUAUCUUUGCCAAAUCAUCAGCCGCUUGAUUCUUCAGUCGGGGUAUAUGAUGGAGCUCUAACCCUUCAAAUUUCUUCUCAAGCUUUCUUACUGCAUUGCAGUAACCAGUCAUGGCUGGGCUUCUGACGUCCCACUCCUUCAUCACCUGAUUGACCACCAAAUCUGAGUCGCCAUAAACCAUAAGGCGACAGACGCCGAGUGAAAUGGCCAUGCGCAACCCAUACAAAAGUGCUUCGUAUUCUGCUUCAUUGUUGGAGGAAUCAAAGUGGAUCUGGAGCACAUAUCCGAGCUUAUCUCCUCGGGGGGAAACCAAUACUACCCCAGCACCGGAACCAUUCAACAUCUUAGAACCGUCAAAGAACAUGGUCCAGUGCUUCGAGUGAACUUGAGUCGGUAGUUGCUGUUCAAUCCACUAGGCGAUGAAAUCUGCUAUUUCUUGGGACUUAAUGGCUUUCUUUGCCUCAAACCUGAUAUCAAGGGGAAGGAGUUCAAUCGCCCAUUUUUCCACUCGACCAGUUGCAUCUCUGUUGUGCAGAAUCUCUGACAAUGGGGCGUCGCUAAGAGAAAUAAUGAGCAACCUUCUUUGUCGUCAUGUAAAUCCCAUAUACAAGCUUCUGAUAAUGAGGGUAUCUUUGCUUCGAUGGGGUCAAUACUUCGGAAAGAUAAUAUACUAGGCACUGAACUUUGAAGGCUUUCCCUUCUUCUUCCCGCUCGACCGUAAGUACUGUACUGACGACUUGUCCUGUGGCUGCAAUGUAAAGAAACAAAGGCUCUUUGCUGAUUGGAGCAGCAAGCACUGGCUAGGUGGAGAGCAGAGCUUUUAGCUCUGCAAACGCUGCAUCAGCUUCUGGAGUCCACUCGAACUUGUCUGACUUCUUCAUUAGUCGGUAAAGAGGCAAUGCCUUUUCACCGAGGCGAGAGAUGAAUCGACUUAACGCGGCCAAGCAUCCAGUAAGUUUCUGGCCAUCGUGCACAUGUACGAGGCGUUUCAUUCGGAGUAUAGUGCCACUUUUUCUGGGUUGGCGUCGAUUCCUCGUUCGGAAAUGAGAAAACCGAGUAACUUUCCACCAGGAACUCUGAAUGUGCACUUUUAUGGAUUAAGCUUGAUAUCAUACCUCCUGAGAUUGGCAAAUGUUUCAGCGAGGUCAGUCAACAAGUUGGAACCCUUCUGUGAUUUGACCACAAUAUCAUCCAUGUAUGCUUCCACGUUCCGACUGAUUUGAGUGAGUAAACACUUCUGAAUCAUCCUCAUGAACGUGGAUCCGGCAUUCUUGAGGCCGAAUGGCAUGGUGACAUAGUAGAAGCACCCGAAUGGAGUGAUGAAAGCUGUUUUGAUCUCGUCGGGUCCAUACAGACGGAUCUGAUGGUAACCAGAAUAAGCAUCUAAAAAAGACAGGCGCUCACAUCCCGCAGUUGAGUCGACUAUUUGGUCGAUGCGGGGGAGAGGAAAAUGAUCUUUCGGGCAGGCCAGAUUGAUAUGUUUGAAAUCAAUGCACAUGCGAAGUGACUUGUCCUUCUUGGGGACCAUGACAACAUUGGCAAGCCACUCGGAGUGGUAAAUUUCUCGGAUAAACUCUGCUGCCAGGAGCCGAGCCACCUCCUCGCCAAUGUCCUUUAUUUUCUAGACGGCGGACCGUCGAAGAUGUUCUUUGACAGGUUUCGCUUUUGAGUCGACUCGUAAAUGAUGCUCAGCCAGCCCCCUGGGAACACCUGGCAUGUCAGCAGGCUUCCAUGCAAAGAUUUCCCAGUUGUCACGGAGGAACUGGAUGAGCACUUCUUCCUAUUUAGAGUCGAGUAUUGUGGAGAUAUGAGUCAGAGCAGCACUGGGGUCGGUCGGGUGAAUGUGAACGGGCUUCGUCUCACCAGACGACUGGAACGCUGACACUGUGGCGGGCUUCUUGGCCCGCAAUAAAUAACUCGGAUCUGCAUUUUUCUGGUAUUCUUGCAGCUCCACCACUGUUAUCUGAGCAUCGGCAAUCUUUGAGCCCUUCUGAAAGCACUCUUCUGCCUUUUUCCGAUUGCUAGUGAUGGUGAUCACACCCUUGGGACCAGGCAUCUUCAAUUUGCGGUACACGUAACAUGGUCGAGCCAUGAAUCGUGCAUAAGCUGGCCUGCCUAAAAUAGCGUGAUAAGCACUCUGGAAAUCCACAACUUCAAAUGUUUACUUUUCUUUGCGGAAAUGCUUUGAAUCGCCGAAAACCACAACAAGAGCAAUUUGGCUGAGUGACUCAGCCUUCUUCCCAAGAAUGACUCCAUGGAAACUCAUGUUGCUGGAACUGAGUCUGGACAUCGGAAUGCCCAUUCCUUUCAGCGUCUCCACAUACAAUAUAUUCACGCCGCUGCCACCAUCCAUCAGAACCUUAGUCAGUCGAGUUCCUUCAACGACUGGGUUGACCACCAAAGCUUGCCUCCCAGGGGUGGCUAUGUGUGUCGGAUGAUCAGACUGGUCGAACGUGAUGGCAGUCCGGGACCAUUUCAGAUAACUGGGUGUCGCCGGAGCAACCAUAUUCACCUCACGGUUGAUAACUUUCAAUCGACUUUUGCUCUCAACAUCAGCAAAAAUCAUCGGGGUGGAAUUGACAUGGGGGUAUCCUCCAUCACUGUCCUCUUUGUCUUCAACCUUGUCUGACUCCUUUUCCUUAUCCUUGGGCUGUUUCCCCUGAAACUGCUGGAUUAAGAGUCGGCCCUGGCGAGUGGUAUGUUUCGGGUAAAUGAAGUUACCCUCCUCGUCUUUCUUCGUGUGGAUAUGGCAUGGCAAAUCCAUCACGUCGUUUCCCUCCUUGUCCUUCACCUUCUUGGGGUUCCAAGAUCCUUUGGGCUUCCCUUUAAACUUUCCCUGAGUCACGGCCAAGGCUUCUCCAGGAGCAGCUGGCUCGGCUUUCCGCUUCUGCUUCCGACUGGAGUUCCCUGCUCCGGUUUCAUGAGCAGUCGGCUUGUACUUGCCACUCCGGAGCCGAUCCUCUUCUUCACCAUUGGCAUAUUUGGUGGCAAUCUCCAUCAUUCGACUCAGAGUCAUGUCUCCGGUCCGACCGAACUUCAAACUUAACUCCCUGUUCUUAACGCCUUCCUUGAAGGCACAGACUGCUUGGUGAUCAGAUACAUUCUCCACCGUCUGAUGCAAUAUGAUCCACCUCUGGAUGUAAUCCCUUAGGGUCUCAUUUGACUUUUGCACGCAAACCUGCAGCUCUGUCAAACCUGCUGGUCGCUUGCAAGUUCCUUUAAAUGUCCUGACAAACAUUCGGGCAAGAUCUUCCCAAGUGUAAAUGCUGCUAGGUGUUAACUGAUUCAGCCAUGCUCUGGCCGAGCCCUUCAACAUAAGAGGUAGGUGUUUCAUGCCCACCUCAUCAUUGCCGCCGCCAAUCUGAACAGCCACUCGGUAGUCCUCAAGCCAAGUAUCGGGCCUGGACUCACCAGUGAACUUACUCACCCUAGUCGCCAACCUGAAGUUGGGAGGAAUCACCACGGCCUUGAUGGCUCUGCUAAAACACUCUGGUCCUGAAACAUGAACUCUGCUGCUGGUGGGUACAUCUCUAUCAUGACCUUCUCAGUGAGCUCUGUUCCGGUCGACCAAACCCUGAACAAUAAUGGAUCUCGCAUCAAAGCCCGGUUGGCUGGGGUCGACUAGAACACUUCGUCCAACACUGUGGUGGCUCCUAUCAUCUUGCUGUCAAGGGGCGUACGACCCACCCCUUGGGGGAGGAGUGGGCACUCGACGCCGAUCAUCGCGAUCGAAUCGGUCAUCAUACUGAUCACGUCGACCUCCACGUCCCUCACACCGCGGGGGCGAUCUUAGGCUAUGGUCCGACUGGACUGUAUUCGCAGCGACGAAUCGGCUGUGAAUCCUAUUAUGCGACUGCGAUACAGCUAAAUUUUGAUCUCCCGCUGUCCGGAGUAAAUCUCUGAUCUGCAUCAAGCCUCUGCCAGCGUCUGACUGAGAGGGCUAAAUCGACUUUGCUAUACGGGCUGCAGCUGCUAGAUUCUGAAUUGGAGUUUGAUAUACCUGAGUCGGUGGUGGAAAGAGCUGACGUCGACUGGAGUCUGGUACUUGUUGCCGCGCACGUUCGUCGAGUGCUCGUUGGAGGUUCUCCAGUCGAGUGCGCUCAGCCAAGUUUGCCAAACGCGCGACCUCUAGGGCGCCCUCGGGGGUUUCUCCUAUGAUAGGAGUAUGCAGAGCAUCCAUGUUCCGGCGGCGAAGAUCUUCCCUUUGCAGCAAAGUGAGUGGUUCCGGUUGAUACUCCUCGUGGACCUGCGCUGGGUCGCCUCCGCCGUCCCCUCCGUCGGUGCGGGGGAAGCCGAGAGGACUACGCGGUCCAUUGACCAUCAGGACCUCCGCCGCUGGAUCACUACUGUCGCACUCGGAUGCAGUUUCUACGGAGCCAGUCGACAGAUCGAACUGGCCGUAGAGAGAUUCGUCAGGCUCGAUCGCCGCGACUUGGGGGGUGGCCGACUGGCGGGCCGCUGCGUGCCUCACCCACCACUGAAGCCUCGACCAACCAGAGCGCUUGCGCUGGCAGGAGACAGGGAUGGAGGGCGACGCAGGGGUCGACCGAUACGGGGCCGACGAUUGCCGCAGCAGGACGCCGCGGACACAUGCGCGAAAGUGUGCCGCCCCAUGGACUGGGAGCGCGUCGAUGUCGAGUGGAGCCUCCUGGAGCCAAGCGAAGUCGUCGGCAAUGAACAUGAGCACGCCGAGACAGAUCUCGCGUCCCUCAACUAAAACUCCACCAGAAACCAUGAUGAAGGCGAUCGGAACAAUUGCAACUUCUCCAAUAAGUCGCUAAGACACCUGCCCCACGGUGGGCGCCAGCUGUCGUGGUUCUAAGCCUGAUAGUAGAAUAUGGGGGUAGGUAUGGAGAGGCAAGAUCCUAGCUAUGGAGUAGUUGUGUACGCAAGGGAUUUACGAGUUCAGGCCCUUCUCGGAGGAAGUAACAUCCCUACAUCUCGGAGCCCAGAGGCGGUCGACUGGAUUUUAUGCGUAUGAGUUACAGAGGUGCGAACCCUUCUACCUGUGGAGGGGGUGGCUUAUAUAGAGUGCGCCAGGACCCCAGCCAGCCCACGUAAUGAAGGAUUCAAUGUACAUUAAGGCCGGGCGUUACUGGUAAUGUCAUACAUAAAGUGCUAUCAUGACCAUAAAGACUACUUAAUAACAGACCAUUUGUGUGUGGAGAGUCUCUAGAUCUCCUGGUGGUCGAGUGAGUGGCUCAUGGUCGAGUCUCUUCGAGUCUGUCAAGUGGAAUCCUUCCAAGUCGACUGGAAGGCAGUUUCUUCUAAAGAUGUCCUUGGGGAGGGUACCUUGGACAUGUCCAUGACCCUACCCUAGGUACAUGGCUUCAUCACCAGGUCCAGGAGAAAAUAGUGAUGCUUAUCACUUUGGACCAUCAACGGAAGAUGAGAUGGAGCCGACUUGAAAAGGAUAGAUGCCAUGGAGGAAGAUCAAGAAGUUACCUCCCACUUCCAAGCAGGAUUCAUGAUGGGGGAACUACAAAGCUCGGCUAUUCCAAAUUCGGUCAUCCCUUCCAACGUUAAAUUUCUUUCUUAUGAAAACAUGAAAAAGAGCGUCACUUGUUCUCCAGAAGCUUUGUAGCAUCCUUGGGUAAAGGGAGCUUUAGCCGUGACGGGCAAGCUCCGCAAGGAAAUUAUGGACCUCAAACAACAAGUCAAUAAGCUCGAGGAGGAGAAUCGUAUCCUGAGGGGCAUCAAUGCCAAGAAGAUCACAACACCAAUGAUGAAGAAGGAGACACAAUCACAUGGGUAUGGGCACUCCCCUUGGCAACUGCCAAGCUUGGGGGAGGUGCCCCGGUAUCGUAUCACCAUAACACUCCUAUCUUUACCGUUUUACUUAGUUCGAUCAUUUUAGUAAUAUCUUGAUCUUAUAUGUUGAAGUUUUGGUAUGAUUUAGUUUUGAGUUUUGCUUUGUGAUCCCACUACAAAAAAAACACUUCCGUGAUGAUACGUGUUUGUCACAGUAGGUCGCGUUUUUUGUCAUGCAUGUACAUCCAUGACGAUUUUAUGACAGAAUCAAGAUAGUCAUACCUGUGCUGUCGUAGAAGUGUUCCAUGACAUUACCAAAAUUAUCAUCACGGAAGUGUCCACUUCCAUGACGAUAAAUCGCGCGUCACAGAAGUGCUUUCGUCAAGGGUGACUGACACAUGGCAUCCACCGUAACGGAAUGCUGUUAAGCUAUCGGGUCGGGUUUUGGAUCCGAUAACCCAUUAACAACCCCGACCAAUGGGAAAUUUCCACGGUUAAAAUUCUUAGUGGCCGGACGAAACACGUGUCAGCUUGUCAGUGGGUCAGAUAGGCGCCUAUGAUAUGUCGACACGUGCCAUGGCCCACCACUGGCCCAUUUAGCUUACAAAGCCGGCCCGUUUGACUUGGUCAAAAGUUAAUGGGCUGACCCAUGAAAAGCCUUUUAAUGGUCUCUUCGCAAAUAGCCCAUUUUACGGCCCGUUAACUCACGACCCGUUAGGCCCUAACGGAAAUCGGCCCAACAAUGUCUUGUGGGCCAUCGAGUAUAACACCAGCCCAUUUCACUUUCUGCCCAUGUAUGGCCCACGACGUCUUUCGACCCAUAUGAGGCCUUCGUAUCUUUCGGCCCUUUACAGGCCCACGGUGACUCUAGCCCAUAAUGAACAGUAAUUUUCUUUGUACCCGUUAAAGGCCCGUGAUUUACAUGGGCUGUUUCCAGCCCUUGUUAGCUUUCGGCCUAUUGAUGACCCAUACGUUCUUGGGCUCCUUUUCGGCCCUCGAUUACUUCCGUCCCGUUAUUGGCCUGUUCCCCGAAUGGGCCAAAUUCGGCCCAUGGCAAGAGUCGGCCCAUUACUGGCUUGUUACCCUAAUGGGCCAAAUUCAGCCCAUGGCAAGAGUCGGCCCAUUUCUGGCCUGUUAACCCGUUGCGCCGUUUCCAGCCCGUCCUAUAUACUAGCCCAUUAACGACCCGUUAGGCCUGUGACAGAAUUAAGCCUUUGCAGUCCUACGACCUGUUAACGGCCCGUUACCGUGUUGGGCCGAUACCAAUUACGCCCAAUUAUGGCCCAUGUAGACCCAUUUAUCCGACCACCCGAGGCCCACCGAUUACAGGCCCAUUUAUCAAUGGACUGAGGCCCACCGAUUACAGGCCCAUUCAUCGACGGCCCGUAGGAGACCCAUGGAUCCUACGGCCCGUAUAUGGCCUGUGGUAGUUGUGGCCACUAGCAAACCAGGGAAAAAGAAGACUAGGAAAUAAAUAAGGCCGAAACUAACACUAGGCUAUUAAGGCGAUUGCACAUAUUACAUCCACUCAGCAUCAAAGAUCGCCACCAGUGCAAAUAUAGGGAACACCCUACACUAUACAAAAAUGACUUGCUAUUUUCUUCAGCCGGUGGCUGCACGUUAAGAAUAAAUUUUGUAUGGCACCAAAACAAAUUACAACUAUAUAACAAAAGGAAGGUUGGCAUAAAACUUAACAGUCUAGCAGAUAAAUGCACCACCAGAAGUUCAGAAGCUCGGUUCAUUUGACCUGACUAUUACGUUUUCAUGAUGUAUUGUCCGAUGGAGAACCAUAACCCUCGCCUUCAUUUCCCCUAGGCUCCUGAACAACAUAGCAAAUGUCUGAUAGUCUGGUUUCAAAACCAUGCAUAUCUUGAUGACAUUGAGCAAUGUUUCUCCUUGUUUCACAAAGGGCCUCUGUUAGGGAAUGGACUUGUGUCUGGAGCGCAGAUACAACAUUGCUUUGAGCUUGCAUAUCUUGAUCAUGAGGCAGUUUGGACGAUAUUGCCUGAUACGUCUCCAACGUAUCUAUAAUUUUUGAUAGCUCCAUGCUAUAUUAUCUACUGUCUUGGACAAUAUUGGGCUUUAUUAUCCACUUUUAUAUUAUUUUUGGGACUAACCUAUUAACCGGAGGCCCAACCCAGAUUUGUUGUUUUUUGCCUAUUUUAGUGUUUCGAGGAAAAGGAAUAUCAGACGGAGUCAAAACGGAACGAAAUCAACUAGAGAAGUUAUUUUUGGAAGGAAAGCCACCCGAUGGACUUGGAGUGCACGUCAGGGAAGAAGGGAGGUGCCCACGAGGGUGGGGGGCACGCCCACCCCCCUGGGGCGCGCUCCCUGCCUCGUGGCCCCCCCUUCGGUCCACCGACGUACUUCUUUCACCCAUAUAUACCUACGUACCCUAAAACUUUUAGAACGGAAGAUAGAUCGGGAGUUCCGCUACCGCAAGCCUCUGUAGCCACCAAAAACCUCUCGGGAGCCCUUUCCGGUGCCCUACCGGAGGGGGAUCCCAUCACCGGUGGCCAUCUUCAUCAUCCCGGCGCUAUCCAUGACGAGAAGGGAGUAGUCCACCCUCGAGGCUGAGGGUAUGUACUAGUAGCUAUGUGUUUGAUCUCUCUCUCUCUUGUGUUCUCUCUCGUGUUCCUUCUGUGGCACGGUCUUGAUGUAUCCCGAGCUUUGCUAUUGUAGUUGGAUCUUAUGAUGUUUCUCCCCCUCUACUCUUUUGUGAUGAAUUGAGUUUCCCCUUUGAAGUUAUCUUAUCGGAUUGAGUCUUUUAUGAAAACACUUGAUGUAUGUGAUGCCGUGAUUAUCUGUGGUGACAAUGGGAUAUCAUGUGCCACUUGAUGUAUGUUUUGGUGAUCAACUUGCGGGUUUCGUGGAAUUGGGAACCUAUGCAUAGGGGUUGGAACACGUUCUUGACUCUCCGAUAGAAACUUUGGGUCACUCUUUGAAGUACUUUGUGUUGGUUGGAUGAAUCUGAGAUUGUGUGAUGCAUAUCGUAUAAUCAUGCCCACGGAUACUUGAGGUGACAACGGAGUAUCUAGGUGACAUUAGGGUUUUGGUUGAUUUGUGUCUUAAGGUGUUAUUCUAGUACGAACUCUUUUAUAGAUUGAUCCGAAAGAAUAACUUUGAGGUAGUUUCGUACCCUACCAUAAUCUCUACGUUUGUUAUCCGCUAUUAGUGGCUUUGGAGUGACCCUUUGUUGCAUGUUGAGGGCUUGUUAUAUGAUCUAUCUAUGUUAUUAUUGUUGAGAGAACUUGGACUAGUGAAAGUAUGAACCCUAGGCCUUGUUUCCUAUCAUUGGAAUACCGUUUACGCUCACUUUUAUCAUUAGUUACCUUGCUGUCUUUAUUAUUUCAGAUUACAAAUACCUUUAUCUACCAUCCAUAUUGCACUUGUAUCACCAUCUCUUCGCCAAACUAGUGCACCUAUACAAUUUACCAUUGUAUCGGGUGUGUUGGGGACACAAGAGACUUUUUGUUAUUUGGUUGCAGGGUUGCUUGAGAGAGACCAUCUUCAUCCUAUGCCUCCUACGGGUUGAUAAACCUUAGGUCAUCCACUUGAGGGAAAUUUGCUGCUGUCCUACAAACCUGUGCACUUGUAGGCCCAACAACGUCUACAAAAAGAAGGUUGUGUAGUAGACAUCAAGCUCUUUUCUGGCGCCGUUGCUGGGGAGGUGAGUGCUUGAAGGUAUAUCUUUAGAUCUUGCAAUCAAAUAUUUUUGUUUCUUGUUUUAUCAGUAGUUUAAUUUAUAAAAGAAAACUACAAAUAAAAUGGAAUUAAGGAUGCCUCAUAUGCUUCAUCUUUUUAAUGUCUUUCGUGAAAGUGAUGGGAAGGAAAAUUGUUCUCAAGUACUAGAAGAAGAAUUACAUAGAAUGCUUGGCAUAAAAUAUGUGAAUGAUGAGCAUGAUUGCAAUGUUGUUAGUAUGAAUUCCUUGAAUAUCCAUGAUGCUAAUGAUAUGCAAAGCCACAAUCUUGGGGAAGCUAUGUUUGAUGAAGAUGAUAUUUUUGUCCCGCAAGCUUUGAUGAGCAAAUUUAGUAUGAUGAAAUCAUGCCUCCUAUCUAUGAUGAUUAUUGUGAUGACACAUAUGCUUUAAAGAAUAAUGAUAACCAUGAAACUUGUCAUCUUGAUCCUAAUUUUAAAUCAUAUGAUAGUUAUUUUGUUGAGUUUGCUCCCACUACUAUUCAUGAGAAGAAUUUUGCUUAUGUGGAGAGUAGUAAAUUUUCUAUACUUGUAGAUCAUGAAAAGAAUGCUUCUGGUGCUGGUUACAUUGUUGAAUUCAUUCAUGAUGCUACUGAAAAUUAUUAUGAGGGAGGAACAUAUGCUUGUAGGAAUUGCAAUAAUAUCAAGUUUCCUCUCUAUGUGCUUCAAGUUUUGGAGCUAUGCUUGUUUUACCUUCCUAUGCUAGUUGAUUAUCGUUCCCAUAAGUUGUUUUCUCACAAAAUCCCUAUGUAUAGGAAGAGAGUUAGGCUUAAAUGUGCUAGUCAUAUGCUUCAUGAUGCUCCCGUUAUGUUUCAAUUCUUAUCUUUUAUGUGAGCAUCAUUGCCAUCAUCAUGCCUAGCUAGAAAGGCAUUAAAGAAAAACGCUUGUUGGGAGACAAACCAAUAUUUAUCCUUACUGUUUUUGUGUGUUCACAUGAUUAUGCUACUGUAGUAAUCAUGUUUUAUAGUUUUUGUUUCAAUAAAGUGCCAAGUAAGACCUUUAGGAUAGCUUACGGUGAUAGUUGUGUUGAUCCUGCUGAAAAUUAGAAACUUUUGCACCCAGUAAAUUAGUUUUGUUAAUUCACAGAAACGUGAUUCUGAUCUGAUUUGUUUUGCUCUGUAUAGGUACACGAAUUUCUUAGGACUUCCUAAUUUGGUAGGAUUUUUGGAGUUCCAGAAAUAUACGUUUGAUACAGAUUACUACAGAAUGUUCUGUUUUUGACAGAUUCUGUUUUCUUUGUGUUGUUUGCUUAUUUUGAUGAAUCUAUGAGUAGUACCGGAGGGUAUGAACCAUAUAUAAGUUGGAGUACAGUAGAUAUUACACCAAUAUAAAUAAAGAAUGAGUUCAUUACAGUACCUAAGUGGUUGUUUUAUUUUCUUAUACUAACGGAGCUUACGAGUUUUCUAUUGAGUUUUGUGUUGUGAAGUUUUCAAGUUUUGGGUAAAGAUUCGAUGGACUAUGGAAUAAGGAGUGGCAAGAGCCUAAGAUUGGGGAUGCCCAAGGCACCCCAAGGUAAUAUUCAAGGACAACCAAGAGCCUAAGCUUGGGGAUGCCCCGGAUGGCAUCCCCUCUUUUGUCUUCGUCUAUUGGUACCUUUACUUGGAGCUAUAUUUUUAUUCACCACAUGAUAUGUGUUUUGCUUGGAGCGUCAUUUUCUUUUGUUAGUAUUAGCUUUCUUUUAUUUAGAAUAAUGUUUUGCAUCUUUUGUUUCAAUAAAGAAGUCAAUGAUAGCCUUUGCCAUGCUUAUUUUGCUACUAUACAUGUUGCUGUUUGAAAACAGAAAGUUUACCGCUGUUGCAAAAAUUUCCUAGAAAAGUCAGAGAGUGGUAUAAUGUUGAAUAUUUUUGCGUAUUGAGCUCUGAUGAAUUUAUUACAGUGGGAAUUUUAGUUCAUAAUUUUUGGAGUCAGGGAAGUAUUGAUACUCUUGCAAUCUUUACAGACUGUACUGUUUUGGCAGAUUGCUGUUAUGGUUGCAUUGUUUGCAUAUGUUUGCUUGAUUAAUGAUUCUAUUUGAGGAUAGGAGUAUUAAAUAUGAAGAGGCAUAUUGUAUGCAAUGUUGAAUAAUUUUUUAAGUGAUUUGUUACAGUAGAAAAUGAUAAGGUUUUGCAUUGGUUUAUACUAACCUAUCUCACGAGUUCUUGUUGAGUUUGUUGUGAAUGAAGCUUUUGAUAAAAAGAGAAACCAUGAUAUGAGACGAAUUAAGGAGACACAAAAGCUCAAGCUUGGGGAUGCCCAAGGCACCCCAAGAUAAUAUUUCAAUAAGUCUCAAGCAUCUAAGCUUGGGGAUGCCCCGGUAGGCAUCCCACCUUUCUUCUUUAACAACUAUCGGUUAGUAUCGGUUGAGCCUAAGUUUUCGCUUCUUCACAUGAGUUGUGCUAUCAUUGCAAUAUAGUUUUCUUUAGCUUUGCUUGCUGUUUGAAUAAAGUAUCAAGAUCUGAAAUUAUUAAAUGAGAGAGAGUCUUCACAUAAUUGCAUAAUUAUUUAGCUACUCAUUGACCUUCACUUAUAUCUUUCGGAGUAGUUUGUCAUUUGCUCUAGUGCAUCACUUAUACCUUUUAGAGCAUGGUGGUAGUUUUAUUUUGAAGAAAUAGAUGAACUCUCAUACUUCACUUAGAUUAUUUUGAGAGUCGUUAAUAGCAUGGUAAUUUGCUUAAUAUUAAUAUACUUGGUAUUCAAGAUAUGUGAAACUUUCUGAUGAGUGUGUUGAAUACUAAGAAAAGUUUGAUACUUGAUAAUUGUUUUGAGAUAUGGAGGUAGUCAUAUUAAAGUCAUGCUAGUUGGGUGAUUAUGAAUUCAAAGAAUGCUUGUGUUGAAGUUAGCAAGUCCUGUAGCAUGCACAUAUGGUUAAAGCUGUGUAACAAAUUUGAAACAUGAAGUGUACCUGGCUUGUGCAUCCUGAUGAGUGGCCGUCUCGGAUGAGCGAUGGUCUUUUCCUACCAAUCUAUCCCCCUAGGAGCAUGCACGUAGUACUUGGUUUUUGAUGACUUCUAAAUUUUUGCAAUAAGUAUAUGAGUUCUUUUGACUAAUGUUGAGUCCAUGGAUUAUACGCACUUUUACCUUUCCGCCAUUGCUAGCCUCUUCGGUACCGUGCAUUGCCCUUUCUCACCUUGAGAGUUGGUGCAAACUUCGCCGAUGCAUCCAAACCACAUGAUACGAUACGCUCUAUCACACAUAAACCUCCUUAUAUCUUCCUCAAAACAGACACCAUACCUACCUAUCAUGGCAUUCCCAUAGCCAUUCCGAGAUAUAUUGCCAUGCAACUUCCAUCAUCAUAUUCAUGACAUACAUUACUUUUGUCAUAUUUCCAUUGCAUGAUCAUGUAGUUGACAUCGUAAUUGUGGCAAAGCCACCAUGAAAUAUUUUUUAUACAUGUCACUCUUGAUUCAUUGCACCAUCCCGGUACACCGCCGGAGGCAUUCAUAUAGAGUCAUAUCUUGUUCUAGUUUCGAGUUGUAAUCCUUAUGUUGUAAUCAAUAGAAGUGAGAUGAUCAUCAUUAUUAGAGCAUUGCCCAAACAAAAAAAAGAAAGGCCAAACAAAAGAAAGGCCCAAAAAAAGGGGGCAAUGCUACUAUCCUUUUUUUCCACACUUGUGCUUCAAAGUAGCACCAUGUUCUUCAUAUAGCGAGUCUCAUAUAUUGUGCUUCAAAGUAGCGCCAUGUUUUUCAUAUAGAGAGUUUCAUAUGUUGUCACUUUCAUAUACUAGUGGGAAUUUUUCAUUAUAGAACUUGUCUUGUAUAUUCCAACGAUGGGCCUCCUCAAGUGCCCUAGGUCUUCGUGAGCAAGCAAGUUGGAUGCACACCCACUUAGUUUCUUUUGAUGAGCUUUCACACAUUUAUAGCUCUAGUGCAUCCGUUGCAUGGCAAUCCCUACUCCUCAUGUUCAUAUCAAUUGAUGGGCAUCUCCAUAGCCCGUUGAUUAUCCUCGUCAAUGUGAUACUUUCUCCUUUUUUGUCUUCUCCACACAAUCCCCAUCAUCAUAUUCUAUUCCACCCAUAGUGCUAUAUACAUGGCUCACACUCAUGUAUUGCGUGAAGGUUGAAAAAGUUUGAGAUUAUUUAAGUGUGAAACAAUUUCUUGGCUUGUCAUCGGGGGUAUAGAAGUUGGGAACAUCUUUGUGCGACGAAAAUGAAGCAUAGCCUAACUAUAUGAUUUUGUAGGGAUGAAAUUUCUUUUGCCAUGUUAUUUUGAGAAGACAUGAUUACUUUGAUUAGUAUGCUUGAAGUGUUACUAUUUCUUUUAUCAAUAUGAACUUUUGUCUUGAAUCUUUCGGAUCUGAAUAUUCAUAUCACAAGUAAGAAGAAUUACAUUGAAAUUAUGCCAAAGUAUCACUCCGCAUCCAAAAUUCUCUUUUUAUCAUUUACCUACUCGAGGACGAGCAGGAAUUAAGCUUGGGGAUGCUUGAUACGUCUCCAACGUAUCUAUAAUUUUUUAUUGCUCCAUGCUAUAUUAUCUACUAUUUUGGGCAAUAUUGGGCUUUAUUAUCCACUUUUAUAUUAUUUUUGGAACUAACCUAUUAACCGGAGGCCCAGCCCAGAUUUGCUGUUUUAUGCCUAAUUCAGUGUUUCGAGGAAAAGGAAUAUCAGACGGAGUCAAAACGGAACGAAAUCAACUAGAGAAGUUAUUUUUGGAAGGAAAGCCACCCGAUGGACUUGGAGUGCAUGUCAGGGAAGAAGGGAGGUGCCCACGAGGGUGGGGGGCGUGCCCCCUGACUCGUGGCCCCCCCUUCGGUCCACCGACGUACUUCUUUCACCCACAUAUACCUACGUACCCUAAAACUUCCAGAACGGAAGAUAGAUCGGGAGUUCCGCCGCCGCAAGCCUCUGUAGCCACCAAAAACCACUCGGGAGCCCUUUCCGAUGCCUUGCCGGAGUGGGAUCCCAUCACCGGUGGCCAUCUUCAUCAUCCCGGCGUUAUCCAUGACGAGGAGGGAGUAGUCCACCCUCGGGGCUGAGGGUAUGUACUAGUAGCUAUGUGUUUGAUCUCUCUCUCUCUCGUGUUCUCUCUCAUGUUCCCUCUGUGGCACGAUCUUGAUGUAUCCCGAGCUUUGCUAUUGUAGUUGGAUCUUAUGAUGUUUCUCCCCCUCUAUUCUCUUGUGAUGAAUUGAGUUUCCCCUUUGAAGUUAUCUUAUCGGAUUGAGUCUUUUAUGAGAACACUUGAUGUAUGUCUUGCCGUGAUUAUCUGUGGUGACAAUGGGAUAUCAUGUGCCACUUGAUGUAUGUUUUGGUGAUCAACUUGCAGGUUUCGUAACAUUGGGAACCUAUGCAUAGGGGUUGGCACACGUUCUUGACUCUCCUAUAGAAACUUUGGGGCACUCUUUGAAGUACUUUGUGUUGGUUGGAUGAAUCUGAGAUUGUGUGAUGUAUAUCGUAUAAUCAUGCCCACGGAUACUUGAGGUGACAAUGGAGUAUCUAGGUGACAUUAGGGUUUUGGUUGAUUUGUGUCUUAAGGUGUUAUUCUAGUACGAACUCUUUUAUAGAUUGAUCCGAAAGAAUAACUUUGAGGUGGUUUCGUACCCUACCAUAAUCUCUACGUUUGUUCUCUGCUAUUAGUGGCUUCGGAGUGACUCUUUGUUGCAUGUUGAGGGCUUGUUAUAUGAUCUAUCUAUGUUAUUAUUGUUGAGAGAACUUGCACUAGUGAAAGUAUGAACCCUAGGCCUUGUUUCCUAUCAUUGCAAUACCAUUUACGCUCACUUUUAUCAUUAGUUACCUUGCUGUUUUUAUUAUUUCAGAUUACAAAUACCUUUAUCUACCAUCCAUAUGGCACUUGUAUCACCAUCUCUUCGCCAAACUAGUGCACCUAUACAAUUUACCAUUGUAUUGGGUCUGUUGGGGACACAAGAGACUUUUUGUUAUUUGGUUGCAGGGUUUCUUGAGAGAGACCAUCUUCAUCCUAUGCCUCCUACGGAUUGAUAAACCUUAGGUUAUCCACUUGAGGGAAAUUUGCUACUGUCCUACAAACCUGUGCACUUGCAGGCCCAACAACGUCUACAAGAAGAAGGUUGUGUAGUAGACAUCAUUGCCUUAACAACCAACCCAGUAUUACACAGGAACGUGCUUUUGGCACUGUUAGUGGACAGGUACUGACCCACUGCAGCAAGAGCUGACAUUGCGGUUAUAGUUGCCUCGCCACCUUCAGAAGGUGGCGGUUCCACCAUUUUUUCCAUGCUCGCUGAAAAGUUGAGGUUUUACAUUAGUAGUACCAGAACAGAAGAUAUUAAGGAGGCAGCAAAAACAAUCAAAAUAGCUUUGGUCUAUAUACAGAACUUAUUCUAGUGAACCCAUGUAAAAUAUUAGUUGUAUUUUAUUGCAAAGUACAUAACAAAACCAGGUUCCAAACAUAUGACCAUGUACCAUCGCUAAUGUAUUGUCUAUUUCUUCACAUUGUAUUGAGGGCUAAGGAUAAGGAGACAAAGUUUAUAAUACGGUAAGCAUAGUAUGACAUAAUUCAUAUCACAAAACAACUGAGAAUAGACAAACAGGCAAUUGUAACAUUGUGUGGGAAAGUCCCGCAUGGAACUAGAUUGUGGGUCAAGAUCAAAGGAACAUCACUCCUCACUUUUAAACCUUGUAAGGUGCAAUGAUACGCUAAGACAAUUGUGUAUAAAAUUGAAGUUCAAGGCACAAGUCAGAGUAAGUAGUAGUUAAAAGGCAUGAGGAUUAAGGACUUACAACAGCGGCUUUGACUGGUGUAGUCAUGCCCUUCUUGCUGGAGUGACAGUCCUUGAAGAUUUCCACAACAUUUGGUUCAGGUACUUUUUGGUCCUUGCGGGCUUUCCUCUGCAUUUCGAACAAGUCAAUAUAGAUAUGAUAAUAUGGUACAGCAAAAAGAGUGAAACAACAGCUAAUUACAAGAGCCUCGCAGUGUGCAAUAUAGCUAUGAGAUCCUGUUGUCUGUUGGAAUUUCACUUUCAUACGGUUGGCCUUGUUCUUUGAAUAGUUCACCUAGAAGAAGAUAGAUUUGUGUGGCACAUGCGUAAAUAGGACUUCAACAUGUGAUCUUAUCACAUAUAUAUAAUGUACCUGAUACUUCGGAUCAGACCAGUGUUUAACAAGGCCCCUCCAGUCUUCAUCCGAUAUAUUUUCCACUGGAGAUGUUUGGGAAAGUUCACUGUUAGCCUUGCCUUCAAAGUCCUCAAGUUAUACCAAUACUUUCGCAGAGCAGACUUGAAAACAUGGGUGCAAGCUUGUCUGGUUGCAUCAUCUUGGCUAUCCAACUUCAACCUCAUUUGUCGAAAAUUAUGGGAGUCUCAUUAUCAGCAGCCUAGAAAGUAUGGGACAGAGCAAGACGAUAUUACUAGUUUCCAUACAUAACCAUACUUACGGAUAAAUGGUCGAGGAAGGUGUUGAACUAGGUUUCAUGUUUGUCAUUCCUGUACUGAAUCCAGGUUGGGAGGAUACAUACAUGACACCUAACGGCAACCGCUGCCUCUGAUACUAACUUGGCUGACUUUGUAGCAUCACGUGGCCUUUUUAAACCUGCCUCAAAAUAGAUCUCCAUUCUUCCUCCUCUAGAUUUAGUUAACCUAUCGAGCAUUAUCCCUGAUGUUUGUUUCCUCUUGCACCUAGGUGCUAGUCCAACAACGAACAUAGGAAGUGUUAGUGUACAUCAAACUGUGAGACUACAUAUAAAGAAGCAUGCAACUGUAACUUGACUCCAGCAACUACCUUCUUGCUAUUGAAGCUCACAAGGUUCAUCUGAUAUUGCCAACUCGUCUUGUGUCAAGAGUGCUUGGGAAGUACUGUUAGGUGGCAAGGGAGCUUGGGAACGUGCUGCUAGCUCAGUUGACGCACGAGUAAGUCGUGCAGCUGGUAGUACUGUGUUAGGUGUUGCAAAAACUAGGGUUGUCUCUGCUUGUUUGGUGGCAGCUAUUUGUUUCAAUUUGGCUUUUUUUGCAGCUCGUGUAGCAUGGGAUGCCGUGUUUGUAGAAUUUUUCGCUGGACUUUCACCUUCUAUUUCACCAUCAGUACCAGCAGAAUCCGCAGGAUUCAUCCGCUUCUCAUUCCCUGCCAUUCUGUGUUUCUUCCUCUUUCUCUAUGCCAUGUUAAGUCAAGCCGACAAGAAAAAUGAAUAACAAUUUUUUAGAAUAAAUUGAUGCGUUAUGCAGACGAACUGAACUUUGAUGUUAGACAACCACAUGAUAGGAGGAUGUAAUAUGUAUGAAAAACAGGACGGCGGAGAUAACCGGAACUAUGAUGUGUAAACUAAGAAGAAUACAUUCACCAAAUUAGAAGCAAUGCAAUGGAAGGUAGACACCAUAUGAAAGAUGCUACAAAUAUCGCUCUACUAAGUUAACAUUAUCUCAUCAUAAAUGGCGUUUAAACAAAUGUGAAGCAGUACAAGAAAUAAAUCAUAUGCAAGAUGCAAACAACAUCACACUAGCAUGUUAGAGGUCUCUCGUCAUUAGUGCCAUUGCAUAUUCACAUCAUUGCAUAUUCACAGCUUAUGAUGUGUAAACUAAGGAGAAGGCAUUUCAACAAAUUAGAAGUAAUGAAAGCUAGACACCAUAUCAAAGAUGUAACGAAUAUCACUCUACCAAGUUAAAACUGUCUCGUCAUGAGUGACAUUUCAACAAAUUAGUAGUACAAGCUAGAAAAGAAUGUGAGAUGUAACCUAUAUCACACUCCGAAGUCAAAAGUGUCUUAUGAUAAGUGAUUGUUGCAGGUUACACAACAGUAGUAAUUUGAUGUAAGAACAUGGUGUGAUAUACAGAUAUUGUAUGUUCUAGAAACAGGAACACGUGUCUUAUUCAAGUAUAAUGUGUAAAGUAAGCCGAUGGAAUUCAACAAAAUUAGAAGCAAUACAAGCUAGACAUCACACAUAACAUGCAACCACAUAUAACAGUGCCAAGUUAGAGGGAGCACCAGUGAUGCUGCACUAGGGGAGACGUGCUCAUCAUAAACACAACUUUGUUGAGUGUCUAUGCAUGUGUUGUCUUGGAAAUCAUCUUGGGGGUGUGGAGGAGUAGAAACUGUAGAGGCCCUCCAUUCGGAAGGAGCACCUUUAUCCGCUGCCUUGCUAACUUCCUUCCACUUUAUUGAUUUUGAAUUGUCAAGUAAAACCGACAAGAAAAAGCAAUAAAAUUCUCUCUUCAGAACUCAUUCAUGCAUGAUACUGACAAUCACUACUUUGAUGUAAGGGAAACACAUGAUACCAGGAUGGAACAGGAUGGCAUGGCAUGUUCACAACUGUUUGUGUAAACUAAGCAGUAAACAUUCCAGCAAAUAAGAAGCAAUGCAAGCUAGACACCACAUGAAAGAUGCAACCAAUAUGACUUUGCCAAGUUAAAAGCGUCCCAUCAUAAAUGGAAUUUCAACAAAUUAGAAGUAGCGCAUGCUAUAAAUCAUAUGAAAGAUGCAACUAAUAUCGCACUGCAUAUACUAAAGGUGUCGCAUCAUAUUGAUUGAUGCGGGAUACAAAAAAACAAUAGUUUUAUGUAAUGACAUGCUUAAUAGACAGAUGUACUAUGUACUAAAUACAGGAAGGCAUGUCACAUUAACAGGUAUAAUGUACUCCCUCCGGCCCAUAAUGUAAGACGUUUUUUGGUACUAAUUAAGUGCCAAAAACGUCUUACAUUAUGGGACGGAGGGAGCAUAAGCUAAGCAGACUAGCACAUGCAGUUUAACCAGAUUGGAAGAAUUACAAUCUAGACACCAUAUGCAACAUGCAACCACAUAUCAUGCUGCCAAGUUAGAGCAAGCACCUGCAAUGCUAGUGUAGGGGAAAUGUUGUAAUCAACUACAGAGCUACGCUCACUAUCUUCAUCUAGCAUUUCUGUUUCUUGAGAAUCAUGUCGGGAGGCUGACGCUGCAUUCUUUAAAUGAGGAGUAGUCCCCUUGCCUGCCUGCCUCGUCAUAAGUGAUUGAUGAGGGAUACACAAGAACAUUAGUUUGAUGUAAGAACAUGGUUAAUACACAGAUGUACUAGUAUGUACCAAAAACAGAAAGGCAUGUCAUAUUCAAAGGUAUAAUGUGUAAGCUAAGCAGAUGCAAUUUUACCAAAUUGGAAGCAAUACAAGCUAGACAUCUGACUGGAGUGGUGAACAUGAUCAUCUAGGACCUGAGAGCCUGGUGGGAGGCGGGCUGCUUCGCCACCAUCGUGGAUUUUUAGUUGGCUUCCAGGUGAUGCCUGUCUUUGCUAGGCUUGUCACAGGCACGGCCAGUGGCCUGACUAGCUAUUUGUCUUCUGGUGCUCACGGGAUGGUGGUUCGUGUAAAAAAUAUCUUUCCUUAUCUUAAUAAAGACCGAUUUCGGCCUUUCGAAUACAAGCUAGACACCGUAUGGAACAUGCAACCACAUAUGACACCACGAAGUUAAAGCAAGCACUUGGGAUGGCGGUUCAUUGCGAGCGAGGUCAUCAACUCCAGAGCAAUGUUUACCGUCUCCAUCUACUAACACUGCACCCUUUAUAGCGCUGUAACGUGCCAUGCCUAGCCGCGUAGAAAGUUGGCACGACUUUUCUCUUUUCUUUUUUGCUUCUCUUGAGGCAGACUCUAAAAUACCCUUGCAUAAAAAGACAAUAGUGAGAGUAUGGGUGAAGUGUGUGCAGAACUAGUGCACUGUAAAAGUAGCAGAUAGCAGGUGGCUGAAAAAUAAAUGACAGGAGACAUGUGAUAGCUCUACAACAUUGCAUGGCAAACAAAAUUAGAUUCUACUCCAUAUAAUUUUGCAAUAUAUGAGCACAGGAAAUGCAGGUACUCCUCCAGCACACCACCACAUGUGGUCAUAUCUAAGAUAACAGUCGACUGAAAAUAAAUAGGUCAGUCAAUUUUUUUAAUGAACCGUCCGAUCUAUAAGGAACGGGCAGAUGGCCUUCGUCUACCUCCCGCCAGUCACUGUUGACGAUCUUUCUCGAACCGCCAGCGACCACCGGCCCAGACCCCUGCCUCCGCCGCCCCGCCCUCCCAUCGACCUCACACCACCGCCGUGCUUGGCAGCGCCCCCAGGCCAUCCCUUUAAUCCUGGCUGACCUCCAGAGCGGGCGCCAGUAGCUCUAGGCCGCACAAGCCCCUAAGAUAAACACCAAGGCGCUGCUUCCCCGACGUAAUAGUCGUACUAGCGCCUGUUAUGCCGGGGAAUGCUUCCAUUAAUUGGGAAUCAACUGGCUAGAAAUUGAAAUUCAGGGGGGCGACGGACCUCUAGCUAAGGUGAAAUAGUAUAUGAGGAGAAACCUUGUGCAUCGCGAGUUACUAGGAACAUCUAGUAUCAAGAAGGAGCGGUCAACUAGUGUCUUCUGUGGGAUGAAUACCGUGCAAGCAGAGACGUAAGAUUUGCAUGAAUAAGGGAAGAGGAGUACCUUCUUCGGUUUCCGUAGUGGUCACCUCCACAUGUUGCACUGAUCUUCUUCUUUUUACCGGGGAAACCGAUGUUCUGGAGGGUGCAGGCUUGGACGAACCCAUGGCCAAAUUGUUGACUAUGUUGCCAUGGCCGUAUGUCGGUGGAGGGGAAGCAGAUCUGAGGCGGCGAAGGAUGGCGUAGCAGGAACAACUCUGAUGCGGUGGAGGGUGGCGAAGUUGGAGCGGCAGCAGUGAGGCACAGGACAGCGUGGUUGAACUGGCCUCGGCUUCAACUACUAGCCGUGGAGGGUGUUGCGGUUGAGGUUGCGGUGGACGACGACGUCGGGGUAUCGGCUCCGGCGUGAUGGAGGAGGGCGGUUUAAAGCACAAGUGCUCCCUAGGUGGUUUUGGUAAUUAAUGUCAACAUAUCUCUUGUUGGACUAACACUUUUACCUAGUAUGUUUCAGAUAAGUUCAACAAUGGAGUGGCAUGGACUAAAGGAUGUGGGAACUCCUUCAAGAUGCUAAGGACAAAGGGUUGGCUCAAGCUUCAAGCUCAAGACUCUUCAGUUUAUAUUUUAGUGAUCCAAGAUCACAUUGAGUCUAUAGGACAAGCCAAUACUAUCAAGAAGGGAUGAGGUGUUGCUUAAUGAGUUUCUUGCUCCACAGUGCUUAGUGAUAUGCUCCAAAACCCUCAACUACUUUCCCACUUCCACACAUAUGACCUAAACCUAAAGUCAAACUCGGCCCCACUGAUUCUUUCUAUCCGGCGCCACCGAGUUCAGAUGUCAUAGCCACUGCCACAAACCCUAGGCAAAUCGGUCUCACCGAUAGGGAUCUCGGUCUUACCGAGAUGGGAUUGUAAUCUCUCUGUGUAUGUCCAUUACCAAAAUCGGUCUCACCGAGUUUGAGAAAUCGGUACUACCGAGAUUACAAUGCAAACUUCCUGGUUGACUCAUUACCAAAAUCGGUCCUACCGAGUUUGUGUAAUCGGCCCAACCGAGUUUGCCUGACCAACUCUCUGGAAAGCUUAUUACCAAAAUCGGUCCCACCGAGUUUGUGUAAUCGGUCUCACCGAGAUUAUGUUAUGCCCUAGCCCUAACCAUAUCGGUCCUACCGAGUUGCAUAUCGGUCCCACCAAAAAUCCUAACGGUCACUAAGUUUAUCAAAUCGGUCUGACCGAGUCUGUUGAAUCGGUCCCACCGAGUUUUGUAAAUUGUGUGUAACGGUUAGAUUUUGUGUGGAGGCUAUAUAUACCCCUCCACCUCCUCUUCAUUCAUGGAGAGAGCCAUCAGACUGAACCUACACUUCCAGCAUACAUUUUCUGAGAGAGAACCACCUACUCAUGUGUUGAGGCCAAGAUAUUCCAUUCCUACCAUAUGAAUCUUGAUCUCUAGCCUUCCCCAAGUUGCUUUCCACUCAAAUCUUCUUUCCACCAGAUCCAAAUCCCAUGAGAGAGAGUUGAGUGUUGGGGAGACUAUCAUUUGAAGCACAAGAGCAAGGAGUUCAUCAUCAACGCACCAUUUGUUACUUCUUGGAGAGUGGUGUCUCCUAGAUUGGCUAGGUGUCACUUGGGAGCCUCCGACAAGAUUGUGGAGUUGAACCAAGGAGUUUGUAAGGGCAAGGAGAUCGCCUACUUCGUGAAGAUCUACCGCUAGUGAGGCAAGUCCUUCGUGGGCGACGACCAUGGUGGGAUAGACAAGGUUGCUUCUUCGUGGACCCUUGGUGGGUGGAGCCCUCCAUGGACUCGUGCAACCGUUACCCUUCGUGGGUUGAAGUCUCCAUCAACGUGGAUGUACGAUAGCACCACCUAUCAGAACCACGCCAAAAACAUCCGUGUCUCCCAUUGCGUUUGAAUCCUCCAAAACCCUUCCCUUUACAUUCUUUAAAGUUUCAUGCUUUACUUUCCGCUGCUCAUAUACUCUUUGCAUGCUUGCUUGCUAUGUGCUGUGAAUGUUAAACUUGUGCCUAAACUCCACUUAAACUUAAAGAACUUAAAAACUGCAACUUUGGUACUUAGUGUCUAAUCACCCCCCUCUAGACACCUCUUCUCAAGGUCCUACAAGUGGUAUCAGAGCAUUGGUCUCCAUUGCCUUGGUUUAAUCACCAUUGGAGGAAGAUGGAUGAGUCUACGUUGGGGAGUCUUAGACAUAGAGUGCCUAUUCUUGACAGAGAGUAUUUUCAUGAGUGGAAGAAUGAGAUGCUUGUAAUUUUCAACCAAUAUCAUUUGAACAAGUACAUUGCUAGCCCUUGUGCACCUCAUGUUGACCCUAUGCAUCCUACUCUUGAUGAGUCAAUUGACAUGAUUAGGAAUCUUAGAACUGCCGAACUUAUCAUUAGAGGCUUGCCUAGAAACUUGAUUGGAUGUUUGCCUACACCAUAUGGAAAUUUCUUGAGGAACGCUUUCCAAAUUAUUCCUUGAAAAAUCUAGAUGAAAUUCUCCAUAAGUCUAUUGCUUUGAGUAAGAUGAAUACUAGUGAUCCUAUGUUUGGUGAUCGUCUAUUUGAGCUUACAAACCUUAUGCGUGCCAAAGGAGAUGUUGGAAUUAUUAGUGAUAUUAUUUCCAAAGCUAUAAAAAUUCAUAAGCAAGAUCAUUGUCAAACUCACUCUAACGAAUUACUCUCUCUAGGACUUGAGCCACCACAUGACGAUGUUGAACAUGGAUACUAUGAUGAGGAUGAUGAUAGUGACUUCGAUCUUGACGAUGCAAUGAGACAUUUUGGUCUUAUGGAAAAUCUUCGGGGAUAUAUGGCAGGAGGAAAGGAAUGGGUUCUUGAUAGUGGAUGUACCGAUCACAUGACCGGAGAUAAAGACAUGUUUCGUGAGCUUGCUGAAAACGAUGGUCCUCGAAAGUAUGUCACUUUCGGUGACAACUCAAAGGGUAAGGUGGUUGGCCUCGGUAAGGUGGCCAUAUCACAUGAUAGCUCCAUACAAAAUGUCAUGCUCGUUGAAUCUCUUGGAUACAACUUACUUUCAGUAUCUAGACUUGCUGAUUUCGGUUUCAAUGUCCUAUUUACUGAAGUAGACUGCCAAGUGUUUCGUCGAGACAAUCAUAAAAUGGUCUUUACCGGUGUGCGUAGAGGUGAUCUAUACAUUGUUGAUUUCACUAAAAAGGCUCAACCUAAAACUUGCUUCAUUUCUAAAUCCUGAAAAGGUUGGUUAUGGCAUAGACGAUUAGGUCAUGUUGGUAUCACUACUGGAAUCUGGCACUUUGCCAUCUGCCAUGGCAGAUGGCAAAGGCAUGUUCGGCGGAUGGCAAAGGCUUUGCCAUCAGCCAGCAGAUGGCAAACAGUUCGUCUGAAACCCUGCCGGUAAAGGCUUCUUUGCCAUCUGCUGGCUGAUGGCAAAGAGCCUGUGGCUUUGCCAUUUGCUGGCUGAUGGCAAAGAGCCUGUGGCUUUGCCAUCUGCUGGCAGAUGGCAAAGCCUCUUAACGGGGUUAGCUCCGUUAGAGGUUAACGGCAUACUUUGCCAUCAGCCAGCAGAUGGCAAAGAGCCCAAAUAGGCCAGCCCAAAUGUUACAUGUAGAUGACACGUGGCCUCUUUGCCAUCUGCCAGCUGAUGGCAAAGCUCUUUGCCAUCUGCCAGUAGAUGGCAAAGUGACUAUAUUGCUCCAUUUAAUUUUGUUUUUUCUUAUAUCAAUUCAUUUUCACAGAAAUCAAACACAAAUAUAUUUAUAUGACCAAUAUAGCAUAUUCAACACAUAUUACCAAUAGUCAUGAACACAUAUGUAUCCAACACAUGUUACCAAUAGUAGCAAGUUUCAUCCGUACAUAUACAUAGUUUCAUCAAUAUUACACAGUUUCAUCCAUAGGUAGCAAGUUUCACAAGGUCAAAACAAAAACUAAAUACAAGCACUCCAUCAACCCAAGCUUCCGUGAUCUUAAGCAAAUCUGUAAAAUGGGAAAGAAGAAAGUUAGAAGAAGAAGAUUAUUGUGAUGCAACUAAAAUGUGAAGAUUAUUAUGAUGCAACUUAUAUCUGUAAAAUAGGUCAUUCUUGAACAUGUAAAGAUAAUUUCGAAAUGUAUGGAAGUUCAGUUGCAUGAGUCUGGUGACAACAUUCAAACAGAGAAUUAGAUAGUACUUACUCACUCCAGUUCACAAAAUUUUGUCAUUUUUCGCAUAAUUUUAACGAGUGUUUGGAAUAUAGGAAUAUACAAAUUCGGGGAUGCUACUACAAUGAUAGUAUUGUACAGCUGCCACUAGGUUAUUCCUUCAACAUUAAGGGCAUGAGCAAGCAUAUAAGGCCUAAGGUGAUACCUGAUGUUAUCUCAAUCUCAUCCAUGACAGCUGGAAAACCACGCUGAGUUUGGCCUGGCCAAAAAAGAUACAAAAUCAACACAUGAACUUAGAUUAACCGCAGUAGCUGAUAGUUCUUGGCUCAAAGAUCUGUUGCAACAACAACCCAGACCAUGCCCCCCGCGCCCUGUGAGGAAGAGAUGCAAUUAAUUGAAAGCAGAUUGAAAUGGAAAUAAAUAUAACGGAGUACAAGAGAGAAAUAACACAAUUGAAUUUACUUGUGACUAUAUGAGCAACUGAAAUGUAAAUAUAGGAUUAGUAGAAGCUAUAUCCAUAUGGUCAAAUGAAUGAAAGCAAGCACACAUUGCAUUGGAAUCGAAUCUGUCAUAGGUUGGCCCAAGUGUAUUAAAAGAGUCAGAGCAUAACAAUAGAACAUUAGUUAGUUGUUCAUUCAUGAUUAGAAAGUGGAAAGUGAGAGGCAUGAGCACCAUGGCUCACAAAACUACAAGGACAAUGGUGAUAGACUCGACGAAGUGAAGCAGGGAGGAGCCUAAGUGUGUGGUGAUUCAAAGCAGAUGCAAUGAAUUACAUAAUGUAAUGUUGUAGAGAAACGCGGUGAUAAUAAUAAUUUCCUGAAUAAAAAAGCAGAUAUACAAUGUGGGGAUUUCCCCCAGCCCUGACCUUGUCAAAAUAGAUUAAAAUGCAUGGGUGCUUAAAUUUUUUGGAAUGGAUGUAAGGAUAUGUGUACUAUAAAAAGUAGGGGGUAUUUUUCUUUUUCAUUUGAACAAACAGGCAAGGUGCACCUUUUGUAUCACAUAUAAUUGCAGCCGUCAUCACAAAAAGUUGUUCGAGUGGGGAUCGAAGAUCGAUGAAAAAAAUAGGUGCACACAUCCUAUCUGAUGCAUUAACACAAUCUUCGUUGUACACUUUUUUUCAAAAAAAGCUAAUUUUACAUUAGCUCCGUCUCGAUUCGGUGCUACUCUAGAAUCCAAAGAAAGUUAGAGAGGCAGAUUACAUUUUUUGUUUGUCUAAUGCCAAAUUUUAAUCAUGCAUCAUGAAGCUGCAAAACUGAGAGACGUCCAAUAGAUUUCUGAAUAUAAUUUGUGUGACUACUUGUUGGGAAGAGAUCAUCAUCAUAUGACAAAACAAAUACCCAAAAUAUGUUUCCACCACAUCACACAACCAAGAUGUGCAGUCAAGCAUGAGGUUGCAAUGCAAUGCAAGAACAAAGGAUUACAGUAGGUUGGGUGGGUUGUGGUCAGCUCUGAUGAGGACGGUGAGCCCGGCAGCUUCAACGCCACAAGUUACCUGCUCCGUCGUGGGCACUUACCCAAACAUUCUGGCACCUGACUUGCUGGAGAUAAGCGACAAGAUACGUAUCUGGUCCUGAAUUGACUCCCUAAAAAAGCGAGCCCAUAAAUAGGAGGUAGAAAAAGAAACAGAACAGAGUGCGAGUCCCCAAGAACCACAUAACGACCAUUUAAAAAAAGUGCCACGAAUCGAUUCUCGCCUGAUAGCUUGAUUGUUCACAAGGGCGAUAGCACAAAAUCAAAUCCAUGAGUGUGUAAAUCCAACAAUAAAUCAAUCCAAGUAAGUUUAGGGUGGUUGAGUUCAUCACCAAAAAGAGACAUAAAUCCCAAGUCCAGAUGGAUCUUCAUUCACAUCAACACAAUAGAGGAAUAGAAAAGAAAGAAGAACAUUGUAUAGUAGAUAAGGAAAUUUUGUGUAUUUGUAGCAUAGCAAAAGAGGGCUCAGUUUUGUCUUUGAUCUUCAAGCCCAACACUCACAUAUCUUGCUACAUAACAUACCCAUCGCAAUGUAAAUGAACUGCCCUGGUUAUCACUUGUCAGAAUGACCAUUCGAGGUGCAGAACGUCCAACAUCACCGAUGAAUUGAACAGGCUGCAAGAGAGGUAAGGGUGGGCUCUAAUUUAGUACCCACAAGCCACAACAGUCUUGAUUGCUCAAUACAUGCUUAUUUCAGCCAGAGUCAUCAUCAUGGCCCCUCAUUUUCUACCGGAAAGAAGGUUGUACCCCCGGCCUUUGCUCACCAAGCAACAUGACCCUGAUAUCCAUCCAAUACAUACAUACAUACACACAUCCAUCCAUCCGUUAGCCUCAGGAGCUACUCAUACCUGGCCUCGGCCGACCAAACCUCCUAGUACGCAUCAGAGAAUACCGUACAUUUUCCAGCCCACGCCACAACCGAAUCCAAGGCACUUUGUGGGGCUUGUCCAGCAUGACCAUGAGCUGGGCCGAAGGCGCAAUGCGACCUGGUACUCGUCACCGCGGGUGGGGGCAGGGAGCCGGGCGAGGUCACGCCCACCACGCGGUCCUAGAGACCUCGUCGGCGCACCCAACACCGCGGCGGCUGCCCGAGCCCGGGCCUCCAUGCCGGCGACGACGCGGCACGGACGGGAUCCCUGGCCCAGCAAGACGGAGGGAUCCAAGGGCUGAGCCUCCUCAUCGCCCAGUCACAAAUAUGUGAAAAAAUAUCCAAACCAUGCCAAUCGUGAGCUCGCAAGACAGCCAUGUUGCAGGGCAACAACCCCUUACCUAGUCCGGGCAGCGAUUGCAAGAACAUCAAGGUAAGAUUGGGCAAAGUACCGUAGAAGUCAUCGGUCUCGGGCACCACGAGGACCACCUGGUCACCAUGCAAUGCAAGCACAACAGAGGAUUGAAAUAUCUGAAUCAAACGUUUGCUGCACCAAACUCAAUGAAUCGUCAACUGUAAAAACUGAAGAAAUGUUCAUCCAUUUUCUACAAAGGAGCCUAAACAUCUACAAUAUUUGUUUUGCUACUUUACCUGGUAGAGGAUAUUCUCUACCAAUGGAUCAUUGACUCUGGAAAAACUCUGAAGAAAUGUUCACCCUUCUGUUCUUUAUAUUACAGAUAAGAUAGGCAGGAAGCGUUACUGAACCUGAACGCGUGUGUUUGUUUGGUUCUGUGACGUAAGUGGUUGUGAGCAAGCAAAUCAUGAGAAGCACAUGCCAUAUUCAGCAACAAUGAGCUAAUCUGAUAGUGCAACCAUGAUAAUUAAGAUUCUACAUUACAUUCAAUAUCAGUUACUUCAUUAUUCAACACCCAGUACAGCAGUAAGAGAAUUACAGAUGUACUAAACAUGAUACUGCAAAUUUUCCUUAAAGACGAACUCAAAAUCUUAUAAAAUGACUUUGAUAUGUAGUCUUAAUCUCUAUAUAAUAUUCAAUGACAAUGAUAUAGUCAUGAAGAAGAGUGGCUUUUAGGGUACAUAUUAUUAUCUGAUUACUUUGAUAUGUAGUCUCAAUCAUCUAACAAACUAUUUGCUGCACCACUUCUAAAACUGGCAAGUUAUUUGUUGGUUCUUGUAGAUCAUUGUACUUUAAAUGGCACAAACAAGUUCAGUUCUCGUUUUAAAGUGCACCGCAGCAGAAUUGAUUUCAAAUCCACCUUCACACAGUCACACAUAACAAUCUUGCUCAAAAUCUAGAUAACUGAAUUUCAAAUGGCAGGAACAAGUUCAGUUAACUUCAGUUCAUUUUAAAGCGUACAUCACAACUCAAUUGAUUUCAAAUCCAUCUUUAUACAGUGGCACAUAACAAUCUUUCUCAGAAUCUCUAGGAACAAAAAGAAGAACGAACCACCCGUAAAUCUUACUGCUAGAUACGCUGGAUACUGGCGAGGCGACAUGGAAGGAGUAUAUUUUCUAGAUGGCAAAUAUUAAUUUCCGAAUGGAGGGAGUAUAUUUCCGAAUGGAACAAACCUGCCAGAUGGAGGGGCGGGCCCCGUGGCGGGGAGGGCCACGGGAAGGGGGCGGCGCCGUGGCCUGGCUCGAAGGAGGGGCGGGCCGCGGGGCACGCCGCGGUGGCCGGGAGGGCCGCGGUGGCCGGGGAGGGGCGGGGGAGGUCCGGCUCGGUGGANNNNNNNNNNNNNNNNNNNNNNNNNNNNNNNNNNNNNNNNNNNNNNNNNNNNNNNNNNNNNNNNNNNNNNNNNNNNNNNNNNNNNNNNNNNNNNNNNNNNNNNNNNNNNNNNNNNNNNNNNNNNNNNNNNNNNNNNNNNNNNNNNNNNNNNNNNNNNNNNNNNNNNNNNNNNNNNNNNNNNNNNNNNNNNNNNNNNNNNNNNNNNNNNNNNNNNNNNNNNNNNNNNNNNNNNNNNNNNNNNNNNNNNNNNNNNNNNNNNNNNNNNNNNNNNNNNNNNNNNNNNNNNNNNNNNNNNNNNNNNNNNNNNNNNNNNNNNNNNNNNNNNNNNNNNNNNNNNNNNNNNNNNNNNNNNNNNNNNNNNNNNNNNNNNNNNNNNNNNNNNNNNNNNNNNNNNNNNNNNNNNNNNNNNNNNNNNNNNNNNNNNNNNCGGCGGUGGCAGGCCGACGGCGCGCUGGGGUCGUCGGGGCGCGCGGGUGCGGUUUGUUGGGGGCAGACUUUUUUUAGACAAUGGUGGGUGGGUGAGGUGGGGAGAGAGAGAGAGGGGGGUGGGGCCGGGCUGGAAGAGAGAGAGAGGGGAGGGGCCGGGCUGGGAGAGAGGGCUCGACCUCUUUGCCAUCUGCCAGCCGCUGGCUAAUGGCAAAGAUAUGGGCCUUUGCCAUCCGCUGGCAGAUGGCAAAGAGGUGGGGCUACUGGCCGUUAUAGCGCCGUUAUCCAUUGGGCUCCACCCACUUCUUUGCCAUCUGCCAACAGAUGGAAAAGAUUCUUUGCCAUCUGCUGGCAGAUGGCAAAGAGGUGGGUUGACAGGCCGUUGCAGCACUGGAUCCUACCCACCUCUUUGCCAUCUGCUGGUAGAUGGCAAAGAUUAUUUGCCAUCCACUAGCAGAUGGCAAAGAAUUGGCUGAUGGCAACCACGUUCUUUGCCAUCUGUCAGUUCUUUGCCAUCUGUUUUUUAUAAGCAGAUGGCAAAGACAUUCUUUGCCAUCAGCUGGCAGAUGGCAAAGAGCUGGCUGAUGGCAAAUUCCCAGUUUCCAGUAGUGUAUGCGAAACCUUGACAAGCUUAUUAAAGGUUGGUUAUGUCAUAGACGACUAGAUCAUGAUGUCAUAUUUGAUAAGGAUAGACUUUGCAGCGCUUGUCAGGCAGGUAAGCAGGUUGGAGGAAGGCAUCCCAUGAAGAACAUCAUGACCACAAGGAGGCCACUCGAGCUACUUCACAUGGAUCUCUUAUGUCCCAACUCUUACAAGAGUCUCGGUGGAAAUUCUUUUGAUCUAGUUAUACUUGAUGAUUUUUCAAGAUUUACGUGGGUGUUCUUUCUCGAUGAUAAAUCGCAGGUCCAAAAGAUCUUCAAAAACUUCACUAGGAAGGCCCAAAAUAAAUUCGAAGUGAAGAUCAAGAAGGUUCGCAGCGACAACAGAACGGAGUUCAAGAACGCAAAUUUGGACACCUUUCUUGAUGAAGAAGGGAUUUCACACGAGUUCUCGGCUACGUACACACCUCAACAAAAUGGAGUUGUUGAGAGGAAGAACCGGACGCUCAUCGAAAUGGCGAGAAUGAUGCUUGAUGAGUACAAGACACCGAAGCACUUUUGGGCAGAAGCGGUUGAGACAUCUUGCCAUGCAACAAAUCGCUUGUAUCUUCACAAGCUACUCGGCAAGACGGCAUACGAGCUCCUCACCGGUAACAAACCCCAAGUUGGAUACUUUCGAGUAUUCGGCUCAAAGUGCUACAUUCUUGAUAAGCAUCGUCGUUCUAAAUUUGCUCCUAAGUCUCAUGAAGGUUUCCUACUAGGUUAUGGUUCAAACUCUCACACUUACCGUGUCUACAACAAUUUCACCCGAAAGGUUGAAGAGACGGUAGAUGUGAAGUUUGAUGCAUCUAACGGCUCACAAGUAGAGCAAUUGCCAAUUGAUGCAGGAGACAAAGAUCCCACGGAAGCAAUCCAAGACUUGUCUAUUAGCAAGGUUCGUCCAACGGAGGUGAAGGAGAGUACCUCGUCCAUCCAAGUGGAAGCUUCUACUUCACGACAAGGUGAACCAAGAGUUGAUACAGAAGCAUCCACAAGUGGGACACACCAAGAUGAAGAAAAAGAGGAAGUGCAUCAAGAUGAACAUCAACAACCUCGUUCCCCACCACGACAAGAGAACGACAAUGCCAACAAUGAAGAAGGCCAAGAAGAAGAACAAGAUUAAGAAGAAGUUCAACCAAGAACCAAGCAAAAGUUUUCACGAGUUCGUGCAAAAAUUGCUAAAGACCAUCCCGUCGAGCAAAUCUACAAUGAUAUUCAAACCGGGAGAAUGACUCGCUCUAAAACUCGUUUAGCUAACUUUUGUGAAAACUAUUAUUUCAUCUCUAGCAUUGAACCUAUGAAGGUCAAAGAAGCAUUGGAAGAUCCAGAUUGGAUAAUGCUAUGCAUGAACAGCUACACAACUUUGAGAGGAACACAGUUUGGACAUUGGUUGAGAAGCUCGACAACAACCACAACAUCAUCGAUACCAAAUGGGUGUUUCGCAACAAGCAAGAUGAAGAUGGAAAAGUAGUUCGCAACAAAGCACAUCUCGUCGCCCAAGGCUACACACAAGUCGAAGGUAUGGACUAUGGUGAGACUUAUGCUCCAGUUGCUAGACUUGAGUCGAUUCGCAUCUUACUUGCCUAUGCAAAUCAUCAUGAUAUCACCUUGUACCAAAUGGACAUUAAAAGUGCUUUUCUAAAUGGUGAAAUAGAGGAGGAAGUUUGUGUUAAACAACCUCCCGGCUUUGUCAAUCCUAAGAAACCCAAUCAUGUUUACAAACUUCACAAAGCUCUUUAUGGUCUUAAACAAGCUCCUAGAGCAUGGUAUAAAUGCUUGACCAAGUUCCUUAUUGAAAAAGGCUUUGAAAUUGGGAAAAUUGAUUCUACUCUUUUUACGAAAAGGGUUAAUGGAGAACUAUUUGUGUACCAAAUCUAUGUUGAUGAUAUUAUAUUUGGUUCAACUAACCCUCAUUUUAGUGAAAAGUUUGGGAAGCUAAUGUCGGAGAAAUUUGAGAUGUCUAUGAUGAGUGAACUCAAAUUCUUUCUUGGUUUGCAAAUCAAGCAAACUAAGGAAGGUACUUUUGUUUCUCAAACGAAGUACACCAAGGACUUAUUCAAGAAGUUCAAUAUGCAAGAAUGCAAAGGUAUGUCUACACCCAUGCCUACUAGUGGACACCUUGAUUUGACCAAAGAUGGUGAACUAGUUGAUCAAAAGGUUUAUCGCUCUAUGAUUGGUUCAUUGUUAUAUCUAUGUGCUUCAUGUCUAGAUAUCAUGCUAAGUGUGUGCAUGUGUGCACGAUAUAAGAUGCUCCUAAAGAAUGUCAUCUUAAGGCCAUGAAAAGGACAGCGAGAUACUUAAUCCAUACACCAAAUUUUGGCAUUUGGUAUCCUAAGAGGGCCUCUUUCAAUCUUGUUGGCUACUCCGACUCGGACUAUGCCGGAGACAAGGUUGAUAGAAAGUCCACUUCGGGUACUUGUCAAUUUCUUGGUAGAUCUCUUGUGUCUUGGUCUUCCAAGAAACAAACUCGGUAUCCUUAUCCACUGCCGAAGCGGAAUACAUUGCCGCUGGUUCUUGUUGUGCUCAAUUACUUUGGAUGACCCAGACUCUUAAAGACUAUGGGAUAUAUGUGAAACAUGUUCCAUUGCUUUGUGACAAUGAAAGUGCUACCAAAAUUAACCCUCAUUAAAUUAUCCGCUUCUUUUUGAAAUUUUAACACUUGAAAAUCCUAUAACUACGAUUAUUUUGGAAUGGAGGAGCUAAAUUUGAAUCUAUUUUGUACACGACUACAUAUGCUAUUAUGUACAAAAUCAGAGCAAAGUUUGGUGCCCCCAUAAUUUAGGUAUGGUUUACAAAUGCCAUGAUAUCAAAUUCAAAUAAUUGAAUGGACUUCAUGUUGAAUUCGAUUUUUUUAAACCACCUUAAGUUGAAUUCAAAUGUAUGCUAGUUCAUAGGUAGCUAUUUAUAAUGUCCAUUGUGUAACUUUCGUAUGUAUAAUGUGCUUUACACACACAACAUGAACUAUACUCACGUUUAUAUUCGAUUGCUAAAGGGAUGCAUUGUCUGGAGUUCAAAAUACUAACUAUGUGGAUCAAUUGUGUCGAAUAAUAACAUAGACAUGCUCAAAUUCGAUAGAAUCUAGAUGUCUGAUGGAUCAAUGACCGCUCCUUACGCGAAUUGCAAAUAUGAUGAUCCCAUCCUAAUAUUUGGAUACAACUUAUAUCUUUAAUCAAUGUGUAGAGCAGUCUUUUACGUGUAGUUGCACUCUCCAUCUGUGGUCUCUCACACAUGCUCACACACUCUCUCUCGAGGUGUCUUUCUCACACACAUGCUCUAGAUAUAACCCUCCUCCCUUUCGUAACCAUUUACAACUGUUUUCACUAACCUUUAUCACAAGCACUCUUCCUCUCGCAAACAUACACACGCACAAUCCUCAUCGACCCUUUCUAUAUACAUGGACCUGCCUACGUGUCUCAUGUACGCGCAUUAUCUUUACGCCUAUCUCUCAUGCAUUGUCUCACACCUCUCUUCCUAAUCGACGAGUAUGAUUCUAGUAGAGCAUUCUAUAGGAUGCCCCUUAAAGUUAGGUUGGAUGAAUAGUAAUAUCAGAGAUAAAGGGGUUACCUUAGUCCGAGAACCUAGGGUUACAAAUCCUAGCCGGCUUUGUCAGUGGACACAGAGUCCUUCACAAUUCUGCUAUCUUUGUCUUGUACGACUAGGCAUCCAUAGGUCUUCUUAAAUGUGUCAUGGGCCGACCAAUGUGGCGCAGGACGGAACCGAACGAAGGGCCUCACCUCGACCCACCAGACCUCACGCGGUGACACACCCUCUGCCCCCACGUCUCAUUAUCUUCUCACACCCACACAUACCAACACAAACACCACACACAAAGAAAAUUUGUCCUGGUGCCUCUAUUCCCCCCUUGCAUAUAUACACUCAAGGGAAUGGAAUUUCUUGUCGUGACGUCAUAUUCUUCUCUCUCUCUCUAGACCACUCUCAUUUCUCGUGCUAUCUCUCCCACGCCCCCUCCCCCCGUCUGCCCCUCUAUCCAUGCCUCUCUCGAAUACGUAAUACACACACAUACCUCUCUAGGCCCCGCCAAAUGCAUCAACUACACAUUCACACAUGUUACAUCACGUACCCCAUUGAUCUAGAAAGCCCUCUCUUCACGUUUAUUUCGCAUACAACAUUCCUUUUGAAUAAAGUGUGGCCAAAAAAUUAUUUUAGAGUUUCUACAUAUAUACAACAAUACAAAGUUAUAUGGAGGAUUACGAAAGCUAAUUGGCAUUGCGUGGUGCCCACAACGAUAUUUAUUUUGCACCGUGAAUUUGUAUAUUUUUAUACUAUAUACAAAGUUAGUCAUAAUAAAGAGAAACAAAGAGCAUCUCUCUCUCCAUCACAUACCACCCCCCAUGUAUGCCCCAUUCACAUAUGCACACAAAACUAUCUCCAGGUCCUCUAAAAGUAAGCCCCCAGAAAAUUCACGCGUGUUUCAUCUUUCUCUCGCGAUAUAUGCAAUGACGAUCAUUGUAUUUGAAGCGAAAGCACGAUACAUACAUUGGAGUUCAUAAUCCACUCAUUACGGUCACCGUUUACGUUUAGUGGUUAUUAUACAGUCACGGGCUCACCGUACAACUUUGUAUUUGCUCAUGACAUGACUAGUUGACCAGUUAAACGCUCCACGUGGCACCUCUAGUGUUGCAUCACAUUAUCUCACUACCAUCAUGCCCACCUGUUGACUUGUAUCUACUCUACAUCUACACUCUUAUAAAAUACAUAAAAUACACUCUUAUAAAAAACAGAGUUGGUGAUGACGGUGUUCCUGCCAUCCUGCAAUAUAGGCCGUCCGAUUUAUAUCUGAUGGAUAGGAAAGAAACUAUGCAAUUUUGCAAAAAGGUACCCGCACACCUCUCCACAUUUGCAAAUAAGGCCUUCCCUCGUUCAUCCUUUUCUCUCAGAAGAUAAACAAGUCAUAAAAAUGCAUCUUGAUGUUACGUGCAACGCAUGGGCAUCUUGCUAGUAAGAAUGAAAACAAACGACAAAAAUAUAUUUUGACGGUGGUUCCAAGUCAUGACUGCGGGCACAACGGACAAGGUGGCCUUGUAUUGGUAUGCUGAGCCAUCUGUUUUAACACACAGGAGCUGGUGUGGUGAUUAUACACACACGCACGCAUACACACGAACUGCAUCCACGCAACACUCACACAAACACAUGCACCCACGCACGCACGCAACACUCACACGUACACACGCUGCCACGCACGCACGCAACACUCACACGCACACACGCACACAUGCAUGCACACACCAGUACACCACACGACCAACACACACUCUCACACUCAAGUGCUCAACCUACACGUGCAUGCGCACACAUCAGGCCCUGACAGACACAUACACAACCAGGUGAUUCUCGCGCACGGGUUGGAGGCUUGUCGGGCCUGCAUAAAUUUGUGUUUAUCUGACCUUUUCCGUAUGCGAACUGAUAGGUGGGACCCACAAGGAACGUGGUCAAUUUAACUAGUCAACAUGGCGCCACGCAGACUAUUUGGCCGGUCAACAGAGUGCAAUCCGAUGCUGAGCUAUGAGUAAGUGACCGGAUAAUCACCGCAAAAUGUAUAUAGUGACCGUAAUCAGCUUCUUCUGAAGUUUGGUGACCGUAUUACGCUUUUCUCUCUGUAGGCCCUCCAAAACUACAUCUCUACACGUUCUCGCAUGUUACAUCUGACAACUAUGCAAUACAACACUACUACUACACUCUAACACAAUAAAUCAUAUGUGUUUUUAGUUUUACUAGAUAUCAUAUUGUUACUUAUAAUUAUUUAGUUUGCAUACAUUAAAAUUUCCUUUGAAAUGUAUGGCCAGUAUCAUCUACCGUGCGGGAAAAAUCCCGCCCUUUCCUGUUUAAUCGGGUUUGUAUCAAUGGAUCAUGUGAAACAGCAAAACUAUAGUACUAUACAGUACAAGUGACAGUGCACUGGGCCGUCGUGUCGUCUACUCCUCCGUCGUAAGAGUGGAGUGCUCGCUUUCAUAAAUCUUCUAGUCCCUUUCGCCGACAUGUGGGACAUCAAGCUACUAGGUCCACGUGCCAUACCGGAAUACAGUGCAGAGCAGCCGGGGUGAAGCACCCCAGUCAUGGCGCCGGCGUAGUAAUGAGCAAUGAGGCGUCAAAUCACAAAGCUGCACCUUUCCCGCAGUUAAGUUCGAGGGACGAAGUAAUAAUGCUAAAAAAAUAAGUUGGAGGGACGAAGCAACCAUCAUUUCACUCAUUGCUAAAUCCGCUUCUCCCUCAUCUUCUUCAACUUAACCACGUGUUGCUUCUGCCGUUGUUCUGCCUCAUGUGGGACGCGGAUCGGCUUGGUAAAGCACUGACACAUGGGACUGCAUGUUAGCAAACCGCCAGGACAACGUCCUCUGAAAAUAAGAAACCUCCCCCGCCAUCUGCGUGGCAAAAUCACCUCCUUUUUACUAAUCUUGAUUCUAUAAAUUUUUAGAUCAAUAUAAUUGAGAUUUGUAUAGAUAGCACACAGGAGCAAAACCAAGUGGUACAGUUAAGGGCAUCCACAAUGUGUAGCCAAAUGUGAAAAUAGCUUUUGGCAUCAUGGGAACCAUUGUGUACAGUGUUGCCAAAGCCAAAAAGAUGGAACCGAAGCUCCCUGUUUGAUUGAUUGAAGGAAUAGAAAAAUGCAACGUCUCUCCUCUUUCUCCCAUGCUUGGACGCAUGUAGUACAGUAUAGAGCAUGGAGUCUACUCCCCUGUCCCUUCUAUCACGAAUCACAAAGCAGUGAGGCGUCAAAUCACAAAGCACGGAUGAAGCAACCAUCAUUUCACUCUUCGCUGACCCCGCUUCUCCAUCGUCUUCUUCGAGACACCAUCUCACCGCACUAGUACUCCUAGUAGUAGUACUAGAAAAGGACUUCCUGGAUGCAAAUAAGGCGGUUGUCUCGGCUUGUAGGCGGCACUUGCGAAUGACUUACCGUGGUCUCCCUCAAUGGUGUUCUCCGUCGAACGCACUUCGCCAAACCACAAAAAAAAAAUAUCGUCGACCUCACCGCAAUGGGGAAGGAAGUCAAAUAUAGUUACUACCUCCAUUUUUUUGUACACAAGGCGAGUAUAACAAAAUUUUGGUAAUGUCAUGGAACAUUUCAAUGACAGCACAGGUAUGACUAUCUUGAUUCUGUCAUAAAAUCGUCAUGGAUGUACAUGCAUGAGACAAAACGCGACCUACUGUGACAAACACGUAUCCUCACGGAAGUGUAUUUUUUUUGUAGUGCAAGCAAUACAACAUAAAGCAAGAGUAGGCUUUUACCUCGUUGAGAGAGGCCGAACAUGGGUAAAAACUCUCGGUGUCCUUUGUCCCGUUUAACCCUUCAAGCUAACCUAACGGCAAUGGCUCCACACCUAAGUCCUCUUGCUAGGGCAUCUGCCGUGUUAAGUCCAUGAUAGCCUGCAAGGACAGGAUUGAAGGAAGCUUCACUAUGAUGUGUCAAUGCCAAUGGAAGAUAUAUUGCACGUUUCACCAUGCAUGUGCCACCAACAACCUGACUUUGUUAUGGAAGACUUGAUGAAGAUCGAAUAUACUUACAGGUGCAUUCGUUACCCCCAUAUAGCACAACAGAAUAACCAUCUUCAGCAUGGCCCUUUCCUCUACCCAGUUCCAAUCACCCCUCCUCCAUAACUGCUAGAACUUGGACCUGAUUUCCAUGUUUGAGAUAAUAUUUUUAAGAAUACCUAUGCAAUGGUUAUUUCUUUUCAUGAUAUCGCCAUGGAGAUUUAUAGUUGAAAAAUGAUCAAUUUCUAUAUAGAAGUUAACAGUAUAUAAUGGUUCGAAGCAACUCUAACAGCAGUGAAUUUAGGAUAGAGUACAUGACAUGAUAUACACUCUCAAUAAUAGUAGCUACUAUUGUGCGUGUAGAGUUUUUUCCCUUACAAGAUGCUAUAUGAAAAUUUUCAUGCCUGCAAAAUAAGUCUAUAGGAUUAUUCUAUAUUUAUGAACUACUCCCUCCAUUCCCUUUUGUAGUGCGUAUAGUUUUUUGCCUAAAAUUCCGGAAUGUAGUGCUUGCAUGCAGCACAAAGUUGGUUUGGACAAGUUACCCUUCGCUGGAAUCAAGGGACACAUGCAGCAGAGCACGCACAUGGGUGUGUAGCAGACCAUGCAUGCAAGGUUAAUCUGGUAAAAUUCACAGCUCCACCUCAUGCAUUGGUAUUGGAGCUAACAUCUAUGUGCACUAUAUAAUGAAACAGAGGGAGUAACAAUAGCACUAUUGUGUGCAGUAUUUUUCUAGAAGAUGAUAUAUGCAGAUCCUGUUAUCCGCAAGUUUCUGUGGCGCACAUCAGCUUCAAGUCAGCACCCUAGGCCAAUACAACCACUUCCUCCUUUAUUUAUCCCUCCCUUUCUGACUUCCUUCCUUCUUCCUUCCGAGCAAAGACAAAUUUAGUGGGAUGUAGAAGAGGCGGCAAGCACAUCUAGCAGCCGGAGAUAAGCAAUAGUUUGUUCCUCAAUAGCAACAACAAUAUUUCUUCCGUUCACUUUUGCAAGGGGCUGGAGGCUGUGACGUAGAAAAAAUUUCAGAGUAUCUCGAUUUGCCCUGUCACUUUCGCAGUCUCGCUUCGCGCACCCUUCUCUCAGUCGAAAGUGGAUCCUCUAAUCUCUUGCUUCGCAUCACCCUCCCUCUCUCUGAAAGAUUGGAUGAAAGCGUGUACCUCUGGCAGGGACGCACGCAUGUUUAUAUAGAGCAGAUGGUUUACAAGAUACGGUAAUUAGGCGUGGAUUGAUCCUCAAGCAAACUAUACAAGAGAUAAGGAGGAAUCCCAACAGGCUAACUACCAGAUUGUAUCAACACACCCGCACUAGCUAUACCAGAAUGUAUAUACGGUUUAUAUACAACCAUACAUAUGUACAAUAAUAUCUAACAUGCCCCCUCAAUCACAGCUUCACCAAGUUGAGAUUGCUCUUGAAGUCUUCCAACUGGCACCAUGAUAGUGCUUUAUUAAAGCCAUCCACAACUUGAUCACAUGUGGGAAUGAAACGAAUAUCCAGGAGUUUCUGUGCUACUCUUUCUCUAACAAAAUGACAGUCCACCUCUAUGUGUUUGGUCCUUGCAUGAAAGAUUGGAUUUGCUGACAAAUAUGUGGCACCAAUAUUGUCACACCAAAGACGAGCAACUGGUGAGUGAGCAACUCCAAGUUCUUGCAGAAGAGUCUGAACCCAAAUAAUCUCUGCAGUAGUGAUGUCUACUACACAACCUUCUUCUUGUAGACGUUGUUGGGCCUCCAAGUUCAGUAGUUUGUAGGACAGUAGCAAAUUUCCCUCAAGUGGAUGACCUAAGGUUUAUUAAUCCGUGGGAGGUGCAGGAUGAAGAUGGUUCCUCUCACACAACCCUGCAACCAAAUAACAAAGAGUCUCUUGUGUCCCCAACACACCCAAUACAAUGGUAAAUUGUAUUGGUGCACUAGUUCGGCGAAGAGAUGGUGAUACAAGUGCAAUAUGGAUGGUAGAUAUAGGUUUUUGUAAUCUGAAAAUAUAAAAACAGCAAGGUAGCAAGCAAUAUAAGUGAGCAUAAACAGUAUUGCAAUGGUAGGAAACAAGGCCUAGGGUUCAUACUUUCACUAGUGCAAGUUCUCUCAACAACAAUAACAUAACUGGAUCAUAUAACUAUCCCUCAACAUGCAAUAAAGAGUCACUCCAAAGUCACUAAUUGCAAAUAACAAACGAAGAAAUGAUUGUAGGGUACGAAACCACCUCAAAGUUAUUCUUUCCGAUCAAUCCGUUGGGCUAUUCUUCUAAGUGUCACAAAUAACCCUAGAGUUCGUAGUAAAAUAACACCUUAAGACACAUAUCAACCAAAACCCUAAUGACACCUAGAUACUCCAAUGUCACCUCAAGUAUCCACGGGUAUGAUUAUACGAUAUGCAUCACACAAUCUUAGAUUCAUCUAUUCAACCAACACAAAGAACUUCAAAGAGUGCCCCAAAGUUUCUACCGGAGAGUCAAGACAAAAAUGUGUGCCAACCCCUAUGCAUAAGUUCACAAGGUCACUGAACCCGCAAGUUGAUCACCAAAACAUACAUCUAGUAGAUCGUGUGAUAUCCCAUUGUCACCACAGAUAAGCACAUUCAAGACAUACAUCAAGUGUUCUCAAAUCCUUCAAUACUCAAUCCGAUAAGAUAACUUCAAAGGAAAAACUCGAUCCAUUACAAGAGAAUAGAGGGGGAGAAACAUCAUAAGAUCCAAUUAUAGUAGCAAAGCUCGUGGUACAUCAAGCUCGUGCCAUAUCAAGAACACGAGAGAGAGAGAGAGAGAGAGAGAGAGAGAGAGAGAGAGAGAGAUCAAACACAUAGCUACUGGUACGUACACUCAGCCCCGAGGGUGAAUUACUCCCUCCUCGUCAUGGAGAGCGCCGAGAUGAUGAAGAUGGCCACCGGUGAUGGAUCCCCCCUCCAGCAGGGUGCCAAAACAGGGUCUCAAGAGGUUUUUGGUUGCUACAGAGGCUUGCGGCGGUGGAACUCCCGGUCUAGGUUUCUUUCUGGGGGUUUGUGUGUUUGUAGGAAUUUUUGGCGUCGGUUUUACGUCAGGAGGGUCUCCGAGUCGUCCACGAGAUAGGGGGGCGCGCCCAGGAUGUAGGGCGCGCCCUCCACCCUCGUGGACAGCUCGGGACUCUUCUUGCCCAAUUCUUUUACUCCGGGGCCUUCUUUUGGUCCAUAAAAAAUCAUCAAGAAUUGGCACGUCAAUUGGACUCCAUUUGGUAUUCCUUUUCUGUAAAACUCAAAAACAGGGAGAAAACAGAAACUGGCACUGGGCUCUAUGUUAAUAGGUUAGUCCCAAAAAUCAUAUAAAACAACAUAUAAAUGCAUAUCAAACAUCCUAGAUGGAUAAUAUAAUAGCAUGGAACAAUCAAAAAUUAUAGAUACACUGGAGACAUAUCAAGCAUCCCCAAGCUUAAUUCAUGCUCGUCCUCGAGUAGGUAAAUGAUAAAAACAGAAUUUUUGAUGUGGAAUGCUACCUAACAUAUUUAUCAAUGUAAUCUAUCUUUAUUGUGGCAAGAAUAUUCAGAUCCAUAAGGUUCAAAACAAAAGUUUAAUAUUGACAUAAAAGUGAUAAUACUUCAAGCAUACUAACAAAGUAAUCAUGUCUUCUCAAAAUAAUAUGGUCAAAGAAAGCUAUCCCUACAAAAUCAUAUAGUCUGGCUAUGCUCUAUCUUCAUCACACAAAAUAUUUAAAUCAUGCAAAACCCCGGUUUCAGCCAAGCAAUUGUUUCAUACUUUAGUAUUCUCAAAAAAAAUUAGUCUUCACGCAAUACAUGAGCGUGAGCCAUGGACAUAGCACCAUAGGUGGAAUAGAAUGGUGGUUGUGGAGAAGACAAAAAGGAGAAGAUAGUCUCACAUCAACUAGGCGUAUCAACGGGCUAUGGAGAUGCCCAUCAAUAGAUAUCAAUGUGAGUGAGUAGGGAUUGCCAUACAACGGAUGCACUAGAGCUAUAAGUGUAUGAAAGCUCAAAAAGAAACUAAGUGGGUGUGCAUCCAAUUUGCUUGCUCAUGAAGACCUAGGGCAUUUGAGGAAGCCCAUCAUUGGAAUAUACAAGCCAAGUUCUAUAAUGAAAAUUCCCACUAGUAUAUGAAAGUGUCAACAUAGGAGAAUCUCUAUCAUGAAGAUCAUGGUGCUACUUUGAAGCACAAGUGUGGUAAAAGGAUAGUAGCAUUGCCCCUUCUCUCUUUUUCUCUCAUUUUUUGGGCCUUCUCUUUUUUUGGCCUCUUUUUUUUCGUCCGGAGUCUCAUCCCGACUUGUGGGGGAAUCAGUCUCCAUCAUGCUUUCCUCACUGGGAUAGUGCUCUAAUAAUGAAGAUCAUCACACUUUUAUUUACUUCCAACUUAAGAAUUACAAAUCGAUACUAAGAACAAAAUAUGACUCUAUGUAAAUGCCUUCGGCAGUGUACCGGGAUGUGCAAUGAAUCAAGAGUGACAUGUAUGAAAGAAUUAUGAACGGUGGCUUUGCCACAAAUACAAUGUCAACUACAUGAUCAUGCAAAGCAAUAUGACAAUAAUGAAGCGUGUCAUAGUAAACGGAACGGUGGAAAGUUGCAUGACAAUAUAUCUUAGAAUUGCUAUGGAAAUGCCAUAAUAGGUAGGUAUGGUGGCUGUUUUGAGGAAGAUAAUGGUGGAUGUAUGGUACCGGCAGAAAUUGCAUGGCUGUCGGGUGGUUGGUGCGACAUAUGGCAACGGGUGGCUUAUCAUUGUGGGAGCCAAUAAGAUGUCGCCGGUGCCUGGAAAUGGGAUAAGGCGAAGACAUGCACGUCGGCAAAUCUUACCCAGGUUCGGGGCUCUCCGUGGAGAUAACACCCCUAGUCCUGCUCUGCGGGGUCUCCGCAUGAUCACUAGAUCAACAAGUAGCUACAAGAGGCUCCUUGAGCUGUUUGGCGAGAGGAGGAAGAGGAGGCCAUGCUAGCUCUCUUCUCCUCUCAAAGUUGUGUCUAAAUCUAUCAGGGUCCAACCCUUUGCAUGGGUGCCCCAUGGGGUUUAUAUAGGCCUACCCCCCGGGGGUACAAUGGUAAUCCGGCCGGGCCUGGGCCCAGCCGUCGUGCGAAACAGCAAAACUAUAGUACUAUACAGUACAAGUGACAGUGCACUGGGCCGUCGUGUCGUCUACUCCUCUGUCGUAAGAGUGGAGUGCUCGCUUUCAUAAAUCUUCUAGUCCCUUUCGCCGACAUGUGGGACAUCAAGCUACCAGGUCCACGUGCCAUACCGGAAUACAGUGCAGAGCAGCCGGGGUGAAGCACCCCAGUCAUGGCGCCGGCGUAGUAAUGAGCAAUGAGGUGUCAAAUCACAAAGCUGCACCUUUCCCGCAGUUAAGUUGGAGGGACGAAGUAAUAAUGCUAAAAAAAGAAGUUGGAGGGACGAAGCAACCAUCAUUUCACUCGUUGCUAAAUCCGCUUCUCCCUCAUCUUCUUGAACUUAACCACGUGUUGCUUCUGCCGUUGUUCUGCCUCAUGUGGGACACGGAUCGGCUUGGUAAAGCACUGACACAUGGGACCGCAUGUUAGCAAACCGCCAGGACAACGUCCUCUGAAAAUAAGAAACCUUCCCCGCCAUCUGCGUGGCAAAAUCACCUCCUUUUUACUAAUCUUGAUUCUAUAAAUUUUUAGAUCAAUAUAAUUGAGAUUUGUAUAGAUAGCACACAGGAGCAAAACCAAGUGGUACGGUUAAGGGCAUCCACAAUGUGUAGCCAAAUGUGAAAAUAGCUUUUGGCAUCAUGGGAACCAUUGUGGACAGUGUUGCCAAAGCCAAAAAGAUGGAACCGAAGCUCCCUGUUUGAUUGAUUGAAGGAAUAGAAAAAUUCAACGUCUCUCCUCUUUCUCCCAUGCUUGGACGCAAUUAGUACAGUAUAGAGCAUGGAGUCUACUCCCCUGUCCCUUCUAUCACGAAUCACAAAGCAGUGAGGCGUCAAAUCACAAAGCACGGAUGAAGCAACCAUCAUUUCACUCUUCGCUGACCCCGCUUCUCCAUCGUCUUCUUCGAGAAACCAUCUCACCACACUAGUACUCCUAGUAGUAGUACUAGUAAAGGACUUCCUGGAUGCAAAUAAGGUGGUUGUCUCGGCUUGUAGGCGGCACUUGCGAACGACUUACCGUGGUCCCCCUCAAUGGUGUUCUCCGUCGAACGCACUUCGCCAAACCACAAAAAAAUUAUCGUCGACGUCACCGCAAUGGGGAAGGUAGUCAAAUAUAGUUACUACCUCCAUUUUUUUGUACACAAGGCGAGUAUAACAAAAUUUUGGUAAUGUCAUGGAACACAUCAACGACAGCACAGGUAUGACUAUCUUGAUUCUGUCAUAAAAUCGUCAUGGAUGUACAUGCAUGACACAAAACGCGACCCACUGUGACAAACACGUAUCCUCACGGAAGUGUUUUUUUUUUGUAGUGCAAGCAAUACAACAUAAAGCAGGAGUAGGCUUUUACCUCGUUGAGAGGGGCCGAACAUGGGUAAAAACUCUCGGUGUCCUUUGUCCCGUUUAACCCUUCAAGCUAACCUAACGGCAAUGGCUCCACACCUAAGUCCUCUUGCUAGGGCAUCUGCCGUGUUAAGUCCAUGAUAGCCUGCAAGGACAGGAUUGAAGGAAGCUUCACUAUGAUGUGUCAAUGCCAAUGGAAGAUAUAUUGCAUGUUUCACCAUGCAUGUGCCACCAACAACCUGACUUUGUUAUGGAAGACUUGAUGAAGAUCGAAUAUACUUACAGGUGCAUUCGUUACCCCCAUAUAGCACAACAGAAUAACCAUCUUCAGCAUGGCCCUUUCCUCUACCCAGUUCCAAUCACCCCUCCUCCAUAACUGCUAGAACUUGGACCUGAUUUCCAUGUUUGAGAUAAUAUUUUUAAGAAUACCUACGAAAUGGUUAUUUCUUUUCAUGAUAUCGCCGUGGAGAUUUAUAGUUGGAAAAUGAUCAAUUUCUAUAUAGAAGUGAACAGUAUAUAAUGGUUCGAAGCAACUCUAACAGCAGUGAAUUUAGGAUAGAGUACAUGACAUGAUAUACACUCUCAAUAAUAGUAGCUACUAUUGUGCGUGCAGAGUUUUUUCCCUUACAAGAUGCUAUAUGAAAAUUUUCAUGCCUGCAAAAUGAGUCCAUAGGAUUAUUCUAUAUUUAUGAACUACUCCCUCCAUUCCCUUUUGUAGUGCGUAUAGUUUUUUUCCUAAAAUUCCGGAAUGUAGUGCUUGCAUGCAGCACAAAGUUGGUUUGGACAAGUUACCCUUCGCUGGAAUCAAGGGACACACGCAGCAGAGCACACACAUGGGUGUGUAGCAGACCAUGCAUGCAAGGUUAAUCUGGUAAAGUUCACAGCUCCAGCUCAUGCAUUGGUAUUGGAGCUAAAAUCUGUGUGCACUAUAUAAUGAAACAGAGGGAGUAACAAUAGCACUAUUGUGUGCAGUAUUUUUCUAGAAGAUGAUAUAUGCAGAUCCUGUUAUCCGCAAGUUUCUGUGGCGCACAUCAGCUUCAAGUCAGCACCCUAGGCCAAUACAACCACUUCCUCCUUUAUUUAUCCCUCCCUUUCUGACUUCCUUCCUUCUUCCUUCCGAGCAAGACAAAUUUAGUGGGAUGUAGAAGAGGCGGCAAGCACAUCUAGCAGCCGGAGAUAAGCAAUAGUUUGUUCCUCAAUAGCAACAACAAUAUUCCUUCCGUUCACUUUUGCAAGGGGCUGGAGGCGGUGACGUAGAAAUUUUUUCAGAGUUUCUCGAUUUUCCCUGUCACUCUCGCAGUCUCGCUUCGCGCACCCUUCUCUCAGUCGAAAGUGGAUCCUCUAAUCUCUUGCUUCGCAUCACCGCUCUCUCACUCCUCUCCGGCGCCUGCGUCGCCACCGCGUCUACCCUCCCUCUCUCUGAAAGAUUGGAUGAAAGCGUGUACCUUUGGCAGGGACGCACGCAUGUUUAUAUAGAGCAGAUGGUUUGCAAGAUACGGUAAUUAGGCGUGGAUUGAUCCUCAAGCAAACUAUACAAGAGAUAAGGAGGAAUCCAACAGGCUAACUACCAGAUUGUAUCAACACACCCGCACUAGCUAUACCAGAAGGUAUAUACGGUUUAUAUACAACCAUACAUACGUACAAUAAUAUCUAACAUGCCCCCUCAAUCACAGCUUCACCAAGUUGAGAUUGCUCUUGAAGUCUUCCAAUUGGCACCAUGAUAGUGCUUUAUUAAAGCCAUCCACAACUUGAUCACCUGUGGGAAUGAAACGAAUAUCCAGGAGUUUCUGUGCUACUCUUUCUCUAACAAAAUGACAGUCCACCUCUAUGUGUUUGGUCCUUGCAUGAAAGAUUGGAUUUGCUGACAAAUAUGUGGCACCAAUAUUGUCACACCAAAGACGAGCAACUGGUGAGUGAGCAACUCCAAGUUCUUGCAGAAGAGUCUGAACCCAAAUAAUCUCUGCAGUAGUGAUGUCUACUACACAACCUUCUUCUUGUAGACGUUGUUGGGCCUCCAAGUUCAGCAGUUUGUAGGACAGUAGCAAAUUUCCCUCAAGUGGAUGACCUAAGGUUUAUUAAUCCGUGGGAGGUGUAGGAUGAAGAUGGUUCCUCUCACACAACCCUGCAACCAAAUAACAAAGAGUCUCUUGUGUCCCCAACACACCCAAUACAAUGGUAAAUUGUAUUGGUGCACUAGUUCGGCGAAGAGAUGGUGAUACAAGUGCACUAUGGAUGGUAGAUAUAGGUUUUUGUAAUCUGAAAAUAUAAAAACAGAAAGGUAGCAAGCAAUAUAAGUGAGCAUAAACAGUAUUGCAAUGGUAGGAAACAAGGCCUAGGGUUCAUACUUUCACUAGUGCAAGUUCUCUCAACAACAAUAACAUAACUGGAUCAUAUAACUAUCCCUCAACAUGCAAUAAAGAGUCACUCCAAAGUCACUAAUUGCAGAGAACAAACGAAGAAAUGAUUGUAGGGUACGAAACCACCUCAAAGUUAUUCUUUCCGAUCAAUCCGUUGGGCUAUUCUUCUAAGUGUCACAAACAACCCUAGAGUUCGUAGUAAAAUAACACCUUAAGACACAUAUCAACCAAAACCCUAAUGUCACCUAGAUACUCCAAUGUCACCUCAAGUAUCCACGGGUAUGAUUAUACGAUAUGCAUCACACAAUCUUAGAUUCAUCUAUUCAACCAACACAAAGAACUUCAAAGAGUGCCCCAAAGUUUCUACCGGAGAGUCAAGACAAAAAUGUGUGCCAACCCCUAUGCAUAAGUUCACAAGGUCACUGAACCCGCAAGUUGAGCACCAAAACAUACAUCUAGUUGAUCGUGUGAUAUCCCAUUGUCACCACAGAUAAGCACAUUCAAGACAUACAUCAAGUGUUCUCAAAUCCUUCAAGACUCAAUCCGAUAAGAUAACUUCAAAGGAAAAACUCGAUCCAUUACAAGAGAAUAGAGGGGGAGAAACAUCAUAAGAUCCAAUUAUAGUAGCAAAGCUCGCGGUACAUCAAGAUCGUGCCAUAUCAAGAACACGAGAGAGAGAGAGAGAGAGAGAGAGAUCAAACACAUAGCUACUAGUACGUACACUCAGCCCCGAGGGUGAAUUACUCCCUCCUCGUCAUGGAGAGUGCCGAGAUGAUGAAGAUGGCCACCGGUGAUGGAUCCCCCCUCCGGCAGGGUGCCGGAACAGGGUUUCAAGAGGUUUUUGGUGGCUACAGAGGCUUGCGGCGGUGGAACUCCCGAUCUAGGUUUCUUUCUGGGGGUUUGUGUGUUUGUAGGAAUUUUUGGCGUCGGUUUUACGUCAGGAGGGUCUCCGAGUCAUCCACGAGAUAGGGGGGCGCGCCCAGGGUGUAGGGUGCGCCCUCCACCCUCGUGGACAGCUCGGGACUCUUUUGGCCCAACUCUUUUACUCCGGGGCCUUCUUUUGGUCCAUAAAAAAUCAUCAAAAAUUGUCACGUCAAUUGGACUCCGUUUGGUAUUCCUUUUCUGUAAAACUCAAAAACAAGGAGAAAACAGAAACUGGCACUGGGCUCUAUGUUAAUAGGUUAGUCCCAAAAAUCAUAUAAAACAACAUCUAAAUGCAUAUCAAACAUCCUAGAUGGAUAAUAUAAUAGCAUGGAACAAUCAAAAAUUAUAGAUACGCUGGAGACAUAUCAAGCAUCCCCAAGCUUAAUUCACGCUCGUCCUCGAGUAGGUAAAUGAUAAAAACAAAAUUUUUGAUGUGGAAUGCUACCUAACAUAUUUAUCAAUGUAAUCUAUCUUUAUUGUGGCAAGAAUAUUCAGAUCCAUAAGAUUCAAAACAAAAGUUUAAUAUUGACAUAAAAGUGAUAAUACUUCAAGCAUACUAACAAAGCAAUCAUGUCUUCUCAAAAUAAUAUGGCCAAAGAAAGCUAUCCCUACAAAAUCAUAUAGUCUGGCUAUGCUCUAUCUUCAUCACACAAAAUAUUUAAAUCAUGCAAAACCCCGGUUUUAGGCAAGCAAUUGUUUCAUACUUUAGUAUUCUCAAAAAAAAUUAGUCUUCACGCAAUACAUGAGCGUGAGCCAUGGACAUAGCACCAUAGGUGGAAUAGAAUGGUGGUUGUGGAGAAGACAAAAAGGAGAAGAUAGUCUCACAUCAACUAGGCGUAUCAACGGGCUAUGGAGAUGCCCAUCAAUAGAUAUCAAUGUGAGUGAGUAGGGAUUGCCAUACAACGGAUGCACUAGAGCUAUAAGUGUAUGAAAGCUCAAAAAGAAACUAAGUGGGUGUGCAUCCAACUUGCUUGCUCAUGAAGACCUAGGGCAUUUGAGGAAGCCCAUCAUUGGAAUAUACAAGCCAAGUUCUAUAAUGAAAAUUCCCACUAGUAUAUGAAAGUGUCAACAUAGGAGAAUCUCUAUCAUGAAGAUCAUGGCGCUACUUUGAAGCACAAGUGUGGUAAAAGGAUAGUAGCAUUGCCCCUUCUCUCUUUUUCUCUCAUUUUUUUGGGCCUUCUCUUUUUUUGGCCUCUUUUUUUCGUCCGGAGUCUCAUCCCGACUUGUGGGGGAAUCAGUCUCCAUCAUGCUUUCCUCACUGGGACAGUGCUCUAAUAAUGAAGAUCAUCACACUUUUAUUUACUUACAACUUAAGAAUUACAACUCGAUACUAAGAACAAAAUAUGACUCUAUGUAAAUGCCUUCGGCAGUGUACCGGGAUGUGCAAUGAAUCAAGAGUGACAUGUAUGAAAGAAUUAUGAACGGUGGCUUUGCCACAAAUACAAUGUCAACUACAUGAUCAUGCAAAGAAAUAUGACAAUAAUGAAGCGUGUCAUAGUAAACGGAACGGUGGAAAGUUGCAUGACAAUAUAUCUCAGAAUUGCUAUGGAAAUGCCAUAAUAGGUAGGUAUGGUGGCUGUUUUGAGGAAUAUAAUGGUGGAUGUAUGGUACCGGCAGAAAUUGCACGGCUGUCGGGUGGUUGGUGCGACAUAUGGCAACGGGUGGCUUAUCAUUGUGGGAGCCAAUAAGAUGUCGCCGGUGCCUGGAAACGGGAUAAUUCGAAGACAUGCACGCCGGCAAAUCUUACCCAGGUUCGGGGCUCUCCGUGGAGAUAACACCCCUAGUCCUGCUCUGCGGGGUCUCCGCAUGAUCACUAGAUCAACAAGUAGCUACAAGAGGCUCCUUGAGCUGUUUGGCGAGAGGAGGAAGAGGAGGCCAUGCUAGCUCUCUUCUCCUCUCAAAGUUGUGUCUAAAUCUAUCAGGGUCCAACCCUUUGCAUGGGUGCCCCAUGGGGUUUAUAUAGGCCUACCCCCCGGGGGUACAAUGGUAAUCUGGCCGGGCCUGGGCCCAGCCGUCAGUGUCUACGCUGGCCGGCUUCUCCGCCGACAGCUGGGGCCCGCCGGCUGCCGGCUUCCUGGUAGACAGGUAGGCCCCACCGCUUGGGGGUCUUGUCGGGGGUUGGUUACUGUCGCCUCACCUUUGAUGACGAGGGCUUGCUCGAGGUAAGCAUGGCUACAGUGCCGACGCCUUGCGGGCGCUCACUAUAGCGUCACCUCGAAUUGUCUCCUUAAUGGGGCUCAUUCUUCGAGGGAGGGAUCAAGCCGGCUGGGGAGAGCCGGCUUCAUCCCUGGCCGACUAGGGGGCGUGCGACCGCCUUCAGAUGCCCCUCUGGCCAAAGGGGCCCGCCGCCUGCGGGCCGUACCAUCAGUUUAUCGUGGGUGAUGUCAUGGUCAGCAUGGCAACAGUGCCGCGCCGGACGGGUCAUGGCAGCCCCAUACGGCGCACUGUAGCCAUGCGAAAUCCGGGAUUCGGGGGCGGCGUAUCUCACUGUUGCCACGCCCUGUCGCGUUGUCAUUAUGCUGGAACAAGCUCCGAGUGCCCGAUCUGGGCCGUCUAUUGGGGGCCGGCUUUACGGAGUCGACCGUGCGAUGGCCGGCUUUACGGAGUCGGCCAUGUGGUGGCCGGCUUUUAUGGAGUCGGCCAUGUGGUGGCCGGCUUUCUUUGGGAGGGCUCUUGGCCAGGCCGCCCCGGUAGCCGGCCAAGGGGGUAGCCGGCCGGGGGAAGGCGACCCUGCGUCUUGGAUGCUUGACGGUUCGAUCAGCCUGAUUAUUUUGUCAAGAACCAGGGGGAGCCGGCUAGGCUACCCGUGGUCAAUUACUCCGACAGUAUUCCCCGAAGUUGGUUGUGCUUCGUGGCUGCGAAGGGAACUAAAAGCUCAAUCAGCUUCCUAUCCUGAAGAGCCGGCAGCUAGGAGCCGGCAUCGCUUUAUGCUUGCCCUCUCGGCGAAGUCUCCUUUGAAAUUCAAAGGCAGGAACGAGUUGGCGCACGAGCCAAGCUACGGUCUGACCGCCCACCGCUUAUGCGCCACAUGGCGCCCUCUGACCAGAGGGGCCUGCCAGCCCACGCGCCUGACGGGACGCCACUGCAGACCGGGGCCCGCCACUACCACGCCUCGGCCCAAGCGAGGAUCCUUUGUGGCCCGAUCUGGCCGCUCGCCUUCCAGCGGCGGUUUCCGCAUGCUGUUAUGGCACGGAAUCGCGGGACGUGGGGGAGUGGGGCAGUUAAUCCCACGUCCCCCCACGCCUCGCCUCCUCGGCUUCGCCACACGAGGCUAUAAGUAGGGGGAGGGGGAGAGCGGCUGACGCACGCGCGCUCGCCCCAGUCCCAUCUCUCUCUCCUUCUCCUUCUACCCCGCUGCCGCAGCAGCAAUGCUCCGCCGUGCCACCGCCCAGCCACUUUCCUGGGCGCGCCGCUGCCUCGUUGCCGCCGACCCGGGUGUCCUCCGCCGCUGCGCGUCUCCAGGCGCCUUCCCGUCCUUAUGGCUCCUACGUCAAGCAACUGGGACGGCUCCAACGUCCACGAAGACCACAUCGAUUUCCUUCGCAAGACGCGGAGGUUGCCGGGCAAGGAGCCCGUUCAGGUCCGGCUCGCGCGGGAGGGGGAGAUUUCGCCGGCGCUGGAGGAGGGCGAGCGGGUGAUCUUCCGCUUGCACUGCCUGCGCGGCAUCGGCCUCCCCGCGAGCGGCUUCUUCUGCUCGUUCCUCGAGUUCUACCAUCUGCAACCGCACCACCUCACUCCAAACACAGUGGUGCUGCUGUCAGCCUUUGUCACUCUGUGCGAAGGCUUCCUCGGCGUUCUCCCCACCCUCGAGCUAUGGAGGGGGGGGGGUUUCUUCCAGUCCAAGCUCGGCACCGUCACCGCGGGCGUGCCGGCCCCAUGUGGCGCCGUCUUCGCCAUGCGGUGGAUGACGAUCGACAACCCGUUCCCGGCCAUUGCGCUGAUCCAGUCGGUGAAGCUUUGGCAGAAGUCUUAUUUUUACGUGAAGAACGUCGCCCCGCAAGGCGACUAUGUCAACCUGCCGGCUUACAUAGCCGGCCCGCCGGCUGGGAGGCAGCCCUCGUGGUCUUAUCGGGCCAGGUAGCUGACGCCGGCUGGGGGAGGCGCCGUCGCCCGGCUUCGGGUGCUGAUCUAGUCGGAGGGCGUGACCGACCUUGAUCUGAUUGCCGCCUUCUUGGAGCGCCGGGUGCUCCCGCUUCAAGGACGCCCUCAUCUGAUAAGCCAGAUGAGCGCCCGAUUCAGCACCAGGGAGAUGCCUCACGACGAGGUGUCUUACAUGGUGAACUACAUCACCAACUGCAAGCUUACUUAAGACUGACAGUACGGCAAGGCGCCGUACUCUCGCGCCAAUCCACCACACAUGGUAAUCUUUUUUCUUUCCUCUUUUUCUUUGUUGCCGAGUUUUCCUUUCUGGCCGACUUCUGACCAGUCGGCUUUUUCUUCUUUUAAUCAGAAUCCCCUCCUUCAUCAGCCGGCCGGGACCGCAGGGGCGGAACGCGAGUUUGCCCCUGAUCGCGUGGCGGACGACUUCGACGACCCGACUUGGGGGCGGCCGCCUUGGAAGACGAUGCCGUGGGGGGAGGAGGCGAGCUAGGCGGCUCUGGGCUCUCCGCCACCUUCGAGGAUUGGUUGGAUGAUGACGAGGCCGAGCCGCUACCACGCCGCCAGCCGGUGUCCGACCAUCAAGGCGCAGGCUCACCGGCCGAGCCGGCUGCCCGAGGCGGCAUACGGAAACGCCGUACCGGGUUGUGAUAUCUGGGAUGAAUGUUACGGCAGUCGGCCCAUUCAGCUUCUUGAUCGGCUUUGCUUCAAUCCACUUGGUAAAUUUGUCCAUGGCGAUAAGCAGAUGUGUCAUGCCACCGCGUGCAGUCUUGAAUGGGCCCACCAUAUCCAACCCCCAGAUGGCAAAGGGCCAAGUGAGGGGGAUGGUCUUGAGUGCAGAAGCCGGCAGGUGUUGCUUGGAGCUGAAGACUUGGCAGCCUUUCCAGUGUUUGACUAGUUCCUUGGCAUCGUCCAAAGCAGUCGGCCAAAAGAAACCAUGGCGGAAAGCUUUGGCGACGAGUGAUCUUGAGGCUGCGUGGUGGCCGCAUUCGCCUUGGUGUAUAUCUUCGAGGAUUGCUAUGCCCUUCUCUGGCUCGACGCAGCACUGGAAAACUCCAGUGACACUACGCCUAACAAGCUCUCGGUUCAUGAUUGUAUAAGCUCCGGCUCGGCGUUGGACUUGUCUUGCCGAGAUCUCAUCAGUCGGCAAUUCCGUGUUAAUCAGGAAUUUGAGGAUGGGCUGGGCCCAUGAUGGAGCUGUGACUUCUUCUGUUGUCAAGGUGCCUACCACGACCAGGGCGGGUGGGCUGGGUGGUGAGGAGUUGGAAUCGGCCAUCACCUGUGGUGUUGAUGCAGUCCCCGGGCCGACUGCAGUAGUCCUUGAGCCGUGUUCUGAAGUCCCCGGUCCAGGUAAGACUACAGCAGUCCCCGAGCCACCUGUCGAAGUCCCCGAGCCCCCUGCUUGGUUCCCCAAGCCGGCUUCGAUUGCGUCGGGGUCAGGCGGCACGAAGAUGGAAUCGGACUCCGGAGCCGGUUUGACAGACGGCUUAAGGAGGCGUUGGAGGGAGACGCCGGUUGGUAUAGCUUGCCGGGUGGAGCCUAUUCGUGCCAGGGCAUCAGCUUGCUCGUUGUUGGCUCGUGGCACAUGGAGGAACUCGCACCCUUCAAAGUAUCCGCUGAGUUGCUGAACGAGGAAGCGGUAGCUCGCCAUGUUUGCGUCCUUGGUGUCCCAUUCGCCGGAUGAUUGUUAGACUACCAAGUCCGAGUCGCCAUAACACAGGAUCCGGCGGAUGCCGAGCUCUUUGGCUAGCCGGAGUCCGUGUAUGAGCGCCUCGUACUCGGCCACAUUGUUGGAGGCGGCAAAAUGAAUUUGCAAUGUGUAUCUGAGCUUGUCGCCCUUGGGAGAGGUGAGGACGAUGCCGGCUCCCAAGCCGAUGCGCAUCUUGGAUCCAUCGAAGUGCAUCCGCCAAUGGGUGGAGUUGGGCGCAGGCGGCAGGUACUGGGUCUCGGCCGAGUCGACGAGGAAGUCGGCCAAUUCUUGGGACUUGAUGGCGGUGCGGGGUUGAUAGAAGUUCGUAUACGGGGCCAACGCAAUGGCCCAUUUGGCCACCCGGCUGGAUGCAUCCUGGCUGCCUAUGAUCUCGGCCAGCGGGGCAGUGCAUACGACCGUGAUGGGGUGUUCUUGGAAGUAGGGCUUGAGCUCCUUGGCGGCGAAGUACACGCCAUAGCACAUCUUCUGAUAGUGUGGAUAGUUUUGCUUUGAUGUGGACAGUACUUCACUCAGGUAAUAGACCGGCCUCUGGACUGGCUGAACUCGGCCCUCUUCCGGGCGUUCAACCACGAUGACAGUGCUGACCACUCUGCUAGCGGCGGCAAUGUAUAGGAGCAUGGGCUCUUUCUCGGUUGGUGCCGCCAGGACAGGCGGCACGGACAACAUCUUCUUUAACUCGUUCCACUCGAAGUGAGUGGACUUCUUCAUGAGUCGAUAGAGAUGGAGGGCCUUCUCCCCGAGCCGGCUUAUGAAGCGGUUGAGGGAGGCCAAGCAUCCGGUAAAUUUCUGGACAUCUCUCAGCUUGGUAGGAAUCUCCAUUCUCUCUAUAGCCUUGAUCUUCACCAGGUUGCAUUUGAUGCCGCGUUCGGAGACCAGGAAUCCUAGGAGCUGGCCGGCUGGCAUUCCGAAGACGCAUUUUUCUAGAUUGAGCUUGACCUGAAAUCGGCGCACAUUCUCGAACGUCUCUUUAAGGUCUUCCAGCAGGGUGCCGCGCUUCUUCGUCUUCACCACAAUAUCGUCUACAUAGACAUGAGCAUUUCUGCCGAGUUGCUUGAGGAGGCAUUUCUGCAUGCAACGCUGAAAAGUGGCACCGGCGUUUCUCAAGCCGAAUGUCAUAGUCAAGUAGCAGAAAGCUCUGAAUCGUGUGAUGAAGGCGGUCUUCAAGCGGUCAGCUGGGUCCAAUUUUAUCUGGUGGUAGCCUGAGUAAGCAUCCAGAAAACUCAACAGCUCGCAUCCGGCUGUGGAGUCUAUCACUUGAUCAAUCCUUGGCAGGGCAAAAGGAUCCUUGGGGCAGGCUUUGUUGAGGCUGGUGUAGUCAAUACACAUGCGCCAUUGUUUGUUCUUCUUCAGCACCAGGACCGGGUUGGCAAGCCACUCGGGGAAGAAAACCUCCAUGAUGAAGCCGGCUGCCAGAAGUCGGGCUAUUUCCUCUGCGACUACUCUUCUCUUUUCCUCUGAUAGGCGGCGCAAGGGCUGUUUGACCGGUUUGGCAUCCUUCCGGACGUGUAGCUUUUGCUUGGCGAAAUCUGUCGGGACACCUGUCAUGUCUUUGGGAGACCAUGCAAAGAUGUCCCGAUUCUCACGGAUGAAAUCAAUGAGCUCGCUUUCCUAUUUGCUGUCAAGGCCGGUUCCCAUGACCGCGUAUCUCUUGGGGUGCUCCGGGUCCAGAGGUAUCUUCUUGGUUUCUUUGGCCGGCUGGAAAGAACACUGAGCCUCACAUUCCUUUGAAUCGGGGGACAGGGCCGGCUGUUUGCCGGCCAUGGCCACGACUCGGUCCAACAUCUUCUUCUCUUCAGCAAUCACGAGGGACUCGGCCAGCCGGCUGCUAGCAGCCGCACACUCGGCGGAUUUCUUCUAGUCUCCGGAUAUGGUGAUGAUGCCCUUGGAACUCGGCACCUUCAUCUUGAGGUAGGCUUAGUGGGGUACAGCCAUGAACUUGGCCAAUGCGGGUCGGCCAAGCAGCGCGUGGUAAGGGCUCUCCAAAUCCACUACCUCAAACCAUACUGCUUCUCGGCGGAAAUGAUCUUUGUCUCCAAAGAGGACGUCUAUCUUGAUCUUGCCGAUCGGAGCAAAGGACAAGCCGGGUACAAUGCCAUGAAACACAGUCCGACUCGGCAUGAGCUGUUUUGCCUUGACGUUCAGCUUCUCCAUGGUAUCACAGUAUAAUAUGUUGAUGUUGCUUCCGCCAUCUAUCAACACGCGGGAGAAUCAGGCAGCCCGCCGAUCCAUUGCGAGGGUGGCAUCUAAAACCAAUGCAUAAGAGCCGAGCGACGGCAUCACCUCUGGGUGAUCAGCCCGGCUCCAACUGAUAGGUUUCUUCGACCAGUGCAUGAACUCGGGGUUGUUGGAUGCGACCGCGUUGACUUCUUGGUGUUGUCGGCGCCGACUUCGCUGAUCUUCUGGUUGGCUCGUGAAGACGACGUAGGCGGCAUGCUCGUCAGGGAACUCGUCGUGGACGGCUCCGACUGCUGGCCGAGCGGCCGGCUGUUGAGGAGCCGGAGGCGGCUGACCAGCAGGCGGAGGCGGCACCAGCCCCUCGCCUUUGGAGAUUCGUGUGAGCCAAUGGCACUUCCAAGUGGUGUGGUUGGAGGCCUUCGCGCUGCUGUGGAACUUGCGGGGCAUCAAGUGCUUGUUCAUAGGAGAAAGCCGGCUGCCAAGCCGGCCUGCCACCCUUCUGCUUCUUGGGCGCGGGCUGCCCCUCAGGUUGUUCGUCUUUGACUAUGGGCUACUUGCCGACUGGCGAAGUCGGCAUCGGAGCUUGGCACUUGUUGUCAUUAUGGUACGGGCGCUGAGUGGACUCUCCAGCCGGCGUCUUGGGAGCCGGUGCAAGCACCUUCCCGGAAGCGUCGACUCGAAGCUUGGUCUUCAUGGAGGUGUAGGCCAUGGCGUAUUUGUCCGCGAUGAUCAGCAGCUCGUCGAGGGUAGUCGGCUCGUCGCAGAGGAACCGGUGCUUGAGGAGGGUGCCUUCUUGGCACCCGGCCGUGAAGUACUCUAUUGCUUGAACCUCGUGCACCCCUUCGCAGGAGUUUCGGAGCUCGGCCCAAUGCGUAAGGUAGUCACGAGUCGACUUGUUGGGUUCUUGUAUGCACAAGGAGAGCCGUCGGGGCUUGGGGGCCCGCUUGUAGGUGCUGGUGAAGUUGCAGAUGAAGGCUUCCGUGAAGUCGAGCCAGCUGUUGAUGUUGUAGGGCUUGAGGCUAUUGAGCCAGGUCCGCGUCGUGCCCUGGAGCAUCAGGGGGACGUAUUUUACGGCAACACGCCUGUUGCCAUUCGCUAUGCGAACCGCGGUGGAGUAGUCAAUCAACUAAUCCUCCGGCUUCACGGAGCCAUUGUAUUUGGGCGUGUCUCUUGGGAGCGAGAACCCUUUGGGGGAGGGCUCAUCGCGGAUGCAAGGGCCAAAGCAAGGCGUGCCGACAUCAUCUUCUUCUUCCAAUGCCAGGGAUCGCGCGAGGCGGUCAAUCCGAUGGCGGGCAUCGUUUUCGCCGACUCCUUCACGGCGACCUAGUCGGCCGCUAAGAGUCGGAUGCGUGACAGGCGGUGGGGUGGGAUAUCUCUCCCCACGAGGCGGCGGAGGAGGCGGAUCGCCUCGUCGCUCCACGGCUCGAGGGCAGCCUUCUGUGUCGCGCUCGAUAGUGACUCGAGUCCGUCUGCGACUGGCAACCGGCUCCUUUUCCUGCCUUGUCUGGGCUCCGCCCGCAGUUGGCGUACGCGACAUCGCGCCGUGCUCUCGGCGCGGGGGAGGGCUUUUGGCGCGGAUGCCGGCUUCGUGCCGCUUUGCGGCCGCGUCGAUCGGCUGUUGGAUUCGCCUGAUCAUGUAGGGGAGCUCGUCGGCCCCUACUCCGUUCAGCUCGUCUACAACCGACUGGGCGGCGCGUAGGUUCUCGAGAGGCGUGGCGUAGACUGGGCAUUCUGCCCCUAGCAUGUCGGCGAUGUCCGCGCCGCGUUUCUGGACAACGCUGGCCUGGCUCGGUCCGUCGGGAGGCGGCGUUCCGAAGGCGGCGCGGUCGACCUCGCUCUGGUGGGCCUCGGUGAGGCAUCUCAUGGUGGCUAGCUUCUAUCCCUCCGCGACGAGGGCAAGGUGGCGAGCCUCCAGUGCCUCGGCGUCAGCGUCGUCCGGGAUGGGGACGGACAGGUCCUGCAGCGCCGCUUGCAGGGCGUCGUGGGUGUUCUCGUUGGAGGCGACUCUGUGGCUGAUGAUCAGCACCUCGGUGAUGGUGCUGCCACCACUGUCGGCUUGCGGGAGAGGAUCAUCGAAGACCACCAUGUUGGUGGGGAAAGCGUCGAGCAAUGCGGUGUCGGAGUCGACAAGCAUCGGGUCGGUGGAACCGACCGACUCCAAAUCCAUAGCAGGCUCGCUGGAGACGUGGAGUUGGUCGAGGAGGCUGACGAGGCGGCUCUCGAUGCAGCCGGUGCAUGCAUCAGAUGCGGGCUCGUCGGAGAUGCGAGCCUCGCCAAGGAGAUCGGCGAGGCAGCUCGCCGCGCAGGCGCCAUCGACACCUCGCAGCGCGUCAGGGCAAGCGCCAUCGGGCGUGCCGGGCUGGCUACGCUCGCGGGGGAGGAAGAGGGUUCCCGUACAGAACAGGUCUCCGGACGACGGUGCAUCUGGCCCCACGGUGGGCGCCAAAUGUCGGGUGGUUGGUGCGACAUAUGCCAACGGGUGGCUUAUCAUUGUGGGAGACAAUAAGACGUCGCCGGUGCCUGGAAACGGGAUAAGGCGAAGACAUGCACGCCGACGAAUCGUACCCAUGUUCGGGGCUCUCCGUGGAGAUAACACCCCUAGUCAAGCUCUGCGGGGUCUCCGCAUGAUCACUAGAUCAACAAGUAGCUACAAGAGGCUCCUUGAGCUGUUUGGCGAGAGGAGGAAGAGGGGGCCACGCUAGCUCUCUUCUCCUCUCAAAGUUGUGUCUAAAUCUAUCAGGGUCCAACCAUUUGCGUGGGUGCCCCGGGGGUUUAUAUAGGCCUACCCCCCCGGGGGUACAAUGGUAAUCCGGCCAGGCCUGGGCCCAGCCGUCAGUGUCUAUGCUGGCCGGCUUCUCCGCGGACUGCUGGAGCCCACCGACUAGUGGGUCCCACCGGCUGCCAGCUUCCUGGUAGACAGGUAGGCCCGACCGCUUGGGGGUCUUGUUGGGGGCUGGUUACUGUCGCCUCACCUUUGAUGACGAGGGCUUGGUCGAGGUAAGUGUGGCUACAGUGCCGCCGCCUUGCGAGCGCUCACUGUAGCCUGACCUCGUCUUGUCUCCUUAAUAAGGCUCAUUCUUCGAGGGAGGGAUCAAGCCGGCUGGGGAGAGCCGGCUUCAUCCCUGGCCGACUAGGGGGCGUGCGGCCGCCUUCAGAUGCCCCUCUAGCCAAAGGGGCCCGCCGCCUGCAGGCCGUACCGUCAGUUUAUCGUGGGUGAUGUCAUGGUCAGCAGGGCAACAGUGCCGCGCCGGACGGGUCAUGGCAGCCCCGUACGGCGCACUGUAGCCAUGCGAAACCUGGGAUUCGGGGGCGGCGUAUCUGAUUGUUGCCACGCCCUGUCUCGUCGUCAUUAUGCUGGAACAAGCUCCGAGUGCCUGAUCUGGGCCGUCUAUUGGGGGCCGGCUUUACGGAGUCGGCCGUGCGAUGGCCGGCUUUACGGAGUCGGCCAUGUGGUGGCCGGCUUUUAUGGAGUCGGCCAUGUGGUGGCCGGCUUUCUUUGGGAGGGCUCUUGGCCAGGCCGCCCCGGUAGCCGGCCAAGGGGGUAGCCCGCCGGGGGAAGGCGACCCUGCGUCUUGGAUGCUUGAUGGUUUGAUCAGCCCGAUUAUUUUGUCAAGAACCAGGGGGAGCCGGCUAGGCUACCCGUGAUCAAUUACUCCGACAACGGCACAAGAGAGGCUAGCAAUGGUGGAAGGGUGAGAGUGUGUAUAAUCCAUGGACUCAACAUUAGUCAUAAAGAACUCACAUACUUAUUGCAAAAAUCUACAUGUCAUCAAAACAAAGUACUACGCGCAUGCUCCUAGGGAAAGGUUGGUAGGAGUUAACCAUCGCACGAUCCCGACCUUGAUACGUCUCCAACGUAUCUAUAAUUUUUGAUUGUUCCAUGCUAUUAUAUUACCCCAUUUGGAUGUUUAUGGGCUUUAAUUUACACAUUUAUAUCAUUUUCGAGACUAACCUACUAACCGGAGGCCCAGCCCGUAUUGCUGUUUUUUGCCUAUUUCAGUAUUUCGAAGAAAAGGAAUAUCAAACGGAGUCCAAACGGAAUGAAACCUUCGGGGGCGUGAUUUUUGGAACGAAUGUGAUCCAGAGGACUUGGAGUGCAAGUCAAGAUGCAGCCGAGGCAGCCACGAGAUAGGAGGGUGCCCCCCUAUUGGGCAUGCCCCCUGUCUCGUGGGCCCCUCGGGCGGCCACCGACGUACUUCUUCCUCCUAUAUAAGCCUACGUACCACGAAAACAUCCAGGGAGCAACCGAAACACAAUUUCCACCGCCUUAACCUUCUGUAUCCGCGAGAUCCCAUCUUGGAGCCUUCGCCGGUGCUCCGUUGGAGGGGGAAUCGACCAUGGAGGGCUUCUACAUCAACACCAUAGCCCCUCCGAUGAGCUGUGAGUAGUUUACCACAGACCUACGGGUCCAUAGUUAUUAGCUAGAUGGCUUCUUCUCUCUUUUUGGAUCUCAAUACAAUGUUCUCCCCCUCUCCUGUGGAGAUCUAUUCGAUGUAAACUCUUUUUGCGGUGUGUUUGUCGAGAUCCGAUGAAUUGUGGGUUUAUGAUCAAGUUUAUCUAUGAAUAAUAUUUGAAUCUUCUCUGAAUUCUUUUAUGUAUGAUUGAGUUAUCUUUGCAAGUCUCUUCGAAUUAUCAGUUUGGUUUGGCCUACUAGAUUGAUCUUUCUUGCCAUCGGAGAAGUGCUUAUCUUUGGGUUCAAUCUUGCGGUGUCCUUACCCAGUGACAGAAAGGGUUGCAAGGCACGUAUUGUAUUGUUGCCAUCGAGGAUAACAAGAUGGGGUUUAUAUCAUAUUGCUUGAGUUUAUCCCUCUACAUCAUGUCAUCUUGCUUAAAGUGUUACUCUGUUCUUAUGAACUUAAUACUCUAGAUGCAGGCAGGUGUCGGUCGAUGUGUGGAGUAAUAGUAGUAGAUGCAGGUAAGAGUCGGUUUACUUGUUGCAGACGUGAUGCCUGUAUACAUGAUCAUGCCUAGAUAAUCUCAUAAUUAUUCACUUUUCUAUCAAUUGCUCGACAGUAAUUUGUUCACCCACCGUAAUACUUAUGCUAUCUUGAGAGAAGCCACUAGUGAAACCUAUGGCCCCCGGGUCUAUCUCUUAUCAUAUUUGCUUCCAAUCUACUUUUAUUUGCAUCUUUACGUUUUAUAUCUAUCUUAUAAAAUACCAAAAAUAAAUUUAUCUUAUCAUACUAUCUCUAUCAGAUCUCACUUUCGCAAGUGGCCGUGAAGGGAUUGACAACCCCUUUAUUGUGUUGGUUGCGAGUUCUUUGUUUGUUUGUGUAGGUGCGUGGGACUUUUGAGGAGCCUCCUACUGAUUGAUACCUUGGUUCUAAAAAACUGAGGGAAAUACUUAUGCUAAUAUUGCUGCAUCACCCUUUCCUCUUCAAGGAAAACCAACACAAGCUCAAGACGUAGCAAGAAGGAUUUCUGGCGCCGUUGCCGGGGAAGUCUUCGCUCAAGUCAAGACAUACCAAGUACCCAUCACAAACUCAUCUCCCUCGCAUUUACAUUAUUUGCCAUUUGCCUCUCGUUUUCCUCUCCCGCACUUCACCCUUGCCGUUUUAUUCGCCCUCUCUUUCCCAAUCUCCUCCUCUCUUGUUCGCUUGCCUUUUUCUGUUUGCUUGUGUGUUGGAUUACUUGUUGCCAUGGUGCAAGAUAAUACCAAAUUGUGUGAUUUCUCGAAUACCAAUAAUAAUGAUUUCCUUAUCACUCCGAUUGCUCCUCUUAAUGAUGUUGAGUCUUGUGAAAUGAAUACUGCUUUACUGAAUCUUGUUAUGAAAGAUCAAUUCGCCGGCCUUCCUAGUGAAGACGCCGCUACUCAUCUAAACAACUUUGUUGAUUUGUGUGAUACGCAAAAGAAGAAAGAUACGGAUAACAAUAUUGUCAAAUUGAAGUUAUUUCCGUUUUCACUUAGAGAUCGUGCUAAAGUUUGGUUUUCGUCUUUGCCUAAAAAUAGUAUUGAUUCUUGGAACAAGUGCAAAGAUGCUUUUAUGUCUAAAUAUUUUCCUCCCACUAAGAUUAUCACUCUUAGGAACGAUAUCUUGAAUUUUAAAAAACUUUAUAAUGAGCAUGUUGCCCAAUCUUGGGAAAGAAUGAAAUUGAUGCUUCGCAAUUGCCCUACUCAUGGUUUGAAUUUAUGGAUGAUCAUACAAAAAUUUUAUGCCGGUUUGAACUUUGCUUCUAGAAAUCUCUUAGAUUCGGCUGUGGGAGGCACGUUUGUGGAAAUCACAUUAGGAGAUGCUACAAAACUUCUCGAUAAUAUUAUGGCUAAUUAUUCUCAAUGGCACACCAAAAGAUCUUCUAGUAAAAAGUGCAUGCUAUAUAAGAAAUCAAUGUUUUGAGUGGAAAGAUGGAUGUACUUAUGAAAUAUUUGCUACUAAAAAUACUCCUCUUGAUCCCAAUGAUAUUCCUUUGUCUACUUUGAUUGAUAAUAACAAUGAAUCUAUGGAUGCGAAUUUUGUUGUUAGGAAUAGUUUUGGAAACAAUGCUUAUAGAGGAAACUUUAAUUCUAGACCGUUCCCUAGUAAUUCCUCUAAUAAUUAUGGAAACUCAUACAAUAAUUCUUAUGGCAAUUUUAAUAAGAUGCCCUCUGAUUUUGAGAAUAGUGUGAAAGAAUUUAUGAUUUCUCAAAAGAAUUUUAAUGCUUUGCUUGAAGAAAAAUUGCUCAAAGUUGAUGAUUUGGCUAGGAACGUUGAUACACUUUCGCUUGAUGUUGAUUCUCUUCAACUUAGAUCCUCUCCUCCUAAGCAUGAUAUCAAUGAGUCUCUCAAAGCCAUGAGAAUUUCCAUUGAUGAGUGCAAGGAAAGAACCGCUAGACUGUGUGCAAAGAAAGAUUGCUUUAUAAAAGCGUGUUCUUCUAGUUUCCAUGAAAAUAACGAUGAAGAUCUUAAAGUUAUUGAUGCGUCUCCUAUUAGAUCUAUGUUUUGCAAUAUGAAUCUUGAUAAUUAUGGCACCGAUGAUGAGUCAACUUUACCUAGAAGGCGUCCCAAGAAUUCAGAGUUUUUAGAUCUUGAUGCUAAAUUUGGUAAAAAUGGGAUUGGAGAGGUCACAACUUCAAAUAGUAUUGAACCCACUAUCUCGGAUUUCAAGGAUUUUGAUUAUGAUAAUUGUUCUUUAGAAAGUUGUAUUUCCUUGUUGCAAUCUGUUGUUAAUUAUCCUCAUGCUUAUAGUCAAAAUAAAGCUUUUACCAAACAUAUCGUUGAUGCCUUGAUGCAAUCUUAUGAUGAGAAACCUAAUUUGGAAGUUUCUAUACCUAGAAAACUUAAUGAUGAGUGGGAACCUACUAUAAAGAUUAGAAUCAAAUAUCAUGAGUGUUUUGCUUUGUGUAAUUUGGGUGCUAGUGUUUCCACGAUUCCGAAAACUUUAUGUGAUAUUCUAGGUUUCCAUGAUCUUGGUGAUUGCUCUUUAAAUUUGCACCUUGCGGAUUCCACCAUUAAAAAGCCAAUCGGAAGGAUCAAUGAUGUUCUCAUUGUUGCAAAUAGAAAUUUGGUGCCCGUAGAUUUUAUCGUUCUUGAUAUACAUUGCAAUCUUUCUUGCCCUGUUAUUCUUGGUAGACCUUUCCUUAGAACGAUUGGCGCGAUUAUUGAUAUGAAGGAAGGGAAUAUUAGAUUCCAAUUUCCAUUAAAGAAAGGCAUGGAGCACUUUCCAAGAAAGAAAGUCAAAUUACCUUAUGAAUCUAUCAUGCGGGCUACUUAUGAAUUUAGUGCCAAAGAUGGCGCUCGUUAGAUCUAUCUUCGCUUUUAUGCCUAGCUAGGGGCGUUAAACGAUAGUGCUAGUUGGGAGGCAACCCAAUUUUAUUUGUGUUUUUUGUUUUUUUCCUGUUUAGUAAUAAAUAUUGCAUCUACCUUCUGUUUAGAUGUGUUUUUAUCUUUUAAUUAGUGUUUGUGCCAAGUAGAACCUAUAGGAUAACCUAUGAUGAUAGUUGAUUUGAUUCUGCUGAAAAACAGAAACUUUGCGCGCACGAAUUUAGUUUUGUUACAUCACAGAAACGUGCUUUUGCGUUGAUUCUAGUUUCUUCUGAUCAAUAGACAAAUUUUCCAGGACUUCCUAUUUUGGUAGGAGUUUUAGAGUUCCAUAAUUUUGCAUUAGUUACAGAUUGCUACAAAUUAUUCUGUUUUUGACAGAUUCUGUUUUUCGUGUGUUGUUCGCUUAUUUCGAUGCAUCUAUGGCUAGUAAAAUAGUUUAUAAACCAUAGAGAAGUUGAAAUACAGUAGGUUUAACACCAAAAUAAAUAAAGAAUGAGUUUGUUACAGUACCUUAUGUGGUGGUUUUCUUUCUUUCACUAACGGAGCUUAUAAGAUUUCCUGUUGAGUUUUGUGUUGUGAAGUUUUCAAGUUUUGGGUAAAGCUUUUAUGGACUAUGGAAUAAGGAGUGGCAAGAGCCUAAGCUUGGGGAUGCCCAUGGCACCCCAAUAUAUUCAAGUAUAGCCAAAAGCCUAAGCUUGGGGAUGCCCCGGGAAGGCAUCCCCUCUUUCGUCUUCGCUCAUUGGUAACUUUACUUGGAGCUAUAUUUUUAUUCGCCACAUGAUAUGAGUUUUGCUUGGAGCAUCGUGUAUUAUAUUAUUCUUUGCUUUUUAGUUUACCACAAUCAUCCUUGCUGUACACACAUUUUCGGAGAAGCCUAUUUUAUUAGAAUUUGCUAGAAUACUCUAUGUGCUUCACUUAUAUCUUUUGAGCUUGAUAGUUUUUGCUCUAGUGCCUCACUUAUAUCUUUUGGAGCACGAGGUGACUUAUUUUUGUUGAAAUUGCUAGUAUCUCAUGCUUCACUUAUAUUAUUUUGAGAGUGAGGGAGUUCCGGACUAGGGGGUGUCCGGAUAGCCGAACUAUCAUAAUCGGCCGGACUCCAAGACUAUGAAGAUACAAGAUUGAAGACUUCGUCCUGUAUCCGGAUUGGACUUUCCUUGGCGUGGAAGGCAAGCUUGGCGAUACGGAUAUGUAGAUCUCCUACCAUUGUAACCGACUUUGUGUAAUCCUAGCCCUCUCCGGUGUCUAUAUAAACCGGAUGGCUGUAGUCCAUAGAACGAACAACAAUCAUACCAUAGGCUAGCUUCUAGGGUUUAGCCUCCUUGAUCUCGUGGUAGAUCCAAACUUGUAACACACAUCAUCAACAUUAAUCAAGCAGGACGUAGGGUUUUACCUCCAUCAAGAGGGCCCGAACCUGGGUAAAACAUCGUGUCCCUUGUCUCCUGUUACCAUCCGCCUAGACGCACAGUUCGGGACCCCCUACCCGAGAUCCGCCGGUUUUGACACCGACAUUGGUGCUUUCAUUGAGAGUUCCUCUGUGCCGUCAACGAUAGGCUCGAUGGCUUCUUCAAUCAUCAUCAACGACGCAGUCCAGGGUGAGACCUUCCUCCCCGGACAGAUCUUCGUAUUCGGCGGCUUCGCGCUACAGGCCAACUCGCUUGGCCAACUAGAGCAGAUCGAAAGCUACGCCCCUGGCCGUUAGGUCAGAUUUGGAAGUUUGAACUUCACGGCUGACAUCCGCGGGGACUUGAUCCUCGAUGGAUUCGAGCCACAGCUGAGCGUGCCACACUGUCACGGCAAGCAUGAUUUAGCUCCGCAGCCGGACAGUACCCUGGAGGCCGCACUCGAAACCGCUCCGAUCUUCAAUUCGGAGCCGGCUGCGCAGAUCGAGGACGGAUGCCUAGACACCGCCUCGGGGGCUGCAACCUCCAUGGCGAUAGAGCCAAACGCUGACCUUGUCCCUCAUAAAGCUCGUGACUCCGAGGUGCCGGACUCCUCGCCGGACUCCGCACCUCCUGCGCCCUCCCCAAUCGAAUCCGAUUGGGCGCCGAUCAAGGAGUUCACCGCAGCGGACAUCUUUCAACACUCACCUUUUGGCGACAUCUUGAGUUCACUAAAGUAUCUCUCGCUAUCAGGAGAGCCCUGGCCGGACUGCGGUCAGGACGGUUGGGAUGCGGACGACGAAGAAAUUCAAAGCCCACCCACCACCCACUUGGUAGCCACUGUCGACGAUCUAACCGACAUGCUAGACUACGACUCCGAAGACAUCGACGGUAUGGACGACGAUGCAGGAGACGACCAAGAACCAGCGCCUACUGGGCACUGGACAGCCACCUCAUCAUACGACAUAUACAUGGUGGAUAUCCCAAAAGAUGAAAAUGGCGAAGGAACAGAGGACGAUGACCCCUCCAAAAAGCAGCCCAAGCGCCGGCGUCAGCGGUGCCGCUCUAAAUCCUGCCACAGCAAGAAUGAAGACUCCGGCACCGGAGAUAAUAAUACACUGGACAGUGCCAAAGACAACCCACUCCAGCAAGAUGCAGCGCAGGAGGACGGAGACGCCAGCCCUUAUGAAGGAGCGGCAGAAGAAGAGGUAGAGGAUUAUAUGCCUCCCACCGGAGACGAGGCAAGCCUCAACGACGACGAAUUUGCCGUGCCUGAGGAUCCCGUCGAACAAGAGCAUUUUAAACGCAGGCUUAUGGCCACGGCGAACAGCCUCAAGAAAAAGCAGCAACAGCUUAGAGCUGAUCAGGAUCUGCUAGCCGACAGAUGGACUGAAGUCCUCGCGGCCGAAGAGCAUGAGCUUGAAUGCCCCUCCAAAAGCUACCCUAAAUGCAAGCUGCUCCCCCGAUUAGAGGAGGAGGCGUAUGAACCCGCAUCACCAGGAGACAAUACGGCUGACCGACCACCCCGUGGUCGCGACAGAGAGGCCUCUAGGCCCUUCACUAGACCCGUACCCUGGCAUCGCUCGAAAAGCACAAGGCCACAGGGGAACGCUCCGGACUUGCAAGAUAUAUUGGAGGAUAAGGCAAGACAAUCAAGAUCGAUCUAUGGAUCGCGUGGGCGCCCCACGAUACGUGACGACAACCUCGCGCCGGACACAGUAAGUUCGGCCGGGCCGAACAAAAUAGACAGAGCUCCCUUGAGCUCCGUCGUGAUAUCGCCUAGUACAGAGGUGCCGCACACCCACUAUGCUUCAUAGAUGAAGUAAUGGAUCAUCAAAUCCCCGAAGGGUUUAAACCUGUCAAUAUUGAAUCCUAUGAUGGCACAACAGACCCCGUGGUUUGGAUCGAAGACUACCUCCUUGACAUCCACAUGGCCCGCGGUGACGAUCUUCAUGCCAUCAAAUACCUCCCCCUCAAGCUUAAAGGACCAGCCCGGCAUUGGCUCAACAGCUUGCCAGCAGAGUCAAUUGGGAGUUGCGAAGACUUGGAAGCCGCAUUCCUUGAUAACUUCCAAGGCACGUAUGUGCAACCACCAGACGCCGAUGACCUAAGCCACAUAAUUCAGCAGCCAGACAAAUCGGCCAGACAAUUCUAGACAUGGUUCUUAACCAAGAAAAACCAAAUCAUCGACUAUCCGGAUGCGGAGGCCCUCGCGGCCUUCAAGCAUAACAUCCGCGACGAGUGGCUUGCCCGGCACCUGGGACAGGAAAAGCCGAAAUCCAUGGCAGCCCUCACAUCACUCAUGACCCGCUUCUGCGCGGGUGAGGACAGCUGGCUAGCACGCAGCAGUAACCUCAGCAAAAAUUCUGGCAGUCCGGAUUUCAAGGACCGAAAUGGCAGGCCGCGUCGUAACAAAAACAAACGCCACAUUAACGGCGACAAUAGUGAGGAUACAACAGUCAAUGCCGGAUUCAGAGGCUCUAAACCCGGUCAGCGGAAAAAGCCAUUCAAAAGAACUACUCCGGGUCCGUCCAAUUUGGACCGAAUACUCGACCGCUUGUGCCAGAUACACGGCACCCCCGAAAAGCCAGCUAACCACACCAACAGGGACUGUUGGGUAUUCAAGCAGGCAGGCAAGUUAAUUGCCGAAAACAAUGACAAGGGGCUGCAUAGCGAUGACGAGGAAGAGACCCGACCGCCGAACAAUAGAGGACAGAAGGGUUUCCCCCCACAGGUGCGGACGGUGAACAUGAUAUAUGCAACGCACAUACCCAAAAGGGAGCGGAAGCGUGCACUCAGGGAUGUCUACGCGAUGGAGCCAGUUGCCUCGAAGUUCAAUCCAUGGUCCUCCUGCCCGAUCACUUUUGACCGAAGGGACCACCCCACCAGCAUCCGCCACGGCGGAUUCGCUGCAUUGAUCUUAGAUCCAAUCGUCGAUGUAUUUCACCUAACCAGAGUCCUAAUGGACGGCAGCAGCAGCCUGAACCUGCUUUAUCAGGAUACAGUGCGCAAAAUGGGCAUAGACACCUCAAGGAUUAAACCUACCAAAACGACCUUUAAAGGCGUCAUACCAGGUGUAGAAGCUAAUUGUACAGGCUCAAUUACACUGGAAGUGGUCUUCGGAUCCCCGGAUAACUUCCGAAGCGAGGAGUUAAUCUUCGACAUAGUCCCGUUCCGCGGCGGCUAUCAUGCCUUGCUCGGACGUACCGCAUUUGCAAAGUUCAACGCGGUGCCGCACUACGCAUACCUCAAGCUCAAGAUGCCAGGCCCUCGAGGAUUCAUCACGGUCAACGGAAACACCGAACAUUCUCUCCGAACGGAGGAACAUACAGCGGCUCUCGCGGCAGAAGUACAAUGCAGCCUCUUAAGGCAAAUCUCGAGUCCGGCCGUUAAGCGGCCGGACUUAGCUAAGCGCGCCCAGAGUAACCUACAACAAGACCACCUGGCACGUUCCGAGCACGCGUAGCAGUGCGGCCCCAACCCCAGCCCCUGCAAAACAACAAAGCAGGUCCUUCACGUACACCAUUACGCUCUGAAGAUACCAUGGGCAUGGGGAGAGGGGCACAACCAUGAUAAGCCCAGACUAUGGCUCAACCACACCAGGGGCUCUCAAGUGUGUCGUUCUUUUUUUCUUUUUACCUUUUAUUUUUUACCCACAGGACUUCGUUCGUCAGAGGCCCUGUCCGGCAGCAGAACUGCCAAACUCACGAUGCAAUAGCCAGGGAAGGAUAAAGGCUACAACGAAUAUCCAGGUGGUCUCCAUUACGAGCAUUUUUAUACACCAAUCCGCAGCCUACCCCUGGAGGGGGACAUGUUCAACAAGUCCCAUCCUUUGCUUAUCGCACUAUUUGUAUCAUUCUGCAUUCAUAGCAGCACUUAUUGAAUAAAACAAUGUAGCACCUUCUUGCUUAUAAUUGCAUUUCUUUUUCUACGUAUGUUCAUUUACGGCAUGUUGCAUCCGUACGCUUUGGUACGGCUAAUAUACACCAGGGGCUUAUGUUCCCCGCAUUAUGGUGUGAUAAGUCCGAACACUUUCACAAGUGCGGGACCCCAAACUUAUAGCACUAUAUGCAUCGGCUCCAAAUCAUGUCUUGGGUCAAUAGUUGGGUUUGCCCGGCUCCCAUGUUUUGGUACCUUACGUUCCGUUAUAUCGGCUAAGGUAGCACUGGGAGAACCACUGCGAUUGCGCCCCAGUUGAGCUGGGUUAAUGCCUCAGUGGAGAAAGCUAAAACUGACCGUCAUGAUGAGGCGAGAGCCGGUCGCUGUUCGAGAGGUUUUUUGCGAGUCCUUAAAGACUUAUGCCGCUUAGAGCGAGGAGCCGGAUCCUGUCCGGCCCAGGCGUAGAUAGCGCCCCAAAUUCGGCCUUCCGAAGACUAGGGGCUUCGCCGAAAUUUAAAAUUAUAGAAUUCUAUGGCUAAGUGAGAGUGUUCAAGCAUUAUAAGUCCGGUUGUCUUAUUCACUGUGUUGAGCGCCUCCCUAGAUGGACCCAAAAAUGGGAACAAGAGUGCUCAAGUUUAUCCCAAACACCCCGGCACUCGUGGCAUGGGGGCUGAAGCCGACGACUUGCCAUCUCUCAGAUUUGAUAAACAGCCGCACAGAAGGUAAUAUUUUAAAUUAACAAGCGUUGCUUAGCGCAUAUGAACUAAGUUUUCAGCGCACAGGAUAAGAAAAUGCGAGUCUACUCAAAUAUUACAUCUUUGGAGCACUCACCCGCAAUAGUGCGGGCGCCCUUCAGCACACUCUUAUAAUACAUCUCGGGCGUGCGAUGCUGCUUGCCCUCUGGUGGCGGGUCCGUCACGAGCUUCUGGGCAUCCAUCUUGCCCCAGUGCACCUUUGUGCGGGCAAGGGCCCGACGGCACCCUCAAUGCAAGCGGAGUGCUUGAUGACUUCAACCCACGGGCACGCAUCCACCAGCCACCGCACCAGGCCGAAGUAGCUCCCAGGCAUGGCCUCCUUCGGCCACAGCCGAACUAUGAGGCCCUUCAUGGCCUGUUCGGCCGCCUUGUGGAGCUCCACCAGCUGCUUCAGCUGGUCGCUAAGGGGCACCGGAUGUCCAGCCUCAGCAUACUGAGACCAGAAGACCUUCUCUGUCGAGCUCCCCUCCUCGGCCCGGUAGAAUGCGGCAGUAUCGGACACGCUGCGAGGAAGAUCUGCGAACGCUCCUGGAGAGCUCCGAAUUCGGGUAAGCAACAGGUAAUUAACACUCACAUGCUUACUUUGCAUGAAAAAUGCCUUACCCGCUACUAUUUUCUUCACCGCCUCAAUCUCCUGGAGGGCCUUGUAGGCUUCGGCCUUAGCGGCUUUGGCACUCUCAAGAGCCAUUGCAAGCUCAGACUCUCGAGUCUUCGAGUCACGCUCCAAGCUCUCAUGUUUUUUCACGAGAUCCUGGAGCUCUUGCUGUACCUCCACCACCCGCGCCUCCUGCUUCUCUCGCUCAGUGCGCUCCACGGCCGCAUUGCGUUCGGCCGCGGCCACCGCCUCCUUCAGGGUCACCACCUCGUUAGUGUCCCCUGCAAUACCCACGUUAUCCUUGUCAUUUUUCUUGCAACCAAAUCCUUUUCUGUAAGGUACAAUUUUAGUAACGUAUUACUCACCUUCUUUUUCCUCGAGCUGCUUCUCGGCAUGGCCGAGCUCGUUCUCGGACCGCUCGAGGCUUUCCUUCAAAGUAUUGACCUACGCAGUCAGUGCAGCGGAGGUCAGCAGCACAGCCUGCAAUCCCAUAUUGACAUAUUUUUUAUGACUCCUGCGUAUAUCUUUUUAAAGAUCCUCAGUCCGGCUUUUAUUUCCGAACACCGAACCGAGCAUCAGGGGCUACUGUCUAUGCGGUACCAUUUUACAUAUAUUGAAAUUCUUACCUCAAAGCCUGUUAGAAGGCUGCUGAAGGCUUCGGUGAGCCCGCUCUUGGCGAGCUGAACCUUCUGAAUCACCGCACUCAUAACAGUGCGGUGUUCCUCUUCAAUGGAGGCGCCAUUGAGCGCCUCCAGCAAAUUAUCCGGUGCCUCCAGUUGGAUGGAGGCAGCCGGCAUCACGGUCUUGCCCUUCUUACGAAGGGGUCGCCCGCCAGACUCCGGAGCCACUGUGGCCUCCGGGGCUGAGUCCGGUGCAAUGUCCGGGAGGUUGUCCUAUGACACCUCCGGGGCCUCCCCCUCCUGGUGGGUCCUUUCCUAGGAUCCCACCUCGGUGUCAUCCGCAUCACGAGGGGUGGAGGCAGUCGAAAGAGAAUCCAUAUCCGACGCACCUAAGGACCCGCUCGAUGAAGCGGGAAGAUCAUCCUUGGGCGGACUGCAGGGUUGUAUGCGGCAUUAGAAAGACAUUAUGUGACGAAAGGGAAAAACCUUGAAGGUAUUCGGGAGUCCGGAUACUUACGAUCUCGCCAGGGGCUUGGCCCUUGGAGGCCAGUCCUCGUCGUCGUCGCUGGCGUUGGCAGAGUAGUCCGGGGGAAGAGUUUUCCCCUUCUUGGACCCUUCGGCCUCCCUUGUUGGGGAGGCCUUCCUUUUCUUCCCUCCCCCCGCUGGGGGAGAGGCUUUCUUCUUCUCCUCCUCGCCUUGGUGGGAGGAGUCGGCCUCGGAUUCAUCAUCCGAUAGCACCUGAAAACGGGAACUCUUCCGAGUCCCCGUGGCCUUCUUCUUGGCCUUCUUCUCCAGCACCACGUGGGGUGCCGGAGCCAGCAGCCCCGUUAGGCGGGCCUCCGCUGGGUCCUGUGGCAAUGGGGCCAGAUAGAUAGUCCGUUCGGCCUUCGCCAGCCAGUCCUGUCAAAGGUAAAGGGAGUUUAGAUCCCGCAUAGAGUCAAACUAUGGAAAACGAGUGGCAUAAUCACUUACCUCGUCAGCUGGAUGCUGCGAGCGGAAUCCACGAUCUUCGGUAGCGGAUGCGGGAGCCUCGGCGCCCUUGAACAACACCUUCCAGACAUCUUCGUACGUAGUGUUGAAGAGCCCGCUCAGGGUCUGGUGCUGCGCCGGAUCGAACUCCCACAUGUUGAAACCCCGUCGUUGGCACGGGAGAAUCCGGCGGAUGAGCAUGACCUGGACUACGUUGACAAGCUUGAGCUUCUUGUCCACCAUCUUCUGGAUACAGGCUUGGAGUCUAGUCAGCUCCUCCGAAUCCCCCCAGAUCCGGCCACUCUCUUUCCAGGAGGUGAGCCAUGUAGGGAUGCCGGAUCUGAAUUCGGGGGCCGUUGCCCAAUUGGGGUCACGCGGCUCGGUGAUGUAGAACCACCCCGAUGGCCACCCCUUAAUGGUUUCCACGAAAGUGCCCUCCAGCCACGUAACGUGGGACAUCUUGCCCACCAUGGCGCCUCCGCACUCCGCUUGGCUGCCCUUCACAACCUUCGGCUUGACACUGAAGGUCUUGAGCCACAAGCCGAGGUGGGGCUGGAUGCAGAGGAAGGCCUCGCACAUGGCGAUAAACGCCGAGAUGUUGAGGAUGAAAUUCAGGGCCAGAUCAUGGAAAUCUAAGCCGUAGUAGAACAUGAGCCCCCGGACAAAGGGAUGAAGUGGGAAGCCCAGUCCGUGGAGGAAAUGGGGAAGAAAUACUACCCUUUCAUGGGGCCUGGGGGUGGGGAUGAGCUCUCCCUCGUCGGGGAGCCGGUGCGCGAUGUCGCUGGACAAAUAUCCGGCGUCGCGCAGCUUCUGGAUCUGCCCCUCCGUGACGGAGGAGGCCAUCCACUUGCCUCCCGCUCCGGACAUAGUUGGAGAAGGUUGAGAUGAGAAGUGCGUACUUGGGCGCUGGAGCUCGAGUUCGCGGAGAUGGAUAAGCCAAGGAGGAAGAACGCGCAGGUAAAAGGGUUGGAUCUUUAUCCCCUUAUAUGGGCGGAAAAAAACAUGUGUCCCCACCGGCCUAGUAAAACUCGCUUAUCUCCCAAGCGUCACAAUCAAUGGCGCGGUUGGGUUACCCACGUUCGUAUUGAUGGUAAUCCCGGAAUAAGGGGGACACGAUCUCUGCUUCGACAAGACGUGCCAAGGAAACCGCUUCGCUAAACGCGCUGAGGUGGAACAAUAAAAACAAUUCGAGUAAAGGUUUGGAAGUGGUGCGACGUCACGCCACAUAAUACGUCAGCAGAUUGAUCUUGUGUAACAUUAUUCUCUCUACGGUGGUACGUGGAAUUUAUUUUUGCAGAGCCGGACACUAUCCUAGUGUUCACAAUCUUCUAUAAAUUAUUCGGAGGAGGAACCCGCCUUGCAAUGCCGAAGACAAUAUGCACGCCGGACUCGUCAUCAUUGAAGCCUGGUUCAGGGGCUAUUGAGGGAGUUCUGGACUAGGGGGUGUCCGGAUAGCCGAACUAUCAUAAUCGGCCGGACUCCAAGACUAUGAAGAUACAAGAUUGAAGACUUCGUCCCGUGUCCGGAUGGGACUUUCCUUGGCGUGGAAGGCAAGCUUGGCGAUACGGAUAUGUAGAUCUCCUACCAUUGUAACUGACUUUGUGUAACCCUAGCCCUCUCCGGUGUCUAUAUAAACCGGAUGGCUGUAGUCCAUAGAACGAACAACAAUCAUACCAUAGGCUAGCUUCUAGGGUUUAGCCUCCUUGAUCUCGUGGUAGAUCCAAUCUUGUAACACACAUCAUCAACAUUAAUCAAGCAGGACGUAGGGUUUUACCUCCAUCAAGAGGGCCCGAACCUGGGUAAAACAUCGUGUCCCUUGUCUCCUGUUACCAUCUGCCUAGACGCACAGUUCGGGACCCCCUACCCGAGAUCCGCCGGUUUGACACCGACAGAGAGUCUUUUAGAACAGCAUGGUAUUUGCUAUGGUUAUAAAAUUGGUCCUAGAAUGGUAGGCAUCCAAGUUGGGUAUAAUAAAAACUAUCAUAGGAAGUAAAUUGGAUGCUAUGAUCAAUUUGAUACUUGAUAAUUGUUUUGAGAUAUGGAGGUAGUGAUAUUAAAGUCAUGCUAGUUGGGUGAUUAUGAAUUUAAAUAAUGCUUGUGUUAAACUUAGCAAGUCCCAUAGCAUGCACGUAUGGUUAAAGUUGUGUAACAAAUUUGAAACAUGAAGUGUACUUGGCUUGUGCAUCCUUAUGAGUGGUGGUUGGGGACGAGCGAUGGUCUUUUCCUACCAAUCUAUCCCCCUAGGAGCAUGCGCGUAGUGCUUGAUUUUUUAUGACUUCUAAAUUUUCGCAAUAAGUAUAUGAGUUAUUUUGACUAAUGUUGAGUCCAUGGAUUAUACGCACUUUUACCUUUCCAUCACUGCUAGCCUCUUCGGUACCGUGCAUUGCCCUUUCUCACCUUCAGAGUUGGUGCAAACUUCGCCGGUGCAUCCAAACCCCGUGAUAUGAUACGCUCUAUCACACAUAAACCUUCUUAUAUCUUCCUCAAAACAGCCACUAUACCUACCUAUUAUGGCAUUUCCAUAGCCAUUCCGAGAUAUAUUGCCAUGCAACUUUCCACCGUUCCAUUCAUCAUCAUCAUGACAUACUUUACUUUUGUCAUAUUGCCAUUGCAUGAUCAUGUAGCUGACAUCGUAUUUGUGGCAAAGCCACCAUGCAUUAUUUUUCAUACACGUCACUCUUGAUUCAUUGCACCAUCCCGGUACACUACCGGAGGCAUUCAUAUAGAGUCAUAUCUUGUUCUAGUUUCGAGUUGUAAUUCAUAUGUUGUAAUCAAUGAAAGUGCAAUGAUCAUCAUUAUUAGAGCAUUGCCCAAAAAAAGAAAAAAAAAGAAAGGCCAAAAAGAAAAAAUGAAAGGCCAAAGAAAAAAAGAAAAAAAGAAAGAAAAAAAGAAAUAGAAGAAAUAAAUAAAAAGGGCAAUGUUACUACCUCUUUUUCUACACUUGUGCUUCAAAGUAGCACCUUUUUCUUCAUGUAGUGAGUCUCAUAUAUUGUGCUUCAAAGUAGCCCAUGUUUUUCAUAUAGUGAGUCUCAUAAGUUGUCUUUUUCAUACUAGUGGGGAUUUUUCAUUAUAGAACUUGGCUUGUAUAUUCCUACGACGGGCUUCCUCAAAUGCCCUAGGUCUUCGUGAGCAAGCAAGUUGGAUGCACACCAACUAGUUUUCUUUUGUUGAGCAUUCAUUUAUAGCUCUAGUGCAUCCAUUGCAUGGCAAUCCCUACUCCUCAUGUUGACAUCAAUUGAUGGGAAUCUCCAUAGCCUGUUGAUUACCCUCGUCAAUGUGAGACUUUCUCAUUUUUUGUCUUCUCCACACAAUCCCCAUCAUCAUAUUCUAUUCCACCCAUAGUUCUAUAUCCAUGGCUCACGCUCAUGUAUUGCGUGAAGGUUGAAAAAGUUUGAGAUUAUUUAAGUAUUAAACAAUUUCUUGGCUUGUCAUCGGGGGUAUAGAAGUUGGGAACAUAUUUGUGUGACGAAAAUGAAGCAUAGCCUAACUAUAUGAUUUUGUAGGGAUGAACUUUCUUUUGCCAUGUUAUUUUGAGAAGACAUGAUUACUUUGAUUAGUAUGCUUGAAGUGUUACUAUUUCUUUUCUCAAUAUGAACUUUUAUUUUGAAUCAUUUGGAUCUGAACAUUCAUGCCACAAUAAAGAAAAUUACAUUUAGAAUUAUGCUAGGUAGCAUUCCACAUCAAAAAUUCUCUUUUGAUCAUUUACCUACUCGAGGACGAGCAGGAAUUAAGCUUGGGGAUGCUUGAUACGUCUCCAACGUAUCUAUAAUUUUUGAUUGUUCCAUGCUAUUAUAUUACCCCUUUUGGAUGUUUAUGGGCUUUAAUUUACACAUUUAUAUCAUUUUUGGGACUAACCUACUAACCGGAGGCCCAACCCGUAUUGCUGUUUUUUGCCUAUUUCAGUAUUUCGAAGAAAAGGAAUAUCAAACAGAGUCCAAACGGAAUGAAACCUUCGGGAGCGUGAUUUUUGGAACGAACGUGAUCCAGAGGACUUGGAGUGCAAGUCAAGAAGCAGCCAAGUCAGCCACGAUAUAGGAGGGCGCCCCACCCCUAUAGGGCGCGCCCCUGUCUUGUGGGCCCCUCGGGCGGCCACCGACGUACUUCUUCCUCCUAUAUAAGCCUACGUACCCAAAAAACAUCCAGGGAGCAACCGAAACACAAUUUCCAUCGCCGUAACCUUCUGUAUCCGCGAGAUCCCAUCUUGGGGCCUUCGCCGGCGCUCUGUCGGAGGGGGAAUCGACCAUGGAGGGCUUCUACAUCAACACCAUAGCCCCUCGGAGGUUCCAUAGUUAUUAGCUAGAUGGCUUCUUCUCUCUUUUUGGAUCUCAAUACAAUGAUCUCCCCCUCUCUUGUGGAGAUCUAUUCGAUGUAAACUCUUUUUGCGAUGUGUUUGUCGAGAUCCGAUGAAUUGUGGAUUUAUGAUCAAGUUUAUCUAUGAAUAAUAUUUGAAUCUUCUCCGAAUUCUUUUAUGUAUGAUUGAGUUAUAUUUGCAAGUCUCUUCGAAUUAUCAGUUUGGUUUGGCCUACUAGAUUGAUCUUUCUUGCCAUGGGAGAAGUGCUUAGCUUUGGGUUCAUUCUUGCGGUGUCCUUACCCAGUGACAGAAAGGGUUGCAAGGCACGUAUUGUAUUGUUGCCAUCGAGGAUAACAAGAUGGGGUUUAUAUCGUAUUGCUUGACUUUAUCCCUCUACAUCAUGUCAUCUUGCUUAAAGCGUUAUUCUGUUCUUAUGAACUUAAUACUCUAGAUGCAGGCAGGAGUCGGUCGAUGUGUGGAGUAAUAGUAGUAGAUGUAGGCAGGAGUCGGUCUACUUGUUGCGGACGUGAUGCCUAUAUACAUGAUCAUGCCUAGAUAAUCUCAUAAUUAUUCGCUUUUCUAUCAAUUGCUCGACAGUAAUUUGUUCACGCACCGUAAUACUUAUGCUUUCUUGAGAGAAGCCACUAGUGAAACCUAUGUCCCCCGGGUCUAUCUCUUAUCAUAUUUGCUUCCAAUCUACUUUUAUUUGCAUCUUUACUUUUUGCAUCUAUCUUAUAAAAUACCAAAAAUAUAUUUAUCUUAUCAUACUAUCUCUAUCAGAUCUCACUUUCGCAAGUGGCGGUGAAGGGAUUGACAACCCCUUUAUUGCGUUGGUUGCGAGUUCUUUGUUUGUUUGUGUAGGUGCGUGGGACUUUUGAGGAGCCUCCUACUAGAUUGAUAGCUUGGUUCUCAAAAAAUUGAGUGAAAUACUUAUGCUACUAUUGCUGCAUCACCCUUUCCUCUUCAAGGAAAACCAACGCAAGCUCAAGACGUAGCAGACCUCCACACAAAGGAUGAGAAUCAAUAAAUAAAUCAUGCUCCAACUUCAUCACAUAACGGUUCACCAUAAGUGCAUGCUACGGGAAUCACAAACUUUAACACAAGUAUCUCUCAAAUUCACAAUUACUCCACUAGCAUGACUCUAAUAUCACCAUCUUCAUAUCUCAAAACAAUCAUAACGAAUCAAACUUCUCAUAGUAUUCAAUGCACUUUAUAUGAAAGUUUUUAUCAUACCCAUCUUGAAUGCCCAUCAUAUUAGGACUAAUUUUAUAACCCAAGCAAAUUACCAUGCUAUUCUAAAUACUCUCAAAAUAAUAUACGUGAAGCACGAGAGUUCAUCUAUUAUAAAACUACCGUCGUUCUCUAAAAGGAUAUAAGUGAAGCACUAGAGCAAUUGACAAACUACUCCGAAAGAUAUAAGUGAAGAUCAAUGAGUAGUCGAAUAAUUAUGUAACUAUGUGGAGACUCUCUAACAUUUAAGAAUUUUAGAUCUUGGGAUAUUAUUCAAACAGCAAGCAAAACUAAAUGAAAUAAAAUGAUGCUCCAAGCAAAACGCAUAUCAUGUGGUGAAUAAAAAUAUAGCUCCAAGUAAAGUUACCGAUGAACAAAGACGAAAGAGGGGAUGCCAUCCGGGGCAUCCCCAAGCUUAGGCUCUUGGUUGUCCUUGAAUAUUACCUUGGGGUGCCUUGGGCAUCCCCAAGCUUAGGCUCUUGCCACUCCUUAUUCCAUACUCCAUCGGAUCUUUACCCAAAACUUGAAAACUACACAACACAAAACUCAACAGAAAACUCAUAAGCUCUGUUAGUAUAAGGAAAUAAAUCGCCACUUUGGAUACUAUUGUGAACUCAUUCUAAAUUCUUGUUGGUGUCAUAUCUACUGUAUUCCAACUUAUGUAUGGUUCAUACCAGAUACGUCCAUUUUGCAUCAUGCUUUUAUAUCAAUAUUUAUUGCAUUAUGGGCUAUUAUUACACGUUAUGUCUCAAUACUUAUGGCUAUUCUCUCUUAUUUUACAAGGUUUACCAUGAAGAGGGGGAAUGCCAGCAGCUGGAAUUCUGGCUGGAAAGGGAGCAAAUAUUGGAAACCUAUUCUGCACAUCUCCAGAAAUACUGAAACUCCAUGGAAGUCACUUUUGGAGUUAAUAAGAAUUAUUGAGCAAAGAAAAUACCAGAGGGGGCCCACACCCUGGCCAGGAGGGUGGGGCGCACCCACCCCUAUUGAGCGCGCCCCCUGUCUCCUGGGCCCAUGGUGGCCCUCCAAUGCCCAUCUUCUGCUAUAUGAAGGCUUUUACCCAGGAAAGAAUCGUAAGCAAGCUUACGGGACGAAACUCCGCCGGCACGAGGCGGAACCUUGGCAGAACCAAUCUAGAGUUGUUCUUCCGGGGAAACUUCCCUCCGGGAGGGGGAAAUCAUCACCAUCGUCAUCACCAUUGAUCCUCUCAUCGGGAGGGGGUCAAUCUCCAUCAACAUCUUCAUCAGCACCAUCGCCUCUCAAAACCCUAGUUCAUCUCUUGUAUCCAAUCUUGUAUCAAAACCACAAAUUGGUACCUGUUGGUUGCUAGUAGUGUUGAUUACUCCUUGUAGUUGAUGCUAAUUGGUUUACUUGGUGGAAGAUCAUAUGUUCAGAUCCUUAAUGCGUAUUAAUACUCCUAUGAUUAUGUACAUGAAUAUGCUUUGUGAGUAGUUACGUUUGUUCCUGAGGACAUGGGUGAAGUCUUGCUAUUAGUAGUCAUGUGAAUUUGGUAUUCAUUCGAUAUUUUGAUGAGAUGUACGUUGUCUCUCCUCUAGUGGUGUUAUGUGAAUGUCGACUACAUGACACUUCACCAUUAUUUGGGCCUAGAGGAAGGCAUUGGGAAGUAAUAAGUAGAUGAUCGGUUGCUAGAGUGACAGAAGCUUAAACCCUAGUUUAUGCGUUGCUUCGUAAGGGGCUGAUUUGGAUCCACUAGUUUCAUUCUAUGGUUAGGUUUACCUUAAUACUUGUUUUGUAGUUGCGGAUGCUUGCAAUAGGGGUUAGUCUUAAGUGGGAUGCUUGUCCAAGAAAGGGCAGUACCCAAGCACCGGCCACCCACAUAUCAAAUUAUCAAAGUACCGAACGCGAAUCACAUGAGCGUGAUGAAAACUAGCUUGACGAUAAUUCCCAUGUGUCCUCGGGGGCGCUUUCCUCAUUAUAAGAAAUUGUCCAGGCUUGUCCUUUGCUACAAAAAGGAUUGGGCCACCUUGCUGCACUUUAUUUACUUUCAUUGCUUGUUACCCGUUACAAAUUAUCUUAUCAUAAAACUAUCUGUUACCUACAAUUUCAAUGUUUGCAGAGAAUACCUUACUGAAAACCGCUUGUCAUUUCUUUCUGCUCCUCGUUGGGUUUGACAGUCUUACUUAUUGAAAGGACUAAGAUAGAUCCCCUAUACUUGUGGGUCAUCAAGACUCUUUUCUGGCACCGUUGCCGGGGAGUUAAGCGCCUUUGGUGAGUAGAACUUGGUAAGGAAACAUUUAUAUAGUGUGCUGAAAUUUUCUGUCACUUAAUCCUUUGAGGGGCUUGUUCAGGGUAUCUUCACCCUGACCAGUAGAGCAAAGAGUUUCUCCUGAACCUACUGAACCUACUGAACAUGUUUACUUUGAGAUUCCUUCGGGUAUGAUAGAGAAACUGCUAGCUAAUCCCUUUGCAGGAGAUGGAACAUUGCAUCCCGAUUUACACCUUAUCUUUGUGGAUGAAGUUUGUGGAUUAUUUAAGCUUGCAGGUAUUCCCAAUGAUGUUGUCAAAAGGAAGGUCUUCCCUUUAUCUUUGAAGGGAGAUGCAUUGACGUGGUAUAGGCUAUGUGAUGAUACGGGAUCUUGGAAUUAUAAACGAUUGAAGUUGGAAUUUUACCAGAAGUUCUAUCCUAUGCAUCUUGUUCAUCGUGAUCGUAAUUACAUAUAUAAUUUCUGGCCUCGCAAAGGAGAAAGAUCAAGCUUGGGGGAGGCUUAAGUCAAUGUUAUAUUCAUGCCCCAAUCAUGAACUCUCAAGAGAUUUGAUUAUUCAAAAAAAUUAUGCUCGGCUUUCUCUCAAUGAUCGCACCAUGCUCGAUACUUCCUGUGUUGGUUCUUAUAUGCUGAAGAUUAUUGAAUUCAAGUGGGAUUUAUUGGAAAGAAUUAAACGCAACUCUGAAGAUUGGGGUUCCGACGAUGGUAAAGAGUCAGGUAUAACACCUAAGUUUGAUUGUGUUAAAUCUUUUAUCGAUACCGAUGCUUUUCGUGGAUUUAGCACUAAGUAUGGACUUGACUCUGAGAUAGUAGCAGCCUUUUGUGAAUCUUUUGCUACUCACGUUGAUCUCCUUAAGGAGAAGUGGUUUAAAUAUAAUCCUCCCAUUGAAGUAAAAGUAGUUGCACUAAUUACAGUUGAAGAAAAGACUAUCACUUAUAAUGAUCCUAUUAUUCCUACUAGUUAUGUUGAGAAACCACCCUUUCCUGUUAGGAUGAAGGAUCGUGCUAAAUCUUCAACUAUUGUUUGUAAGAGUAAUACUAGAACUUAUACACCCCCUGAGCAAAUCAAAGUUGAACCUAGUAUUGCUAUGGUUAAAGAUCUCUUGGAUGAAAAUAUAGAUGGGCAUGUUAUUUAUUUCUGUGGUGAAACUGCUAAUAUUGCUAGACCAGAUGCUAAAAUACAUAGACCUGUUGUAGGCAUGCCUGUUAUUUCUGUUAAAAUAGGAGAUCAUUGUUAUCAUGGCUUAUGUGAUAUGGGUGCUAGUGCUAGUGCAAUGCCCUUUGACUUAUAUGAAGAAAUUAUGCAUGAUAUUGCACCUGCCUGAAAUAGAACGUAUUGAUGUUACUAUUAAGAUUGCCAAUAGGGACACCAUCAAGCCCAUUGGGAUUGUUAGAGAUGUUGAAGUCUUGUGUGGGAAAGUUAAAUAUCCUACUGAUUUUCAUGUUCUUGGUUCCCCACAAGAUGACUUUUGUCCCAUUAUAUUUGGUAGACCCGUCUUGAAUACUGUUAAUGCUAAGAUUGAUUGUGAAAAGGGUAUUGUUACAAUUGGCUUAGGGGAUAUGUCUCAUGAGUUUAAUUUUGCUAAGUUUCGUAGACAACCCCGUUGUCGGUGUCAAAACCGGCGGAUCUCAGGUAGGGGGUCCCGAACUGUGCGUCUAGGCGGAUGGUAACAGGAGACAAGGGACACGAUGUUUUUACCCAGGUUUGGGCCCUCUCGGUGGAGGUAAAAUCCUACUCCUGCUUGAUUAAUAUUGAUGAUAUGGGUAGUACAAGAGUAGAUCUACCACGAGAUCAAAGAGGCUAAACCCUAGAAGCUAACCUAUGUUAUGAUUGUUGUUCGUCCUACGGACUAAAACCCUCCGGUUUAUAUAGACAACGGAGAGGGCUAGGGUUACACAGAGUCGGUUACAAUGGUAGGAAAUCUACAUAUCUGUAUCGCCAAGCUUGCCGUCCAUGCCAAGGAAAGUCCCAUCCGGACACGGGACGAAGUCUUCAAUCUUGUAUCUUCAUAGUCUUGGAGUCCGGCCAAAGAUGAUAGUUCGGCUAUCUGGACACCCCCUAGUCCGGGACUCCCUCAGUAGCCCCUAAACUAGGCUUCAAUGACGACGAGUUCGGCGCGCAUAUUGUCUUCGGCAUUGCAAGGCAGGUUCCUCCUCCGAAUACUUCAUAGAAGAUUUUGAACACCAGGAUAGUGUCCGGCUCUGCAAAAUAAGUUCCACAUGCCACCGUAGAGAGAAUAAUAUUUACACAAGUUCAAUCUGCUGACAUAUUUCGUGGCGUGACGUCACACCACGGCCAGGCCUUUAUUCGAAUUGUUUUUAUUGUUCCACCUCAGCGCGUUUAGCGAAGCGGUUUCCUUGGCACGUCUUGUCAAAGCAGAGAUCGUGUCCCAUUAUUCCAGGAUUCUCAUCAAUACGGGCGUGGGUAACCCAACCGCGCCAUUGAUUACGGUGCUUGGGAGAUAAGCGAGUUUUACCAGGCUGGUGGGGACGUAUAGUUUCGUCCGCCCAUAUAAGGGGAUAAGGAUCCACCUUUUUACCUACGCCUUCUUCCUCCUUUGCUUAUCCAUCUCCGCGCACUCGAGCUCCAACGCCCAAGUCCGCACAUCUCGCCUCAACCUUCUCCGGCCAUGUCCGGAGCGGGAGGCAAGUGGAUGGCCACCUCCGUCACAGAGGGGCACAUCAAAAGGCUAAGGAAAGCCGGAUACCUGCACAACGACAUUGCGCACCAGCUUCCAGACGAGGGGCAGCUCGUCCCCACCCCCAGGCCCCAUGAGAGAGUGGUGUUCCUUCCCCAUUUCCUCCAUGGACUGGGCUUCCCACUCCACCCAUUUGUCCGAGGGCUCAUGUUCAAUUAUGUCCUGGAUUUCCAUGACCUGGCCCCGAAUUUAUCCUCAACAUCUCAGCGUUUAUCGUUGUAUGUCAGGCCUUCCUCCGCAUCACACCCCACUUUGGCUUAUGGCUGAAUACCUUCAAUGUCAAGCCGAAGGUAGUGGGCGUCCAACAGGCGGAGUGCGGAGGUGCCAUGGUGGGCAAGAUGCCCAACGUCUGGCUCGAGGGCGCCUUCGUGGAAACUAUCAAAGGGUGGCAAUCGGGGUGGUUCUACAUCAUCGAGCCGCGUGACCCUGAAUGGGCAGCGGCCCCCGAAUUCAGAUCUGGCAUCCCCACAUGGCUCACCUCUUGGAAAGAGAAGGUCCUGACAUGGGGUGAUUUGGAAGAGCUGACCGGACUCCAAACCUGCGUCCAAACCUUAUGAGCGAGAAGAUCAAGCUCGUCAACGUGGUCCAGGUCAUGCUCAUCCGCCGGAUCCUCCUGUGCCAACAACGGGCCUUCAACUUGUGGGAAUUUGAUCUGGCACAGCACCAAACCUUGAGCAGGCUCUUCGACACUAAGUACGAAGACGCCUGGAAGGUGCUGUUCAAGGGUGCCAAGGCUCCCGCAUCCGCUACUGAAGAUCGCAGAUUCAGCUCGCAGCGCCAAGCCAGCGAGGUAAGCUAUUUUACCCUUUACGGGACACUUUACUUUUCAUAGUUUGACUCUAUGCGGGAUCUAAACUCCCUUUACCUUUGACAGGCCUGGCGGAAGAAAUCCGAGCAGGUUAACUGUCCGGCUCCCUUACCAAAAGAUCCAGCGGACGCCCGAUUGAUGGGGCUGCUGGCUCCGGCGCCUUACGUGGUGCCGGAGAAGAAGGCCAAGAAGAAGGCCACGGGAACCCGGAAGAGUUCCCGGCGUCAAGUGUUAUCGGACUCAUCGUCCGAUGACUCCAAGGCGGACUCCUCCCGCGAAGACGAGGAGGAGAAAAAAGAGGCCUCUCCCUCAGCGGGGGGAGAGAAGAAAAGGAAGGCUUCCCCAAUGGGGGAGGCCGAAGGGUCCAAGAAGGGAAGGACCCUCCCCCCGGACUACUCCACCAACGCCGACAACGAUGAAGAGGAGUGGCCACCAAGGACUAAGCCCCUGGCGACAUCGUAAGUGUCCAGACACCAGAAUAAUUCAAGGUAUUUCAUUUGUCGCAUAGAAUCUCGUAACGCCGAAUACAUCCCUGCAGCCCGCCCAAGGACGGGCUCGAUAUUUCAAAGAGCGGCUCCCUGGCUCCAUCGGAAGUGAAUAGUACUUCACUUCCGGCCGCCUCUUCUCCUCGCGCUACUGAUGAUGCCGAGGUGGGGUCCCAGAAGGGGCCCGGCCAGGAGGAGGAGGUCCUGUAGGUGCCGCAAGGCAACCUCCGGGACUUUGGGCACGAGGGGGAUCAACCCCCAAAGGGUUUAGAGUUCGGCCCUCGGCCGGACUCCGCACCGGAACCUUUAGUGGCUCCGGAGUCCAGCGGGCGGCCCCUUCGUAAGAAGGGCGAGACUGCGACGCCGGUGACCUCCGUCCAACCGGAGGCGCCGGAUAAUCUGCUGGAGGCGCUCAACGGCGCCUCCAUCGACGAGGAGCACCACGCUGUUAUGAGUGCGGUGAUUCAGAAAGUUUGGUCCGCCAAGAGCGGGCUGACUGAAGCAUGUACCAGCCUUCUAACAAGCUUUGAGGUACGUAAUUAAGAUAUGUAAAAUAGUACCGCAUAGACAGUAGCCCGUGAUGCUCAGUUCGGUGUUCGGAAAGAAAAGCCGAACUGAGGAUCUGAAAAGAUAUACGCAGGAGUCUAACAUAAGUAUGUCAAUAUGGGAACGCAGGCUGCGCUGCUGACCUCUGCCGCACUGACUGCGGAGGUCAAUGCAUUGAAGCAGAGCUCGAGCGGUCCGAGAACGAGCUCGGUCGUUCCAAGAAGUAGCUCGAGGACAAGGAAGGUAAGUAGUACCUUAUUAAAGUAAUACCUUAUAGAAAGGAUUUGGUUGCAAAAAAUGAUAGGAAUAACGUGAGUAUUGCAGGGGCCACGAACGAGGUGGCGACCCUGAAGGAAGCGGUGUCCAAGGCUGAAAGCGAUGCUGCCGCGGAACGCACCGAGCGAGAGAAGCAGGAGGCGCAGGUGGCGGAGGUGCGGCAAGAGCUGCAGGAUCUCGUGGAAAAACACAAGAGUUUGGAGAGUGACUCAAGGACUCGAGAGUCCGAGCUCGCCUCGGCUCUUGAUAGUGCCAAAGCCCCUAAGGCCGAAGCCCAAAAAGCCCUCCAGGAAAUUGAGGCGAUAAAAAAGAUAGCGGCGGGUAAGGCAUUUUUCAUGCAAAGCAAGUAUGUAAAAGUGAAUUAUCUGUUACUUCCCCGAAUUCGGAGCUCUCCAGGAGCGUUCGCAGAUCUGCCCCGUAGUGUGUCCGAUGCUGUCGCAUUCUACUGGGCCGAGGAAGGGAGCUCGACGGAGAAGGUAUUCUGGUCUCAGUAUGCUGAGGCCGGACAUCCGGUGCCCCUGAGUGACCAGCUGAAGCAGCUGGUCGAGCUGCACAAGGUGGCCGAACAGGCCAUGAAGGGCCUCAUAUUUCGGCUGUGGCCUAAAGAAGCCAUGCCUGGGAGCUACUUCGGUCUGGUGCGGCGGCUGGUGGACGCCUGUCUGUGGAUUGAAGUCAUCAAGCAUUCCGCCUGCAUUGAAGGUGCCCGUCGGGCCCUUGCCCACGCUAAAGUGCACUGGGGCAAGAUGGACGCCGAGAAGCUUGUGAUGGACGCGCCACCGCCGGGCAAGGAAUAUCGCACGCCCGAGAUGUACUAUAAGGGUGUCCUGAAGGGUGCCCACCUUAUAGCGGGCGAAUGCUCCAAAGAUGUAAUUUUGGAGUAGACUCGCAUGUUGUUAUCUUGUGCGCUGAAAACUUUGUUCAUAUGCGCUAAGCAACGCUUGUUAAUUUAAAAUAUUACCUUCUGUGCGGCCGUUUAUCAAAUUUGAGAGAUGGCAAGUCAUUGGCUUCAGCCCCCAUGCCACAAGUGUUGGGGUGUUCGGGAUAAACUUGAGUGCUCUUGUUCCCAUUUUUGGGUCCUUUGAGGGAGGCGCUCAACACAACGAACAAGGCAACCGGACUUAUAAUGCUUGAACACUCCCACUUAGCCAUAGAAUUCUAUAAUUUUAAAUUUCGGCGAAGCCCCUAGUGUUCGGAAGACCGAAUUCGGGGUGCUAUCCACACCUGGGCCGGAUAAAGCCGGCUCCUCGCUCUAAGCGGCAUAAGUCUUUAGGGACUCGAAAAAACCUCUUGAACAGCGACCGCCUCUCGCCCUAUCAUGACGGUCAGUUUUAGCUUUCUCCACUGAGGUGCUCAACCCAGCUCAACUGGGGCACAAUCGCAGUGGUUCUCCCAGCGCUACCUUAGCCGAUAUAACGGAACGUAAGGUACCAAAACAUGGGAGCCGGGCAAACCCAACUAUUGACCCAAGACAUGAUUCGGAGUCGAUGCAUAUAAUGCUAUAAGUUCGGGGUGCCGCACUUGUGAAAGUGUUCGGACUUAUUACACCAUAUUCUGGGGAACUUAAGCCCCUGGUGUAUUUGGCCGUACGAAAGCGUACGGGUGCAACAUGUCAUAAGUGAACAUGUAUAGAUAGAAAAAGGAAUGCAAUAAUAGGCAAGAAGCGAUGCAUUGUUUAUUCAAAAAGUACUGCAAUGAAAGCAGAACGAUACAAAUAGUGCGAUAAGCAAGGGAUGGGACUAUUUAACAUGUCCCCCUCCAGGGGUAGGCUGCGGGAUGGUAUGUAAAACAGGUAUACUGCUCGUAAUAGAGACCAUCUGGACACUCGAUGUAGCUUUUCUGCUUCCCUGGUUGUUGCAUCGUGAGUUCGGCAAUUCUACUGCCGGACAGGGCUUCUGGAAAACAGAGUCCUGUGAAUAAGAGAAAAAAAAGAAUGGCACAAUUGGGAGCCCCUGGUGCGGUUGAGCCGCUCUCCGGGCAUGUCGUGGUCGUGCCCCUACCCCUAUGCCCAUGGUAUCUCCAGAGCGUAGUUAUGUACUCGUGGUACUGGUCUCGUGAUUUUGCGAGGGCUGGGGUUGGGGCCACAUUGCUACGCGUGCUCGGAACGUGCCAGGUGGUCUUGUUGUAGGUUACUCCGGGCGUGCUUGAUGGUUUCUGGCCUCUUAACAGCUGGACUCGAGAAUUGCCUUAAGAGGCUGCUUUGUACUUCCGCCGCGAGAGCCGCUAUAUGCUCCUUCGUUCGGAGAGAGCGUUCGGUGUUUUCAUUGACCAUAAUGACUCCUCGAGGGCCUGGCAUCUUGAGCUUGAGGUAUGCGUAGUGCGGCACCGCAUUGAACUUUGCAAAUGCGGUUCGUCCGAGCAGUGCAUGAUAUCCGCUGUGGAACGGGACUAUGUCGAAGAUUAACUCCUCGCUUCGGAAGUUAUCCGGGGAUCCGAAGACCACUUCAAGUGUAGCUGAGCCUGUAUAGUUGGCCUCUACACCUGGUAUGUCGCCUUUAAAGGUUGUCUUUGUGGGUUUAAUCCUUGAGGGGUCUAUGCCCAUUUUGCGCACUGUAUCCUGAUAAAGCAGGUUCAGGCUGCUGCCGCCGUCCAUCAGGACUCUAGUGAGGUGAAAUCCGUCGACGAUUGGGUCUAGAACCAAUGCGGCGAAUCCGCCAUGGGGGAUGCUAUUGGGGUGGUCCCUUCAAUCAAAAGUGAUCGGGCAGGAGGACCACAUAUUGAACUUUGGGGCGACUGGCUCCAUCGCAUAUACGUCCCUGAGUGCAUGCUUCCGCUCCCUUUUGGGUAUGUGGGUUGCGUAUAUCAUGUUCACCGUCCGCACUUGUGGGGGGAAACCCUUCUGUCCUCUAUUGUUCGGCGGCUGGGUCUCUUCCUCGUCAUCGCUAUGCAGCCCCUUGUCAUUGUUUUUGGCAAUUAACUUGCCUGCCUGCUUGAACACCCAACAAUCCCUGUUGGUGUGAUUGGUUGGCUUUUCGGGGGUGCCGUGUAUCUGACACAAGCGAUCGAGUAUCCGGUCCAAAUUGGACGGGCCCGGAGUAGUUCUUUUGAAUGGCUUUUUUCCGCUGACCGGAUUUAGAGCCUCUGAAUCCGGCAUUUACUAACGUAUCUUCAGUAUUAUUGCCGUUAAUGCGGCGCUUGUGCUUGUUGCGACGCGACCUGCCACUGCUGUCCUUGGUAUCCGACUACUAGGGUUUUCGGUCAGGUUGUUACUCGAGCUAGCCAGCUAUCCUCUCCCGCACAGAAGCAGGUCAUGAGUGAUGUGAGGGCUGCCAUGGAUUUCGGCUUUUCCUGUCCUAGGUGCCGGGCAAGCCACUCGUCGCGGAUGUUAUGUUUGAAGGCUGCAAGGGCCUCUGCAUCCGGACAGUCGGUGAUUUGAUUUUUCUUGGUUAAGAACCGUGUCCAGAAUUGUCUGCCGAUUCCUCUGGCUGCUGAAUUAUGUGGCUUAGGUCAUCGGCGUCUGGUGGUCGCACAUAAGUGCCUUGGAAGUUGUCGAGGAAUGCGGCUUCCAGGUCUUCCCAACAACCAAUUGAUUCUGCUGGCAAGCUAUUGAGCCAAUGCCGAGCUGGUCCUUUAAGCUUGAGUGGGAGGUAUUUGAUGGCGUGUAGAUCAUCACCGCGGGCCAUGUGGAUGUGAAGGAGAUAGUCCUCGAUCCAAACCGCCGGAUCUGUUGUGCCAUCAUAUGAUUCAAUGUUUACGGGUUUGAAACCCUCGGGGCUUUGAUGAUCCAUUACUUCGUCUGUGAAGCAUCGUGGGUGUGCGGCGCCUCUGUAUUGGGCUAUAUCACGACGCAGCUCAAAUGAGCUUUGUCUACUGUGUUCGGCCCAGCCGGAAUUGCUGUAUCCGGCAUGACGGUUGUCAUCACGUAUUGUGGGGCGCCCACGCGAUCCGUAGAUCGAUCUUGUUUGUCUUGCCUUGUCCUCCAAUAUGUCUCGCAAGUCUGGCGCAUUCCCCCGUGGCUUUGUAUUCGAGCGACGCCGGGGCCUAGAGGCCUCUCUGUCACGGCCACGAGGUGGUCGAUCAGCCGCGUCAUGCGCUGGUGAUGUAGGUUUGGGUGCUUCCUCCUCUAAUUGGGGUAGCAGCCUGCGUUUGGGGUAGCUUUUGGAGGGGCGAUCGAGUUUAUACUCUUCGGCCGCAAGGACUUCAGUCCAUCUAUCGGCUAGCAAGUCUUGGUUAGCUCUAAGCUGUUGCUGUUUUUUCUUGAGGCUGCUUGCUGUGGCCAUAAGCCUGCGUUUGAAACGCUCUUGCUCGACGGGAUCCUCAGGCACGACAAAUUCGUCGUCGUUGAGGCUUACCUCGUCUUCAGAGGGAGGCAUAUAAUUAUCGUCCUCUACCUCUCUGUCUACCGCUCUCUCAUGAGGGAUGGCUUCUCCAUCCUCCUGCGCUGAAUCCUGCUGGAGGGGGUUGUCUUCGACACUGUCCGGGGUGUUAUUGUCUUUGGUGCCGGAAUCUCCAUUCUUGCUGUGGCGGGAUUUAGAGCGGGGCCGCUGACGCUGGCGCUUAGGCUGUUUCUUGGAGGGGUCAUCCUCCGUUGUUCCAUCGCCAUUCCCGUCCUUUGGGAUGUCCACCAUGUAUAUGUCGUAUGAAGAGGUGGCCUUCCAGUGCCCUGUAGGCACUGGUUCUUGGUCAUCUCCUGCAUCAUCGUCCAUACCGUCGAUGUCUUCGUAGUCGAAGUCGAGCAUGUCGGUUAGAUCAUCGACAGUGGCUACAAAGUGGAUGGUGGGUGGGCGUUGAAUUUCUUCGUCGUCCGCACCCCAACCUUCGUGACCAUAAUCCGGCUAGGGCACUCCUGAUAAAGAGAGAGACUUUAGUGAAUUCAGGAUAUCACCAAAGGGCGAGUGCUGAAAGAUGUCCGCAACGGUGAACUCCAUGAUCGGCGCCCAAUCGGAUUUGAUUGCAGGGGCGCGGAAGGUUCGGAGUCCGGAGAGGAGUCCGGCACCUUGGAGUCACGAGCUUCGCAAAGGACCGGGUUGGUAUCCGGCUCUAUCGCCAUAGAGGUAGCAGCCCCCGAGGCGGUGUCUAACCACCCGUCCUCGAUCGGCGUAGUCGGCUCCGAGCUAAGGGUCGGAGCGGACACUUGUGCGGCCUCCAGGGCACUGUCCGGCAGCAGAGCUAGAUCAUGACCAUCGUGAUAGUGCGGCGCACUUGGCUGUGGCUCGAGUCCGUCGAAGAUCAAGUCUCCGCGGAUGUCAGCCGUGUAGUUCAAACUCCCAAAUCUGACCUCAUGGCCAGGGGCGUAGCUUUCGAUCUGCUCCAGAUGGCCAAGUGAAUUGGCCCGCAGUGCAAAGCCGCCGAAUACGAAGAUCUGUCCGAGGAGAAAAGUCUCACCCUGGACCCCGUCGUUGGUGAUGAUCGAAGGAGCCAUCAUGCCUAAAGAUGACGACAUAGAGGAACUCUCAAUGAAAGCAAUAAUGUCGGUGUCAAAACCGGCGGAUCUUGGGUAGGGGGUCCCGAACUGUGCGUCUAGGCGGAUGUUAACAGGAGACAAGGGACACGAUGUUUUUACCCAGGUUAGGGCCCUCUCGGUGGAGGUAAAACCCUACUCCUGCUUGAUUAAUAUUGAUGAUAUGGGUAGUACAAGAGUAGAUCUACCAUGAGAUCAAAGAGGCUAAACCCUAGAAGCUAGCCUAUGGUAUGAUUGUUGUUCGUCCUACGGACUAAAACCCUCCGAUUUAUAUAGACACCGGAGAGGGCUAGGGUUACAUAGAGUCGGUUACAAUGGUAGGAAAUCUACAUAUCCGUAUCGCCAAGCUUGCCUUCCACGCCAAGGAAAGUCCCAUCCAGACACGGGACGAAGUCUUCAAUCUUGUAUCUUCAUAGUCUUGGAGUCCGGCCAAAGAUGAUAGUUCGGCUAUCUGAACACCCCCUAGUCCGGGACUCCCUCACCCGUGAUAAAGAAUCACCUAGUAAGGAUGUGAUUAUUGGUCUUGCUUCUAUUGCCGUGCCUCCUACUGAUCCGUUAGAACAAUAUUUGCUAGACCAUGAAAAUGAUAUAUUUAUGAAUGAAAGAAGGGAAAUCGAUGAAGUGUUCCUUCAACAGGGUCCUAUUCUGAAACACAACCUGCCUGUUGAAAUCUUAGGGGAUCCCCCUCCACCCCAGGGUGAUCCUAUGUUUGAGCUCAAACCAUUACCUGAUAAUCUUAAGUAUGUUUAUCUUGAUGAAAAGAAAAUAUAUCAUAUUAUUAUUAGUGCUAACCUUUCACAGCAAGAAGAAGAAAGAUUAUUGAAAACUCUGAAGAAGCACCGUGCUGCUAUUGGAUAUACUCUGGAUGAUCUUAAGGGCAUUAGUCCCACUCUAUGCCAACACAAAAUUAAUGUGGAGAAAGAUGCCAAACCAGCUAGAGAUCCUCAAUGAUGGUUAAAUCCUAAGAUGAAAGAAGUGGUAAGAAUGGAGAUACUGAAGCUCCUUGAGGCAGGUAUAAUUUAUCCCGUUGCUGAUAGUGAAUGGGUAAGUCAUGUCCAUUGUGUUCCUAAAAAGGGAGGUAUUACUGUCGUUCCUAAUGAUAAAGAUGAAUUGAUCCCGCAAAGAAUUAUUAUAGGUUAUAGGAUGGUAAUUGAUUUUCGUAAAUGAAAUAAAGAUACUAAGAAAGAUCAAAUGCUAGAAAGCUUAUCCAAACAUACACAUUUCUGCUUUCUAGAUGGUUAUUCUGGUUUCUCUCAAAUACCUGUGUCAGCGGAGGAUCAAUCAAAAACUACUUUUACUUGCCCUUUCGGUACUUUUACUUAUAGACGUAUGCCUUUUGGUUUAUGUAAUGCACCUGCUACCUUUCAAAGAUGCAUGAUGGCUAUAUUUUAUUACUUUUGUGAAAAGAUUUGUGAGGUAUUCAUGGAUGAUUUCUCCGUUUAUGGGUCCUCUUUUGAUGAUUGCUUGAGCAACCUUGAUCGAGUUUUGCAGAAAUGUGAAGACACUAGUCUCGUCUUGAAUUGGGAAAAGUGCCACUUUAUGGUUAAUGAAGGAAUUGUCUUGGGGCCUAAGAUUUCCGAGAGAGGUAUUGAAGUUGAUAAAGAUAAAGUUGAUGCUAUUGAAAAGAUGCCAUGUCCCAAGGACAUAAAAGGUAUAAGAAGUUUCCUUGGUCAUGCCGGUUUUUAUAGGAGGUUCAUUAAGGACUUUUCUAAAAUCUCUAGGCCUCUGACUAAUUUAUUGCAAAAAGAUAUUCCUUUUGUCUUUGAUGAUGAUUGUGUAGAAGCGUUUGAAAUAUUUAAGAAAGCUUUGAUCACUGCACCUAUUGUUCAGCCACCUGAUUGGAAUUUACCCUUUGAAAUUAUGUGUGAUGCUAGUGAUUAUGCUGUAGGUGUUGUUCUAGGGCAAAGAGUUGAUAAGAAAUUGAAUGUUAUCCAGUAUGCUAGUAAAACUCUUGAUACUGCCCAGAGAAAUUAUGCUACUACUGAAAAAGAGUUCUUAGCAGUUGUAUUUGCUUGUGAUAAGUUUAGACCUUAUAGUGUUGAUUCUAAAGUUACUAUUCACACAGAUCAUGCUGCUAUUAAAUAUCUUAUGGAAAAGAAAGAUGCUAAUCCUAGACUUAUUAGAUGGGUUCUCUUGCUCCAAGAAUUUGAUUUGCAUAUCAUUGAUAGAAAGGGAGCUGAGAACCCCGUUGCAGACAACCUGUCUAGGUUAGAGAAUGUUCUUGAUGACCCACUACCUAUUGAUGAUAGCUUUCUUGAUGAACAAUAACGGUCAUUAAUGCUUCUCGUACUGCUCCUUGGUAUGCUAAUUAUGCUAAUUACAUUGUUGAUAAAUUUAUACCACCUAGUUUCACAUACCAGCUAAAGAAAAGGUUCUUUUAUGAUUUAAGACAUUACUUCUGGGAUGACCCACACCUUUAUAAAGAAGGAGUAGAUGGUGUUAUUAGACGUUGUGUACCUGAGCAUGAAUAGGAACAGAUCCUACGCAAGUGUCACUCUGAAUCAUAUGGAGGACACCACGCUGGAGAUAGAACUGCACAUAAGGUAUUGCAAUCCGGUUUUUAUUGGCCUACUCUCUUCAAAGAUGCUCAUAAGUUUGUCUUAUCUUGUGAUGAAUGUCAAAGAAUUGGAAAUAUUAGUAGACGUCAAAAAAUUCCUAUGAAUUAUUCUCUUGUUAUUGAACCAUUUGAUGUUUGGGGCUUUCAUUAUAUAGGACCUUUUCCUGCCUCUAAUGGUUACACACAUAUUUUAGUUGCUGUUGAUUAUGUUGCUAAGUGGGUAGAAGCUAUUCCAACUAGUAGUGCUGAUCAUAACACCUCUAUUAAGAUGCUUAAAGAAGUUAUUUUUUUAAGGUUUGGAGUCCCUAGAUAUCUUAUGACUGAUGGUGGUUCACAUUUUAUUCAUGGUGCUUUCCGUAAGAUGCUUGCUAAGUAUGAUUUUAAUCAUAGAAUUGCAUCUCCUUAUCACCCGCAGUCUAGUGGUCAAGUAGAAUUGAGCAAUAGAGAGCUCAAAUUAAUUUUGCAAAAGACUGUUAAUAGAUCUAGAAAGAAUUGGUCCAAGCCACUUGAUGAUGCAUUAUGGGCCUAUGGAACUGCAUAUAAAAAUCAUAUGGGUAUGUCUCCGUAUAAGAUGGUAUAUGGAAAAGCAUGUCACUUACCUCUCGAACUUGAACAUAAAGCAUAUUGGGCUAUUAAAGAGCUCAACUAUGACUUCAAACUUGCCGGUGAGAAGAGGUUAUUUGAUAUUAGCUCACUUGAUGAAUGGAGAACCCAAGCCUAUGAGAAUGCCAAGCUGUUCAGAGAAAAAGUUAAAAGAUGGCAUGACAAAAGGAUACAAAGAGUGAGUUUAACGUAGGUGAUUAUGUGUUGCUAUUCAACUCUCGUUUAAGAUUUUUUGCAGGAAAACUUCUCUCCAAAUGGGAAGGUCCUUACGUUAUCGAGAAGGUCUAUCGUUCCGGUGCCAUAAAAAUCAACAAUUUCGAAGGCACAAGUCCGCAGGUGGUGAACGGUCAAAGAAUCAAACAUUAUAUCUCAGGUGGUCCUAUCAACGCUGAAACUAAUAUUAUUGAAACCGUAACCCUGGAGGAAUACAUAAGGGACACUUUCCAGAAUGUUUCACACUCCAAAAAGGAAUAGGUAUGUGGUCCGGUAAGUAAACCGACUCCAAAACAGUUCUAAUGGCAAUUUUUCUCCGUUUUGGAAUAUUUAGGAAUUUUGGGAAGCAAGAAGUAAUCCGGGAAGGACACGAGGCCUCCACGAGGGUGGAGGGCGCGCCCACCCUUACUGGGCGCGCCCCCCUAUCUCGUCGGCACCCCGUGUGCCUCCCAGACUCUGUUUUCUUGCACGUUACGUAUUUUGGUCAGUAAAAAUUCAUUAUAUAAUCUCUCGAAGGUUUUGACCAUCCUAUCACGCAAAACUCCUCUGUUUUUGUUUUAAGUUAUUCUUGUUGCAGAAUUAGAGCAAGAUGUCUUCUCAAGAGUCAGUCGUGGAGAGUCGGGUGUCUCACCCGACACCAGGUCGAGGAGAAAAUAGUGAUGCUUAUCACUUUGGACCAUCAACGGAAGAUGAUAUGGAGGCCGACUUGAAAAGGAUAUAUGCCAUGGAGGAGGAUCAAGAAGUUACCUCCCGCUUCCAAGUAGGAUUCAUGAUGGGGGAACUACAGAGCUCCGCUAUUCCAAAUUCGGUCAUCCCUUCCAACGUUAAAUUUCUUUCUUAUGAAAACAUGAAAAAGAGCGUCACUUGUUCCCCAGAAGCUUUGCAGCAUCCUUGGGUAAAGGGAGCUUUAGCCGUGACGGGCAAGCUCCGCAAGGAAAUUAUAUACCUCAAACAACAAGUAAAUAAGCUCGAGGAGGAGAAUCGUAUCCUGAGGGGCAUCAUCGCCAAGAAGAUCAUAACACCAACUAUGAAGAAGGAGACAUAAUCACAUGGGUAUGGGCACUCCCCUUGGCAACUGCCAAGCUUGGGGGAGGUGCCCCGGUAUCGUAUCACCAUCACACUCCUAUCUUUACCGUUUUACUUAGUUCGAUCCUUUUAGUAAUAUCUUGAUCUUAUAGAUUGAAGUUUUGGUAUGAUUUAGUUUUGAGUUUUGCUUUGUGAUCCCACUACAAAAAAAACACUUCCGUGAUGAUACGUGUUUGUCACAGUAGGUCGCAUUUUUUGUCAUGCAUGUACAUCCAUGACGAUUUUAUGACAGAAUCAAGAUAGUCAUACCUGUGCUAUCGUAGAAGUGUUCCAUGACAUUUCCAAAAUUAUCAUCACGGAAGUGUCCACUUCCUUGACGAUAAAUCGCGCGUCAUAGAAGUGCUUUCAUCAAGGGUGACCGACACGUGGCAUCCACCGUAACGGAACACCGUUAAGCUAUCGGGUCGGGUUUUGGAUCCGAAACCCGUUAACAGCCCCAACCAAUGGGAAAUUUCCACGUGUAAAAUUCUUAUUGGCCGGACGAAACACGUGUCAGCUCGUCAGUGGGUCAGAUAGGCGCCUAUGAUAUGUCGACACGUGCCACGGCCCACCACUGGCCCAUUUUAGCUUACAAAGUCGGCCCGUUUGACUUGGUCAAAAGUUAACGGGCUGGCCCAUGAAAAGCCUGUUAACGGUGUCUUCGCAAAGAGCCCAUUUUACGGCCCGUUAACUCACGGCCCAUUAGGACCUCAAGGAAAUCGGCCCAACAACGUCAUGUGGGCCGUCGAGUAUAACACCAGCCCAUUUCACUUUUGACCUAUGUAUGGCCCACGAUGUCUUUCGGCCCAUAUGAGGCCUUCGUAUCUUUCGGCCCUUUACAUGCCCACGGUGACUCUAGCCCAUAAUGAACAGUAAUUUUAUCUGUACCCAUUAAAGGCCCGUGAUUUACAUGGGCCGUUUCCAGCCCGUGUUAGCUUUCGGCCUAUUGGCGACCCAUACGUUCUUGGGCUCCUUUUCGGCCCUUGAUUACUUCCGGCCCGUUACUGUCAUGUUCCCCUAAUGGGCCAAAUUUGGCCCAUGGCAAGAGUCGGCCCGUUACUGGCAUGUUCCCCAAAUGGGCCAAAUUCGGCCCAUGGCAAGAGUCAGCCCGUUACUGGCCUGUUACCCUAAUGGGCCAAAUUCGGCCCAUGGCAAGAGUCGGUCCGUUUCUGGCAUGUUAACCCGUUGCGCCGUUUCUAGCCCGUCCUAUAUUGUGGCCCAUUAACGACCCGUUAUGCCUGUGACAGAAUUAAGCCUUUGCAGUCCUACGGCCUGUUAACGGCCCGUUACCGUGCUGGGCCGAUAACAAUUACGCCCGAUUACGGCCCAUGUAGACCCAUUUAUCCGACGGCCCGAGGCCCACCGAUUACAGGCCCAUUUAUCGAUGACCCGAGGCCCACCGAUUACAGGCCCAUUCGUCGACGGCCCGUAGGAGACCCAUGGAUCCUACAGCCCAUAUAUGGCCCAUGGUAGUUGCGGCCACUAGCAAACCAGGGAAAAAGAAGACUAGGAAAUAAAUAAGGCCGAAACUAACGCUAGGCUAUUAAGGCGAUUGCACAGAUUACAUCCACUCGGCAUCAAAGAUCGCCACCAGUGCAAAUAUAGGGAACACCCUACACUAUACAAAAAUGGCUUGUUGUUUUCUUCAGCCAGUGGCUGCAUGUUAAGAAUAAAUUUUGUAUUGCACCAAAACAAAUUACAACUAUAUAACAAAAGGAAGGUUGGCAUAAAACUUAAUAGUCUAGCAGAUAAAUGCACCACCAGAAGUUCAAAAGCUCGGUUCAUUUGACCUGACUGUUACGUUUUCAUGUUGUAUUGUCCGAUGGAGCACCAUAACCCUCGCCUUCAUUUCCCCUAGGCUCCUGAUCAACAUAGCAAAUGUUUGAUAGUUUGGAUUCAAAACCAUGCAUAUCUUGACGACAUUGAGCAAUGUUUCUCCUUGUUUCACAAAGGGCCUCUGUUAGGGAAUGGACUUGUGUUUGGAGCGCAGAUACAACAUUGCUUUGAGCUUGCAUAUCUUGAUCAUGAGGCAUAAUAUGGUACAGCGAAAAGAGUGAAACAACAGCUAAUUACAAGAGCCUCGCAGUGUGCAAUAUAGCUACUAGAUCCUGUCGUCUGUUGGAAUUUCACUUUCGUACGAUUGGCCUUGUUCUUUGAACAGUUCACCUACAAGAAGAUAGAUUGUGUGGCACAUGCGUAAAUAGGACUUCAACAUGUGAUCUGAUCACAUAUAUAUAAUGUACCUGAUACUUCGGAUCAGACCAGUGUUUAACAAGGCCCCUCCAGUCUUGAUCCGAUAUAUUUUUCACUGGAGAUGUUUGGGAAAGUUCACUGUUAGCCUUGCCUUCAAAGUGAGUUUUCCUCAAGUUAUACCAAUACUGUCGUAGAGCAGACUUGAAAACAUGGGUGCAAGCUUGUCUGGUUGCAUCAUCUUGGCUAUCCAACUUGAACUUCAUCUGUUGAAAAUUAUGGGAGUCUCAUUAUCAGCAACCUAGAAAGUAUGGGACAGAGCAAGACGAUAUUACUAGUUUCCAUACAUAACCAUACUUACAGAUAAAUGGUCGAGGAAGGUGUUGAACUGGGUUUCGUCUUUGUCAUUCCUGUACUGAAUCCAUGCUAGGAGGAUACGUACAUGACACCUAACUGCAACCGCUGCCUCUGAUACUAACUUGGUUGACUCUGUAGCAUCACGUGGCCUUUUUAAACCUGCCUCAAAACGGAUCUCCAUUCUUCCUCCUCUAGAUUUAGUUAACCUAUCGAGGAUUAUCCCUGAUGUUUGUUUCCUCUUGCCCCUAGGUGCUAGUCCAACAACGAACAUAGGAAGUGUUAGUGUACAUCAAACUGUGAGACUACAUAUAAAGAAGCAUGCAACUGUAACUUGACUCCAACAACUACCUUCUUGUUGUUGAAUCUCACAAGGUUCAUCUGAUAUUGCCAACUCGUCUUGUGUCAAGAGUGCUUGGGAAGUAGUGUCAGGUGGCAAGGGAGCUUGGGAACGUGCUGCUAGCUCAGUUGACGCACGAGUAAGUCGUGCAGCUGGUAGUACUGUGGUAGGUGUUGCAUGAACUAGGGAUGUCUCUGCUUGUUUGGUGGCAGCUAUUUGUUUCUAAUUGGCUUUUUUGCAGCUCAUGUAGCAUGGGAUGCCGUGUUUGUAGAAUUUUCCGCUGGGCAUUCACCUUCUAUUGCACCAUCAGUACCAGUAGAAUGUGCAGGAUUCAUCCGCUUCUCAUUCCCUGCCAUUCCGUGUUUCUUCCUCUUUCUCUGUGCUAUGUUAAGUCAAAUCGACAAGAAAAACGAAUAACAAUUUAGUUCUUCAGAACAAAUUGAUGCGUGAUGCAGACGAACUGAACUUUGAUGUUAGACAACCACAUGAUAGGAGGAUGUAAUAUGUAUGAAAAACAGGACGGAAGAGAUAACCAGAACUAUGAUGUGUAAACUAAGAAGAAGACAUUUCACCAAAUUAGAAGCAAUGCAAUGGAAGGUAGACACCAUAUGAAAGAUGCUACAAAUAUCGCUCUGCCAAGUUAACAGUGUCUCAUCAUAAAUGGUGUUUAAACAAAUGUGAAGCAGUACAAUAAAUAAAUCAUAUGCAAGAUGCAAACAACAUCACACUGCCAUGUUAGAGGUCUCUCGUCAUUAGUGCCAUUGCAUAUUCACAGCAUUGCAUAUUCACAGCUUAUGAUGUGUAAACUAAGGAGAAGGCACUUCAACAAAUUAGAAGCAAUGAAAGCUACACACCAUAUGAAAGAUGCAACGAAUAUAACUCUACCAAGUUAUAACUGUCUCGUCAUAAGUGCCAUUUCAACAAAUUAGUAGUACAAGCUAGAAAAGAAUGUGAGAUGUAACCUAUAUCACACUCCGAAGUCAAACGUGUCUUAUGAUAAGUGAUUGUUGUAGGUUACACAACAGUAGUAAUUUGAUGUAAGAACAUGGUGUGAUAGAUAGAUAUUGUAUGUUCUAGAAACAGGAACAUGUGUCUUAUUCAAGUAUAAUCUGUAAAGUAAGCAGAUGGAAUUCAACAAAAUUAGAAGCAAUACAAGCUAGACAUCACACAUAACAUGCAACCACAUAUAACAGUGCCAAGUUAGAGGGAGCACCAGUGAUGCUGCACUAGGGGAGACGUGCUCAUCAUAAACACAGCUUUGUUGAGUGUCUAUGCAUGUGUUGUCUUGGAAAUCAUCUUGGGGGUGUGGAGGAGUAGAAACUAUAGAGGCCCUCCGUUCGAAAGGACCACCUUUAUCCGCUGCCUUGCUAACUUCCUUCCGCUUUAUUGAUUUUGAAUUGUCAAGUAAAACCGACAAGAAAAAGCAAUAAAAUUCUCUCUUCAGAACUCAUUCAUGCAUGAUACUGACAAUCACUACUUUGAUGUAAGGCAAACACAUGAUACCAGGAUGGAAUAUGUACGAAAAACAGGACGGCAUGGCAUGUUCACAACUGUUUGUGUAAACUAAGCAGAAACCAUUCCGGCAAAUAAGAAGCAAUGUAAGCUAGACACCACAUGAAUGAUGCAACCAAUAUGACUCUGCCAAGUUAAAAGCAUCCCAUCAUAAAUGGAAUUUCAACAAAUUAGAAGCAGCGCAUGCUAUAAAUCAUAUGAAAGAUGCAACUAAUAUCGCACUGCAUAUACUAAAGGUGUCUCGUCAUAUUGAUUGAUGUGGGAUACAAAAAAACGAUAGUUUUAUGUAAGGACAUGCUUAAUAGACAGAUGUACUAUGUACUAAAUACAGGAAGGCAUGUCACAUUAAUAGGUAUAAUGUACUCCCUCCGUCCCAUAAUGUAAGACGUUUUUUGGCACUAAUUAAGUGCCAGAAAAACGUCUUACAUUAUGGGACGGAGGGAGUAUAAGCUAAGCAAACUAGCACAUGCAGUUUAACCAGAUUGGAAGAAUUACAAUCUAGACACCAUAUGCAACAUGCAACCACAUAUCACGCUGCCAAGUUAGAGCAAGCACCUGCGAUGCUAGUGUAGGGUAAAUGUUGUAAUCAACUACAGAGCUACGUUCACUAUCUUCAUCUAGCAUUUCUAUUUCUUGAGAAUCAUGUCGGGAGGCUGACGCUACAUUCUUUAAAUGAGGAGUAGUCCCGUUGCCUGCCUACCUCGUCAUAAGUUAUUGAUGAGGGAUACACAAGAUCAUUAGUUUGAUGUAAGAACAUGGUUAAUACACAGAUGUACUAGUAUGUACCAAAAACAGAAAGGCAUGUCAUAUUCAAAGGUAUAAUGUGUAAGCUAAGCAGAUGCAAUUUAACCAAAUUGGAAGCAAUACAAGCUAGACAUCCGGCUAGAGUGGUGAACAUGAUCAUCUAGGACCUGAGAGCCUGGUGGGAGGCGGGCUGCUUCGCCACCAUCGCGGCUUUUUAGUUGGCUUCGAGGUGAUGCCUGUCUUUGCUGGGCUUGUCACUGGCUCGGCCAGUGCCCUGACUAGCUAUUUGUCUUCUGGUGCUCACGGGAUGGUGGUUCGUGUAAAAAAUAUCUUUCCUUAUCUUAAUAAAGACCGACUUCGACCUUUCGAAUACAAGCUAGACACCAUAUGGAACAUGCAACCGCAUAUGACAUCGUGAAGCUAAGGCAAGCACCCUGGAUGGUGGUUCAUUGCGAGCGAGUUCAUCAACUCCAGAGCAACAUUUACCGUCUCCAUCUACUGACACUGCACCCUUUAUAGAGUUGUAAUGUGUCAUGCCUAGCCGCGUAGAAAGCUGGCACGACUUGUCUCUUUUCUUUUUUGCUUCUCUCGAGGCAGACUCUAAAAUACCCUUGCAUAAAAAUGCAAUAGUGAGAGUAUGGGUGAAGUGUGUGCAGAACUAGUGCACUUUAAAAGUAGCAGAUAGCAGGUGGCUGAAAAUUAAAUGACAGGAGACAUAUGAUAGCUCUACAACAUUGCAUGGCAAUCAAAAUUAGAUUCUACUCCGUAUGAUUUUGUAAUAUAUGAGCACAGGAAAUGCAGGUACUCCUCCAGCACACCACCACAUGUGGUCAUAUCUAAGAUAACAGUUGACUGAAAAUAAAUAGGUCAGUCAACUUUUUUAAUGAACCGUCCUAUCUAUAAGGAACGGGCAGAUGGCCUUUGUCUACCUCCCGCCAGUCACUGUUGACGAUCUUUCUCGAACCGCCAGCAACCACCGUCCCAGAACCCUGCCUCCGCCGCCCCGCCCUCCCAUCGACCUCACACCACCACCGUCCUUGGCAGCGCCCCCAGGCCAUCCCUUUAAUCCCGGCUAACCUCCAGAUCGGGCGCCAGUAGCUCUAGGCCGCACACGCCCCUAAGAUAAACACCAAGGCGCUGCUUCCCCGGCGUAAUAGUCGUACUAGCGCCUGUUACGCCGGGGAAUGCUUCCGUUAAUUGGGAAUCAACUGGACAGAAAUUGAAAUUCAGGGGGGCGAGGGACCUCUAGCUAAGGUGAAAUAGUAUAUGAGGAGAAACCUUGUGCAUCGCGGGUUACUAGGAACAUCUAGUAUCAAGAAGAAGCAGUCAACUAGUGUCUUCUGUGGGAUGAAUAAUCUGCAAGCAGAGAUGUAAGAUUUGCAUGAAUAAGGGAAGAGGAGUACCUUCUUUGGUUGCCGGUGUGGUCACCUCCACAUGUCGCACCGAUCUUCUUCUUUUUACCGGGGAAACCGAUGUUCUGGAGUGUGCAGGCUUGGAAGAACCCAUGGCCAAAUUGUUGACUGUGUUUCCAUGGCCGUAUGUCGGCGAAGGGGAAGCAGAUCCGAGGCGGCGAAGCACGGCGUAGCAGGAACAGCUCUGGUGCGGUGGAGGGUGGCGAAGUUGGAGCUGCAGCGGUGUGGCGCAGGACGGCAUGGUUGAACUGGCUCGGGUACGAAUGGCUCGGCCUCGACUUCAACUACUAGCCGUGGAGGGCGUUGCGGUUGAGGUUGCGGUGGACGACGACGUCGGGGUAUCAUCUCCGGCGUGAUGGAGGAGGGAGGCGGUUGAUGGGUGGGAUGAGGUGGCGGACGGAGGACGCCGGGGUUUCGCGGCUGGUGGAGAGGUAGUUUUGGCGCCCACGAAGUACGAAUGGGGAAUCGGACGGGUGGGGGGAACCAUGUUUCGGUCUGGGACGCGCUUGUUUUUGGCUUUUUUGAACAGAAGAUGGGACGCGCUUGUUUGAAAUUUGGGGAAAGUACAAACUUUGCCCCCCUCUUAAGUUUCGGACCUACUCCGGGUCGGGGGUAGGAUGGUAAUCCCAGGUGUCCCAAAUAGUGGGCGGGAGCAAUUUCGGUCGCGCGCAUGUGCGCUUAGGCGGCCAUUGUGUAUGAAUAUUUUUCGGAGGCGGUUGCGUGGUGUCUAGAUGAAGCUACAAACCUACCCUGGUUUAGACCUUUGGACGUCGGGCCGGUAGGUUUCACGGGUCGGAGUUAUUAGAAAAGUAAUUUCCUUGUACUACCAAACAUUGGUCUCACCCGGUUUCGGGCGAGUAGAGGCUCUUUUGGCGCUUCGUUCGAAAUUUUGAAACACAAGCAUUCACGUUUAGAGUACUCUUGAACUAUGAGGAUUGACCUAAAUAGACAACGUUAUAUUUGACCUUGUAUGUUUGAAAACCUCAUUAAAUUAUCCGCUUCUUUUUGAAAUUUUGACACUUGAAAAUCAUAUAACUACGAUUAUUUUGGAAUGGAGGAGCUAAAUUUGAAUCUAUUUUGUACACAACUACAUAUGCUAUUGUGUACAAAAUCAGAGCAAAGAUUGGUGCCCCCAUAAUUUAGGUAUGGUUUACAAAUGCCGUGAUAUCAAAUUCAAAUAAUUGAAUCGACUUCAUGUUGAAUUCAAUUUUUUUAAACCACCUUAAGUUGAAUUCAAAUGUAUGCUAGUUCAUAGGUAGCUAUUUAUAAUGUCCAUUGUGUAACUUUCAUAUGUAUAAUGUGCUUUACACACACAACAUGAACUAUACUCACGUUUAUAUUCGAUUGCUAAAGCGAUGCAUUGUCUGGAGUUCAAAAUACUAACUAUGUGGAUCAAUUGUGUCGAAUAAUAACAUAGACAUGCUCAAAUUCGAUAGAAUCUAGAUGUUUGAUGGAUCAAUGACCGCUCCUUACACGAAUUGCAAAUAUCAUGAUCCCAUCCUAAUAUUUGGAUACAAUUUAUAUCUUUAAUUAAUGUGUAGAAUAGUCUUUUAUGUGUAGUUUCACUCUCCAUCGGUGGUCUCUCACACAUUCUCACACACUCUCUCCCGAGGUGUCUUUCUCGCACACAUGCUCUAGAUAUAACCCUCCCUCCCUCUCGUAACCAUUUACAAUUGUUUUCACUAACCUUUAUCACAAGCACUCUUCCUCUCGUAAACAUACACACGCACAAUCCUCAUCGACCCUUUCUAUAUACAUGGACCUGCCUACGUGUCUCAUGUACGCACAUUAUCUUUACACCUGUCUCUCACACAUUGUCUCACACCUCUCUUCCUAAUCGACGAGUAUGAUUCUAGCAGAGCAUCCUGUAGGAUGCCCCCUAAAGUUAGGUUGGAUGAAUAGUAAUAUCAGAGAUAAAGGGGUUACCUUAGUCCGAGAACCUAGGGUUACAAAUCCUAGCCGGCUUUGUCAGUGGACAUAGAGUCCUUCACAAUUCUGCUAUCUUUGUCUUCUACGACUAGUCAUCCAUGGGUCUUCCUAAAUGUGUCAUGGGUCGACCAAUGUGGCGCAGGACGUAACCGAACGAAGGGCCUCACCUCGACCCACCGGACCACACACAAUGACACACCCUCUACCCCCACGUCUCAUUAUCUUCUCACACCCACACAUACCAACACAAACACCACACACACAGAAAAUUUCUCCUGGUGCCUCUAUUCCCUCCCCCCUUGCAUAUACACACUCAAGGGAAUGGAAUCUCUUGUCGUGACGUCAUAUUCGUCUCUCUCUCUAGACCACUCUCAUUUCUCGUGCUAUCUCUCCCACGCCCCCCCUNNNNNNNNNNNNNNNNNNNNNNNNNNNNNNNNNNNNNNNNNNNNNNNNNNNNNNNNNNNNNNNNNNNNNNNNNNNNNNNNNNNNNNNNNNNNNNNNNNNNNNNNNNNNNNNNNNNNNNNNNNNNNNNNNNNNNNNNNNNNNNNNNNNNNNNNNNNNNNNNNNNNNNNNNNNNNNNNNNNNNNNNNNNNNNNNNNNNNNNNNNNNNNNNNNNNNNNNNNNNNNNNNNNNNNNNNNNNNNNNNNNNNNNNNNNNNNNNNNNNNNNNNNNNNNNNNNNNNNNNNNNNNNNNNNNNNNNNNNNNNNNNNNNNNNNNNNNNNNNNNNNNNNNNNNNNNNNNNNNNNNNNNNNNNNNNNNNNNNNNNNNNNNNNNNNNNNNNNNNNNNNNNNNNNNNNNNNNNNNNNNNNNNNNNNNNNNNNNNNNNNNNNNNNNNNNNNNNNNNNNNNNNNNNNNNNNNNNNNNNNNNNNNNNNNNNNNNNNNNNNNNNNUCUCAAAUACGUAAUACACACACAUACCUCUCUAGUCCCCGCCAAAUGCAUCAACUACACAUUCACACAUGUUACAUCACGUACCCCAUUGAUCUAGAAAGCCCUCUCUUCAUGUUUAUUUCGCAUACAACAUUCCUUUUGAAUAAAGUGUGGCCAAAAAAUUAUUUUAGAGUUUCUACAUAUAUACAACAUUACAAAGUUAUAUGGAGGAGUACGAAAGCUAAUUUGCAUUGCAUGGUGCCCACAAUGAUAUUUAUUCCGCACUGUGAAUUUGUAUAUUUUUAUAUUAUAUACAAAGUUAGUCAUAAUAAAGAGAAAUGGAGAGCAUCUCUCUCUCCAUCGCAUACCCCCCCCCCUGUACGCCCCUUUCACGUAUGCACACAAAACUAUCUCCAGGUCCUCUAAAAGUAAGCCCCCAGAAAAUUCACGCCUGUUUCAUCUUUCUCUCGCGAUAUAUGCAAUGACGAUCAUUGUAUUUGAAGCGAAAGCACGAUACAUACAUUGGACUUCAUAAUCCACUCAUUACGGUCACCAUUUACGUUUAGUGGUUAUUAUACAGUCACGGGCUCACCGUACAACUUUGUAUUUGCUCAUGACAUGACUAGUUGACCAGUUAAAUGAUCCACGUGGCACCUCUAAUGUUUCAUCACAUUAUCUCACUACCAUCAUGCACACCUGUCGACUUGUAUCUACUCUACAUCUACACUCUUAUAAAAUACAUAGAAUACACUCUUAUAAAAAACAGAGUUGGUGAUGAUGGUGUGCCUGCCAUCCUGCAAUAUAGGUCAUCCGAUUUAUAUCUGAUGGAUAGGAAAGAAACUAUGGCAAUUUUGCAAAAAGGUGCCCACACACCUCUCCACAUUUGCAAAUAAGGCCUUCCCUCGUUCAUCCUUUUCUCUCACAAGAUAAACAAGUCAUACAAAUGCAUCUUGAUGUUACAUGCAACGCACGGGCAUCUUGCUAGUAAGAAUGAAAACAAACGACAAAAAAAUAUUUUGACGGUGGUUCCAAGUCAUGACCGCAGGCACAGCGGACAAGGUGGCCUUGUAUUGGUAUCCUAAUCCGUCUGUUUUAACACACAGGAGCUGUUGUGGUGAUUAUACACACACGCACGCAUGCACACGAACUGCAUCCAUGGAACACUCACACAAACACAUGCACCCACGCACACAUGCAACACUCACACGUGCACACGCAGCCACGCACGCAUGCAACACUCACACGCACACACACACACGCAUGCAUGCACACUCCAGUACACCACACGACCAACACACACUCUCACGCUCAAGUGCUCAACCUACACGUGCAUGCGCACACAUCAGGCCCUGACAGACACAUACAAAACCAGGUGAUUCCCGCGCAUGGGUUGGAGCCUUGUCGCGCCUGCGUAAAUUUAUGUUUAUCUGACCUUUUCCCUAUGCGAACUGGCAGGUGGGACCCACAAGGAACGUGGUCAAUUUAACUAGUCAACAUGGCGCCAUGCAGACUAUUUGGCCGGUCAACAGAGUGCAAUCCUAUGCUGAACUGUGAGGAAGUGACCAGAUAAUCACCACAAAACAUAUAUAGUGACUGUAAUCAGCUUAUUCUGAAGUUCCGUGACCGUAUUACGCUUUUCUCUCUGUAGGCCCUCCAAAACUACAUCUCUACACGUUCUCGCAUGUUACAUCUAACAACUAUGCAAUACAACACUACUACUACACUCUAACACAACAAAUCAUAUGUGUUUUUAGUUUUACUAGAUAUCAUAUUGUUACUUAUAAUUAUUCAGUUUGCAUACAUUAAAAUUGCCUUUGAAAUGUAUGGCCAGUAUCAUCUACCGCGCAGACUAUUUGCCUUUGAAAUUACACAAUAAAUCAUCGCAGACUAUUUGGCUUUGAAAUUGCUGAUACGUCUCCAACGUAUCUAUAAUUUUUGAUUGCUCCAUGCUACUUUAUCUACUAUUUUGGACUAUACUGGGCUUUAUUUUCCACUUUUAUAUUACUUUUGGGACUAACCUAUUAACCGGAGGCCCAGCCCAGAAUUGCUGUUUUUUGCCUAUUUCAGUGUUUUGAAGAAACGGAAUAUCAAACGGAGUCCAAAUGGAAUGAAACCUUCGGGAUCGUGAUUUUCCAACCGAACAUGAUCCAGGAGACUUGGACCCUACUCCAAGAAGUUCCAGAGGCGGUCACGAGGGUGGAUGGCGCCCUCCCCCCCCCCCUGGGCACGCCCCCCUACGUCGUGGGCCCCCUGACGCUCCACCGAUGUACGCCUUCCUCCUAUAUAAACCUACGUAUCCCCGAAUGAUCAGAACAGGAGCCAAAAACCUAAUUCCACCGCCGCAACCUUCUGUAUCCACGAGAUCCCAUCUUGGGGCCUAUUCCGGAGUUCCGCCGGAGGGGGCAUCCACCAUGGAGGGCUUCUACAUCAUCACCAUAGCCCCUCCGAUGAAGUGUGAGUAGUUUACUUCAGACGUUCGGGUCCAUAGCUAGUAGCUAGAUGGCUUCUUCUCUCUUUUUGGAUCUCAAUACAAUGUUCUCCCCCUCUCUUGCGGAGAUCUAUUCGAUGUAAUCUUCUUUUUGCGGUGUGUUUGUUGAGACCGAUGAAUUGUGGGUUUAUGAUCCAGUAUUAUCUAUGGAAAAUAUUUGAUUCUUCCCUGAAUUCUUUUAUGUAUGAUUGAGUUAUCUUUGCAAGUCUCUUCGAAUUAUCCUUUUUGGUUUGGCCAACUAGAUUGGUAGUUCUUGCAAUGGGAGAAGUGCUUAGCUUUGGGUUCAAUCUUGCGGUGUCCUUACUCAGUGAAAGAAAGAGUUGCAAGGCACAUAUUGUAUUGUUGCCAUCGAGGAUAACAAGAUGGGGUUUUUAUCAUAUUGCAUGAAUUUAUCCCUCUACAUCAUGUCAUCUUGCUUAAGGCGUUACUCUGUUUUUAACUUAAUACUCUAGAUGCAUGCUGGAUAGCGGUCGAUGAGUGGAGUAAUAGUAGUAGACGCAGAAUCAUUUCGAUCUACUUGUUUUGGACGUGAUGCCUAUAUACAUGAUCAUUGCCUAGAUAUACUCAUAACUAUGCUCAAUUCUGUCAAUUGCUCAAUAGUAAUUCGUUCACACACCGUAGAAUAUCUAUGCUCUUGAGAGAAGCCACUAGUGAAACCUAUGGCCCCGGGUCUAUUCUCAUCAUAUCAAUCUCUAUCACUUUAUUUACUUUCUUUGUUUUUACUUUUCGUUUUUCCUUUACUUUGCAUCUAUCUAUCAAAAAUACCAAAAAUAUUAUUUCUAUCAGAUCUCACUCUCGUAAGUGACCGUGAAGGGAUUGACAACCCCUAAGCGUUGGUUGCGAGUUGCUAUCGUUUUGUGUAGGUAUGAGGGACUUGUGCGUGGUCUCCUACUGGAUUGAUACAUUGGUUCUCAAAAACUGAGGGAAAUACUUACGCUACUUUGCUGCAUCAUCCUCUCCUCUUCGGGGAAAUCCAACGCAGUGCUCAAGAGGUAGCAAGAAGAAUUUCUGGCGCCGUUGCCAGGGAGUUUCACGCAAGCAAGUCAACAUACCAAGUACCCAUCACAAUCCCUAUCUCUCGCAUUACAUUAUUUGCCAUUUGCCUCUCGUUUUCCUCUCCCCCACUUCACCCUUGCCGUUUUAUUCGCCCUCUCUUUCCCAAUCUACUUCUCUCUUUCCCGUUUUCCUUUUUCUUGUUGCCUUUCUAUUUGCUCGUGUGUUAGUUUGCUUGCUUGUCGUUAUGUCUGAAAUUGGGGAAAUUAUUGCCGACAUGGGCGAUAAUAAUAUCAUGGAAAAUUCUGAAGCUCCUGCUGAAGAAUCCCCUACUUAUCAUACAAAAAGAUUUCGAAUAGGUAGUGGUAAUAUUAUUGGAAAAGGAGUUAUUCAAGAUUUCUUUACUUGUGCCGGUGCUUUACCCUCUAUGUGCAGUUCUAUUCUUCAUAGAACCAGCAGUCUUGCUGAUGCCAUUGCCAUGCUUAUCGUUGAACUUGAGAGGCAAUUUAUGCAUAUGCACCCUUCUAUACAAAGGAUUUUCCUAGAAUUUUCUAAUAUCGAACACUCCUUUGUUAAGCGUGCCGCUACUAUCUUUUUGGCUCAUGAAUUCAGAUUUAUAAUAAAAGAGGCCAAAGAAAUCUUUGCACAUUAUAGGGUGGACGCUGGCCGUCCUCCCAUAGAAUCUAUCCUCUUUGAUCAAGAAGAAAUUAUGUGUUUUCAAUCUCUUGAUUAUGUUGCUUUCAAUGAAAACCUUAGAAAAAAGGUGCCAACCAAUAUUUUAAUUGAUAGAAUCUCUGAACUUCAUGAUGAUUUGGCUAUUUGAAAUAAUGAGUUAGGAUACUCUCUUGAGUGUAGACUCACAAGGUUCUGUCAAAAGAACGUUUAUAAUGACGAAUUGGUUGUGCAUUAUGAAGGGCCGAAAGAGGAACCUAUACCUCCUAAAAUUGAUCUUGGGGAUUUUUGCCCUAUUAAAUUUAGCCCUUUUGAUUACUUUUUCUUACCUCAAAGAAAACUUGCUGCCGAACAUACAGAAUAUGAUAUGAGUUUCACCGAUCUAUCUUAUUAUUACGGCACUUCCUAGAUCUAUCCUUACUUUUAUGCCUAGCUAGGGGCGGUAAACGAUAGCGCUUGUUGGGAGGAAACCCAAUUUUAUUUUGUGUUUUUUGUUUUUGCUUCUGUUUAGGAAUAAAUAAUCCAUCUACCUUCUGUUUGGAUGUGGUUUUAUGUUCUAAUUAGUGUUUGUGCCAAGUAGAACCUAUAGGAUAACCUACGAUGAUAGUUGAUUUGAUUCUGCUGAAAAACAGAAACUUUGCACUCACGAAUAUAAUUUUGUUAAAUCACAGGAACGUGAUUUUGCGUUGAUUCUUUUUUCUUAUGUUCAAUAAACAAAUUGUCCAUGAAUUCCUAUUUUGGUAGAAUUUUUAGAGUUCCAGAAGUUUGCGUUAGUUACAGAUUGCUACAGACUGUUCUGUUUUUGACAGAUUCUGUUUUUCGUGUGUUGUUUGCUUAUUUUGAUGAAACUAUGGCUAGUAAAAUAGUUUAUAAUCCAUAGAGAAGUUGGAAUACAGUAGGUUUAACACCAAUAUUAAUAAAGAAUGAGUUCAUUACAGUACCUUGAAGUAAUCUUUUGUUUUCUUUCUCUAACGGAGCUCACGAGAUUUCUGUUGAGUUUUUUGUUGUGAAGUUUUCAAGUUUUGGGUGAAUUCUUUUGAUGGAUUAUGUAACAAGGGGUGGCAAGAGCCUAAGCUUGGGGAUGCCCAUGGCAUCCCCAAUAUAAUCCAAGGACACCAAAAAGUCAAAGCUUGGGGAUGCCCCGGAAGGCAUCCCCUCUUUCGUCCACUUCCAUCGGUAAUUUACUUGGAGCUAUAUUUUUAUUCACCACAUGAUAUGUGUUUUGCUUGGAGCGUCUUGUAUUAUUUGUGUCUUUGCUUGUUAGUCUACCACAAUCAUCCUUGCUGUACACAUCUUUUGAGAGAGCCAUACAUGAAUUGGAAUUUGUUAGAAUACUCUAUGUGCUUCACUUAUAUCUUUUGAGCUUGAUAGUUUUGCUCAUAGUGCUUCACUUAUAUCUUUUGAGCAUGAUAAUUUUUACUCUAGUGCUUCACUUAUAUCUUUUAGAGCACGGUGGUGGAUUUGUUUUAAAGAAACUAUUGAUCUCUCAUGCUUCACUUAGAUUAUUUUGAGAGUCAUUAAUAGCAUGGUAAUUUGCUUAAUGUUAAUAUACUUGGUGUUCAAGAUAUGUGAAACUUUCUUUUGAGUGAAUUGAAUACUAAGAUAAGUUUGAUGCUUGAUAAUUGUUUUGAGAUAUGGAGGUGAUAAUAUCAAAGUCGUGCUAGUUAACAAUUGUGAAUUUGAGAAAUACUUGUGUUGAAGUUUGCAAGUCCCGUAGCAUGCAUGUAUGGUUAAAGUUGUGUAACAAAUUUGAAACAUGAAGUGUACCUGGCUUGUGCAUCCUUACGAGUGGCGGUCGGGGACGAGUGAUGGUCUUUUCCUACCAAUCUAUCUCCUUAGGAGCAUGCGCGUAGUACUUGAUUUUUGAUGACUUCUAAAUUUUUGCAAUAAGUAUAUGAGUUAUUUUGACUAAUGUUGAGUCCAUGGAUUAUACGCACUCUCACCUUUCCGCCUUUGCUAGCCUCUUCGGUACCGUGCAUUGCCCUUUCUCACCUUGAGAGUUGGUGCAAACUUCGCCGGUGCAUCCAAACCCCGUGAUACGAUAUGCUCUAUCACACAUAAACCUCCUUAUAUCUUCCUCAAAACAGCCACCAUACCUACCUAUUAUGGCAUUUCCAUAGCCAUUCCGAGAUAUAUUGCCAUGCAACUCCACCAUCAUCAUCAUGACAUACAUUACUUUUGUCAUAUUGCCAUUGCAUGAUCAUGUAGUUGACAUCGUAUUUGUGGCAAAGCCACCAUGCAUUAUUUUCCAUACAUGUCACUCUUGAUUCAUUGCACUAUCCCGGUACACCGCCGGAGGCAUUCAUAUAGAGUCAUAUCUUGUUCUAAGUUUCGAGUUGUAAUCUUUAUGUUGUAAUCAAUAGAAGUGUGAUGAUCAUCAUUAUUAGAGCAUUGCCCAAACAAAAAAAAGAGAGAAAGGCCAAAAGAAAAAAAUAAAGGCCCAAAAAAGGGCAAUGCUACUAUCUCUUUUUCCACACUUGUGCUUCAAAGUAGCACCUUGUUCUUCAUGUAGUAAGUCCCAUAUAUUGUGCUUCAAAGUAGCACCUUGUUCUUCAUGUAGUAAGUCUCAUAAAGUUGUCCUUUUCAUACUAGUGGGAAUUUUUCAUUAUAGAACUUGGCUUGUAUAUUCCUACGAUGGGAUUCCUCAAAUGCCCUAGGUCUUCGUGAUCAACCGAGUUGGAUGCACACCCACUAGUUUUAUUUUGUUGAGCAUUCAUAGCUCUAGUGCAUCUGUUUCAUGGCAAUCCCUACUCCUCAUGUUGACAUCAAUUGAUGGGCAUCUCCAUAGCCCGUUGAUUAUCCUCGUCAAUGUGAGACUUUCUCCUUUUUUGUCUUCUCCACACAAUCCCCAUCAUCAUAUUCUAUUCCACCCAUAGUGCUAUAUCCAUGGCUCACGCUAAUGUAUUGCGCGAAGGUUGAAAAAGAUUGAGAUUAUUUAAGUAUGAAACAAUUGCUUGGCUUGUCAUUGGGGGUAUAGAAGUUGGGAACAUCUUUGUGUGACGAAAAUGAAGCAUAGCCUAACUAUAUGAUUUUGUAGGGAUGAACUUUCUUUUGCCAUGUUAUUUUGAGAAGACAUGAUUGCUUUGAUUAGUAUGCUUGAAGUAUUAUUAUUUUUGUGUCAAUAUGAACUUUUGUCUUGAAUCUUUCGGAUCUGAAUAUCAUAUCACAAUUAAGAAGAUUUACAUUGAAAUUAUGCCAAAGUAUCACUCCGCAUCAAAAAUUCUUUUUUAUCAUUUACCUACUCGAGGACGAGCAGGAAUUAACCUUGGGGAUGCCUGAUAUGUCUCCAACAUACCUAUAAUUUUUUAUUGCUCCAUGCUACUUUAUCUACUGUUUUGGACUAUAUUGGGCUUUAUUUUCCACUCUUAUAUUACUUUAGGGACAAACCAAUUAACCGGAGGCCCAGCCUAGAAUUGUUGUUUUUUACCUAUUUCAGUGUUUCAAAGAAACGGAAUAUCAAACGGAGUCCAAACGGAAUGAAACCUUCGAGAUCGUGAUUUUCCAACCGAACGUGAUCCAGGAGACUUGGACCCUACUCCAAGAAGUGACAGAGGCGGUCACGAGGGUGGAGGGCGCCCCCCUGGGCGCGCCCCCUACCUCGUGGGCCCCUUGAUGCUCCACCGACGUACUCCUUCCUCCUAUAUAUACCUAUGUAUCCCCGAACAAUCAGAACAGGAGCCAAAAACCUAAUUCCACCGCUGCAACCUUCUAUAUCCAUGAGAUCCCAUCUUGGGGCCUGUUUUGGAGCUUCGCCGGAGGGGUCAUCCACCAUGGAGGGCUUCUACAUCUUCACCAUAGCCCCUCCGAUGAAGUGUGAGUAGUUUACUUCAGACCUUCGGGUCCAUAGCUAGUAGCUAGAUGGCUUCUUCUCUCUUUUUGGAUCUCAAUACAAUGUUCUCCCCCUCUCUUGCAGAGAUCUAUUCGAUGUAAUCUUCUUUUUGCGGUGUGUUUGUUGAGACCGAUGAAUUGUGGGUUUAUGAUCCAGUAUUAUCUAUGGAAAAUAUUUGGUUCUUCUCUAAAUUCUUUUAUGUAUGAUUGAGUUAUCUUUGCAAGUCUCUUCGAAUUAUCCUUUUUGGUUUGGCCAACUAGAUAGUUAGUUCUUGCAAUGGGAGAAGUGCUUAGCUUUGGGUUCAAUCUUGCGGUGUCCUUACUCAGUGGCAGAAAGAGUUGCAAGGCACGUAUUGUAUUGUUGCCAUCGAGGAUAACAAGAUGGGGUUUUUUUCAUAUUGCAUGAAUUUAUCCCUCUACAUCAUGUCAUCUUGCUUAAGGCGUUACUCUGUUUUUAACUUAAUACUCUAGAUUCAUGCUGGAUAGCGGUCGAUGAGUGGAGUAAUAGUAGUAGAUGCAGAAUCGUUUCGAUCUACUUGUUUUGGACGUGAUGCCUAUAUACAUGAUCAUUGCCUAGAUAUACUCAUAACUAUGCUCAAUUCUGUCAAUUGCUCAACAGUAAUUCAGUCACCCACCGUAGAAUAUCUAUGCUCUUGAGAGAAGCCACUAGUGAAACCUAUGGCCCCGGGUCUAUUCUCAUCAUAUCAAUCUCUAUCAGUUUAUUUACUUGCUUUGUUUUUACUUUUCCUUUUUCCUUUACUUUGCAUCUAUCUAUCAAAAUACCAAAAAUAUUAACUCUAUCAGAUCUCACUCUCGUAAGUGACCGUGAAGGGAUUGACAACCCCUAAGCGUUGGUUGCGAGUUGCUAUCAUUUUGUGUAGGUACGAGGGACUUGUGCGUGGUCUCCUACUGGAUUGAUACCUUGGUUCUCAAAAACUGAGGGAAAUACUUAGCUUUGUUACAUCAUCCUCUCCUCUUCGGGGAAAUUCAACGUAGUGCUCAAGAGGUAGCACAUGCACGCGCUCCGCAUCGAGUUGACCCUCUGCCUACCGGUCCUCCUUUAGUUUUGCCAUGUUGAACCGCUGGUCCACCUGCACCAUGGGGGACUCGGACGCCGGCACGAAGUUGACGUCCAUCGUCUCAUACCCAUCGGGGGCCUUCUGCGCCGCGACCUCCGCAGUGAACAUUGGAUCGGCUUCCUCCUCCUCGUAGCUUGGCUCUAGAGAACUCGGGGAUUGGCCCGCCUCAAAGCAAGCUUGGGAACGGAGGUCUGUGGCGCCGACCGCCGCCACGAUUUCUGCGCGGCGCUCCAGCGUCUGCAUCUUGUAGUAAGUGAUCUUGCGGCGCACCAUGGCUUUCCGACGAACUAGGGGACGCUUGAUGCAGGCUACGGGAUCGAAAGGUGGGGGAGUGGGCUGGAGAUUUGGUGUGGUUUUAGGGCAGUGGUUGGUGUAGGCCGAGCAGCGAAGGUUCUGGUGUGAAUAGUGGUUCCGGUGACGACCGGUCAAUUGGUUUUGACUGUACAUCGCUCUUGUCGCGUUCGCGUUGCAGCCCAGCACGUUGGACCCUCCAUGUCGCUCACCGAAUGGAACGCGCUUGGGACCGCAGUUGAGAGCAAACCGACGUCCCUCCCCCUCCCCUGCCCGCAUCAUUUAUUAUACCACCACUCCCUCCGUUUUAUGCGGAGUAAAUAAAAACAGAGGGAGUAUACUACGGAUAAGGAUCCUCUGACGUGGCUGAACCCAUUGAGUAACUGACAUGCGCGGCCUAGCAAGCAUGGGGUCCACCAGUAAGUGACCGAAAGGGAGGGUAAGGCAGGGAUACCUACGUUAGAGGAUCCACUUCCACUAUACUACUUUGUUCAAGAGUAAUAAUAUAUGACAUGCAACUUACACAAAUGUUAGAGUAAUAAUAUAUGACAUGCAACUUACACAAAGCAUACAGGGUCUAAUGCGUUUUUCGAGGCUAACUUUGACCAAAUGUUAGAGUAAUAAUAUAUAACAUGCAACUUACACAAAGCAUACGGUCAAUUUCGUAUGUGAAAGGAGUUUCCAAUGAUAUAAUUUCACAUUAUACAUCUCAUUUACUCCCUCCGUCUAGGUGUGUAAGUCAUCUUACGAAAACCAAAUAAUCCCAAAACACGUAGGUGUGGUGCAUUAACUUCUACCUCGUUUCUUGUUUCUUGACAUAUCAACCAAUAAGAGAUGAGGGUGUGCAUGCUUUUAAUGACCUGCGACUAUCAAACAUGACAUGCGGUGGUUAGUUCAUUGCAUGUAAUACUAUUAAUUAGCAAAUAAACAUUAAUGUCUCUCGUUUUCCCCUCCUCCUUGGUCACGGUGCACAGCCUAAGAUGACUUACUCACCUAGACGGAGGGAGUACUAUUAAUCUUGUCAAUAGUCAAAUUGGAAACCAUCUCGAGUACAAAUCUAGGAGUACGUACGAAUCUAACAAUAUUGAUUGGACGUUGUUGAAUGUUGAUACCUUUUUUAUCAUAGUAGAGAUACUUUGACUACACAUAAAACUUAUAUGUAAAGUAGAAAGGAUAGGAGGGAGUAUAUUGUACGUUCAGAAACGAAACGAACAUUGAAUAUCCUUUAUAUAUGAUUUGCGGAUGCUAUGAUCACCGGUUCAAAAUUUUGAAUCCGCCUUAGGUAUCACGUGCCCCCACUCAUUCCCUCUCGAUUUCAUCUCGGGGUCCGGAGAUCUAUUGAAAGAGGACUAGGGUGGGUACAUGCGAAUGAUACUCGGCGGAAUGUUCAAAUGAGGCAUGCGGGAGGAUGGACUCGACUGGAGGGCGACAUGAUCGAUGGAGAAGAGGGUUCGAGAGGAAUGAGAAAUAAGCAAACGCCACAUGAUUACACUUGAACGGCUCAAAUAAACAAUAAGUUGUCUCGCUUGGCCUACAUAGUGAAAGGCCUAAUGUGCAACGCGGAGCACUGACGCUCGAAUAUGGCCGGGAAAACAGGGAAACCGAUAUGUGGGGCACACCCGUCGGGACGACGUAGCACAGACUAGUCCAAUGGAGGAGCUGGCCCACGACCUCCUCGCCACCGACAACCGUCCAUGUAGGUUAUUGGGGCCAACAACGGGGCGCAGCUCCAGCACCGCCUCUGGACACGGCGACCAUGGUGAGCGACACACUCAUAUCUUCUCUAGACACGGUCGGUUUCAGUGUGCCGAGGGUGGCGUUAGUGCUGUGGCACAACCAACGGUAUGUUUGGUUUGUGCCCAAGGUUGCCCCAUCAAAGCAUUGGGUAGCCAAAAUUUUGGUUGAGGUAUUGGUUGCCCAUGAUUUGGCUGACAUUGGCAAGAAAAAUGAACUAGAGUUGGCUAGAGAUCAUUGGCAUGCCAAAGAAAUGGCAACCAUCCAAACAAAGACCAAUCUUUGGGUCACGACCAAAAUUUUGGUUGAGGUAUUGGUUGCCCAUGAUUUGGCCGACAUUGGCAAGAAAAAUGAACUAGAGUUGGCUAGAGGUCAUUGGCAUGCCAAAGAAAUGGCAACCAUCCAAACAAAGACCAAUCUUUGGGUCAUGACAAAAAAUUUGGUUGAGGUAUUGGUUGCCCAUGAUUUGGCCGACAUUGGCAAGAAAAAUGAACUAGAGUUAGCUAGAGUUCAUUGGCACGCCAAAAAAAUGGCAACCAUCCAAACAGAGACCAAUCUUUGGGUCAUGACCAAAAUUUUGGUAAGGUGCACUUUGGACACAAUCCAAACACACCCCAACACCCGGCUCGUUGAGGAUGCACGGGGCGCCGUGACGCGUCCGCGGAGUGGUGUAGCGCGGCCAACUGCAUCCUCUGGACCUGUUGUUGACACCAGAUUUUGGCACAGUCAAGAACUUAUUUAAAAUGGCCUCAAAUGGAGAAGUGUUCUACAUGAAAAAGUUUCGUAUUGUCGAUACGAACAUCUUUGAAGUUUGGGCCAUCACCAUCUGAUCUCAUCUCGAAGGCCGAAGUUGUGUUCGAAAUACUGAGAUUUUGUAUUCAGAACACUAUUCAGCACAUUACGCCCCCAAUACUGCCUCGUAUGGAAAAAUGAUCUACAUGGAUUCUCUUCGUCUCGUCGAAACGAUCGAUUUUGAUAUAAGAGUCGUUCCAAUCCGAUUUCGUAUGCAAAAGUUAGAGCCAUCCGAAUACAGCACUAUCACUAGCCAAAACUGGCGCGCCCCACGAGACACCCUGUCUGAUGGGUAGCGCGAAUAACAGCCUGUGUUGCACGAGCAAUUUGACUCUCAAGAUGAACUCUAAUCAAAAAAUGUUAAACAUAAAAGUUGUUCGGCUCAUCGAAACGGUCAAGAUUGCUUUUGGGCUCGUUUCCAUCCGAGGUCGUUUACCACCUCAAAAGUUACCCGCAAGGUGCAGCCAGUUUAAACCGAACAGUUUUGGAAAGUUCGGACAAAACCAAUCCGAAAGGGUUUUGGACGUGAAUCCAAGCAUUUUCCUUGCACGGGAACUCCAGCCGCCUCUUAUAUACCUGAGGGGUGAUGGCCGAUUGAACAACACAUAAUCGAUCAAUCAAUCUACUACUUUUCCGUGUUCAUCUACUUUUAUCUCUCCCCUUGUAUCUUUCUUCUCCUUCUUCGUCGUUCUUCAAGAUUGGAGGCUGUGAAUCCACGAGGCUCUAGGGGUGGUAAGACCGACCUCGAGCAGCCAAUCGUCACCGCGAGCCCUGACGGGGUCCCUCCCGGGCGAGCGGGGCGUCUGGUCCCAAAAGCGCCGGCUUGCUGUCUUGCGUAUCGCACUGGAAGUCGGCCUCCCGCGGUGUGAGUUGUGGAGCAUCUCCCUCGGCGCCGCGGGUACACAUCGACGUGUUCGUGUGACGCGUUCCAGCGUCAACACACUUUUUGGUGACUCCGCUGGGGACGAAGCUUUGAAUGGUCUCCAGCCCGUUCUUGCUACGAAGAGAUCGUCAUCAAGUUGCUGCAAUCUACAAAGGUAAUAUGAAUACCCAAUUCCCCUUUGUAGAUGCAAAUAAUCCAUAUGUUGUUGCUGGAUCACCUAUUGAGCAUAAUGUAUCGGCUAGCCCUAGUUUUAUCAAUCAUGCAUCUAAUUAUGUGCAAGGGCCGAUGCAAAACAAUCUUCAUGUUUCAAAUUCUUAUAAAUUUAGCAACAUGCAACAUAUGUAUCCCAACUCCCAUGCAUCGGCAACCCCACAAAUUCAUAUACCGAUGAGUAACAUGAUGAGUUCGAUUAAUCAAUUUGAAACACCCAAAGUUAGAAUUUCCAAUGCCAUACAAGAAAGUGUUUCACCCUUUUAUUCAUCGGCAGCUAAUGUGCAAUAUAGUAAUCCAACCAUGCCGAUGAAUGAGAGAAUUGGCCAUGCUACUAAUGGCUAUUUGGCUAGUUACUCUCAACCGUCAUAUGCUACACCUCAUGUUAGUAAUUCUUCGGCACCAUACACAACUGUAGAUGCUCAUAAUUCGGCUUCACACCUUCCUGGUUAUAGCCGAAUGAAUGUAAAUUUUACAGGAGCGGUUGUGCCCAACAUUGUAGAAGAUGAGGUAGUGGUGGCUGCAUUGAAGAGUUUAGCCCAAAAUAAGAGAAUUAGUGCUCUUUGCCUUGAAAAACAUGAAAAGGGGCUAUUUCCUGAUUAUGCCGCAAUAAAAGCUAGAGUUUUGCAAGAAGAUGAAUCUUUGCCAAUUGAUAAAAUUGGUGAGCAAAAGUAUGGUCUUACAACACUGCAUAUGCCUUCACCUAGUACUACAUCAUAUUAUACACCCCCUACACAAUUGCAAAAUUUCGGCAACACCCGUGUGUCAUUGCCGAAAGAAUCUAAAAGCAUUGGGGGGCAAUCAUAUCCGGAGUGGGCUGAAAUUGAGAAAAAGCUUAAAGCUAAUUUUGCCGGUCGCCGUCAGAAACAAAUAGAAAAAGAAUUGGCUCAGAUAAAAGAAGCAUUGCCAAUUGGUACUAUCAAUGAAAAGAAGGAUGAUUCGGAACAUGAAAGUGAUUCGGUUGAAAAAGUUGAAUCAAGUAGUAUAUAUUCUGAAUCCAUCAAAUCCAACAAGGCAAGCAUUAUUGAGAAAGGGCAUGGUAAGCAUAGGAAAACAAUGGUGGUUCAUUUUUCUGAAGUUAAUGGAACCUACUUCCUGCCCUAUGAGUUCCAUGCCGUAGAAAUUGACAAGCUUCAAGGACAAGAACAAGUAGCCGAACAAAGUUCGGCCAACAAAAAUCUUCAAAGCAAUGAUGCACGGAUUCAAGAAAAAGAUUAUGACAAGGUGUUGGGGAGCCAUCCAAAGACGGAGCAAGAUGUUCUUCAAAUGGCACCACUAUCAUGCUCUCCCAACAUAUUUGAAGAGGUAUGCAUAGCGAGUAAUUUACCUAUUUUCAUAUUUGGUCGCAACUUCAUUAUUGAUGCAUCUAUAAGAAAUAUUUUCGUAAGUAAUUUUGAAAGACCAAUGAGGAAGGGUAAUUUACUUGUUAGUAGUAAAAUUGUUAUGGAACAUAUCGGUCAACCCAUUGCACCAUUUAUAAAGACCGAUAAUGACUUAUUGUUACAGCCAAAGCUUUUCCCGUUGCUUUCUCUAAAGUUCAUAUCUAGUUAGGUAGCUUUGCUUAUUUCUUACUUGGCUUACACUUGGUCUCAACUGAGACAUGUAUGUUCUAAAUAUCUUCGUUUCAGAAAUAUAAAGCCAAGGUUAAAUUCUAUUGAGAAAACCAAUGCUAAUAUAAUAUCAUAUCCAAAGACAUCGGAGAUAGAGUGGAAAACACAAUGCAUAGCCGAAUGGAGAGAUUCCAAAUCUGAACCAUUCGUUUGCUUAUCUCCAAAGCCGUUCAAACAGCAAGAUCGGCUAGGAAACAAGAAGUAUACUUUCAAUUCAAGCAUGUGUGAUAAUAUAUUUGAUUUGUUGCUGAAAAAUAAUUACAUUACAAUUCUUGAUCACCAUGUUAAGCCAUCAAUCCAAGGACGAAUGUAUUGUAAGUUGCAUGAUUCGUCCAAGCAUAAUUUUGAGGAUUGCAACAUGUUUCGUCAAAUAGUUAAAUCGGCCAUUGAAAAAGGACGAUUGAAGUUUGUUGAAACACCAAGAGAUGACCAGUCUAUUCCGAUUGGUCCCGAUGGUAAAAAGUUUUUACAUCGGCUGCUUCAAGCCGAUCAAUUUAAAAAGAAUGUAAAAGCUGCAGGUGAUGGGAUUAAGCUUUCAAGUAAAGAAGUUAUUGAAGAGCAUAACGAGCAUAAUCUUGAGGGCGGGAGUUCCAUCGAAGCUACAAUGGAGACGGCAAGGACUGGGGGGCAGCAAGCAAAUCUAAUGAUCGAUGAAAGCAAACCAAAAGAAAAUAAAGGCCGGAAUAAGCACAAGUGUAAGAGAUCAAAAAUCACCUUUGCUGAACUAUUGGAUAAAUAUCAAAAGAAGAGUGAAGACAAGAAUGAUUAUCGGCCAAAUCAUGCAAAGAAACCAAGAUCACCCCCAAGGCGCAAAUAUGAGGAUCGGUAUUGGCAAAGUGAUAAUUUUAAUGCAACAUAUUCAUAUCCUUAUUUUGGGCCGCCGAUGCCAAUGCCGUGGAUACCUCCCUAUGCUCAUAUAGAUGCAUAUUCAUCAUGGGACAGGUAUGAUACAAGGGUACAUUCUCCAUCUUAUUCUAGACCAUCUCACCAAUACUAUGCAACUCCAAGGAGAUCAACGUUUGAACAAUCACGCGUCAAAGACCGUUUCAAUCAUAAGGAAUCGGUCCAGAGCUCAAGAGAGAAGAAAGAGGUGGUAAAGCAAGUUUACCGCGUGAAAAGAGAUGGUCGUAAGUGUGUUGCUUCAGAUUUGAUCUCAAAUAACAAAGAGCCAAUUAAAGUGUUGACAUUAGCUACAAAAGGCAAAGAAGUGAAGCAAUCAACUGAUAAAAAACAGAGUGCCAAAUCUGAAGAAAAGAAGUUGAGGGUGCACAAGGCCCAAAAAGAGUUGCCAUUGGUUGAAACGAAAUCACAGCCGAGAUGCCCACUCGGUUUAUCAUAUUGGCAAAAGAAAAAAUUACAAAUCUUAGUGCACAAGAGCUGAAAAAGAAGAACAUGGCAUGGGUUCCCAAGAAGAUCAAUCAACACAAAAAUGAUGUGCAUGCUUCUGUUGCAACAAGUACAAUAAAAGUGAAGAAGGAAAAUAAUGAAAGCAACAAACAAUUAAGCCGAAGGUGCGCAUCACAACAUCAAAAUUUUCGGUUAGCACAUCAUCCAUUUUCUUCAACCAUAUCGUUGAUGCCUUUGCCAUGGAAUUCAUCCCUAGGUGUGACGCCCCGAGACCGACGCUUCAGAAGACUUCCAGCUAUUCCGAGUUUUGCCAUGUGUUUCUUUUGUGCUUGCUCUUUUAUUUUUGCAUUGCAUCAUGUCAUCAUGUCAUCAUGCCAUUUAAUUUUUAAAACUCAUCUAAAUAAAUCGUAUGGAUCUUCGGUCCAUUUAAAUUGAGGAAACUCACAUGGUGGGUUCUCUUUAAAACAUACCCUCCCGAUAUUUAGGGAGAUAAUAUAAAAUAUUCCAUUAUUUGAAAUUGAUCAUAACCCACUUGCAAAAUAUCCCAUGCCGUUGUUAUCUCAAUUCUUGUUCUCCAACCUUGCCCGUAAUUAUUUCAUCAUUUUCCGGAGCUCCACCAAAAAUUCGAACAUUUUUGGACCUUCCUUUUAUCAAGUCCUAGUUCAAACCCAUUUGAAUUAAAUUCAAAUGAGUUUGAAUUUACAUCUUUCAAUCGUGGCCUUUCUAUUUUUCUUGGAACGAGCAUAUUUUUGCGAGUCCGGGAAAUUUAUUCCCAUGCGCAAAUCUUCCCCCUAACCUCUCUUUCUUUUCUUUCUUUUCUCUGUUCUGUUUUUUAUUCAUUAGAGAGUAGAGAGAGAGCCCAGCCAGGCCUCUUAGGCCCGACCAUCCAAACCGGCCUGCUUCCUCGCAGCCCACCUCUCCAUCCGCAGCCAGCCGCAGCCCACUACCUAAGCCGGCCCAAGGCCCAGCCGCCCCCACCAGCUCUAACCCUAGCCCCAGCGCUCUCUGUCGAUCCCCAUCUCUCCCCUCGUUCCUCCUUGCAACGCCGCCAGGCACCCGCAUCGCCCGAUCCCCUCGCCUCCUCCCCUUCCUCCCCGCAGCGCCCGAACCCUCCUCUCGAGCACGCCUCUCAUGGUGCCCACAUCAGCCGGCCCCCUUCCUCUCCUCCUCCAUGCCGUCACCCCUUCUCGAGCGCCCCCGCGACCACGCCCCUGCCGAACCCAGCGCCAGGCCCCCGCUCCUCCCUCCUCGCGCGAUUCCCUCUCAUGUUCCCCUCGCCGCCUCCUCCCUCCACCGGCGCCAUCCAUGCCCCGUCGCCCCUCCGGUCGCUGUGACCAGGAGCGCUGCGCCCAUCCGCCCUGCUGGCUUUGCUCAACUCCGGCACCGCUGUAGCCAGAGCCCCGGGCCGUCCUCGUCGCCUUGCUCCUCCGCGACGCCCCUGCCGGCCCUGCGCCCGACCACCUCCUCCGCCGGCCUCCAUGGUUCGCCCGCGCCCUGCGGCCUCCUCCCUCGCCUCGGUUUUGGUCCUCCCCGCGCCUAGUCCCUCUGUUGCCCCCUGCUUCGUGCCUUCUGUCGUCGUCCCCAUCGACCCGAGCGCGCCCCAUACGUGGCCUUAGCCUCGAGCUGUUGUCACGAUGCCUACCCGAACAGGAGCAAUUUUGGAUCGCCAAGUCCCCUUCAGAUUCAUCAAGACCUUCAUGUACAACUACACCCGAUGAUGCGACAAGUACCCCGACAAUGUGUACAUCUACACCGCCAAGACCGGACCGACAAGUACCCCGACGUCACGUGUACCACUACCGUCGCCAUGUGAACAACUACUUCCACUACAUCGCGAGAACGUCUCUACGAAACGCAUUCCGCCCCGAAUGCACGCUUUGAAGGUAUAACCACCGAGAUGACCGACGUCCGUGGAACGAAUGCUUGUGUGUUGUAUGAGAUGCUCGUGUUUGCACCGUGUCCGAGAGAGGUCUUUGCACGUUCCUUGUUUGCCAUGCCGCCGUCCCAUGGGAACCCGGUAGUCGGGAGCACCCCACCAUCUCUAGCAUGUUGCACACAUCUGCACGCCUCCUUUUGCACCGGUAUCUCUGUGAGCUACCGGAACCGAUAUGUUGUCGUGGCAUCAUUUUCGGAUAUGUUGCCGUGGCACCAUUUCUGUUUCACCGCCGUGGCACCCUUUUCAUUCCGCCAUGGCGACAAAUGCCUCGUAUCAACAUGCUCUUGUUAAUGUUUUCAUAAAUUGCAUAAACCUUGCACAUGUCAUCCGCAUCAUGAUAACAACAAUUAAAAUGCUUAAAGAUUGUGUUUGCUUUAAAUUGCUAAAUGACAUAUGGGGUUUUUCAGGAAUUGUUGUUUCUUGCUUCCGGCCUCAUUUAAAUUGCCUAGCUAGGUAGUUUAGUUAUGUUUCACCUCUUGCCAUGUUUAACAACAUUUAAUAUUGCUGUGUUCCUAACUGAGAGUUAAACUAAAUAAUUGAUGUGGUGUUCCGUCAAUAUGCAACUCGUUGCAUAUUGAGCUCCACUUAAAUUGUAGUGUUGUUUGCUUUACUUUGGCAUGCCAUCCUCAUUAAACCGGACAUGCAUCAUCCUUGGUUGUGCAUCAUGCCAUGCUUAUGUGAUGGUUGUUUACCAUAUUGUUUGCUUCUUUCUGGGUUGCUUCUCUCGUUAGCUUCGGUUUCGUUCCGGAGUUGUGAGGAUUCGUUCGACUACGUCUGUUUGUCUUCUUCAUGGACUCAUUCUUCUUCCUUGCGGAAUCUCAGGCAAGAUGACCUUUACCCUCGAUAUCACUUCUAUCUUUGCUUGCUAGUUGCUUCGUUCUAUCGCUAUGAUGCGCUGCCUAUCCCUUGUUUACCAUGUCUCCCAUAUUGCCAUGUCAGCCUCUAACCUUUGACAACUUUCCUAUGCAAACCGUUGUUUGGCUAUGUUACCACUUUGCUCAGCCCUCUUAUAGCGUAGCUAGUUGCAGGUGAAGUUGAAGAUUGCUCCAUGAUGGACAGGAUUAUGAUUGGGAUACCACAAUAUCUCUUAUUUAAUUAAUGCAUCUAUAUACUUGGUAAAGGGUGGAAGACUCGGCCUUAUGCCUGGUGUUUUGUUCCACUCUUGCCGCCCUAGUUUCCGUCAUACCGGUGUUAUGUUCCCGGAUUUUGCGUUCCUUACGCGGUUGGGUGAUUUAUGGGACCCCCUUGACAGUUCGCUUUGAAUAAAACUCCUCCAGCAAGGCCCAACCUUGGUUUUACCAUAUUCCUACCUAAGCCUUUUUCCCUUGGGUUCUGCAGACUCAAGGGUCAUCUUUAUUUUACCCCCCCCCCCCGGGCCAGUGCUCGUCGUGAGUGUUGGUCCAACCUGUCAACCAUCGGUGGCCACCAGGGGCAACUCUGGGCUGGCCUACCGGAAGUUUGGACAAUCCGGUGUGCCCUGAGAACGAGAUAUGUGCAGCUCCUAUCAGGAUUUGUCGGCACAGCGGGAGGCUUUGCUGGUCUUCUUUUACCAUUGUCGAAAUGUCUUGUAAAUCGGGAUUCCGAGUCUGAUCGGGUCUUCCUAGGAGAAGGUCUAUUCCUUCGUUGAUCGUGAGAGCUUAUCAUGGGCUAAGUUGGGACACCCCUGCAGGGUAUAAUCUUUCGAAAGCCAUGCCUGCGGUUAUAGGCAGAUGGGAAUUUGUUAAUGCCCGGUUGUAGAUAACUUGACACCAGAUCCGAAUUAAAACGCAUCAACAGCGUGUGUAGCCGUGAUGGUCUCUUCUCGGCGGAGUCCGGGAAGUGAACACGGUUUUGGGUUAUGUUUGACGUAAGUAGGAGUUCAGGAUCACUUCUUGAUCAUUACUAGCUUCACGACCGUUCCUCUUGCUCUCUUCUCGCUCUUAUUUGCGUAUGUUAGCCACCAUAUAUGCUUAGUCGCUGCUACAGCCUCACCACUUUACCACUUCCUACCCAUAAGCUUAAAUAGUCUUGAUCUCGCGGGUUUUGAGAUUGUUGAGUCCUCGUGACUCACCAGAUACUAUCACAACAGUUGCAGGUGCCGAUGAUACCAGUGCAGAUGAUGCAACCGAGCUCAGAUGGUAGCUCAACGAAGAUCUUAGUUGUUGCUAUGUUUCGUUUAAUGUUGAUCAGUAGUGGAGCCCAGUUGGGACGAUCAGGGAUCUAGCAGUUGGGUUAUCUUCUUUUCUUUUGGCUUCGUCCGUAGUCGGACUAUGUGUGUACUCUGAAUGAUGUAUGAUUUAUUUAUGUUCAUUGUGUGAAGUGGCGAUUGUAAGCCAACUCUUUAUCCCAUUCUUGUUCAUUACAUGGGAUUGUGUGAAGAUGACCCUUCUUGCGACAAAACCACCAUGCGGUUAUGCCUCUAAGACGUGCUUCGACACGUGGGAGUUAUAGCCACAUCGUGGGUGUUACAAGUUGGUAUCAGAGCCAUCCCCGACUUAGGAGCCCCCUGCUUGAUUGUUUGCUGUCGUUGUUGAGUCUAGAUCAAAAAUGCUUUGAGUCUUAGGAUUAUAUAUAUCGGAGAGUAGGAUUCUUUUUACUCCUCAGUCCCUUCGUCGCUCUGGUGAGGUCUCCUGACGUAGAUGUUUUGACUUUCCUCUCCUCAAAUUUCACUAUUUUUUUUAGGAUCACGCGGGUAUCUUGGAAUCGCUCUGAUGGUUUUGUGACGAGAACAUUGUUCUUGGUGCCUCCUGUCUAUUAUGUGGCAUUGACCCGGGGAGUUGAGCUCUAAGGUGUUGUCGUCACAAUUUUAUUGUUGUAGUUCUGGAAUACCUGAGUUUUGCAGACAUCGAAAAUCUCUUUUAUGCAGUUGUUGGUGAGAUAACCUCGAUAACCCAGUACUGGGGCGAGUCCGGGAGUAUUGCCAUAACUCGUAUAACGGAUGCUUUUCGAAGGUUGAGGUACACGAUUUCCGAAGGUUUCUUGGUUACGUGUUGACGGAUGGAUACAGCUUGGAUGUAGGAAUUGUUAGUUUUGGGUGAGAUAUAUAUUGCUUCCCCUGUAUCCCCAACACCAGAUUGCAUAACCAGAAAGUUUCGGGAGUUUAUAGGUGGGAAUUCAAGUAGCUCCUAGAAUAUCUUUUUGACAGAUGCAUGAUAUGAGAUUGGGGUUCGACAUCUAGUGGUCCGCCUUUCCACGGUCGUUUUGACAGUGGUCUCGUUGUGUCUUAAAGAACCCUUGGCUAUGCUGGUUUGGGAACACUUCAUAUGUCAUGUGCACUGCCUUGUACAUGAUGGUGUUGUACACUCGAGCCCGUGUGGGCCCCACCACGAAAACUUCGAACGGAAUCUCUAUCAUGUUUUUGUCCGGCUUAUUCUGCAAGCCAAAUCCUUUGUUUUGUUUUAUUUGUGGUAUCCGAGUAUCUUCGAAGUCAAAUGUUGAAUCCAUACCUUCCCUAAAUGGUGUUCUCAUGUUGUUAUGUGAAUACUAAUCCUUUUGAUCAUUGAGGUUGUCAUGUUAAUUCUUUUCCUAUCGGUGUGCUUCUCUUCGAGAUGAUCCAAUCAUUCUCCCCAUCCGCAAGAUCAAUUCUAAGUUUUCUCAAUGGUGUUUGUUUCGUUCAUCCCAAGUUGUCUUUGUUUUCCCCACCCUCCCACCCUUUUAUUCAAGGACUCAGAUUUCUUAAUCGGGUAUCCAUUUUAUUGAUGGGAAGUCUCUCCAUUCUUUUCCGUCAAUGUUUUUAUCUGGUGAUUCUCAGGAAGAUACUAACGGAGCUUCAAGUUCAUCAUUCUUCGUUCUAUUUUCGUCUUCGGUGGAUCCAAUUGAAGCUUUGUCAAGCAUAUCCUUUCCCCGUUUCAAAUGGUUUCCCAUGCCGGUGCACCUCUUAAUUGCUCACUCUCUCUAUGCGUAUCCGGAGUGCUCAAGAUAUCUCAGAAGAUUUGUGUCUUCAUUAUCAAGAUCCGUUCAAGCUAUUUGGAGAUUAUUAUCUCAUUCAAGCCAUUUAAUUCAACCAGCGCAAUCCCCCCUUUCAAUGAAUCGUUCAACGGUGUUUUCCUUUUGAGUGGGCCCUAACCCACAGGUCUUUGUCCAGGAUCUUACCUGACACUUCUAACUUAUCGGAGCGAUUCUCAAAUUCAUUUCAAAGUUUGGCAUAAGAAUGAGUUAUCAUCAGUCAAAUGUCUUUCUCCAAGAUCUUCCAAAUUCUUUCAUCGUUGAUUCAACCUUUCUAUUCUUUAUUAUGGAGUGUCUCAACAAUUCAUGGUGGUGUUUCUCGUCGUCAUUCUCGAAUUUUGAAGACUGAAGAAGGAUUUUUCUUAAAUCUUGCUCCAUUCUCUUCAAGAUUCAUGGUUCUAGCCUGAUGCCAUCCCCUCAUAAUUGUUUUCGAUUGUGAGAAAUUUCUUUCACCCAUCCGGAGCAAUUCAAGAGUCUUUUCAGAUUGAUUCUCCGGAGCCAAUCUUCUCAGAAUUAUUCAUUCCAACUUUCAGUUCUCGUUCUCCAAAUCUUACCGGUGCAUCAUUCAAAUAUCCUCUAAUCAGCUCAUGGCCUCUUCGUUCUCAUGUAUCUAAAUCCCCUCAAGUAUCUUCGUUCGUUUUCCAAUUCUUCUCGGUGAUUUGUGCCUUUGGUACUUCCAUUUUCAAUUCUUACGGUGGUUCGUUCAAGAGUUCUCUUCCUUUGUUAUCAUAUCAAUUCAUUCGUUGUUUCCAAAUCCCACUGGUGGUUCCAUCUAUACCUUCUCAAGCUUGCGCUAUAUCUCUUUUAAUCCUUUCUACGACAAUAAGUAGUAUGCCAAAUUCAUUGCUUGUCAUCAAUUUAAUUUGAUGAAGGAUAAGCAUACAAUAAAUCUUAUUCUUAUUUCCUCGAGGUGAUUCAAUUCUUUUCUUUCGGAGAUUGUUCCUGAUGAAGUAAUUCUCGGCUCUAGUGCUUCAUCUUUUCUUUCUGGAGUUCCAAGUUCUCUCGGUUAUAUCGUCGCGAGGCUCCAUCUAAAUCAUCGCAAGGCUUCACCUUGUGUUUUCAACUUCUCUUUCUUUCUAUCAUCCUUUUAUUAUCGGAGUUCUUCAUGGAGGCUCUACAUGGUGGUUCAUCAAGGAUUCCUUUCAUUCUCGAUUUGUUCUUCAAGAUUUCUCUUGAAGCUAAGAUCCGCCAAGCUAUACUCAAAAAUUAAACAUGGUGCUCAACACAUGUUUUGUUUUGAGCCGUUCAAGCAUUCUUCAUCUUGCAUUCCAAAGUGCAAUUCUUCCUACCUUAUCUCUUGAGAUGGUGUUAUGUCACUCUUGACAAUUUCCUUCAUGUUUCAUGAUUCAUAUUGUUGUCAAGAAUGAGGCAUUUUAAAUCCAUCAAUCUCUUCGUUGGAGUUAUCUUGGUAUAGAUUUCACCUAAAGCCGUCCCUAAGGAAUGAUGUAUUGUGGUGCUUAUCAAUGAUCCAAGUUUUCUCCUAUCCUCUCGGCGAAAGCAGUUUUCAUCUCUUCGUUGAUCUCAAGCAAGAAAUUGUUUCCGUUAGUGGCCGGUUGUCACCUCAUAAUUUUGAGAUGUUUUCCAUAAGCCCACUACAAGCUUAUUCGUUUCGUUGUUGGUUUCCAACAACUCCAUUAUAACCUUCUUGGAAGGCUGCUUUCCAAGCUAAUUUGUGGCAGAAGUUGGCGUUUCCUUCUCCAGUAUGUUAUUCCAAUGAUCUAUCUUCUAUUCUUUCUUUCAGAGGCUUUGUGAGGUUGCUCUCGUUGACCCAUCAUCUCGUUUUGUCAAGAUCAUGUUUUUUUCUUGCUUAUCCAUUUAACCAGAGUGUUGCAUCACCUCUUCAAGUUCUUUUUCAUCGUAUCAAGUCUUGCAUCUCUUUUCUACCAGAGUGUUGUCCAAAUUUGUUCUUCCUUGUUCCUUGUUUAUCUCGUUUCAACUAGAGUGGUUCAAUUCCUUCUUGUCCAUUGUACUCGUCAUUCAUAGCUUUGCAACCUCCAAGGUUCAAAUGGUGUUCCUUGUUUCUAUUUUCUACCGCAGUGCUCUCAAUUGUGUUCAACUCCAUUGUGUUCUUUCUUUCAACUUUUCAACCUCUCAAGGUUCUUUGGUUUCACUCUUUUGUUGAAGAAGCAACUUAGCUUUACCUCUUCUCUUCCUCUUCCGUUUUCUCUCCGGUGCCAUCCUAGAUCUCGGGACGAGAUCCUCUUGUAGUGGUGGAGUGUUGUGACGCCCCGAGACCGACGCUUCAGAAGACUUCCAGCUAUUCCGAGUUUUGCCAUGUGUUUCUUUUGUGCUUGCUCUUUUAUUUUUGCAUUGCAUCAUGUCAUCAUGUCAUCAUGCCACUUAAUUUUUAAAACUCAUCUAAAUAAAUCGUAUGGAUCUUUGGUCCAUUUAAAUUGAGGAAACUCACAUGGUGGGUUCUCUUUAAAACAUACCCUCCCGAUAUUUAGGGAGAUACUAUAAAAUAUUCCAUUAUUUGAAAUUGAUCAUAACCCACUUGUAAAAUAUCCCAUGCCGUUGUUAUCUCAAUUCUUGUUCUCCAACCUUGCCCGUAAUUAUUUCAUCAUUUUCCGGAGCUCCACCAAAAAUCCGAACAUUUUUGGACCUUCCUUUUAUCAAGUCCUAGUUCAAACCCAUUUGAAUUAAAUUCAAAUGAGUUUGAAUUUACAUCUUUCAAUCGUGGCCUUUCUAUUUUUCUUGGAACGAGCAUAUUUUUGCGAGUCCGGGAAAUUUAUUCCCAUGCGCAAAUCUUCCCCCUAACCUCUCUUUCUUUUCUUUCUUUUCUCUGUUCUGUUUUUUAUUCAUUAGAGAGUAGAGAGAGAGCCCAGCCAGGCCUCUUAGGCCCGACCAUCCAAACCGGCCUGCUUCCUCGCAGCCCACCUCUCCAGCCGCAGCCAGCCGCAGCCCACUACCUAAGCCGGCCCAAGGCCCAGCCGCCCCCACCAGCUCUAACCCUAGCCCCAGCACUCUCUGUCGAUCCCCAUCUCUCCCCUCGUUCCUCCUCGCAGCGCCGCCAGGCACCCGCAUCGCCCGAUCCCCUCGCCUCCGCCCCGUCCUCCCCGCAGCGCGCGAACCCUCCUGUCGAGAACGCCUCACAUGGUGCCGGCAUCAGCCGGCCCUCUUCCUCUCCUCCUCCAUGGUGUCUCCCCUUCUCGAGCGCCCCCGCGACCACGCCCCUGCCGAACGCAGCGCUAGGCCCCCGUUCCUCCCUCCUCGCGCGAUCCCCUCUCCUGUUCCCCUCGCCGCCUCCUCCCUCCACCGGCACCAUCCAUGCCCCAUCGCCCCUCCGGUCGCUGUGACCAGGAGCGCCGCGCCCAUCCGCCUUGCUGGCUUUGCUCAACUCCGGCGCCGCUGCAGCCAGAGCCCCGGGCCGUCCUCGUCGCCUUGCUCCUCCGUGACGCUCCUGUCGGCUCCGCGCCCGACCUCCUCCUCCGCCGGCCUCCAUGGUUCGCCCGCGCCCUGCGGCCUCCUCCCCCGCCUCGGUUUCGGUCCUCCCCGCUCCUAGUCCCUCUGCUGCCCCCUGCUUCGUGCCUUCUGUCGUCGUCCCCAUCGACCCGAGCGCGCCCCAUACGUGGCCUUAGCCUCGAGCUGUUGUCAUGAUGCCUACCCGAACAGGAGCAAUUUUGGAUCGCCAAGUCCCCUUCAGAUUCAUCAAGACCUUCAUGUACAACUACACCCGAUGAUGCGACAAGUACCCCGACAAUGUGUACAUCUACACCGCCAAGACCGGACCGACAAGUACCCCGACGUCGCGUGUACCACUACCGUCGCCAUGUGAACAACUACUUCCACUACAUCGCGAGAACGUCUCUACGAAACGCAUUCCGCCCCGAAUGCACGCUUUGAAGGUAUAACCACCGAGAUGACCGACGUCCGUGGAACAAAUGCUUGUGUGUUGUAUGAGAUGCUCGUGUUUGCACCGUGUCCGAGAGAGGUCUUUGCACGUUCCUUGUUUGCCAUGCCGCCGUCCCGUGGGAACCCGGUAGUCGGGAGCACCCCACCAUCUCUAGCAUGUUGCACACAUCUGCACGCCUCCUUUUGCACUAGUAUCUCUGUGAGCUACCGGAACCGAUAUGUUGUCGUGGCAUCAUUUUCGGAUAUGUUGUCGUGGCACCAUUUCUGUUUCGCCGCCGUGGCACCCUUUUCAUUCCGCCAUGGCGACAAAUGCCUCGUAUCAACAUGCUCUUGUUAAUGUUUUCAUAAAUUGCAUAAACCUUGCACAUGUCAUCCGCAUCAUGAUAACAACAAUUAAAAUGCUUAAAGAUUGUGUUUGCUUUAAAUUGCUAAAUGACAUAUGGGGUUUUUCAGGAAUUGUUGUUUCUUGCUUCCGGCCUCAUUUAAAUUGCCUAGCUAGGUAGUUUAGUUAUGUUUCACCUCUUGCCAUGUUUAACAACAUUUAAUAUUGCUAUGUUCCUAACCGAGAGUUAAACUAAAUAAUUGAUGUGGUGUUCCGUCAAUAUGCAACUCGUUGCAUAUUGAGCUCCACUUAAAUUGUAGUGUUGUUUGCUUUACUUUGCCAUGCCAUCCUCAUUAAACCGGACAUGCAUCAUCCUUGGUUGUGCAUCAUGCCAUGCUUAUGUGAUGGUUGUUUACCAUAUUGUUUGCAUCUUUCUGGGUUGCUUCUCUCGUUAGCUUCGGUUUCGUUCCGGAGUUGUGAGGAUUCGUUCGACUACGUCUGUUUGUCUUCUUCAUGGACUCAUUCUUCUUCCUUGCGGAAUCUCAGGCAAGAUGACCUUUACCCUCGAUAUCACUUCUAUCUUUGCUUGCUAGUUACUUCAUUCUAUCGCUAUGAUGCGCUGUCUAUCCCUUGUUUACCAUGUCUCCCAUAUUGCCAUGUCAGCCUCUCACCUUUGACACCUUUCCUAUGCAAACCGUUGUUUGGCUAUGUUACCGCUUUGCUCAGCCCUCUUAUAGCAUUGCUAGUUGCAGGUGAAGUUGAAGAUUGCUCCAUGAUGGACAGGAUUAUGAUUGGGAUAUCACAAUAUCUCUUAUUUAAUUAAUGCAUCUAUAUACUUUGUAAAGGGUGGAAGACUCGGCCUUAUGCCUGGUGUUUUGUUCCACUCUUGCCGCCCUAGUUUCCAUCAUACCGGUGUUAUGUUCCCGGAUUUUGCGUUCCUUAUGCGGUUGGGUGAUUUAUGGGACCUCCUUGACAGUUCGCUUUGAAUAAAACUCCUCCAGCAAGGCCCAACCUUGGUUUUACCAUUUGCCUACCUAAGCCUUUUUNNNNNNNNNNNNNNNNNNNNNNNNNNNNNNNNNNNNNNNNNNNNNNNNNNNNNNNNNNNNNNNNNNNNNNNNNNNNNNNNNNNNNNNNNNNNNNNNNNNNNNNNNNNNNNNNNNNNNNNNNNNNNNNNNNNNNNNNNNNNNNNNNNNNNNNNNNNNNNNNNNNNNNNNNNNNNNNNNNNNNNNNNNNNNNNNNNNNNNNNNNNNNNNNNNNNNNNNNNNNNNNNNNNNNNNNNNNNNNNNNNNNNNNNNNNNNNNNNNNNNNNNNNNNNNNNNNNNNNNNNNGUGAGUGUUGGUCCAACCUGUCAACCGUCGGUGGCCACCAGGGGCAACUCUGGGCUGGCCUACCGGAAGUUUGGACAAUCCGGUGCGCCCUGAGAACGAGAUAUGUGCAGCUCCUAUCGGGAUUUGUCAGCACAGUGGGAGGCUUAGCUGGUCUUGUUUUACCAUUGUCGAAAUGUCUUGUAAACUGGGAUUCCGAGUCUGAUCGGGUCUUCCUGGGAGAAGGUCUAUUCCUUCGUUGAUCGCGAGAGCUUAUCAUGGGCUUAGUUGGGACACCCCUGCAGGGUAUAAUCUUUCGAAAGUCGUGCCUGCGGUUAUAGGCAGAUGGGAAUUUGUUAAUGUCCGGUUGUAGAUUACUUGACACCAGAUCCGAAUUAAAACGCAUCAACAGCGUGUGUAGCCGUGAUGGUCUCUUCUCGGCGGAGUCCGAGAAGCGAACACGGUUUUGGGUUAUGUUUGACGUAAGUAGGAGUUCAGUGUCAGGACCCCGACUCGAUGUCACAUCGAUCUAGCCGGUAACACUUCAUAUCACUUUGCGGCCUCACGCACGGUAUUCCCACGGGUGUCGCCUUACCUUUGCCCGGGACCGUUUGCGCCUUUUGGCUCACGUAUAUGAUAGUGUCGCUAGCAUCCAUAUGAUAAAGAGCCCGGGCUGACAUGACUAGUCGUAAACCCAAAGUGGCACAGACUUACAGGGACAGGCAUCCAUGACCCAGCUUCGAACGUGUCGGUCAUCAGCAAGUGGGUCCGGGCUGUAGCACUGGGCUAGCAGGACUCCGGUAAACCGGGCUGUAGCGGGCUAACAGGACUCCGGUACUCAAAGCGUGACAUUUCCCCGAAGGGAUAGACACAGGAACGAAGAAGGACACAUGCCGGCCAGCCUAAGUGUUCCAGAGCAGUAGCAAGCUACCAUGGCUCAGCGGUAACACUAGGAGACAUUUCCCGGUAAGAGAGGCUACUAAAGAUAAACAACUAGAUAGUCAGAUCCCACACAUACCAAGCAUUUCAAACAUACACACAAUAUGCUCGAUAUGUGCAAAUACAACGAAGCAUCAUAACAUGACUCUAUGACACAAGUACUUUAUUUAAGGCUCAGGGAGCCAUACAUAUCAUACACACAGGUACGGGUCACACGACCCAACAUACAAGUCAUACAGUCAUACAAGCCAACAGCGGAAGUAACUUGUCUGAGUACAGACAACUAGUAAAAUAAAAGAGGCUUGGAAGCCUAACUAUACUAUGUGGUCCAUCACAAGCUCAGGGUCACCACCUGGGUCUUUAGCCUACUCGUUGAUGUCAACGUCUACAUAGAACCCAUCAGAAGGGGUUGCAGCGUCUUCUGUAAAAAUGUAGAUUAUAGCAACAUGAGUACAAAGGUACUCAGCAAGACUUACAUCAGAUCCUACAUACAUGCAUAGUAUCAAGAAGGGUUGGUGGAGUUAUUGCAGCAAGCCAGCUUUGACUCCUGGCUAGACUAUCCUACGAUACUCCAUUUGAAAUAGUUUUGCGCACUCGAGUCCACUAUUCACCACUUCAAUACACUACCAAGGAUCCACCUCCGUCUUCCUACGGAAGAGCCAUCCUCGGCACUCACACUUAUCUUGAGGCUUUUAAUAGUUUCCAUUUACUUGUCUAUGAACUGUAUAGGCAACCAAGUAGUCCUUUACCGCGGACGCGGCUAUUCGAAUAGAUCAUGAUAACCCUGCAGGGGUGUACUUCUUCAUACACGCUCUCACCACUUAUCGUCGCUUACACGACAUGUACUCGGCAACCUUCAAGCGGAAGCCCAACGUGGGUGUCGGCCACGACCUACCUAAUCACCUAAGCCUCCAGUCCAGGUUUAUCGCCUAUUCAGGUUCCAUCCGCAGGGAGUCCGGCCGAGGUUUCCCAUACGGCCCCGAACGAUGUGAACAGGGUUCCCGAGAUACCUAACGGGUAUUCGGUACACCGUGCCACGUACCUACCGCAUCACAGCCCACCCCUACGGUCAGCGCUGUCCACGGCCUCCAGUAGGCUACAAACACCAGAAACUACUUGCAACUCUUGGACGGAGAACUAGGGUGAAUAAGAAGUCGAGAGGGUCCAUUGGUUUCGGGCCCAAUGCAUGGUAGUAGCUGAUUCUUAAAUCACACAUACAGAUCUCAGUGCUUAAGGUCGGCUUCAAUGAAACAACCCACCAUGUACUCCUACAUGGCCUCUCAUCGAUACCUUUACCAAAUCGUGUUCACCACACCACUCUCAUUACCGACAUAAUCAUUUCACUCUAGCCCAUCACCCAGAUGAACCAGACCUGACACGACUCUAAGCAUAGCAGGCAUAGCAAGGUAGGAACAACACAUACAUAUGGCUCAAUCAACUCCUACACAUGCUAGUGGGUUUCAUCUAGUUACUGUGGCAAUGACAGGUCAUGCAGAGGAAAUCGGUUCAACUACCGUAGCACACAGCAGUUUGAAUCGCGUUGUCUUAAUGCAGUAAAAGAGAGCAGGAGCGAGAACAUGGGAUUGUAUCGAUAUGAUCAAAUGGUUGGUUGCUUGCCUGAUGGUUCGUUGCACGGAUACGGUUCUUCGUUAGGGUAAUCACGGUACUCCUCGGGAACAGAUCCUGUCGCAAAGGACAUCGAUACACAAACAUCACCAAACAAUAUGCAACAAUAUGAUGCAUGCAUGAAACAUGGCAAUAUGAGUGUGUUGGGCUAAUGCAACUAAAACCAGAAGGGUUUGAAUAUAUUUGAAUCAAAGAUUCAAUUUUCAAUUUCAAAUAUGGCCUUUUAAAGUGCCUUUCCUUGUUCUGAUUAAAACAUCAACUUAACUUGUUUGAUCAUGCAUGAAAAUGGUACAGAUGGAUAGAUUGGAUUUUUCUGAUCAUUUUUCAUAUAUUAUUUGUCCAAUUUGGAGUUACAGAAUAAAAGUUAUGAAUUUUUGAAGUUUAAAUAAUAUUCUGGAAUUUCCUGAUUUAAUUAAAUCCAGAAAUAUCAUUUACUGCGUCAGCCUGACAUCACAGUGACAUCAGCAGGUCAACAGAGCUGGCUCGGGUCAAACCUGACGUGUGGGGUCCACACGUCAGUGACCAGGUGCUAAUCCCGCGUUGACCCCGGGCUGGUUAGCUUUGACUAACCCCUGGGGCCCACUUGUCAGCGUCAGUAGGUGAUGGAUUAGUGGUUAAUCAACUAGGCCACGUCAGCUCGCCGGAGUUCUGGCCGGCGGCGACCAACAGUGCGGCGGCGAUAGUGGUUUUGGUCGUUUCGGCCACCAAAUGGAACGUGGCGACCACCGGAGUGAAGCUGAGGACGACCCGCGGCUCUUGGCGGAGUCCGUUGGGGUCGGGGUGGCCGGAGUCGACGGCGGCGAGCUCGGAUGCGGCCGCCGGGGUUCGGUCGUGCACGGGAGUGGUGCUGGAGCUCGAAGUCGAGCAAGGUGAGGCGCUAGGGAUGCUCUACUGGGUUCUGUGAACGCGUUGGACUCGCCGGGGUGACCAAAUGGUCACCGGAGCUGCGUCGACGGCGAGCUUGGCGACGGCGGAGGUUCGGCCGAGGUGGGGAUGCAGCUACGGUGAGGGAACGAGGGGAAGGAGAGGGGGAAACGGCUCGGGGGCUCACCGCGGUUGCAGUGGGCGUCGAAGCGGGCUCGGGGACGCGCUGGAGACGGCGAAUUCGUCGGCGACGGUGGUCGGAGUCCGAAGAGGGGAACGGCGACGUGGCGGCGAUGCAGGGCUUCCGGGGACUCGUGGAGCGGUGAGGAGGAAGAGGGAGUCGAGGCGGAGCUUCUGAGCUACUCGGGGGAGCGAGGGGUGGCCGGAGUCAGUGGCUACGGCGAACGGCGGCGACGGUGGUGUUCGGCCGAGAGCGAGAGAGAGCGAGGGAGAAACGGGGGAGAGUGAGCGAGAGCAGGGGGGGAUCGGGACGGCUGCGGGCGUCGUCCACGCGGCCAGGGGGGCGUCGGCAAGCAGGAGGUGGCCGCGCGGCCGCGCGCGCGCGAGCACGCAGCAGCUUCGGGGCGUGGGGAGGAAGACGACGGGGAGCUACAGUGCUGGGCUGGGCCGGCCAGCUGGCUGGGCUGAACAGGGAGGAGCCCAGGUAAGCUUCUCCCUUUUAGUUUUUUUCUGUUUUCUGUUUUAUUUAAUAUUUCUGCAACUUUGUUGAAUUAAAUAAAAUACCUAGACAACUCCAAAAAUCACCAAACUACUCCUGGUCCAUAGUUGGAAUAUUUCCAACAUGAAACAUUUUAGUUUGGAGAUAUUUGAGCAUUUAAAUAUUUUAUAUUAUUUUAAAUGCCCAAAUUCAAAUAGUUAUGAUUUAACUCAAGAACCCUAGGAUGGCCUAGAAAAGUGUGCACCAUUUUUGGCAGAGGUUCUGAACCAAGGCUAAAAUGAUGGACAUUUUAGAAGGGCAUUUCAGGUUCAUUGAAGAAUUAUUUUAGUAAACCCUAGUUGGUUUUCAGAGGGGACUGGGGGUUCUGUCAUCCCCAUUUCAAGUUUCUGAUGCAGAAGUAAACAUGAUGCAACACUCUAAUGCAUGACUAGCUAGGGUGUGACAACUCACCCCCACUCAAAAGAAUCUCGUCCCGAGAUUUGGGUUCCUCCGAGAAGAAGGCGGGGUACUCGAGUCGAAGACGAUCCUCCCUUUCCCAAGUUGCUUCAUCUUCAGAAUGGUGCGACCAUUGAACCUUGAGAAACUUGAUAUUAUGACGUCGCGUGGUACGUUCGGCUUGAUCGAGGAUACGAAUGGGGUACUCUCGAUAUGUAAGAUUAUCUUGGAGAUCAAGAGUUUCGUGGUCCACUUCACGGAUAGGAUCCGAGAAGCAACGCCUGAGUUGAGAAACGUGGAAAACAUCGUGAACUCUGGAGAGGUGCGGAGGUAGUUCCAAUUGGUAGGCUACUUCUCCUCGUUUGGCAAGAAUGCGAAAAGGUCCAAUGUAACGAGGAGCCAAUUUGCCUUUGAUACCGAAACGAUGGGUUCCCUUCAGAGGGGUGACCCGAAGGUAAGCCUUCUCGUCAACCUUGAAAGUCAUAGCCUUAUGUUUUCGGUCAUAUUGACUCUUUUGACGGGAUUGGGCUGUUUUCAAUUUUUCACGAACGAUACGAACUUGUUCUUCUGCUUCCUGAAUCAUAUCUGGGCCAAAGAAUUGUCUUUCCCCGGUCUCUGACCAGUUAAGGGGUGUUCGACAUCGUCGUCCAUAGAGAACUUCAAAAGGGGCUUUACCCAAGCUAGAUUGAUAGCUGUUGUUGUAAGCGAAUUCGGCAAAUGGAAGGCACUUCUCCCAGUCCAUUCCGAAAGAGAUAACAGAGGCUCGAAGCAUGUCUUCUAGAAUUUGGUUGACGCGUUCCACUUGACCACUUGACUGAGGGUGGAAAGCGGUGCUAAAGGAGAGACGGGUUCCCAUAGCAUUUUGGAAACUUUCCCAAAAUCGAGAGGUGAAAAGACUUCCUCGAUCCGAAUUGAUUUCCAAAGGAACACCAUGGAGGGACACUAUUCGGGAGAUGUAUAAGUCUGCUAGCUGACUAGCGGUUAUACUCUCACGAACAGGUAGGAAAUGAGCUACUUUGGAAAGACGAUCGACCACGACGAAGAUAGCANNNNNNNNNNNNNNNNNNNNNNNNNNNNNNNNNNNNNNNNNNNNNNNNNNNNNNNNNNNNNNNNNNNNNNNNNNNNNNNNNNNNNNNNNNNNNNNNNNNNNNNNNNNNNNNNNNNNNNNNNNNNNNNNNNNNNNNNNNNNNNNNNNNNNNNNNNNNNNNNNNNNNNNNNNNNNNNNNNNNNNNNNNNNNNNNNNNNNNNNNNNNNNNNNNNNNNNNNNNNNNGGGACAGAUCCUGUCGCAAAGGAUAACGAUACACAGGCAUCACCAAACAAUGUGCAACAAUAUGAUGCAUGCAUGAAACAUGGCAAUAUGGGUGUGUUGGGCUAAUGCAACUAAAACCAGAAGUGUUUGAGCAAAUUUGAAUCAAAGAUUCAAAUUCCAAAUUCAAAUAUGGCCUUUUAAAGUGCCUUUUCUUGUUCUGAUUAAAACAUCAGCUUAACUUGUUUGAUCAUGCAUGAAAAUGGUACAGAUGGAUAGAUUGGAUUUUUCUGAUCAUUUUUCAUAUAUUAUUUGUCCAGUUUGGAGUUACAGAAUAAAAGUUAUGAAUUUUUGAAGUUUAAAUAAUAUUCUGGAAUUUCCUGAUUUAAUUUAAAUCCAGAAAUUCAAUUACUGCGUCAGCCUGACGUCACCGUGACAUCAGCAGGUCAACAGAGCUGGCUCGGGUCAAACCUGACGUGUGGGGUCCACACGCCAGUGUCACAGGGGCUAAUCCCGCGUUGACCCCGGGCUGGUUAGCUUUGACUAACCCCUGGGGCCCACUUGUCAGCGUCUGUAGGUGGUGGGUUAGUGGUUAAUCAACUAGGCCACGUCAGCUCGCCGGAGUUCUGGCCGGCGGCGACCAACAGUGCGGCGGCGAUAGUGGUUUUGGUCGUUUCGGCCACCAAAUGGAACGUGGCGACCACCGGAGUGAAGCUGAGGACGACCCGCGGCUCUUGGCGGAGUCCGUUGGGGUCGGGGUGGCUGGAGUCGACGGCGGCGAGCUCGGCUGCGGCCGCCGGGGUUCGGUCGUGCACGGGAGUGGUGCUGGAGCUCGAAGUCGAGCAAGGUGAGGCGCUAGGGAUGCUCUACUGGGUUCUGUGAACGCGUUGGACUCGCCGAGGUGACCAAAUGGUCACCGGAGCUGCGUCGACGGCGAGCUCGGCGACGGCGGAGGUUCGGCCGAGGUGGGGAUGCAGCUACGGUGAGGGAACGAGGGGAAGGAGAGGGGGAAACGGCUCGGGGGCUCACCGCGGUUGCAGUGGGCGUCGAAGCGGGCUCGGGGACGCGCUGGAGACGGCGAAUUCGUCGGCGACGGUGGUCGGAGUCCGAAGAGGGGAACGGCGACGUGGCGGCGAUGCAGGGCUUCCGGGGACUCGUGGAGCGGUGAGGAGGAAGAGGGAGUCGAGGCGGAGCUUCUGAGCUACUCGGGGGAGCGAGGGGUGGCCGGAGUCAGUGGCUACGGCGAACGGCGGCGACGGUGGUGUUCGGCCGAGAGCGAGAGAGAGCGAGGGAGAAACGGGGGAGAGUGAGCGAGAGCAGGGGGGNNNNNNNNNNNNNNNNNNNNNNNNNNNNNNNNNNNNNNNNNNNNNNNNNNNNNNNNNNNNNNNNNNNNNNNNNNNNNNNNNNNNNNNNNNNNNNNNNNNNGUGCUCCUCUGAGUGUUGGUCCGAACCAGGCAGCCUGCGGGGCCACCUCGGGGAAACUUGAGGUUUGGUUUUACUCGUAGCUUGACCUAUCCGAGCGUGCCCUGAGAAAGAGAUAUGUGCAGCUCCUAUCGGGAUUUGUCGGCACAUUCGGGCGGUGUUGCUGGACUUGUUUUAACCUGCCGAAUCAUCUUGUUGUACCGAGAUACCGAGUCUGAUCGGUGUGUCUUGGGUGGAGGUCUAUUCCUUCGUUGACCGUGAGAGCUUGUUAUGGGCUAAGUUGGGACCCCCCUGCAGGGAUUGAUCUUUCGAAAGCCGUGCCCGCGGUUAUGGGCGGAUGGGAAUUUGUUAAUGUCCGGUUGUAGAUAACUUUAAUUAAACUUAAUUAAAAUGAAUCAACCGUGUGUGUUACCGUGAUGGCCCCUUCCCGGCGGAGUCCGGGAAGUGGACACGGUGUUGGAGUUAUGCUUGCGCAGGAUGUUCCUUUAGCUUCUCGCUCAAGCUUCGCCUUCUCUUCUCGCUCUCUUUUGCGUAUAAGUUAGCCACCACAUAUGCUAGUCGCUUGCUGCAGCUCCACACAUAUUGGCCUUAUCCAUUCCUAUGAGCUUAAAUAGUCUUGAUCGCGGGGGUGUGAGAUUGCUGAGUCCCUGUGGCUCACAGAUACUACUACUCCAGAUGCAGGUCCAGGUGAUUCUGCUCCAGUUGACGAUUACGAGCUCAGGUGGGAGUUCGACGAGGACUCUCAGCGAUACUACGUAUCUUUUCCGGAUGAUCAGUAGUGGUGCCUAGUUGGGGUUAUCGAUUCAGGACCUUGUCGCAUGUUGGGGGUCUUUUCUAUUUUGGCGCCGUAGUCGGGCCAUGAGUGCUUGUUUGAUGGAUGUUAUUUAUGUACUCUGAUGUGACGUGGCGAGUGUAAGCCAACUAUGUUAUCUCCCCCUUUAUUAUGUAUUACAUGGGAUGUUGUAAUGAUUGCCUGACUUGCGACAUUGCUUUCAAUGCGGUUAUGCCUCUAAGUCGUGCCUCGACACGUGGGAGCUAUAGCCGCAUCGAGGGCGUUACAUCGAGACUGGGAUUUGUCACUCUGUGUAAACGGAGAGGUAUCUCUGGGCCCACUUGGUAGGACAUCAUCAUAUGCGCAAUGUGACCAAGGAGUUGAUCACGGGAUGAUGUGUUACGGAACGAGUAAAGUGACUUGCCGGUAACGAGAUUGAACAAGGUAUUGGAUACCGACGAUCGAAUCUCGGGCAAGUAACAUACCGAUAGACAAAGGGAAUUGAAUACGGGAUUGAUUAAGUCCUUGACAUCGUGGUUCAUCCGAUGAAGAUCAUCGCGGAACAUGUGGGAGCCAUCAUGCGUAUCCAGAUCCCGCUGUUGGUUAUUGACCGGAGAAUGUCUCGGUCAUGUCUGCAUGUCUCCCGAACUCGUAGGGUCUACACACUUAAGGUUCGGUGACGCUAGGGUUAUGAAGAUAUGUGUAUGCAGUAACCCGAAUAUUGUUCGGAGUCCCGGAUGAGAUCCCGGACGUCACGAGGAGUUCCGGAAUGGUCCGAAGGUAAAGAAUUAUAUAUAGGAAGUGCUAUUUCGGCCAUCGGGACAAGUUUCGGGGUCAUCGGUAUUGUACCGGGACCACCGGAAGGGUCCCGGGUCCACCGGGUGGGGCCACCUGCCCCGGGGGGGCACAUGGGCUGUAGGGGGUGCGCCUUGGCCUACAUGAGCCAAGGGCACCAGCCCCAAGAGGCCCAUGCGCCAAGAGAAGAGAAAAAGGGGAGAGUCCUAAAGGGGGAAGGCACCUCCGAGGUGCCUUGGGGAGGAUGGACUCCUCCCCACCCUUGGCCGCACCCUUCCUUGGAGGAAGGGGCAAGGCUGCGCCCUCCCCCUCUCCCUUGGCCCUAUAUAUAGUGGGGAAAAGGAGGAGCAACAAUACCUGAGCCUUUGGUGCUUCCCUCUCUCCCCGUUACGUCUCUCUCUCUCGUAGUAUAGGCGAAGCCCUGCUACUGUGACGCCCUGCAUCCACCACCACGCCGUCAUGCUGAUGAAUCUUCCUCAACCUCUCCCUCUCUCCUUGCUGGAUCAAGGCGUGGGAGACGUCAUCGGUCUGUACGUGUGUUGAACGCGGAGGUGCCGUGCGUUCGGCACUUGAUCAUCGGUGAUUUGAAUCACGACGAGUACGACUCCAUCAACCCCGUUCACUUGAACGCUUCCGCUUAGCGAUCUACAAGGGUAUGUAGAUGCACUCUCUUUCUACUCGUUGCUGGUCUCUCCAUAGAUAGAUCUUGGUGACACGUAGGAAAAUUUUGAAUUUCUGCUACGUUCCCCAACAGUGGCAUCAUGAGCUAGGUCUAUUGCGUAGAUUCUUUGCACGAGUAGAACACAAAGUAGUUGUGGGCGUUGAUGUUGUUCAAUAUGCUUACCGUUACUAGUCCAAUCUUGUUUCGACGGUAUUGUGGGAUGAAGCGGCCCGGACCGACCUUACACGUACUCUUACGUGAGACAGGUUCCACCGAUUGACAUGCACUUGGUGCAUAAGGUGGCUAGCGGGUGCCAGUCUCUCCCACUUUAGUCGGAACGGAUUCGAUGAAAAGGGUCCUUAUGAAGGGUAAAUAGCAAUUGGCAUAUCACGUUGUGGUCUUGCGUAGGUAAGAAACAUUCUUGCUAGAAACCCAUAGCAGCCACGUAAAACAUGCAAACAACAAUUAGAGGACGUCUAACUUGUUUUUGCAAGGUAUGCUAUGUGAUGUGAUAUGGCCAAGAAGAAUGUGAUGAAUGAUAUGUGAUGUAUGAGAUUGAUCAUGUUCUUGUAAUAGGAUUCACGACUUGCAUGUCGAUGAGUAUGACAACCGGCAGGAGCCAUAGGAGUUGUCUUUAUUUAUUGUAUGACCUGUGUGUCAUUGAAGAACGCCAUGUAAACUACUUUACUUUAUUGCUAAACGCGUUAGUCAUAGAAGUAGAAGUAGUCGUUGGCGUGACAACUUCAUGAAGACACGAUGAUGGAGAUCAUGGUGUCGUGCCGGUGACGAUGAUGAUCAUGGAGCCCCGAAGAUGAAGAUCAAAAGGAGCAAAAUGAUAUUGGCCAUAUCAUGUCACUAUUUGAUUGCAUGUGAUGUUUAUCAUGUUUAUGCAUCUUGUUUACUUAGGACGACGGUAGUAAAUAAUAUGAUCCCUUACAAAAUUUCAAGAAGUGUUCUCCCCUAACUGUGCACCGUUGCUAUAGUUCGUCGCUUCUAAGCACCACGUGAUGAUCGGGUGUGAUGGAUUCUUACGUUCACAUACAACGGGUGUAAGACAGUUUUACACAGCGAAAACACUUAGGGUUAACUUGACGAGCCUAGCAUGUGCAGACAUGGCCUCGGAACACAGAGACCGAAAGGUCGAGCAUGAGUCGUAUGGUAGAUACGAUCAACAUGAAGAUGUUCACCGAUGAUGACUAGUCCGUCUCACGGGAUGAUCGGACACGGCCUAGUUGACUCGGAUCAUGUGAUCACUUAGAUGACCAGAGGGAUGUCUAUCUAAGUGGGAGUUCAUAAGAUGAACUUAAUUAUCCUGAACAUAGUCAAAAGACCUUUUGCAAAUUAUGUCGUAAGCUCGCGCUUUAGUUCCACUGUUUAGAUAUGUUCCUAGAGAAAAUAUAGUCAAAAGUUAAUAGUAGCGAUUAUGCGAUCAGUAGAAAGCUUAUGUCCUUAAUGCACCGCUCAGUGUGUUGAACCCCAACAUCGUUUGUCGAUGUUGCGAACAUCGGACAUACACGUUUUGAUAACUACGUGAUAGUUCAAUUAAAUGGUUUAAGUAGAGGCACCAAAGACGUUUUCGAAACGUCGUGGAACAUAUGAGAUGUUUCGAGGGCUGAAAUUGGGAUUUCAGGCUCAUGCCCACGUCAAGAGGUAUAAGACCUCCGACGAUUUUCUUAGCCUGCAAACUAAGGGAGAAAAGCUCAAUUGUUGAGCUUGUGCUCAGAUUGUCUGAGUGCAACAAUCACUUGAAUCGAGUGGGAGUUGUUCUUCCAGAUGAGAUAGUGAUGUUUCCCCAAAGUCAUUGCCACCAAGCUGCUAGAGCUUCGUGAUGAACUAUAACAUAUCAGGGAUAGAUAUGAUGAUCCUUGAAAUAUUCGUGACGUUUGACACCGCGAAAGUAGAAAUCAAUAAGGAGCAUCAAUUGUUGAUGGUUGGUGAAACCACUAGUUUCAAGAAGGGCAAGGGCAAGAAGGGAUACUUCAUGAAACGGCAAUUCAGCUGCUGCUCUAGUGAAGAAACCCAAGGUUGAACCCAAACCCGAGACUAAGUGCUUCUGUAAUAAAGGGAACAGCCACUGGAGCAGAAUUACCCUAGAUACUUGGUAGAUGAGAAGGCUGACAAGGUCGAUAGAAGUAUAUUGGACAUACAUUAUGUUAAUGUGUACUUUACUAGUACUCCUAGUAGCACCAGGGUAUUAGAUACCGGUUCGGUUGCUAAGUGUUAGUAACUCGAAAUAAAAGCUACGGAAUAAACGGAGACUAGCUAAAGGUGAGCUGACGAUAUGUGUUGGAAAUGUUUCCAAUGUUGAUAUGAUCAAGCAUCGCACGCUCCCUCUACCACCCAGAUUGGUGUUUGCGUUGAGCAUAGACAUGAUUGGAUUAUGUCUAUCGCAAUACGGUUAUUCAUUUAAGGAGAAUAAUGGUUACUCUAUUUUUGAAUAAUACCUUCAAUGGUCUUGCACCUAAAGGAAUGGUUUAUUGAUUCUCGAUCAUAGUGAUACACAUUUUCAUGCCAAAAGAUAUAAGAUAGUAAUGAUAGUACCACUUACUUGUGGCACUGCCAUGUAAGUCAUAAUGGUAUAAAACGCAUGAAGAAGCUCCAUGUUGAUGGAUCUUUGGACUCACUCAUUUUUGAAAAGUUUGAGACAUGCGAACCAUGUCUAUUGGGGUAUAUGCAUGAAGAAACUCCAUGCAAAUGGACCGUUUGGACUCUCUUGAUUUUGAAUCACUUGAGAUAUGCAAAUCAUACCACAUGGGCAAGAUGACUGAAAAGCCUCGUUUUCAGUGAGAUGGAACAAGAUAGCAACUUGUUGGAAGUAACACAUUUUUGAUGUGUGCAGUCCAAUGAGUGCUGAGGCAUGCAGUGAAUAUUGUUAUGUUCUUACUUCACAGAUGAUUCGAGUAGAUGUUGAGAAUAUUUAUUUGAUGAAACACAAGUCUGAAUUAUUGAAUGGUUCAAGUAAUUUCAGAGUGAAGCAGAAGAUCAUUGUGACAAGAGGAUAAAAUGUCUAUGAUAUGAUCAUAGAGAUGAAUAUCUGAGUUACGAGUUUUGGCACACAAUUAAGACAUUGUGGAAAUUGUUUCGCAAUUAAUACCGCCUGGAACACCAUAGUGUGAUGGUGUGUCCGAACAUCAUAGUUGCACCCUAUUGGAUAUGGUGCAUACCAUGAUGUCUCUUAUUGAAUUACCACUAUUGUUCAUGGGUUAGGCAUUAGAGACAACCACAUUCACUUUAAAUAGGGCACCACAUAAUUCCGUUGAGAUGACACCGUAUGAAUUAUGGUUUAGAGAAACCUAAGUUGUCGUUUCUUAAAGGUUUGGGGCUGCGACGCUUAUGUGAAAAAGUUUCAGGAUUAAGCUCGAACCCAAAGCGGAUAAAAUACAUCUUCAUAGGACACCCAAAACAGUUGGGUAUACCUCCUAAUUCAGAUCUGAAAGCAAUAUGAAUUGUUUCUAGAAUCGGGUCCUUUCUCGAGGAAAAGUUUCGCUCGAAAGAGUUGAGUGGGAGGAUGGUGGAGACUUGAUGAGGUUAUUGAACCAUCACUUCAACCAGUGUGUAGCAGGGCACAGGAAGUUGUUCCCGUGGCACCUACACCAAUUGAAGUGGAAGCUUGUGAUAUUGAUCAUGAAGUUUCGGAUCAAAUCACUGCCAUACUGCGUAGGGUGACAAGGAUACGUACUACUUCAGAAUGGUACGUAAUCCUGUCUUGAAGGUCAUGUUGCUAGACAACAAUGAACCUACGAGCUAUGGAGAAGCGAUGGUGGGCCCAAAUUCCGACAAAUGGUUAGAAGCCAUGAAAUCCGAGAUAGGAUCCAUGUAUAAAACAAAGUAUAGACUUUGGAAGAACUACUUGAUGGUCGUAAGGCUGUUGAGUACAGAUGGAUUUUAAAGGAAGACGGACGAUGAUGGUAAAUGUCACCAUUAAGAAAGAUCGACUUGUCGUUAAGAUGUUUUCUGACAAGUUCAAGGAGUUGACUACGGUGAGAUUUUCUCACUCGUAGCGAUGCUAAGAGUCUGUUGGAAUUAUAUUAGCGAUUACUGCAUUAUUUAUGAAAUCUUGCAGAUAGGAUGUCAAAACAUUGUUUCCUCGACGAUUUUCUUGAGGAAAGGUUGUAUGUGAUACAACCGGAAGGUUUUGUCAAUCCCGAAAGAUGCUAAUAAGUAUGCAAAGCUCCAGCAAUCCUUCUAAGGACUGGAGUGAGCAUCUCGGAGUUGGAAUGUAUGCUUUGAUGAUGAUCAAAGAUUUUGGGUUUGUACAAAGUUUAUGAGAAACUUGUAUUUCCAAAGAAGUGAGUGGGAGCACUAUAGAAUUUCUGAUGAGUAUAUGUUGUUGACAUAUUGUUGAUCAGAAAUGACGUAGAAUUUCUGGAAAGCAUAUAGGGUUAUUUUGAAAGUGUUUUUCAAUGGAAAGCCUGGAUUAAGCUACUUGAACAUUGAGCAUCAAGAUCUAUAAGGAUAGAUCAAAAUGCUUAAUAAUACUUUCAAAUGAGCACAUACCUUGACAUGACCUUGAAGGUGUUCAAGAUGGACCAGUCAAAGAAGGAGUUCUUGCCUGAGUUGUAAGGUACGAAGUUAAGACUUAAAGCUCGACCACGGCAGAAUAGAGAGAAAGGACGAAGGUCGUCCCCUAUGCUUAAGACGUAGGCUCUUCAGUAUGCUAUGCUGUGUACCGCACCUGAAGUGUGCCUUGCCAUGAGUCAGUCAAGGGGUACAAGAGUGAUCCAAGAAUGGCUCACAGGACAGCGGUCAAAGUUAUCCUUAGUAACUAGUGGACUAAGGAAUUUUCUCGAUUAUGGAGGUGGUAAAAGAGUUCGUCGUAAAGGUUACGACGAUGCAAGCUUGACACCUAUCUGGAUAGCUCUGAGUAGAGAGACCGGAUACAUAUAAUGGAGCAAUAAUUUAGAAUAGCUCCAAGUAGAACGGUUGUUUGGAAUAGCUCCAAAUAGAGCGUGGUAGCUGCAUCUAGGAGAUGACAUAGAGAUUUGUAAAGCACACACGGAUCUGAAAGGUUCAGACCCAUUGACUAAAACCUCUCUCACAAGCAACAUGAUCAAACAUAAAACUCAUUGAGUGUUAAUCACAUAGUGAUGUGAACUAGACUACUGACUCUAGUAAACUCUUGGGUAUUAGUCACAUGGCGAUCUGACCUGUGAGUGUUAAUCACAUGGCAAUGUGAACUAGAUUAUUGACUCUAGUGCAAGUGGGAGACUGUUGGAAAUAUGCCCUAGAGGCAAUAAUAAAAGUAUUAUUAUUAUAUUUCCUUGUUCAUGAUAAUUGUCUUUUAUUCAUGCUAUAACUGUAUUAUCCGGAAAUCGUAAUACACGUGUGAAUACAUAGACCACAAUAUGUCCCUGGUGAGCCUCUAGUUGACUAGCUCGUUGUGAUCAACAGAUAGUCAUGGUUUCCUGGCUAUGGACAUUGGAUGUCGUUGAUAACGGGAUCACAUCAUUAGGAGAAUGAUGUGAUGGACAAGACCCAAUCCUAAGACUAGCACAAAAGAUCAUGUAGUUCAUUUGCUAGAGCUUUGCCAAUGUCAAGUAUCUCUUCCUUUGACCAUGAGAGCGUGUAACUCCUGGAUACCGUAGGAGUGCUUUGGGUGUAUCAAACGUCACAACGUAACUGGGUGACUAUAAAGGUGCACUACAGGUAUCUCCGAAAGUAUCUAUUGUUUUAUGCGGAUCGAGACUGGGAUUUGUCACUCUGUGUAAACGGAGAGGUAUCUCUGGGCCCACUCGGUAGGACAUCAUCAUAUGCGCAAUGUGCCCAAGGAGUUGAUCACGGGAUGAUGUGUUACGGAACGAGUAAAGUGACUUGCCGGUAACGAGAUUGAACAAGGUAUUGGAUACCGACGAUCGAAUCUCGGGCAAGUAACAUACCGAUAGACAAAGGGAAUUGAAUACGGGAUUGAUUAAGUCCUUGACAUCGUGGUUCAUCCGAUGAAGAUCAUCGUGGAACAUGUGGGAGCCAUCAUGGGUAUCCAGAUCCCGCUGUUGGUUAUUGACCGGAGAACGUCUCGGUCAUGUCUGCAUGUCUCCCGAACCCGUAGGGUCUACACACUUAAGGUUCGGUGACGCUAGGGUUAUGAAGAUAUGUGUAUGCAGUAACCCGAAUAUUGUUCGGAGUCCCGGAUGAGAUCCCGGACGUCACGAGGAGUUCCGGAAUGGUCCGGAGGUAAAGAAUUAUAUAUAGGAAGUGCUAUUUCGGCCAUCGGGACAAGUUUCGGGGUCAUCGGUAUUGUACCGGGACCACCGGAAGGGUCCCAAGGGUCCACCGGGUGGGGCCACCUGCCCCGGGGGGCCACAUGGGCUGUAGGGGGUGCGCCUUGGCCUACAUGGGCCAAGGGCACCAGCCCCAAGAGGCCCAUGCGCCAAGAGAAGAGAAAAAGGGGAGAGUCCUAAAGGGGGAAGGCACCUCCGAGGUGCCUUGGGGAGGAUGGACUCCUCCCCACCCUUGGACGCACCCUUCCUUGGAGGAAGGGGCAAGGCUGCGCCCUCCCCCUCUCCCUUGGCCCUAUAUAUAGUGGGGAAAAGGAGGAGCAACAAUACCUGAGCCUUUGGUGCUUCCCUCUCUCCCCGUUACGUCUCUCUCUCUCGUAGUAUAGGCGAAGCCCUGCUACUGUGACGCCCUGCAUCCACCACCACGCCGUCGUGCUGCUGAAUCUUCCUCAACCUCUCCCUCUCUCCUUGAUGGAUCAAGGCGUGGGAGACGUCAUCGGGCUGUACAUGUGUUGAACGCGGAGGUGCCGUGCGUUCGGCACUUGAUCAUCGGUGAUUUGAAUCACGACGAGUACGACUCCAUCAACCCCGUUCACUUGAACGCUUCCGCUUAGCGAUCUACAAGGGUAUGUAGAUGCACUCUCUUUCUACUCGUUGCUGGUCCCUCCAUAGAUAGAUCUUGGUGACACGUAGGAAAAUUUUGAAUUUCUGCUACGUUCCCCAACAUAUCUCUGCUUAAAACUCUUUGUUGCUAGCCUUGCCUUAUAUUUGUCAAUCUGACCACUUGCUUUCCUUUUAAUUCUAUACACCGACCUACAAUCAAUAACAUUUUUAUUUUUUGUUGGUGGGACUAAGUGCCAUGUUUUGUUUUUAAGAAGAGCGUCAUACUCAUCAUUCAUAGGCUUUUUCCAAUUUGUAUCACUCAAAGCUUCCUGCAAGCUAUUGGGUUCGCUAGUAGUUGUCAGCCCACCAAAAUGUACUUUGAGCUUAUCAUACCUGACAAUACCAUCUGUACGAACUUGAGGUUUUAUAAUACCAUGUUGUGACCUUGUUCGUCGAGUCGGUACAUCAGAAGCUGCAGAUGCAUGUGGCACAAAAGAUCCAGUGGAGAGGUGAACACCCGCAUGCGAUCUCGUGUCGGAUCUGUUGUUAGCGACAAAGGAUCCCCCAUCCUGUCAGGGCAGAUGCGCGGCGCCAGAGGAGGCACGCACGGCUCCCUCGCUCGAUUGGUUCACCUGGCGGUCAGCAAGAGGCGAACCACGUUGCCCGGGUUGGUGCGGCUGUCCAUGUGCCACGUGGUUGCCUGGGAAUGGCUCGGGCGGGGACACGCUGUCGGGCGAAUCGGUGUCGGUGUCAAAACUGGCGGAUCUUGGGUAGGAGGUCCCGAACUGUGCGUCUAAGGCUAAUGGUAACAGGAGGCGGGGGACACAAUGUUUACCCAGGUUUGGGCCCUCUCGAUGGAGGUAAUACCCUACUUCCUGCUUGAUUGAUCUUGAUGAUAUGAGUAUUACAAGAGUUGAUCUACCACGAGAUUGUAGAGGCCAACCCCUAGAAGCUAGCCUAUGAUUAUGAUUGUUGUUGUCCUACGGGCUAAACCCUCCGGUUUAUAUAGACACCGGAGGGGGCUAGGGUUACACAGAGUCGGUUAUAGAGAAGGAAAUCUACAUAUCCGAAUUGCCAAGCUUGCCUUCCACGCAAACGAGAGUCCCAUCCGGACACGGGACGAAGUCUUCAAUCUUGUAUCUUCAUAGUCCAACAGUCCGGCACAAGUACAUAGUCCGGCUGUACAUGAUGAGAGACUUACUCAGCCACUCUUCUUCAGUACAUAAAUAUCAUUUAUCCUGUUGCCUUUUAUGCUCAUAUAUGUUGCCUCUUAGGCGCCCCAUCUUGUUCUCACUCUAUUGGUAGUUUUCAUAAUCAUGCAAGAACUGCCAUCUCUGCAUGUCAAGAAUCAAGUCAGAGUCAUUGCAACUCAGGUCCAAGAAAUGGAUAGAGAAAGUGAAGAUUCUACUAUCUUGUAAGAGUAGCUUCAGUUUCUGAUUCCUGGGUACAUAUGCCUUUGUUAUUGUACUAAAGGUCGAAUGUCCAACAACAACUCACCUUCUUUUUCAGAAUCCUUUGACACACACUAUAAGUUGCCGACCAAAAUCUUUGAGCAUGCACAUCUAGCAUAAACAAUUAUACCUUGGUCUAAUCGACCUGCAUGAUGACACCGGUAAAAUCUAAGAUCACAUAUGACAAUAACGAUGGCGUGCAGACUAUCACCAAUAGGAUACCUUCUAAAACAUCACAUUAGAUUACUAAAUGCAAGUCUAAAAUGCAACACGCACUGGACCAAUAGGUUGCUGGCUCAAUACGUCAGUAUUUAGUGCUGGAGGUAGCUGAUUGGAUUUAAUUGUUUGUCCAUCAACCACCUUUAACUAGGAAAUAAGUCAGAAGAAGGCAAGCAAAUUUACUUUGACGGAAACCUCAAAGAAACAGCAUCCUGCAAAAUCCAAAAUAAAGACGAUCCCCAUAAGAAAUAUAGGAAAGAUCAAUUAUACCAUCGACAAAGAAGACUACAAAAGAUGAUCUUUGAUGGAAACCACAAAGAAACAAUAUGUGCAUGCUAAAUGUUUAGAUAUAAGCAACAUUGUCUGAUAGCAAAAUCAAGAAGCUACUGUUUGAUCCGGACAAAUAAAAGCAUGUGCAUGCCAAAAGCUAAAUGCCUAAAUUAAACCAAAACAAAAAGUUUCAAAGGACAAAGCUUAAUCCAGUGUGUCAAAGGAUACCACGGAACACAUGUUUUCACCAGCCAAGAACCAUCAUCAUGUCACAUUUGAUUUAGAAUAAAAAAAUGCCAAUCCAGACACAUAGCAUACGGGCAAGUACCGAGAUCGACAACGACAAGACGCCAAGAGAGAGGUAACACAACAUUUUUUCGAAAGUAUUUCCAGUCCUAGUGGAACAAUACCAGUCUAAAAUAUCACAUGCAAUGGUUAAUAGCAUGCGUAUAGACCUUACAUUUUUGGGCAUAUACCAAAAGUAUGUUCAUUUACCGAGCUAGCAACAUUUUCUGAAUCUUGAUAAGGAAUCAUGCAUAAGUAAAAAGUGAAGCGGGGAAACUUACAAAAGGAUCAACAACAACCUUCCCCUCCGCCAUGAAUGUCUUAACCAUCGUCUCCAAGUUUCUUCUUAAGCAAAUAGUCACAGAUGUGUACAUCAAACCUGCACCAUAAGAAACAGGAUCAACCCAAAAUCAAAUGUGCUACCCUUUUUAGACACCUAAUUAGCAUGGCUGGGAAGGAGCGGCGGCAGGGACGAGAGGGAGAGGCGACAUGGACGAGAGGAAGAGGCGUCGUGGGGUGAAAAAUCAGAUCUUGGGCAACGACAGCGAGAUGCGGGCGAGGAGAGAUGCGGUUGAGGGAGGCGAACGGAGAUGCAGAGGUGAGCUGCGGUGCGGGUGACACGACGGAGGCGAGCGGCGGUGCGGGCAACCCAAUGGAGGCGAGCAGUAGUGCGGGCGGCAGAGGCGAGAGAGUGGGAGUGCGGUAGUGCGGGCGGCCUCCUGCGGGCGUCGAGAGAGGAGGCUGGUCACUGGAGGUGCGGCCAACGGUUCCUGCGCUCAUCCUGUCGGUCGUGAUGCGCCAGCCCCGCCUGGCGCUCCUCUCGGGGAUGGCAAUGGCGACGGUGAGUAGUGGCAGCGGCACCGAGGCUGAGCGCGAGGGAGAAGGGGUGGUUGCCGGAGGGAUGGCCAGCGGUUCCUGCCUCGUCGAUGGUGAUGCGGGUGCACGCGAGGACGACGACGACGCCGGGGUCGCCCCUUGCUGUGUCCAGGGGAGGAGGCUGGGGCUACGCGAGGAGGAGCGGCGGCUCAAGGAGGAGCGACGUGGCGCGUUGGGGAAGGAAGAACGCGGGCGCGGGAGCCGCCGCCGCCGUUGCCAGAUGAAGAGCGAGCGAGUGAAGGAGACGACUGCGUGGGAGGGAGGGAGGGAGGCGGCUGCAGGAGCGAGCAAAGGAGGAGGCGGCUAGGUCUCCGUCAAAGGAGCGGCCCCCUUUAUACCCCACUACGCGAAAUGACCGAAAUGCCCUGGUGGGGGCACGGUAUUUACACGGUUGCCAUUGGAAUUUUUAUCCGACGGCUCACAGCGAUAUUGUAAAUAUCCGACGCCUCACGUGAGCCGAGCCUGAGAUCCGACGGCCCGAAUUGCAUCAGGAAACCGAUCCGACGACUGAGAAUCCAAACGCACGGGGAGGCUCCAUUUUGCUUCGGACUCUAACAAGGGGAUUCUUUGGAGGUCAAAGCUCGCAUUUUUAUCCGCUGGAUCUGCAGGAACGACGACGAUGAUGCCGGCGCAUCCGGGCUCUUCGUCGACCUUCCCGUGCUGGAGGCCGACACUGCCGGCUUCUCCUGGAAUCUCUGUUGCUGCUCAAGGUGUUGCAUCUCCUCCGCGGUCUCCCUCCUCGGCUGCUGCGCCUCCUCCGCGGCUGGGCGCCAGGGCAGUUGGGAAUCAAACGAAGAGGUCAAGGGGAACCACAACGGUGAGACGCGACGCUAAGGAGUAAGACGGCCGGAUCUGGAGCUUAAGGCCCUUCACCGCGCUUGUGUUCGUCAGAUUGCAAGGUCAGUCUACUCUGACCAAUCUCGCCCAAUUAUCUGUACUCCCUCAAUUAUCUGCCAAGUACUCCUGUUGAAAUGAGGAAUCAUCUUGAUCCUACAGAUUACCAUCCUCUCGAUUGUGGCCUGGCGGAAAUCAUCUGGAUCCGGCUAGUUUGUACUUAGGCACUAGUGUUGCUCUGCUCUUUUUCCUUGUGAUGCUUGAGUACUGAAGAAAUUGUUUGGAUAAUAUGCACUUUUCUUUUGCUUAUGCUCUUCUGAGAUUGGCUAGUUACUGUUUGGGGAGUAGAUGUAGUGUGUCGUAAUUUGCAAGUGAAUCACUGUGUAUAUCAGUGCUAAAUACAGUUACAAGCACAAUCCUACUAAUGCUUGUACACUGAAACAAUUGGUCAUCUCAAGGUCAAAUAUCAAGAAGAGCUUCUUGUCAUUAGUCAAAAUUUUCAUCAUCUCAAGGUCAAAUUUUAGAGUACUUGGUCUGACAUUUACUUUGUCUGCUGUAGUAAGCCCUGGAGUUGUACAGAGGAGAGGAAGAGGCAGUCACUGAGGGCGUGCUACGUCUACGGGCUCAUCUUCUUCGCCAUCAACCCGCACAGAGUAAGCAUCUGCUUGUUUAAGCUGGGUAAAGUGGUCGCCGUCUAAAUCAUGAGACACAUCAUCGACAGAGUGUUUUGUAGAGACCAUCAAUGAAAACCCAGUAAUUCGUUUGUCGAUCCAUCGUGCAUCCUUCUGAUGCUAGCUAGUCAGGUGCGAAGUGGAUCCUCUAACAUGAAGAAGAGAAGUCACCUAAGCUACAAUUCCCUAACUUCCCUCCUCCGCAUCAGUCAGGUGGUGCAUGUGUACACUUGUUCACUCCUUGUAAACACGAUCAACACGCCGGAUCACCAUUGCAAUUAAGUGCCUUCUGAAAUUAGGGGAGUAACAAUGAUGAUGAUACAAACUUGUAAGCCACAACAAAUUCUGCUUCUGCAAAAAAGAAAACCAUGUCUGCCUCUGUUUUGGAGAAUAAAACAUGAAGGAGAAAGAUUGUGUGUGUGUGGAUGACAAUGAAGCAGAUGGAGUAUAUCUUCCGGAGUAGUAACUUAUGCAUCUUACUCACUUGACUGUUUAAAUAUCUUGUACCGUAACCAUAUCAAAGUUGCAAAUUAAUUUGUUUGUCUGAAUAAACGUUUCGCAAUUCUGCAGCAGCGCUGCUGUCGGAGUCGUCGGUGGAUGAGACGCCCACGCCACCAGCGGUAUAAAUAUAUAGUGUUUGGCAACAAUAAAUAUACAAGUAUAUAAUUUGUGGCAGCAAUAAAAACAUACUCCAAACAUAAUCUGUGGCAACAAUAAAAAACACUCCAAACAAUACACACAUACUCCAACGGAGUAGACUACACAAUAAUCUGUGGCAACAAACUGGAGUAGGAUCAGUGUCCAAGCAUCUCUAGUGCCUUUGCAUACACUUCAGGAGGAACUGAGAUCCUGGGCGGUAGCAGUCGUAGCCUUUCUAGCCUUUCCUUGUUCAUGUGUGGGAUUUUGUAUUUAUUGGCUCCACCAAUCUUCAUUACUUCGACCAUGCAAGUCUGCAGAGUCUUCGAACAUGUGCUCCCAAUAUUGCAGCCACGUCCUUCUUAUCAGUUCUCUUGAACUUGCCUCCUCUACUCUUAUGGAGGGUUUCCAUGGACAUGUAAACGGCAUAUCUCUGCGCAUCAGUGAGCCAAUUCCUUUGCCUUUGUACUCCUACAAUAGCAAUAGAAUAAUAAAAUUAAUUAUUGCAAGAAUAUUACAAAUUGGUUGAUGGAAAUGUAAACAAGAGGUCAGCAAUAGCAAUAGCAAGUAAUUCCAUAGGAGUAUUUCUUGCUGAAAAUGUUGCUUGAUGUAAAUAUAAACAUAAAUUCUUGAGUUCAAGGUUUCUGCUCUCUCUGUGUAGCCAUGAAUAUUUCCGCUCUCUCUCUGUAGUAUGUACACAUCUCCCCUUUCCCUAGCAAAAAAGAGAAUGCUCUAACUAGUCUAGUCUCUCUAAGUGACCAAGUGGGAGACAUCACACCCACCUGUCUGGUUUAUGCAAGAUCCUCCUAACAAUCUACUGUACUCCAGUAUAAUUUCGAGGUUUAGGAUUGCUAGUAUGAAAAUGGUGUACUUUAUAAAUUUGCAAGAAUUUCAAAUGGAGUACUCCAAAUAUGCAUGCUGUUAAAAUGACAUUAGGAGUACUCCAAAUAUGCAUGCUGUUAAUUAUGAAAAUGGAGUACUCCAAAUAUGCAUGUUAUUAAAUAUGAAAAUACAGUAUAAUUCUGCAAGAACAUUAGGAUUUCGACAUUGAUGAGAAAUGGAGUAGAAUUCUACUGAUCACUAUGCACAAUUAUACUCCAUUAUAUGUUGAAAUCUUAGCAAUCCCUUCCUUCUAUGUCACUUCUCUGUUAUGGACACAAUAUGCACAAUUCUACUCCAUUGAUCAUUCAUCCUGAUAAUGUUCAACAUCAAGGUUUCCAUUUUGACAGGUAAUGUUGCCUUUUUCUUCAGGUUCUCACAAUAGGCACAAUCUGUUAUUGCUUAGCAAUCCUUGAUGUUGAAAAUGGAGUAGAACGUCUAAUGAAGCUUCCUCAUAUGCACUAUUCAGUCUUAGCAAUCCCUUCUUUGUUACUUCUCUGAGGCAUAAUUUGAUGCAAGAUUAAAAGAAAUUAUACCUGUAUUUUGACCAGCAUUGUUGCCUUCUUGAGGUUCUUCGUUGCUUUCUUCAGGUGGAGUGAAAUUGAGGUCUGGGACUACCACGAUUUAUACUGAGCCAAUGAUCUACUGUUGUCACCGUUGAGGAUCUGCUGCUGUUGCUUCUGUUGAGGGCCAAUGAUCUGCUACUGUUGAUGUUGAGGAUCUGUUGCUGUUGCUUCUGUUGAGGGCCAAUGAUUUGCUACUGUGGAUGUUGAGGAUCUGCUGCUGUUGCUUCUAUUGAGGGCCAAUGGUCUGCUGUUGAGGAUCUGCUGCCGAAGGCAAGGAGCUACAGUUGAGGAUCUGCUAGGCAAGGAGCACCGAGCCUGGAGGUGGUCACGCAUGAGAGGAGCUCCUGAUCUUCUCCCCUGGCCCCCGGUGAGCUGGACCUUGCUGGCGACACGGGGAAGAAGGGAGGUGGUUCUGGGCGAGCUUGACCUUGCCGGCGAAGUGCUGCUGGGGCCGGCGGCCGGCGAGGUGCCCUCCUGGGGCCGGCGGCAAGGUUCCUGGAUGAGCAGGAAGCUGGGCAGGGAGGAGGAGAUCCUGGGCGGAGGAAAAUCUGGGCGAGGUGGGCAGGAAGGAGAUCCCGGCGAGGUGGGGGGAGAAGCUGGGCGGCGAGCCGGCGACGCGCUGGGAGGCGAUGCACUUGGCGAAGCGAUCCCGAUGGUUUUUGAAUUUCAAGUUGAUGGAAGGGUAUUGUUGUCCAUUAGCGUUUUUGGGGGGCUGUCAGAAAUCUCCUUCCACGGCCUACAAAAGUGAACGGAGGGAGUACUAUUUUGUCUGGCGGAUAGUGCCGAUGGCAUCAUCCAUGUCUGUCGAAGUGGUGGUCACAUACUGCAGGUAUGCUAGCUCCUCACAAUAAAUACAUAAUUUUAAGUUUGUUACAGUUUAUGGAUGAAACUGGGAAUCACGUUCCACAAGCAUGCCUCAUAGUUAUGCAUAGUUUUUCUGUACAUAUGGUGUGCUGAACUCCUAUUUAAAGACGUUAUCAUUACCCAUCUGAUCCUUCUAUUUGUUAGUUGGUUUCCUGAAUAAAUCAGUUCAGACGAUUAAUUGAUUUGGAGUAGAACAUGUCUUGCAUUUUAAGCUCCCGGCAGUUAUAUUUCAGAUCAAUAUUUGUAGUUGGUUUCCUGAUUAUUGUGUAAAGCAUUUAUUCCAAGCUAAGAAAGCAAAACAGGUUCACAACAUCCGACAUCCGAAGUCUCAUCUGCCCUAAACAGCAGGCAACAAACCAAAAAGAAGAAACGGCCAGACGGAAAACAGAAGAAAGUCUAAAACUGCACUACUUGCAGGCUGUUAGACAACACCUGGAAUCUCCUCUGCAACAAUCUGCAGGAUACAUUCUGGUGGUUCAUCAAGCCACACUUUAUUCAUCUCCAUGCUAACCCCUUCCUUAGCCAUUUGCCGGUCUUCUCACCCAGCUCACCUUGUACUCUUGUCUGGUUCUGAGCAUCUCUUUCACUUCAUCGACGAUUGGACCCAUCGCCGAGAGAUCCUUGCUGCUGUUGUUGAGCAUGGCCACCACCUCUUUGCUAUCGAGUUCUAAGUGAACCUUCUGAAAUCCUUGCUGAAUCGCAAGUUGCAUCGCCUGCCGGCUCGCCAUUAGCUCCAGCAACUGGGGAUCGGAGGUGCUUGGGAGGAACGCACACGCCCCUCCUNNNNNNNNNNNNNNNNNNNNNNNNNNNNNNNNNNNNNNNNNNNNNNNNNNNNNNNNNNNNNNNNNNNNNNNNNNNNNNNNNNNNNNNNNNNNNNNNNNNNNNNNNNNNNNNNNNNNNNNNNNNNNNNNNNNNNNNNNNNNNNNNNNNNNNNNNNNNNNNNNNNNNNNNNNNNNNNNNNNNNNNNNNNNNNNNNNNNNNNNNNNNNNNNNNNNNNNNNNNNNNNNNNNNNNNNNNNNNNNNNNNNNNNNNNNNNNNNNNNNNNNNNNNNNNNNNNNNNNNNNNNNNNNNNNNNNNNNNNNNNNNNNNNNNNNNNNNNNNNNNNNNNNNNNNNNNNNNNNNNNNNNNNNNNNNNNNNNNNNNNNNNNNNNNNNNNNNNNNNNNNNNNNNNNNNNNNNNNNNNNNNNNNNNNNNNNNNNNNNNNNNNNNNNNNNNNNNNNNNNNNNNNNNNNNNNNNNNNNNNNNNNNNNNNNNNNNNNNNNNNNNNNNNNNNNNNNNNNNNNNNNNNNNNNNNNNNNNNNNNNNNNNNNNNNNNNNNCCUCCAGAAUUUUUGCAGAUGGCACACGCCCCUUUAGGAUGCACUUCUCUCCAUCCACUCAUAUGGGCACACACCCUCCUAGCGACUGUUCUUGCAUCGGCUAUCCGUUGGCCGUCCCUCACCUCAUUCCUCGCUAACCACAGCCCGUAAAGAGCUUGGAUCAUCGUCUCCCGUUCCACAUCAGUUGCGUCAGCUAACCAAUCCUGCAUCCAUGACGAGAUAGAGCUGAACGAUCCAUCCAACUCCGGCGGCGUUACAACAGGAGCCUCCAUCUCUUCUCUCAGGGCUCUCCAAAUUUGGGAAUGCGGGCAAGCCCAAAAACGAUGAUAGAUGGACUCGUCCCUACCGCAUGCUACACAGAAGACUCCUCCCUUGAUCCGUCGUCGGUGCAGCUCUGCCCCAACAGCCAAUCCGUUAUGCAUAAGCCGCCAGGUAUGUACCUUCGCCUUGUUCGGUACAUCCGUACUCCAUAGCGCCAGCCACAUCUUAUGCUUCCUGAGCGCUCAUUUUCAAGUGAUAUGCAGACUUUACAGUGAACUGGCCAUUCUUUGUAAACUUCCAUGCAAUUACACCCGGUCCACCAACCACAAUCUGUUUAAUAUCCUGUGCAUCAUCAGGUGAGAACAUUUCAUCAAUUUAUGCAUCAUCCCAUGUAUCUCCCUGUACGUUGAGCAGGUCGGCCACCUUGGUAACACCAUGCAUAUACAACUGACCCAGCGGCUUGAGACUCCCCUGUCUUGGAAUCCAAUUAUCAUGAUGCACAUUGACAGAGGUGCCAUCACCAAUCCUCCACACUAAACCUUCUUGUAACAGGUCUCUUCCAUGCAAAAUGCUCCGGAAAGUGAACGAGGCUCCACUUGGGCACGUAGUCGUCAUAAUUGAUCCCUCCUUGAAGUACCGUGCCUUAAGCACUCUAGCGCAAAGGGAUUCAGGGUUUUGCAAAAUCCUCCAAGCUUGCUUAGCAAGCAACGCUUGGUUGAAAGCCUCCGGGUCCCUACCUCCCUCUCUUCGAAGAGCACAUCUUAUCCCAAGAAAUCCAGUGUACUUUCCUUUCACCAUUUGCGGCACCCCACCAGAAUUUCGAGGAGAUCGAUUUCAGGUUCCGGCACAUCUUCUUUGUGAGUUGAAAACAGCUCAUGGUGUAAGUAGGAGUAGACUGAAGCCCUGACUUAAUAAGAAUCUCUCUUGCAGCCUUCGACAACUCUUGUCCCUUCCAACCAGAGACCUUGCUUGUCGAGCUUUCCCGUACAUACUUGAACGUACCCUCUUUCGAUCUACCAACCAGUGUUGGUAAACCAAGGUACCGUUCACUCAAAGCCUCAGAAGUGAUACCUAUAGCUUGCUUGAGCAUAACUUUAUCCGCAUCUCUGCAUCCUUUCCCAAAGAAUAUGGAUGACUUUUGGAGGUUUACCUUCUGACCCGAGGCCACCUCGUAGUCGGCCUUUGUAGCUGGCCAGUUGCUACCUCUUAAAAUAUAUAUAGAUGUUGCGAACCAACCUGUGGUUGGAUGGUUAGAGGGACUGUGGUAUCCCCAGCCCACCAGGGUUCAAGUCCUGGUGCUUGCAUUUAUUCCUGAAUUUAUUUCAGAAUUUCCGGCGAUGCACAUUCAGUGAGAGGAUACGUUCCCCGAGGUGCUCAUAGGGAUAGGGUGUGCGUUCAUAGGGGUGAGUGUAUGCGUGUAUAUAUGAACGCUUGUGUCUGUACUGAUGUUAAAAAAAAAUAUACAUGUUAAAGUGUGCAUGUUAUCUUCAAAUGAACGAGAUAAUUAAGAGAAGACCAGGAUAACAACAUAAAUCAGCAUAAGCAAAAAUUGUAGUAUAAUAUUAAAUAGUACAUAAAAAUGACGCACUCAUAUCUGUUUCUCUUAACAUGUCUUUCAUAAUGAAGAUCUAAGCUUAUGGAGUGUACUUCUACAUGUAAAAAAAAAUCUUAAGCUUUAGAGUGCACUUUUCAUUAUUUUUUCUAAUCGAGCUCAAAGGAGGCACUUAGGUUAGGAAGCACCCAAGAUUUUACUCACAGUACUAACAAAAGGAAAGAUACAUUUAUCGCAAUAGAAAUACAUUUAUCAUUUAAAAGCAAGGUAUGUUACAUAUUUGUUUUCAGUGAUUAAGACAUGGCUUGCAGAAACUCAAUUAGUAAAUUUACAAAGAAAGAAAAAAUUGUCAUUUUGGCGUGUAAUAUUUUUUCCUUUCAUUAAGACAUGGCUUGGGGAAACUCAUUAAUACGUGAGUACAGCUUACAAUCCAUGCAUGUAUGAUGCAUUUCCCUGAUUACUUUCGAUACAUGGAAAUAAAUAAUCUGUUGACUUGAAUGACCGGCCGCUGAUUGCUAUGCAGCACCUUUUAUUUGACGAUUCGGUUUGCCAUCCUUCCUUGUUUGCUUAAUAGUACUACCAAAGGAGGGGAUUAGCAUUUGGCGGGCAAACAGUCCGCCACCACGUUUUGGUUUCCCGCCACUGUGUUGUAUAUAUAUAUGAGCGCGCGCACGUCCGAUCAACACACCACCACAUCAGCCUAACAUAACAAGUAAUUCCAUGGCCGCCCCCAAGGAGACUGUAGUCAUUGACUCCGAAGAUGAGGACGACCAAGUCAAUGGCGCCUCCUAUGCCAAGGCCGUGUCCACGGCCGCUUCGUUCGUUGCUGCUAGCACCAACGGUGGCGACUCCCACGGCAACGGCGGCUCGGGCGGCAGCAACUCCCACGGCAACGGCAACGGCACCGGCGGCGACAACUCCGACUCCGACAACGCUUCCUCGGCCGCACCAAGUCGGCCGAAGCAGAGGCUACCGUACAAUUACUGGCAUAGCCAGGAUGUUGUUCGGCUUCUGAAAACCGCUACAAAGCUGCAAGAGGAUUACGACAAAGCGCGCGUACCUGCAUCCACACUUCUAGAGGAGUUCCUCAAGGGCGGGAAGCCGUUCCGCCGUGGUAAGCUCACAUCACGCAACAUCACCUCCAAGAUGAAUUAUUCACGGAGGAUAUUUGUUGAUAUGUGCACGGAAGAUCGCGAACGUAAGUUUCGGCAAGUGCGCACUGAGAGUGAAAAAGUAUUCUUCGAAUGUUGCAAAGAGUUAUGGCCCGAGGUCGUGGAGCAAGCCCGUGGUGAAGUUAAGAGAUGCAGGAGAUCACGUGCUACUAAAAAAAAGUAGGCAGACCCACAGGCACAAGCACAAGCACAGGGGUCUAGUUCGUCCAGUUUAAUCAUCAUGGGUACUUUUUUUGUUUCUGCGAGUUUCUUUCUUUCUUGAAUGAGGUGUUUUUCUUUCAGAUAUAAUCGUUUGCCAGAAGAAAUAAAUAUUUACUAGUAUCGUGUGAGUUUUUGUGGUCAAUGUGUGUGUAUUGGCCACAGGAAACAAUAUGUAAUGCUUUUGUAGAUUGAUCGCUAUGACUUUGUGUCACAGUUUCUCUCAACUUUCUCAAGUACGUAACAUAUAUCUAUCCCAUUCUGUUCUUUUUUUUGACAGAAAGCAUAAUACAGGUCAUAAAUAAAGAAAUAGCCUAGAUACUAAAUCCCACAAUAAUCAGAAACAUCUGACCACCAAUUUAACAGGCAAGUUAAUCAC
RNAcentral lists this long non-coding RNA (220416 nucleotides) under Triticum aestivum (bread wheat). RNAcentral's name for it is "long non-coding RNA (TAES_LNC001059)". The stretch from base 159868 to 159955 matches the Rfam family "MIR1120/MIR1122 microRNA precursor family". Lineage: Eukaryota; Viridiplantae; Streptophyta; Magnoliopsida; Poales; Poaceae. The record is from RNAcentral.